AUUUUAAUUAAGUAUUUUAUGUAUUUUAGGGGCAUCAUAGUCAUUUCACAAUAAACGAGAGAUUAGACGGCAAAACAGACAUCACUUUUGAACUCAGGACGGUCGAAAACCUUAGGAGGAGCAUAAAAGGAAAAAUGACACUGUUCACGUGUACGGUACUGUCUACGUUACUGUUCACGAUACUGUUCACAUAGACGGAUCAAUGACGUGGCAUUGACCGAUGAUGUGGCAUUGACUGAUGAGGUGUCACGAUCCUGUUGGACUAAAAUUCUUAUGUACUGUUGAUGGUGAUGUGGCAGCAUAUUAGUGGACCAAAAAUCUCGCAUACGGUACAUGCAUCACACAGGAUUAUUUUCAACCAAACCGCAUCACUGUUCAACCCGGGUCAAACUGUGUUACUGUUCAUCCGCGUGGUCAAACCGCGUACUGUUGACUGAUGAUGUGGCGCAAUCCUGAGCGUCCAAACUGUUUUUAAUCUGAUGGCCAUGAUUUACUCCAUGCUUUUAUAAAAAAAGGGCCUCCCCCCCUAAUUUGAUAGCUAUAAAUCCAUUUUUGGGAUCCAUUUUCUAUAAUUUCUUCUCCAUCUUGUAUUUUCUACGUAUUUUAAUAAAUUCUCAUUUUGCCCCUAGUUCAAUUAUGAGUAGCUAAUUUUCUUUCAUGCUUGGGUUGAAAGUGAAGUCUCAACAUCUGUUAUGGACUUUCUUUAGUAAAUUUAUUUUCUCUUCCCCUCUAGUUUUUGUGGAUGUUUUGACUUCUCGUCGACAAAUAAUAAUAAUCUUGUCUAAAUACCGCCUUGGUUACACCGGCUUUAUAGUACAAGGUUAUUAUUAUUUGGCACGAUAAGCCCUUAGCACAAUAUUGAUUAGAGUGUGGUUCAUAAGGUGUGGAUUCCCCCUUCAUGAUUUAAUUGGUAUUAAUAAGGAAUAUUUAGCCCAUGGUGCAUGUUGAUACAGAUCCAGAUACCCAAGUACGUCAAUUUAAUAGAUUUUCACUUCAAUUUAUUCACGUCAUUUCAAUUCCAAUUUUAAGAUAAUCUAAGUCACUUUCACCACAAAUCCAACCACCUUCAUACAAAAUUAUUUCUACAUAUAAUUAAAAUCCACCUCCUCGUGGGAUCAACACUUGUCUCCAUUAAUCUGUUCUACAAUAGAUUCGUGCACUUGCGAGUUCAAUAAAAUUUGCACAACAACUAUCUAUAUCAACAUAGUUUAAAGAAAUUACCUAUUAGGAUAUAAACCUAGAGUGGAAAUAUCUAGCCAAUGGAGGGGAUGGAAAAUGAGUUCUAUCAAACUCAGGAUCAGUUCUAAGAUGUACUAGACUCCUCCUUGCCAUUUGCUUUUUUCCUUUUUCCUAUUCUUGAAGACACAUCACCAGUCAUUUAUACUAAAUUUGAGAAUUUUGGAAAAUUUAGUGUUUUGGGAGAAAUUUAAUCAAUUAAAGUGAAGAGGGUAUAAGAAGUAAUGUUGGUGUUCAAUUUACCAAAAAUUGGUGAAAAUCCAACCAAUUUUGAAGAUGAUUGCUCGACUCACAGUUAAGGUUUUAAAUUGGGGAUUUUGAUGAUGGAGAAAUGAAGUUUAAAAGGUUUAUAAUGAUUGUAGUGGUUCAAUUUUGGAAGAAACACUCAAACAAAUGAUGAAUUUUAGAGAAAUAAAGCUUAAUUGUUGCGACCUAGAGAGAAAACGAUAAAGUUUAAUGCAAAUGAGAAACAAAACCUUGGAACAACUCUAUAAUCCCACGGAAAUGGUGAUCCAUUUUCUAUAAUUAGAUAACUGUUGACAUCCAAAAACAUAAGAAACCUUUGAACACACAAACGGUUUACCAUUUAUGGAUAUCGGUUAACUGUUAAUUUACAUAACCCAUCCCCCAAGUCUCUAUCUCAAAACGAUUAUUCAUUUAUUUUGAAAUGGCUAUCUAUUUAUUUUAACUAUAAUUUCACACAUAUGUUUCGAUCUUUGGCCAAUAAUUGUUUCCAUUCUAAGGUUAGUUCGUGAACCCGAAAUGUCUCAAAGACCAUUUUUAAUACAUGUAAAAUAUGAAUGCAUAAAAAUUUCAAAAUCAAUUAAAUCAACCAACACAUAUAGACCCAACUGAUAACCUUAAUAUAAUAUAUAGACAUGCUAAUGUAAAAAUUUGAUCAUCCCCAUUUCAUGUUGAAUUUUGAUAAAAUGACCCUCACUAAGGGGCUUUGUGAAGAUAUCUGCAAGUUAUUUUUCAGUUGAAACGAAUUCUAAUUCUACGUCCCCUUUUUGAACAUGAUCUCUCAAGAAAUGAUGUCUAAUAUCUAUAUAUUUGGUCCUAGAAUGUUGAAUGAGAUUCUUUGAUAUAUUUAUAGUACUAGUAUUAUCACACAUGAUAGGUAUAUGAUCAAGUUUAAUUCCGUAGUCUCUAAGAGUUUGUUUCAUCUAUAUAGCUUGUGCACAAUAGCUACCGGUAGCAACAUAUUCAGCCUUAAUGGUUGAAAGAGCAACUGAUUUUUUUUUUUAUUGAACCAAAAGAUGAGUGAGUGACUUAAAAAUUGACAAGUUUCACUAGUACUAUUCUUUUCGACUUUGUAUCCGGCGUAGUCGGCAUUCAAAUAUCAUGUUUAAUCUAUGUGAGUCCCUCUUUGAUACCAAAUAUUUAGAUCAAUUGUCCCACUCAAAUAAUGAAAAAUUCUUCUAACAACAAACAAAUGAGAUUCCUUGGGACAUUUUUGAAAUCUUGCACAUAAACAUACAUUGAUUAGGCCUACAAGCAGUCAAGUAAAGUAAAGAUCUAAUCAUACCUCAAUAAGUUUUGACAUCAACUUUUUUACUUUUUUAAUCCUUGUCAAGUUUGAUUCUUGAGCUCAUUGGUGUGCUUUUAGCCUUUCUCUUUUCAAAUCUGAAUUUUUUGAGUAAAUCUCUCAAAUAUUUGGCUUGGUUGAUACCAAUCCUUCUUUGUUUUGUUUUAUUUGUAGUUUAAAGAAAUACUUCAACUCUCCCAUCAUGCUCAUCUAAAAUUCUUUACUCAUAUAAGAUGAAAAUUCUCUACACAAAGACCAUUAUUAGAACCAAAGAUAAUAUAAUCAACAUAAAUUUGAACAAUGAAUAUAUCUUCAUGUUUAUACUUAAUAAAAAGUGUAGUAUUCGCAUUUCCUAUUGAAAAAUCAUUUUCCAAAAGAAAUCUACUAAACCUUUCAUACCAUAUAAAGCUUUAGACAACUUGUAGACAUGAUUUAGAAAUGUUUCAUUUUUAAAACUAGGGGGUUGUGUUACAUAAAGUUCUUCCAUAAUAUAACCAUUCAAGAAAACACUUUUAACAUCCAUUUGAUAUAAAAUAAAAUCUUUAUGACAUGCAAAUACUAAAAGCAUCCUAAUGGAUUCUAAUCUAGCUAUAAGAGCAAAUAUUUCAUCAAAAUCAAUUCCUUCUUCCUGGUUGUAUCUUUGAGCUACUAGUAUAGUUUUGUUUCUUAUAACUACAUUAAAUUCAUCCAUUUUAUUUCUAAAUACCCAUUUAGUGCCUGUUACAGAAUGAUGUUUUGGUUUAGGAACAAGUUUCCGCACAUUGUUUCACUUAAAUUGAUUUAACUCUUCGUGCAUGGCCAUAAUCCAGGAUUCAUAAUUCACCGCACUAGAAAAUGAUUUUGGUUCGAUUUAAGAUAUGAAUGCAAUAUGUUCACAUGUAUUUCUAAGUGAUAAUCUAAUGGUUACACCUAGUGAAAGACCACCUAAGAUUAAGUCUUUAGGGUGAGAAUAAACAUACCUCUACUCUUUGGGGAGUGUUUGAGAAUUACCUUUAUUCUUAUCUUGCUUAGCUUGUUCUUCUUAUGGCUCCUCUUGAUUUUAUUCUUCUGAAUUAUCUUGCUUUUCUUUUAAAGAAUCAAUUUUUUUUUUCCGUAAUUUUUCAUAUGCAUCAUCAUCAACUGCAACUUUCUCAAUAGAGGAAGAGUUAGAUUCAUCAAAUGUAACAUGCAUAGACUUCUAUACAACCAAGGUUCUUUUAUUGUAAUACUUUAUAAUUUUGCUUGUAUUUGAAUACCCAAGAAAGAUGCCAAUAUCAUAUUUUAGAUCAAACUUACCAAGAUUAUCUUUUGUAUUCAAUAUAAAAUAUUUGCAUCCAAAAACUUUGAAAUAACCACUGUUGGAUUUUCUAUCUUUCCAAAACUUGUAAGGAGUUUUAUUAAUGUAAGCUUUAAUCAACACAUGAUUCAAAACAUAACAAGUAGUGUUGACGGCUUUUGCCCAAAAAUAUUGUACUAAAACAUUUUUAUUUAACACGGUCGUAGCUAUUUCUCGAAUAGACUUAUUAUUUCUCUCAACUAUUCCAUUUUGUUGUGGAGUCCUUGGUGAUGAGAAUUGAUGCUCAAUGCCAAAGUUAUUGUAAAAAUGUUCAAAAUCAUGAUUUUUAAAUUCCCUACCAUGAUCACUUUAAAUGUAAGAAAUAACAUACUCUUUUUUCAUUUUUAACCUUUUUACAGAAAAUUUUAAAAGCAUCAAAGGCAUCAUCCUUAUUUCUUAAGAACAAUAUACAAGUGUAUCUGGAUAAAUCAUCAACAAUUACAAAUGCAUAAUAUUUACCACUCAGACUUGCAUACCUAGAAGGUCCAAACAAAUUCAUGUGAAAUAGUUGAAGCAGUUUUGAAGUAGAGACAUGGUUUUUGUUUUUGAAAGAAGUUUUGAUUUGCUUUCCAAAUUGACAACCUUCACAAACCCUAUCCUUUUUAAAACCAAUAUUUGAAAGUCAUUUAACCAAAUCAUUUUUAGAAAUCAUUGAAAUCAAAUCCAACCAACUAUCAUUAUGUAAUGCCGAAAAUCAUUUAUCAUGUGACAUGUGCAAUCUAUAUCAAUGGUAUAUACAUUAACGCAUCUUUUUGCAACAAACAAAACUUUGCGAUCACAUGCAUUCUCAAUGACAUAUUUUGUUUUAUAAAAAAUAACUAUAUAGCCAUUAUCGCACAACUAACUAAUACUAAGCAAGUUAUAUUUCAAAAUUUCAACUAAACACAUAUUUUCAAGAAAGAUAGAAGAAUCUUUACCGUCAUUACCAAUACCAAUAAUCUUUCUUUUUGAAUUAUAUUCAAAGGAUAGUUCUCCACUAUUUUUUAUAUUGGUAAAACUCAAAAAUCAAAAGUAAUUGCGUGUCAUAUGACUCGAGCAUUCGUGGUCUAAGUACCAUUUGUUCUCCCUCUUCUUGAUCACUACAGAAGAAAUCUCAAGUUUUAGGUACCCAAAACUUUUUAGGUCCUUGAGUGUUAGCAAUGGGCUCAUUUUGGUACCCAAAUACAUUUGAUUCCAUAAUAUAUAUUUCUCUUAAAUAGACAUCUAUAACUCAUAUGACUGUUUCUAUUGCAAUAAUGGCAUAUAAUUUGAUCAUUAAUGGAGGUAGCCUUAACAAAGUAAUUCUAGCAAUACUUUUAUUUCAAAUUUGACUUAUAGCCAAUACUUCCUUUAUCAAAAACACAUUUUUGAGGGCUAAGCAAAUUAUCUAAAUCUUUUGCCCACUUGUAAAUUUUAAGAUAACAUCAUUAAGCUUAUCACUCUUUUUCCUGAGCAUUUCAUUUUGUUUUUCAAAUCAUCUAUAAGUAAACCUUCAUUCCUAAAUGAAAUGUCUUGCUUUUCUUUAAAGAAUGUAAUUCUUCAUGCAAACUUUUGUUUCUACUUCUAGGCACUUGAUCUUUUCAUUCAAAUACUCAUUUUUAUUUGAAAGUUCUAUAUUUUCUUUUUAAAACAAGCAUUUUUCAUUUUUAUCUUUUUAAAGUCAUUGUGCAAUUUAGUAAAUGCUUCAAACAACACAUCAUAAAAAGGAAGACAAUUUACCUCAUCAAGUUCCUCUCCUAUUGCCAUAAGUGCCAGGUUUAACACUUCAUAUGAUUCUUCCUCAUCUGAGGCCUCCUCACCGCUGUCAUUCUACGUUGCCACCAUAGCUUUCUUUUUUGCCUUGUUGAGGAAAAGAAAUUCUAAUUUUAUGUGCCCGAGCUUCUUGCAUUCAAAGCAUAUGAUUGCUUCAUUCUUUUUCUUUUGGUUUUUAAAGUUCCUGAGCUUUCUUUACUUAUUAGAUUUCUUGAAAAACUUCCUGAAUUUUCUGGCUAUCAUACUCAUAUUUUCAUACUUCGGAUUCACUUUUUUCAUCGCUUUCCAAUCUUGAAGCUUGAAGAGCAAUGUUCUUGUUUUUUUCUCUAUUCACUUUUUCAACUGUUAAAUCCUAUUCAUAGAAAAUAAGUGAGCCAAUUAAAUCAUCAAUAGAUAAUCAGCCAUCUUCGACUAAAAAAUUUGAAAGUGUAUAUUUAUAAAGGAGAAAUUAGAAAGAAGAAGUUAAAAAAAAUGAAGAAGUUAAAAAAAAUGAUUGUUAAGGCUUAAUAAAGAAAAGGAAAAUGUCCGAAUUUUUUUUUUUUUACUUUCAAACUAAGAAGAUGCAUUUCUAGAGUCAUUACACUCCAUAUUUAGCCAUCUUCAACACAAAAGGUUAGCCACGGUUAGUCUCUACAACAAAAAAUCAGUAAAAACUUAACUAAGAUUCCACAAUUGUCAACUAUUCCCUCCCCCCAACCAGAACGAAACACUGUACUCAAUGUUUUAAAGGAAAUAAGUAAAGUUUGGAAGACAUCACCUGAGUGGUUGAACAUAUAAGAAAAUAUUUACAAGCGGAGAGUUAAAUCUAAUUUGCAUUUCUUACUGCGGCUACUGUUACUAUCAUUAUUUGGACACUCCAACACAAAGGUCCUGCGGUCUGGCUCUGGUCUAUAAACUUGUAACAAAUCCAGUAGCUCAUUAGUAGAGUGAGCACAAAUAAAAAGGUUUUUCAUUGUGGAAGGAAUGAAAUAGUUUUUUAUUGCAUGGUUAAGAAAUGCGAUGAAGCUAUCAUAAAAGUUAUUGACAUUUAACAAAUCGAUGGGUUUCUGGUGAAUGUUCAUAUGGGCCCAAGAUGCUAAUGUGAUAAGUACAUCUAGAGUUGCAAGAUCUCCUAGUAGGAAAAUAAAAGCAUCAGUAUGAUUAAGCAUUUAAGUUAUUCUUUCUUGCAUACCUGAGACGACUAACUCUUUUCUAGUCGGCGAGUCAGACAAACUACCCAAAGGUUUUAGGGCUCUUGGGAUGAUGUCUGACACUUGGCUUCCUUUGACAAAAGCAGCUUCUGAGACCAAUUUUGAUAACCCUCGAUUACCUCUUCCUUACACCAAGUGUAAUUUUCUCUCUGCUAUGCUUCGACCAAGAUCUAUGGCUGCCUCAACGAACUCUUUAUGUUUGCCAUAGUUAAAUCCAGAAAGUACACAAAUGUUCUUGAAUUAUUUAUUAGGAUUAGCUGCCAUUGAGAUACUUCUAAAAAAUAAUUUGUAAGUGCUUAACAAAAAAUCAUAUUUAAGAAUCUUGGUGACAGUGGGUCACAAUUGUGUAUAAGGUAGCAUGUUUGUGUCAAUUAAUGCGUAAAACACAUGGCUCGAGAGUAAAAAAGGAAACAGUAAAAAGAAAAGAAAAAAAACAAACAAUGAUAAAAUAAAAUUAUUAAAGACAAUAAUGCAAAUGAUAAAACAACAAUGAAAUAAAAUAAUAGUGAAGUAAAAUGAUAUUUACAGGUAGUUGCGACUGUGGCUCACAUCUUCCUCUGGUUUUACGUCCAGAAACGGCUUGAACGCCCUCUAUGGGUCGAUGAUAGGCUUCCCAUCCAGUUUUCUUAUAAACUGGCAAACAGGGUCAUUUAUAGUCAGAUUCCCAAGACUAUAUCGUGCAUGCUCUUUCUAGAAUAAUGGCCAUAACUGGAGAAUCGCUCUUUGUACAUAUCCACUAAGAUGCGUUUCAAGAGACAAAAGAAUAUCAUCCAAUGACUCCUUAUUGAAGCCAUCCCUAAUGAAUCGAAUAUUAUCUUCCCUGUUAUUGGACACCAUUCCUAAUGAACAUGAUUUUUUAUCGCAUCUCAUUCUGGCACAUUUAUGACAAGCAACAUAAAGUCUUCGAGCUCUUCGUUUUCUUGCAUAAUUUUUCUUACCACAACCAGGCAUGUAUGUAAUAAAUUUAGAAGGUAACUCACUUGCCAAUCGUACUUUAGCCUCGAUUAACCAGCGGAUGUCAGCAAGUAUGUUAUUCCUUAUAAGCAAUCGCAUGCGUUCGGACCGAGCUUUAUAGAUUGUAAGGAGGGCAUUAUGAGGAAGUGACAGGAAUUGAUUUUGAAGUUUUGCUAAAAUCUCGUUUCUGUCCAUACAUUCAUCUCAGAAGAUCAGUUAUUAUGAGAAACUGAAGUAACUGACUUGAUUGUUAUGGAGUACCGUUAUCCACCACUUCACUGGGGUAACCAACUAAAGCACACAAACAAAUUAACAAAUUAAAACACACAAAGAAAAUUACAAUCGUCCUCUUAUUGAAUUUACCUCAAACUCCAACUGGAUGUUGUAGACACCUCCCUCAAUGUCUCUGAGUUGUAUUUCUAAAUCCUCAAUAUGAGAUAUUAACUCUGGUGAUUGUAGAGCCCAAAUAUGAUGUGUUUUACAAAAUCGAAUUUAGCUUCUGAGAUAAAAUUUUAGAAUUUCUUGAUGGCCCAGUAUGCAUGAUACUCGAGUUCCACAAGUAGGUGGCAAGCUUUUCCAUACACUAGCCUAUAGGGUGACAUCCCAAUCGGGGUCUUGAAAGCCGUUCUAUAUGCUCAUAAUGUAUCAUCGAGUUUUAAUGACCAAUAUUUUUUGUCUGGCCUCACCGUCUUUUCUAAUAUGUACUUUAUUUCUCGAUUGGAGAUCUCAACUUGGCCACUGGUUUGCGGAUGAUAUGGGGUCGCCACUUUGUGAGUGAUGAAAUACUUUGUCAAAAGAGCUUUGAAUGCUAAUUAACUAUAUCAGCAUACCAUGGUAAUACUUCCACACUCAUUAAUUGUUCAUCUGGAAAUGACUCAUUCAAUGUUAAUGGUUCUGUAAUUGUGUCAAAAUUGAGACGAAAGAGAUGGCCGGCCACAACAAUUUUUAUGCCUUUCUUAUCUUUAAAUUUUAAGUCGAAUUCCCACAAAAGUAUCACCUAAUGAAUUAGUCUAGCUUUUGCAUCUUUCUUUGUGAGAAGAUAUUUAAGAGCAGCAUGAUUUAUGAAUACAAUUAUUUUAUAACUAAUGAGAUAAGAUCACAAAUUUUCUAAUGCAAACACUAUUGCUAUCAUUUCUUUUUCAGUAGUUGAAUAGUUCAACUGUGCAUCAUUCAAUGUCAUACUAGCAUAAUAAAUAACAUGGGGAAUUCGAUCAACUCUCUGUCCUAAUACUGCUCAUACUGCAUAAUCAGAUGCAUCACACAUGAGCUCAAAUAAUAAGUUCUAGUUUGGGGGCUGAAUGAUAGGUGAUAAUGUCAACAAUUACUUUAGUUUUUCAAAUGCUACAAGACAUGAAUCAUCAAAGACAAAAGGUACAUUCUUAGCAAGUAGAUUGCACAAGGGUCUAGAAACUUUGCUAAAAUCUUUAAUGAAACGUCUAUAAAAACCAGCAUACCCAAGGAAAGAUCUUACUUCUCUUACUGUUUUAGGUGGAGGAAGAUUGGAAAUAAGAUCCACCUUAUCUUUGUCAACCUCAAUACCUUUGCUCGAAAUGAUGUGACCGAGAACAAUACCUUGUUUUACCAUAAAAUGACAAUUUUUCCAAUUUAAGACCAAAUUCUUCUCUAUACAUCACUGCAGAACUAAUGUUAGAUGAUGCAAACAUUAAUCGGAUGAAUCACCAAAGAUAGAAAAAUCAUCCAUAAAGACUUUAAGUAAUCGUUCAACCAUAUUAGAAAAAAUGCUUAACAUGCAUCUUUGAAAUGUGGCAGGUGCAUUACAUAAUCCAAAUGACAUCCUCUUAUAUGCAAAUGUACCAAAAAGGCAAGUGAAAGUGGUAUUCUCUUGACCUUUUGGUGUUAUAAGGAUCUGAUUGUAUCCUGAGUAGCCAUCUAAAAAGUAAUAAAAUUCAUGGCCUGCUAAUCUAUCAAGUAUUUGAUCGAUAAAUGGUAAAAAAAAAUGGUGUUUACCUAUGACAUAAUUCAACUUUCUAUAAUCAAUACAUACACGGCAUCUUGUAGUCACUCUAGUGGGUAUCAGUUCAUUAUCAGUAUUGGUAACUACUAUGACUCCUGACUUUUUGGAGACAACUUGUACAUGACUGACUCAUGAACUAUCAGAAAUUGGGUAAAUGAUACAUGAGUCUAAUAGCUUAAGGACUUCAGUUCUAACAACUUCUUUUAUGUUAUGAUUUAACCGACGUUGCAUUUCCUUAGUAGGUUUAGCAUUUUCAUCAAGAUAAAUGUAAUGUAUGCAGUCAGUUGGGUUUAUAUCUUUUAUGUCGGCUUUGGUCCAUCCUAAUGCUCUUUUGUGCUCUUUUAAAACAUCCAACAACUUACCUUUUUGUUCGUCAUUUAGAGAUGAUGAGAAGAUUAUCGGCAGAGUACUUUCUUCUCCAAAAAAUGCAUAUUCUAAAGUGUUGGGUAAUGGUUUGACCUUGAGUUUUGGUGGUGAUUCUGAUGAUGGGAUGAGUUUUUUCUCUGAUGGUGCUAGUUGUUUAACUCUUGACUUCUAUUUCUUAGUGUCCAUGGAUGGUGCUGAAUCAAGUAGAAUGUUGACCUCAUCGACUGAUCUGUCAAUAUCAAAAUGAAAACCAAAGUGAGUUAAAUAUGUUUGUAAAGGAUCAUCACUAAGGUUUGAAAGAAAAAUAUUAUCAAUUAUUUCUUCUAUUAAAUCCACAUCAACAAUUCAAUCAUCUACAUUGUGAGGUUGUUUGACAAUAUUGAAAAUGUUUAACUUCAUAGUCAUGUUGCCAAAGGACAACUACAUAUUUCCAGUCCUACAUUGAAUGUGAGCAUCGACAGUUGCCAAGAAAUGUCGGCCUAGGAUAAUGGGGAUGUGCUUCCUUGAAUCCUGGAUUGGUUGAGUUUCAAUUACAAUGAAAUCAACAGGAAAAUAAAACUUGUCUACUUAGAUAAGCACAUCCUUCAUAAUACCACGAGGUAUUUUCGUGGACCGAUCUGCAAGCUGUAACAUCACUGGAGUUAGGUGUAAUUCUCCCAGUCCAAGUUUCACAAAUACUGAAUAAGGCAACAGAUUUACACUAGCUCCUAAAUCCAACAAAGCAUUCUCAAUUGUGUGGUUCUCUAUAUUACAUGAGAUAAUGAGGGAGCCUGGGUAUUUGUAUUUUAGAGGAAUUUUGUGUUAGAGUGUAGAACUAAUAUUUUCUGUUAAAAAAACCUUAUUUUGAACGUGAAUGUUUCUCUUUUUAGUACAAAGGUCUUUAAGAAACUUUGCAUAAGAUGAUACUUAUUUUAUAGUAACAAACAAAGGGAUGUUAACACUUACCUGUUUGAAGAUUUCAAAAAUCCCACCUCUACAUUUUCCCUUUUUUCCUUUAGCUAACCUCUGAGGAAAUGGAGCUUUAGGAACGUAUUCUCGUGGGUUAGUUUCUUCUUUCUCCUCUGAUGAUGAGUCCUCAACAUUCACAGGUAUAAUUUGAUUGAUUUUUGUCACCAGCAUAUCUACUUUGUUGUCGACUUCUUUCCCUUUUCGUAAGGUUAUGACUUCUUUGACCUCUCCGUGCUGCUGAGGUGAACUGGUACUUACUUUAUGCACUCCUUUAGGAUUAGACACUGGUUGACUUGGAAAUUUUCCUUUCUCAACAGUCAUUGCCAAGGUUUGAACGGAAGAAGCAAGUUGUCCCACCAUCUUCUCGAGGUUUAAAACUGAUUGGGCUUGUGAGUUGAAGCAUGCUCUCAUCUCAUUUGGUAGUUCAUCAAUAAUGCAGUUUUGUUGCUCAAUCUUAGAAUGCAUCCUCCCAUGGUCUGGGUUGAGAGUAGUUCUGGUUCUGAUUGUAUGGUCUAAAUGGUGGCUGAGAGGCUUGAGGAACUUGAGGAAUUGAUUGCAUUGGUGCAGCUGGAGCUACUGGUCCAUUGUAUUGAAAUCAUUGAGACUAUGAAAAAUUGGGGUGGUCUCUCCAUCCAGGGUUAUAUGUGUUAGAGUAUGGGUUGUAAUUUGAUGGCUUUCUCAUUACACCUAUGACAUUGGCUUGAUCUGAGUAUGACUUAUGGUCAUGUGGUUAUGUUGAUUUAACAGUUGUUAACGAUGCUAUUUUUCUGGAAAGACCUUCAAUGUGAACCUCAUUUACUCCUUUAAUUCUUUUAGUAUUCCUGAGCGAUUGACUCCGUUGUUGGGAAUUAUUCGCUUGUCGCUGGAAGAAAUCUUAAAUCUCUGAUGCACUUUUUGACAUUAGCUCUCCUCCACUUGUUGCCAUUAACCAUUCUUACACAUGUGGCAAUAAUCCCUCCAAAAAGUAUUGGUAUUGGUGCCAUUUCUCGUACCCAUGAUGUUGACACUUCAAAAGUAGCCAAUUAAAUUGCUCCCAUACUUCGAAAAACUGCUCGUCUUCUUUAUAGGUAAACUCUGAAAUUUUCCUGCGAAUAACAUUGGUUUUAUGCAUUGGGAAAUAUUUAUUCAAAAAUUUUGUUACCAUUUAUUCCCAUGAUGUAAUGCUAGUAGCAGGCAAUGUAUUGAGCCAUGAACGAGCUCUAUCCUUUAAAGAAAAUGAGAAUAAUCUAAGUUUAACAUCAUCAUCUGAAAAAUUCUCAUAUUUAAAAAUUUGACAAACAACAUGAAAAUCAUUCAAAUGAUUAUAUGGGUCCUCAUUUUCUAGUCCAUAGAAUGUUGGGAGACAAUUUAGCACACUAGAUUUUAACUCAAAACUCCUAACAGCUACAUUUGGAUAUCUUAUGCAUAGUGUGCUCAAAUUAGCUAAGGGACUAAAGUAUUCCUUAAAUGGCCUCUCAUGUGGUGCUUGUUGUUGUUGUUGCAAAUCCAUUUCAAUUUUAUUUUUAAUUGCCACGUGUUUGUGUUUGCGAAGUGUUUUUUCGAGUUCAAGGUCUAUAGGCUUAAGAUUAGGUAAUAAUGACCUUCGACCAUGCAUGCAAAGAACACAAAAAAUGAGAACAAAACAAAUAAAUAUAAAGAAGAAGGAGAAAUUAUGAUAUUAACCUUAUUACGUUGUUACAACAUUUCUAUAAAAACACACUAAAAAAUAUAUGAAAUAAAUUAACUAAAAAUAAAUUAAUAAGAUAAAUGAAAAAUUACAAAGAAAAAUAACUUGAAAAUUAAAUUACAGAAUUUUAAAGAAGAGAAAAAGAAAAUAAAUUCUUACUUGAAAAUGUAGAUUCACUUUUUUUCUUUGAAAUAAAAAAAAUUACAAGAAAACUACGAAAGGAAAUUAUUUACAAAAAUUAAUUCUAUGAAUUAAAAUAACUUACCUCCCCGGCAACGGCGUAAAAAACUUAUUAUGCAAAUUUUAUUGAAUUCGCAAGUGCACAAAUAUAUUGUAGAAUAGAUCAAUGGUGACGAGUGUCGAUCUCACGAGGAGGAGGAUUUUAAUUAUGUAUAGAAUUAAUUUUGUAAGUGGGUGGUUAGAUUUGUGGUGAAAAUUAUUUGAAAUAUCCUAAAAUUUAAAUUAGAAUGGCGGGAAUAAAUUAAAUCGAAUUUUAUUGAAAUGAAGCAUUUGGGUAUCUAGAUCUACCAUGGGCUAAAUAUUUCUUAUUAAUACCAAUUAAAUCAUGAGGGGAGAUUUCACUCCUCAUGAACCACACUCUAAUCAAUAUGGUGUUAAGGGCUUAUCGUGCCAAAUAGUAAUAACCUUGUACUAGGGAGACGGUUAAACUAGUGCGGUAUCUAGACAAGAUUAUUACUAUUUAUCGACGAAAAGUCAAAACAUCCACAAUAAUUAGAGGGGAAGGGAAAAUAAAUUUACCAAAUAAAGCUCAUGGCACAUGUUGAGACUUCACUUUUAACCGAGACUUGAAAGAAAAUUAGCUACUCAUAAUUGAACUAGGGGUAAAAUGAGAAUUUAUUACAAUACGUAGAAAAUACAAGAUGGAGAAGGAAUUACAGAAAAUGGAACUCAAAAAUGAAUUCAGGGAUGCCAAAUUAGGGGGGAGAGUCCCCUUUAUAUAGAUACACUGAAUAAAUCAUGGUCAUCGAAUUAAAAAUAUUUUGGAUGCUCAGGAUUGCGCCACGUCACCAAUCAACAGUACACAGUUUGACCACGUGGUUUGAAUAGUAACAUGGUUUGACCACGCAGUUUGGUUGUAAAUAAUUCCGUGUAUAUGCAUGUACCGUACGCGCGAUUGUUGGUCCACUAACAUGCUGCUACGUCACCGAUCAAUAGUAAAUAAGAAUUCCAGUCCAAUAGAAUCGUAACACCUCAUCAGUCAAAGUCACAUCUUUGGUCAAUGCCACGUCAUCGUUCCGUAUAUGUGAACAGUAUCGUGAACAAUAACAUGGACAAUACCGUACAUGUGAAUAGUAUCGUACAUGUGAACAAUUCCAUUUUUUCUUUUAUGCUCCUCCUAAGGUUUUUGACUGUCCUGAGUUCAAAAGUAAUGUCCGUUUUGCUGUCUGAUCUCUCGUUCAUUGUGAAAUGACCAUGAUGUCCCUAAAAUACAUAAAACUUAAUUAAAAUAAAACACACAUAAUUAAAUUACAAGAGACUUAAAUACAUAAAGUAAGGGUGUUAGUAAGACUUGAAAUGUAAAAUGAUAAUUUUCUCAUUUAUAAAUAUACACUUUCUAAUACUCAACAAACUUAAGGGUAAUUUCUAUUUCUAUGAUGGGCUGAAAUAAGAAUAGCAAAGACAAUAGGAAAAGUUGUCUAUAUAAAUGGUUAUAGUCCCCAGAUCAUAUGUAUCAUUCUAUUAUUUCUGACAUCCCUUCAUCAGAGAGAAAGCACAGAGAACAUGUUAAUUUGGAAAGCCAAUCACAAGAUUUUAGAGAGCAAUUAAGCACUAUGGAUUUAGGUAUACUUCUGCAUAUUCGUUUAUUGAUUCUUAGCGAUACAACAUGAAUGUUCCUGAAUUAUAGGUGAUGGUUUUCACCAAAAGAUUAUUGCUGUAAUAAGUGUAUUAAAGUCUCUUCAUAUUGAAUUAUUGAGAAUCGAAUUUAUUUUUGAUUAAUGAAUAAAUUUUUUGGUUUUCUCAAAUCUGGUAUCAUUGAAUUUAAGAAAAAUUGUGGCCUUUUUUUUUUUUAAGUCAAAAUUGUUUGGACAUUCUGUGUAAGGGUUUAGGCCGGCAACAGCAACGGCCACCACCGGUUCUAAGGUUUUAGGCAGCAAAGCAACAACCACCACGUCGUAGCAUAUAGAGGACAAGUCUUGGCCACUAUGCCAUGAAAAGUUCUAACUCUCAUAAGUGGAUUGAUGUAAUGAAUGAGGAGAUGAAGUCCAUGAAAAACAAUGAUUUAUGGGAUCUUAUCUCAUUGCCAGAAGGUGCGAAAUCUAUUGGUUACAAAUGGAUACUUAAGACCAAGAGAGAUUGGAAAGGUAAUUAGAGAGGUAUGAGGCGCAUCUUAUCAUGAAGUGCUUUACACAGAAAAAAUGUAUCAACUAUAAAGAGACUUUCUCUUCAUUUUUUUAAAGACUCUUUUAGGAUAAUAAUGGCAUUAGUGGUAAAGGUGCUCAGAAUCCAAUCCAAUCUGCUUAAUCCGUUUGAUUCGUAAAAAUUCAAUCCCUAAAAAUCUGAUCCGUUGAUUGGAUUGGAUUGAAAAUUUGAUAAUCCACAAUCGAUGGAUUGGAUAUGGAUCUACUUCUGUAAAUCAGCAAAAAUCCACGAACUCGCAAAAAAAAUAUUUAUUUAAUUAAAAAAUAAAACUUGUAAAUAUGGAAUUAGUACUUACUAGUAAAUAAAUAAGUUAAAAAUAAAGUUGCAUUAAUACUAUAUUAUAUUUUAUCCAAUAAUAAUAAUAAAUAAAAAUAAUUAAAUAAAUAUAACUUCUUCAAUAGUUAAUUUUCAUGUACUGAUCUAAACGAAUGAGAUUCUUUUUUUCUUUUUGGUGUGUUAUAUUUUGAAACUUUAAAUGUAUUUUCUAUCCUUAUUUAGACAAUUAAUCUAUUUAAAUCUUAUUUAAUUUUAAAUUUGAUCAGUAGUAAAUUAUUUUUAAAUUAAAUUUUUUUAUUUAGUGAGUUUGUGGAUUAGACAUAAUUAAAAAUUUUCAGUCCGCAAACCAAUCGGCAAAAUAGUGGAUUGGAUAUGGAUUGAGUGAAAUCUGCAUCUGAUCCGCAGGCGUACGAAUUGGAUUUGGAUUGAAUUUCACCAAUCUGUGGAUUUGAUGGAUUGAAAUUUAUAAUCCAUAAAAUCAUGGAUCGGAUAUGGAUUGAUGUCUAAUCCGUAAAAUCCGAUCUGCAAACACCCCUAAUUAGUAGCGCAUUUCAAUCCUGAGUUACAUCAGAUGGAUGUGAAGACAUUGUUUCUCAAUGGUGACAUUGAUGAGACAAUCUAUAUAGUGCAGCCAAUAAAUUUUGUGUUAGGAAACCUAAAGAAUAUGGUUUGCAAACUUAAGAAAUCCAUGUACGAACUCAAGCAAGCAUCUCGACAAUGAUAUUUUAAGUUUCAUCAAAUGAUCAUCUCAUUUGCCUUUGAGAUGAAUUUGGUCGAUAAUUGUAUAUAACAUAAGUUCUGUGGGAGCAAGUAUAUUUUUCUAGUUUGUAGAUGACAUUUUGCUUGCUAGCAACGAUAUAGGUUAUUGUGUGACACCAAGAGAUUUCUAGCUAGAAAUUUUUAUAUGAAAGAUCUUAGUGAUGCCUUUUUUGUAUUAGGUAUACAGAUACAUAGGGAGAGUAUUCUUGGAUUAUCACAAAAGAGCUAUAUCGAAAAUGGUUCUCAAACAUAUGGCAUGCAAAAUUACAAACCAAGUGAUACCCCUAUUAGUAAAGGAGACAAGUUUAGUCCUAAUUAGUUCCCUAAGAAUGAUUUUGAAGAAAAGAAAAUGCAGAAAAUCCCUUAUGCAUUUGUAGUAUGAAGUAUGGUGUAUGCUCAAGUUUAUAUGCAACUAGAUAUUACAUACGUUACAUGGAUGUUAGACAGAUAUUUUAAGUAAUCCAGAAGUAGACCAUAGGAAAGCAGUCAAACGGGUCACGCAUUAUCCAUAGAGAAUAAAAGACUACAUGCUCACAUAUCGGAGGUUGAACCAACUUGAGAUCGUCAGGUAUACUGACUCUGAUUUUGCAGGAUGCCAGGAUAGGAUGAAAUCCACUUCGGAAUUGAUAUAUCUGCUAGUUGAGAGUAUUGUCUCCUAGAAGAGUGCAAAACAGUCUCUUAUAGCCUCUUUUACGAUUGCAACAAAGUUCACAGUAUGUUAUGAGGCAUCCGAUCAUGGAAUAUAACUAUAGAAUUUGUCUUGAAGUUGCGUGGAGUAGAUGGUGAUGAUAUAUCACUGAAGUUAUUUUGUGGCAAUAAAUCAGUCGUGCUAUAUUCCAAUAACAACAAGAACUCGACAAAGUAAAAGCAUAUAGACAUCAAGUUUCCAGUUGUUUAUAAAGCACAUUGCCACAAACUCCAUUAUUAAGGACCACUUAGUAAAUGAUUGUCACCCAAAAUGUUUUACGAGCACAUUGCUCAUACAAGUGUUGUGUCAUUAAAGGAAAAUUAAUUUUAGUUAGAGUUUGUGAUUUUGAAUGCUUUUAUGAUAUAGACAUUUUAAAGUUAUUUUAAUUUAUUGAUAUUUCAGGUUAUUUUCUACAAAAAUAAAGUUUUAAAAUAUUCACACCCUGAUUUGAAUAGUUUGAUCUAACAAAAGUUCAAAGUGGACCAGUUAGAAAUAGGCAUGUUAAGAUCACAUUGCAUGAAAUUUUCGUGCUACACAUCCACAUCAUAGUCAAUGUCAUUCAGUUGUAUUGGUAUAAUAACUAUUGAUGGUCGAGUCAUGACAAUUGUAACAAAGGUCGUUUUGAUCCUAUGUUGGUAUGAUUGAUGGACCAAAUUGAUUAUAAAUACAUUUCAGUAAUGACAGUAAAGUUGAGCUUAUACGGUUAUUUUUACAAAACAUAAUUAUAAGGUUACACAUAUAGCCUAAGUGGGAGAUUGCUGGAUCUUCAAUAAUCCAACGUUGUUGGAUCCUUAAUCUAACGUUGGGCUUAUAUUUGAAUAAUUAUAUAUUACAAACUAUCAUAUAAGAUUAAACCCAAUUAAAGUGAUUUAUUAAGGCAUUCAAGAAAAAUAGAAAAAUAUAAAAUCCUAGAAGAAACAAUAAAAAUAGAAAAAUAUGCUAAAAUUGAAAAGUGAUUAGGAAAGAAAUCGAAUUUCUAGUUCGACCAUGGGGUAGAAUGGCGUAGUUCUAGGUUAGAUGCAUCUCAACGCAAGCUUCGAAAUGGUAUAUUAUAAGCCUAAAAUAGACACCUGUAGCCCAAAUUAUAGCUUCCGAAAGGUUUCCUGCUUCUGAUAUGUUGAGUGUUAGAAAAUGCAUAUUUAUAAAGGAGAAGACCGUCAUUUUACAUUUCAAGUCUUACUAACAACCUUUACUUUUAUGUAUUUAACCUUCUUGUGAUUUAAUUACAUGUGUUUUAUUUUAAUUAAGUAUUUUAUGUAUUUUAGGGGCAUUAUAGUCAUUUCACAAUAAAGGAGAGAUCAGACGGCAAAACGGAUAUCACUUUUGAACUCAGGACGGUCGAAAACCUUAAGAGGAGCAUAAAAGGAAAAAUGGCAGCAUAUCAGUGGACGAAAAAUCUCGUGUACGGUACAUGCAUCACACAGGAUUAUUUUCAACCAAACCGCGUUACUGUUCAUCCGAGUCAAACCGUGUUACUGUUCAUCCGCGUGGUCAAACCGCGUACUGUUGACUGAUGACGUGGCACAAUCCUGAGCGUCCAAACUUUUUUUAAUCCGAUGGCCAUGAUUUACUUCAUGUAUCUAUAAAAAGGGGGCCUUCCCCCCUAAUUUGAUAUCUCUGAAUCCAUUUUUGGGAUCCAUUUUCUAUAAUUCCUUCUCCAUCUUGUAUUUUCUUCAUAUUUUAAUAAAUUCCCAUUUUGCCCCUAGUUCAAUUAUGAGUGGCUAAUUUUCUUUCAAGCUUGGGUUGAAGGUGAAGUCUCAACAUCUGUCAUGGGCUUAAUUUGGUAAAUUUAUUUUCUCUUCCCCUCUAGUUUUUGUGGAUGUUUUGACUUCUCGUCGACAAAUAAUAAUAUUCUUGUCUAGUACCGCCUUGGUUUCACCGGCCCUCUAGUACAAGGUUAUUAUUAUUUGGCACGAUAAGCCCUUAGCACCAUAUUGAUUAGAGCGUGGUUCAUGAGGUGUGGAUUCCCCCCUCAGGAUUUAAUUGGCAUUAAUACAGAUUAUUUAGCCCAUGAUGCAUGUUGAUACGGAUCCAGAUACCCAAGUACGCCAUCUCAAUAGAAUUCUCUUCAAUUUAUUCUUGUCAUUUCAAUUCCAAUUUUAGAAUUUAUUCUCGCCAUUUUAAUUUAAGUUUUAGCAUAUUCCAAAUCAUUUCCACCACAAAUCCAACCACCCAUUUACAAAACUAAUUCUACACGUAAUUAAAAUCCACCUCCUCGUGGGAUCGACACUCGUCACCAUUAGUCUAUACUACAAUAGAUUCGUGCGCUUGCGAGUACAUUAAAAUUUGCACAACAUGAUACACAACUAUCCUACAUCAUAUUCUAAAGGUAAGGAGCUAGGUAGAUGAUCUCAUUGCAUGUCUCUUUUUUCAUAAGGGCUUUGGGAAUGAUUUUGUGAAUAUAAAUAAAUAGAACGAAAACAAAAAAGAAAACAAAUUUGUUAUCAAAUGAUAAAACCAAGCAGGUUGAUUAAUUUGUCAAGACUAUAAUUAGCUAGGUACCCAAAAACAUGUCUGCCACCAUAAUGAACCUCUUCGAAAAUCAAACCCAUCAAGCCAACACUUUUUCUUCAAUAAACAAGAUCCAAUCCCUUGGAAACCUUUGUAAAAGAAUUUGACGUUUAGAUGAGGGAAAACUUAAAACUUGAAAAAUAAGUUCAUUCAAGCUAUAAAGAACUUCUUGAAAAAUAAAACAAUGGUUAAGAGAAGACGAAAAACUUUAAAGGGGCACCAAUUCAUUGCCGAGAUCAACGACAAUCUUGCUCAACCUAAUUCCAAGCGUUGUCGCACUCUUCCACCCUACCUUUAUCCUGGUUGUGGACAACCUCAUAAGAUUCAUAUUCUUAAUGAUGAUGAUGAUUCUAUUCCCAAAUUUGGACAAGUACCUCCGGAGGAAUCCAUGCAUUCAAGUGACAAUGACUCCAUCGAAAGUGAUCCCAGUGAAGAUAGUCUUAACUUUGGACCUUCCACUUUUGACCCUAGGAUCACCACCACUACUGCCACUGUUCCUUCUACCAUCGCCGAUCACCAACCGCCACCAAACGAUCCCUCACGCACAGUCAACAAUAGUGCAUGUCUAAGCGCUAUUCAUGAUCUUCCUACCUUUGUUGCAACUCAUGUUCACUCUUCUCCUCCUUCUGAUCAUAUUCCUUAUCCUGAUCUCGUUGAAUAUGCUUUUUCAUCAUUUUGAUCCCAAUCUUGUUCGUCUUGAGGCCGAAAUUUUGAAAUAAGGUCGUGAUAUUGCCACCCUCACUACUUGUAUCAGUGAAUUGCAAGCCAAACUUCUUCCCUUUUGCAAUCUUUUGGCAAAAGAAAUGGAGUAAUUUGUUUUCAAAUCUUCAAUUGCAUGAUGCAAUAAGUUUGGGGGAGUAGUAUUUUCAUUCUAGGAGGCGAUUUUAUUUUUGUUCAAGAAUUUGUAGAUAUUUGGUUUUCUAGUUUUUAAGGGGAGUUUAUCUUUUCAUUGAUUUUUUUUAUGUUGCCUUACAAUUUAUUGAUCAAUAAAAUCAAUAUUUUUUUUUAAAUUCUUGCCUUGAUUUAUCUAAUGAACUAAUAUGCUAAUCACUGAUUAUUUUGGUUAGUUCUUUGUUGUUGUUUGUGCUUGUUUUAGAUUUAUAUUUUAGCGCCAAAAUUCAUUGAAGACUUGUAUAAAAUUGCUUUUACGACAAGGAUGCCAAAGAGGGAGAUUGUUAAGUCCAUUAUUUAUAGAGUUGAUAUCUUAUGACAAGUCUAGUUAAAUUGAAAUUUUAUUUAUUGCAUAUCUUGUAAUAGGGAUUAAUUUAUUAGUUCCCUAGUUUACUGAGAUUCUAAUUUAUUAGGAAUAUUCGUUUCCUAAUUUAAUUAGAUGUCUAUUUUAACAAGUAAAUUAAUGAUGAGAUUCUAUAAUUGGCACAUAAGAUCUAUUUAGAGCAAGAAGUUGGUUCAAAUAUGAAGUUUAUUAAAUGCUCUAGAUAUGUCUUGGGAGACAAAUAAGGCAAGAAGAUAAGAUUUAUUCCUAUUCAGAUUCAUAGGAAUUAUAAGAGGAAAAAAACUCUUAUUUAGAAAGAAUCUAAGUCUUUUAAGACUUGUAAUUUUUGUGAAACUCUAGUGCCAAUAUAAAGAGAGGUAUUUCACAAUUGAAAUAGCACAACACAAAGCAUAAAACAGAGAAGCAAAAUUUAGCCUCCUCGCUAGAGAAUAUGAAUUUGGCACAUAAUAUUUUGUUGAUUUAUUUUCUUAUAUUCUUUAUUCAAAGUCUUAUAACAAUACUAUUUCUUUUCAUCUAUGUGGAGAGUUUAUCUGGAUCUUGGAUCACUAGACAUUGAAGAAUUGUUAUUGAUCACUUUGCGAAGUGCCUUGAGGACCGUGGAUCAAAAGGGGUAGCAAUUAUUCAAGAGAAGUAUAUUUAAUUUAAGGUUGAGUAAGGUAUAUGAUGAUAAACUGUAAGUGAUAGUAUUAAAUUUAUUAAAUCCAUAGGUUGUAACAUUUCAACUUAGUGAAUUACUUUUCAUUUGGGUGGGGUCUCAUAAAUGUAUGAUUGAUUAAUCCAAGCCACGUAAAAAAUCUCUGCGUCAUUUAAUUUCUGUAAUUUUAUUGUGUUUUAAAAAAUUAAUAUUUUUAUGCAGAUGAACAGUAACCAUGAACAAUAUUGUAAAUAGUACCAUAAACAGUGACUGUUUGGUACUGUUAAUAGUAUUUUCAAAAAAUUAAUUUCGUUUAUUAAUUUUGUGCUUAAUUUAAUUAAUUAAGCUUAUUAAUUAAUUAGUUUUAGGGUUCUAAAAUUGCCUACAUCUGUUUGUAAUAUAUCUAAAUUCCUUUUAGUGAUGUUGCUGAGAAACAAGCGAUAAAUGAUUUAUGAAUUUUUAGUUCUUAAUCCUUUUUUUUUACCAUUAACAAUCAAACAACUCCAUGGAUUCAAAAAAAAAUUAAUGAAUAUCGAAUGCACGAGUGACGUUACCUCAACAAUUCACAAUAAUGCUUUAACUUAUGUGCCAGAAAAAGAACAUGAUGGACAUGUAAAAGGAGUUGGGUCUGGAAUCACACCAACAUUGAUGAAUCUAGAAGCAUUUAACAAGUCUCAUCCUGCACAAAUGAAAAUGAAAAUGAAAGAUCUCAAAAAAUUGUUUGAGGAAUUCAAGGCGGUAUUCAUUGAGAACAUUAGUAUACAAAAGGUAAUAAAUAUGGUUAAGAAACCUUAUGUUUGAUAUAGUUAGAAGCUGCAAUGCUUAUUGUAUACUAUUUUUUUAAUAUAUUUUCAAGAUCAAAAUGAUAAAGUGUCGGUUAGCUUUGAAUCAUAUAAUAUGUAAACCAAAUAUUUUAAAUAUGUGAAUUGUUCUUGCUUUCUAACAUUUUCGAGAUCAAAAUGAGACAAGCAACUAGAACAAAUUUCUAAAGACACUUCGCAUGGGAAAGUAAGUUUUGAUUUUUAUGAAUUUAUCAAUGCUAUCCAUCAUUUCAUGUUGAGUCUCAAAACUCUGUUUCACACUAAAAUCAAUAGACUUUUGAGUGUUUUCUGAUAAAGAAUCAUUUCUUAGAUCAAAGUGUUAGAUUAGUUCAUAAUCGAAAUAUCAAUAGAAUGUUGAGCUUGGGAAAAAUUGUUUGAAUUUCUUCAUAUAAUUUGUUUCCCUCUGAUAAUAUUUUUGUUCGUUAUUAUAGAAUUAGGCUAAAGCAUGUGGAAGCACUUUCACAAGUGUUAACAAUGCUCUUUGGGAAUAGGAAAAGUUGUAGGAGAAGGAACAAUUGCAUCCAGAGAUCUACUUACAAAAGUCCAUCGUAUAUGUCAUGGACUAGAUUGUUGGAAAGUUUAGGUGACAGUUGCACUUAUAGAAGAUAUUCCCUUAACUGUUCUACAUUCGAGCUUCAUGUUCUUAGUGAUGCAAUUGGAAGCACAGUUACUUGGUAAAACAAAAACAAAAAUACAUCUUGUUGGAGUAGGCUUAUAAUUUGAUGCUAUGCUUUCUUCAUACUUGAAUCUUAUAGAUUAAGGAAAAAAAAUUAACUUGAGCUUUAAUUUGCACUUAUAGAUUAAGGAAAAAAACUUAACUUGAGCUUUAAUUUGCACUUGAAUAUUAUAUUCUGUGUAAAAAUUUAACAAUCUUCAACUAAAUUUUUUUAUUGUAUGGAUGCCAAGUUCAACUAAUUUUAUGAAGAUUUAAGUUUCAAAUUUUUACUUGAUUGAAUUGUUAUUAAUUUUACAAAAAUUGAAUGGUAGCGGAUUUCCAAAUUUAUUUACUAUCUUUUGCAGCAUUUUACUCAUAUAAUAAGUGGCCUAGCAAACAAUAUUUUGAUAAUGCUGUUAUUAUUAUUUUAUGCAACAUUUCUUACUAGAGUUGAAAAAGCUAUAAUAUUCAAUAGUAUUUAUUGCAUCCUUUAUUAGGACAUUUUAAUAACUUUUGUAAUUGUGUUUUCGCAGCAUUUUUGAAUGGUUAUAUAUAAAAGAUAAUAUUUCUUUUAGUGAAUGAAGAUGAGAUCAAUGAAAUUCACUUUGAGUGGAUCACUUAUGUUGGUGACUUGAUUUGAAAGAAAAUGUGCAAAAGAUGAAAGUAAUAUAGGUAAAUAGCAGAUGAUUCAAUUGAAGUACAUUAGUUUAUUGUGACUUUAACUAUGACUUUUUAAGAAUGAUUUUGUUUAGUCAUUGUCCUAGCAUGCUAGUAAAAUAAUAUUUAAUUUGAUUAUCAUUGUUGUAUAGAAAGCAAAAGUGAAGCAAAUUCAUGGUCUCGUCAAUUUGUUGUGGUUGAUUUGAUAUAAUGUAAAAUCGGGGUCAAUUUGCAUGGCAUAUGAUUAAGGCAAGAUUUUGGCCCUUAUUUCUUUCUCCAUCUCUAUUUCUCUAUUUAGAUGCUUUGUACUCUUAUUUACUGUUUCUAAUUUUGCUGUCCCUCAUGUUUUAUUUUAUAUAUAGAUAUAUAGAGUUUCCUUGGCACGAAAACUUUUGGGAUCAGUGGUGGAAGGCUUGCUAAGGAUUGAAUGGUAUAGAUUGUUCCUGUUGAUUGGGGUAUUGGCUUUGUUAUUGAAAAUGAUAAAAUUGGUACUAAUUUUGAACUCAAAGAAUAGUGAAUUUAGACAAAUAUAUAUUUUUUAAAACCUAGAUCUUAUUUUAUAUAUAUAUAUAUAUAUUUUUUAAAAUUUUAAAGAUUGUCCUUGUACAAAUUAGAGAAAUAUAUAUAAUUUAAAACUAUAUUUUACUUUUAAUAAAUAUAGUUCAUGUUGAUAUGAUUUUGAGUUUGUUAUUUUAUUGUUUAGUUUAGAGUUUUAUCAUAUUUUCAAUGUAUAAUUUAUAUCAUGUGAAGCCUACAAAAGAGAUUCCAUUAUUAUAAUUUUCUCUUAAAAAAAGAUGUAAAUUUUGAUUAUUUUAACUAGUCAUAUGUAAUUGACAUUUUCUUGAAAGUUACAAAUAUAUGACUAUUAUAAGCUAUCAUACUCAUAUAAUAUGUGCAUGUUGUCACUAUAUUUGACGGUCAAAAGAUGUAAAAAGAUUUGAUAGUUUUUAAAUGACUAAUGUAAUUGAUUGUUUUGAUAAAUGUCAAAUAAGGAUAUUUGACACAUGCAUACUUGACAUUUUUUAACUGUCAAAUAUACUUAUCCUUAUUUGAUGUUUUUAACUAUUAGUUAUUCUCACUACUAGAAAAAUGGGCUUUACUGAUACUAAUUUAGUGUCAGUAAUUACUUUUCUUGACACUUAUUAAUUGUGUCAAUGAUGCUCAAGCCAGAACACACUGACACUAAUUUUUAGUGUCAGUGAUUAUUGUGUCAGUAAUUAGUGUCGUUAUAGUAUCACCUAAAUAAUGACACGAUGAUGUUAGUAUUUGAUGAUAUUAUUUAUACUUCAGUGAUUUAUGUGACUAUAGUAUCAAGAGCACACUGAUUCAAUAACAUCAAAAGUUAUUAUUGUCAUUUUAAAUAUUUAGUGUUAAUAUUUAAUGAUAUUAUGCUACUUUUGGUUAAUAGUAUAUUUUUAUUUUUAUUUUUAUUUUCCUGCUUGUUUUACAAUCAAAAUAAAACUCAAAAUAUAUUAAAUAUACCAAAUCUCACAACACAAUUCAUAUAAUAAACAUCCCAAUACAUCACUUACAUUAAUAUAAUUUAACUACAUCAUUGUUUGGAAAAGAAAAAUAUAAGUACCAAAUUGAGUUUCGACCAGUUCUAAACAACAGAAUACAAAAUUAAGUUUCAUCAAACAUUAACCUACAAAAUUAAGCAUAAGAAUGUCACUGAAUAUCCACACAUGGCUUCAUUUUUUUCCCACCUACAAGUACAUAAAAUCAAUUAGUACACCUUAAAAAAUAAGUCUUGGAAUUUGGAAACAAUAUAUAAAGUGCAAUAAUUUUUCCAGUGCACUAAUAUUAAUUUGAAAGAAUUUUUGUUUUCAAAAAUUACAUGGCAUGCUUAUCUAAUGAAAACUUUAUAAAUUAACAAUGAACAUAUGUAUUAAUUUGAAAGCAUUCAACUUACAAGUAAUCCUUAUCAAUCUUAAAUUGUUGGAAUGUCCUCUAGUUGACCAGCAACUGAUGCUCCACCUAUAAAUUAGAGAGACAUUUAUAAGAAACUGUGGCAAUCUUAAACAAAGAAAUGUAAAUUUCAAAACUGUGUAUAAAGAAAAUCACAUAAAUCUAGUAGUGCAUUCCGCAUAUUACAUGAUCAUCCGGAAGCUGGUUCUGCCCAAUCAAAUGUUCAUCACUUAAUUAAUCUAGAGAAACCAAAAUAAAAAUCUAGCUACCACUUAAUUAAAAAAUGUUCAUCACUUAAUUAAUAAGUUGUAGUUGGCAAAACAAAAUAUAACAUUUAAUCAUUAAAUAUUAUCCAAGUCCAACCCAACAAAAUAAAAUCAAGGAGCAUUAACAGAGGUCAACUAGCUCCCACCGCCCUGGGCUUAUUUUUUACAGUUUCUUGUGAUUAUACUUGUUACAACUACCAUCUCAUAGUUAUUGAAGAGGUCACUUUAGAUUCGGAAGGAGAGAGGAAAAAGUCAAAAUUAGACCAUAGUGAUGGGACUGGGAAUUAAGAUCAAGUAAAGAAAAUUAGGCAUAAUUAUUGUAAACAAAUAAAAGACCAUCAAAACAUAGCAGACAUACAGAGAUCACCAACAGCAAGCAUGGAUAUGAAAUUAAAACAACUAAACAAAAAGUUAAUUAUUUUAGUAAGUAGACUGAACUAACCAUAUGCUUCUUGCCACUAUAAUAACCAUAAGAACCUGACAGUCAUAAACACCAAAGCUUGUGAUUUUCUCUAGCCAGGAGCCCACCUGCACUGAAGUCCAUGGGUACAACAGUAUCCAAAAUAAUAAUAAAAGCCAUGAUGGGGUUUUAAAAAGUUCAUAAUUCGGUAUUAGAACAAUUGAUGGAUAAACUUAAAAAUUUGAAGUACACCAGUCAGUUUGAAGUACUUCAUACAACUUUCAUAUAUAAAAUAUAAAUGUGAAAUAACAAAUCAGCUGCUGGAGAAACUAUUGCCUUGCUUUACAUAUACAGAGCAUCCCAUGCUCAUUAUCAUGGAAUGUCCCAAUUCCCCAUUCUUUUAUUCCAAAACAAACCAACAAUGCAAGACAUACAAAUUGAGACGUGAAAUGAAAAAUACAUCAAACUAAUAAGCUUCAGAAGUUUACCCAAAUCAAUUAGCAAAUGGCACAAAACACAACAUUAGCAGGUAGCCUGCUAGACAUGCAUGCUAUUCUACUACACUAAAACAUUAACAUUAAAAGUCACAACCAGUUUAAAAAGAACUACGAGCACACAACUGUAGAAGUUCUCCAGCAGCAAAAGAUCAGGGAAUGCUUACAAUGAAACUGGCCCCCAGUUAUAUACAUCCAUCCAUCUGGAGGUGGAACCCACAACCUCAACCAUCAAAUGGUCCAGGUGGCAAGAUCCACCCUCAGUCCCCCACCCCUUCUUCAAAGCUGAUCACGCAGAAAAUCCACAACGCUAACUAAACUUUUAAAACAAAUAAAAAGAGGUUUCAUCAAACACUAACCCACCACCACAAGCCAUGAAAGUGACAGCAACAAGCAAGCCAUUAAACCAAAGCAUGUACCACCAUCCUCAUCAUCACGUGUCAUGUCAAAGCCACAAAAAUUUAACACUGAGUUACGGUUUGAUUUGAUGACGCAUGUUCUUGGAAGCCUCCCAAACACUAGCUAGUGCCUCUACAUUUGCCAACAGUGCUUUGUUUCACAUUCUUUCUUGUGCCAUCGCGGGCUGGACUGAAGCAAACAGGAAGGUAUUCAUCACAUGGAAAGUCAAAACUCCGAAAGUGCUUCACCAGCUCCUCCUUUCCCUAUAUAAUAAUAAAAAAGCACUUUUUAUUAUUUCCCGAUAAGACUUUACACAAGUAACGAUCAAAGCUUUUGUUCUCAAUCUUAAAACAGAUCACAAAAAGUUCAAACAAAAAAAAGGGCCAACUCCUAACACAAUCCACCAAUAAACUCCCCAUUAAACUUCGAUCGUACUAUGGAAUAACAAAUUACUGCAAACUCCAAAAUAAAAAGGCUCAACAGAGAACAAAAACAAGAACUUAUUAAUCAGGCAGCUAAUCUAAAACACAUCCAAUUUCUAUAAGCCCGCAUAGGAUCCUCAUUUAUAAAAUAAACCCCAUUUCGCUUAAACCCUCAAAGCCACAAGACUUAAACAAGAAUUUAAAUCAAUACAUAAAGAAAAGUGCGACCUUCCAAAUAAACAUGAAUUUCUCAACAUCGGCAACAACCCAGAAAAUUAAAAUUACAAAAAAUAAUCAUAAGCUAAAAUAAAACAAACCCAGUAAUUAAAUUGACAAAAAAAUAUUAAGCCAUUACCAAUUGUUAAAAUAAACCUCUCUGCCUUUAAAGUCCUUGAAAUCCUCCUUUACAAUUCUAGGCAUAGGCGAACCUUCUAUAGCAAACAAAUUAACUAACUUCUCAACAAUUAUCUCAAAUUCAAGCAAAUGGGUUUCGAGUAGCGAACAAAAAAAAGUGAAAUUUGAGCAGGAAAAUAAAAAAACUCCGAUGAAAGAAGCCUCAAUUAGGGUUUGCUUUGUUUUUCGAUUUGGGGAAAAAAAGAAAAAGGAAAGAGAAGCCUCAAUUAGGGUUUCGCUUUGUUCUUCGAUUUGGGGAAAAAAAGGUUUCGCUUUGUUUUCGAUUUGGGGAAAAAAGGAAAAAGGAAAGAGAAGCCUCAAUUAGGGUUUAGUUUUUCAUUAUUUGUCUGAAUUAAUUGAAUUGAGCUUGCAAAUGGACAACUGGAAACAAAAGAGAUCGAGAAGAGAAAAAGGAAAAAGAGAAGGAGAAAGCAAGAUAAUGAUAGGGUUUGGUUCAAAUAUUUGCGUCCAUAAACGAAAUAAAGUUUCCAAGUCUGGGUUAAGUUUUGUUUUUUAAUUUAUUACUGCUAUUAUAUCUUAAUUCUACAAGGUCCAAUGGUGUAUUGUCCAUAUUUUAAAGCUUUGAAUUUUAAAAGUCCUGGGUUAAUAUAUAUUUGUUAAAAGCGGAAAAUGGUGCAUAUGUACAAAAUUACUGACACUUUUCACAAAGUGUCAGUAGCUAAGUGUCAGUAAAAGUCAUUUUUGUAGUAGUGUCUAUUUUUUCUUGUAGUGGUUCAUCCCUUAAUUUAAUUCAAGAUUGAUAAUUAUAUUAAUAUAGGAGCACCAAUAAAUCGUUAAUAAAAAUUUUAUAUAAGUAAAAUAAUUAUCGAAGUUUAAAUAAUUUUGUGGCUAUUUUGGUAUUUGUACUAUAUAAUGGUAUAAUAGUCAAACUAAACUUAUGUAAAAGCAUAUGGUUAUUAUCCUUUCACUACUCGAACUAUGGUGUAAUAAUAAAUGACUACAAGAAUUAUUGAAGCAUAAUAUUUUACUAUAUUAAAUACGAAAAAUUAACCGUUUACUACUUUUCCGGUAAUUUUGCUAAUCGGGCUUUUGGUUGACUAGUAAACUACCAAUAUUGCCCUUAAUUAAUAGAUUUAAAAAUAGAAAGAAAGAGUAGAGAUUUUUAAAAAAUUAUAAAAAGCCUCAAAAGUAUAAAAAUGUGACAAAAUAACCCUUAGCAUAAUUAUAUAUCAAUCCAAAGUUUUUGGGUCGUCCAAACAUUCAAACAUUGCCAUCACCUUUAAUACUUGACUAAGGGUAUAAAUCUAAAAUGGUUUCAAACGUUUGUGCUGAUUUAUAAAAGUAUUUCUACUAUUAUGGGGUAUUAUUUGUCAUACUCUCAAAUUUUGGGGCUAAUUACAAUAUGGGGUUAAAUUUCCUACAAAUGCGCCCCUACGAAUGCACUAUGACAUCCAUAUUUGACAAACAAAACUAACGAAAAAGUAGUAAGCAUUAAUUUUUCAUAUUUAUGUAGCAAAAUAUUGCACUUUAAGAAUUCUUGCACUUGUUCGUUACUUCAACAUUAUUGAAAUGGUAAAGUAUUUUUUUUUUUAACCUAGAGAGAUGUUGGAUUAUUGGUGGUUAAAGAUGGUUAAAAGAUUUAAGGGCAAAAAAAAAAAAUUAAUAAUGAUUUACUUCGUUAAUUGUCGAAAUUUCUUCUUUAUUUGAAAUUAUUAAAAAUAAUAUGAAUUUUCUGUAAUUAAUUUUUUGAAGUGGGGUGGGUUUACAAUUAAAGUAGGGGAUAGUUGAAUAUUAUGAAAUUUUUGACAUUAUUUUUUGGUCAUAUAUUAAUAUGGCUGGUAAAUUAAUUUUUAUAUCACAUAUUUAAAUAAUUUAUUAUGUAUUAAAUAGAUUAAUAUUAUUGGUGAAUUAAUAUUUGUUUAUUACAUAUCUGAAUUAUUUAUUAUAUAGAUCAGGAGUGGGCAAAUUCAGGCUUGGAUCGAGUUCAAAUCAACAUAAUCGGGUUUCAAAUUGAUUAGACUGGAAAACAAAGGUAGUUUGAACUCAAUCCAAACUUAUAAUCUAAUCCGAAUGUAAUUUGUUUUUUCUUUUGAUUGUGUGUAAUCGAUUAGAUUUUCAAAUCCAAUACAAUCGAAUUAGACUGAUUCCCACCCGAUCGGGUAUAGAGGGGUUCAUCUGCAUCCUAUUCGAAUCUAAAUUUUUUUUAGAUUGGUCUAGUUAGAUCAGGUUAUUUUUCCAUCCCUACAUUAAAUAGGUAUUAUGUUGUUUCCAAAAAAUUAGAUUUUAUAUGUUAAAUUUCUUUAUUUUACAAAUUAUUGUCCUUACAGUAUAACUUAUCAGUGGUCAAAUAGUGGUCAAAUUAUGUCAACCGAUCAAGAUAUAAAAAUUUCAAACAAUUAAAAAUUAUGUAUCAAAUUUUAAAACUUUUAUUUUUUUUUUCAAAAAAACAACGGACAUUAAUGUUAAAAGCCAAACAAAAUGCAUCCAUGCAGUUCGAAUAACUCCCUUGCCCGGAAAAUGAAUUAUACAAGGAUAGGAAAACAAAGAGAUGAUCCAUAUUCGUUCCUUAAUAGACUUGGAUUUGGAAUUUACAACUUGCACAUGUAGCAAAAGGUAAUAUUGUCAUCUAAUUUAUGGUGCUUUUAUUUUUAGAGAAAAUGUACUCGUGUGGAGAUUGGAAAGUGAGCGAACGCUUGCAUCAUACAUGACUACAUGCUGCUCUAAGCAGCCACCCAUAUAAAAUUAAGAAAAUAUUGUUCCUUAGCUAUGUGACACAAGACAACCACCAAAUACCAACAAAGUAGAAAAAGCUAAACGGCAGUGAAUGCUCAAAUUCUUACAGUGCUUUUUGGGCUCCACCUCAUCUCACAUUUAGCCUUCCCUCUCAAUAAUCUAUAUAUGUGAGAAUGUCAGAAAAACCAUAAAAGAAAAUAAAAUAAAAAAUAAUUAUAGGCAAGAAAAUGAAACGCAGACCUAGUGCAUUCAAUUUCUAUGCAACUAAAGUCGGUUAGUUGACACGUGUAAUUUGAUGGCAUCAUAAAUCAUAAUAUGCUUGAUAUGGAUUCAUGUAAUAUCAUACAAACUUGUGGUCUCUAGCUCCCUGUUUAUUUGGUUCACUUCCUACACAUGUAACAACUUGGUAUAUCAGGCUAGGAAAUUCCCUGUUUCUAAUGGUAAUAGAAACAAAAUUUCACAUCAAAAGCAUGCCAUUGGAAAUUGGAAGUGGUGAUGAACUUGGUACGAUAAUUUUUUUUUUUUUUUUUUAUUGGAACUUACAGCGGAUAUUACUAAUACAACCGAUAUGCGAUAGCGAUUUUACAUUUGGAUAAACCCUUUCAUGGACCAAUAAGAUCUUAAAUUCUUGGGAUCUAUCUAAUUUGGCAAACUAAUUUCAUCAAGAUCAUCCAAAGAUAAAAAUACUUCAUCCAUGCAAGAGAGUUCUGCCCCAUCAUCGUCGUCAUCACAAUUUCUUUCGAAAACUCUACAGAUGACCCAUUUACUGUAAUCCUGAAUACAAUACGAGCAUACAACAAAUCAAAAAAUAAUCUUUAAUUUUUUAAUAAUACUAGAGAUUUCAGUAUUUUAAUUUUAACUUCAAUCUCAACUGAUGUGGCGGGUUAUUUCUAACUGUUAUUUGAAAUUUAUUAUUAAUGUUUAUAUAAUGUAAUAUCUACAGGUAAAGCUAACCUGCCACAUCAAUGAGAUUUAAGUUGGAACUGAGAAUCUUUGCAUUCCUGUUAAUUUUCAUAAAGAAUAAAAAAACAUAAAAAGAUAUAUACACUUACAGUUUUUGAAUUCACUCUUCUUUUAGAAGACCUACUACUACUAGUAUUACUGCUGGAAGCAGCUGCAGAAUCGGAGAGACGAUAUUCUUGCAUUAUCCAAUUAGUUUUAACUCCAGCAGAGGCUUCACCGAGGUGAAAAAUGUAAUAUUUCUUCAACCCAACUUUCUUAUCAGCCCUUGUAAGAACCGAUUCUUCUAUUCCCAUUGGCUUCCAAUACCCAUUACCCGUCAUCCUAUUUUGUGUCUUUCGACUAUAGAAGUACCACUGGUUACCUUCAGCAAGAGCUUUACCUACAUAUGUAUAUUGACACACAGAAUCAUGUUUUAUAAACGAGUAAUAAUAUUCGGACAGAAAAAUUUGAUUGACUGCUCAUAGAAACAAGUUAGCGUUCUGAUAGCACUUCGUCUAUUUGGUAUUUUUCUUAAUAAAUGUAUACAUAUGGAUGCAUGCAUAGAAGAUACCAAAAAUAUAAUAAUAAUAAUUAACGAAUUUAAUUAAGUAAGAUACUUGAUCAAAUAUAUACGUACCAUUGAGUUGCCAUGGAUCAUAUGGAUAAAGAUCAAGAUCAGGGAUCACAUCAGGGUGGCAAGGCAGGAGAGCGACCUUACGUUGAAGAAAAUGAACAAGAAGCUCUUCAUCAGUAGGACAAAAUCUGAAACCAGGGGGUAGAUUGACAUUAGCAUUAGCAUUAAUGUUAUCUCCCAUACUUACGUAUGGUAAUGAAGAAGAAAUUAAGAAAAGGAAAGAAUAGUGAUAAGGAAGUGAUUGGAUGCGGCUGAUAUUUAUAACCUAACAGAAGGGAGAAGAGAGAGAGUGUAUGACGUGAAAAAGAAGGUGGUAUUGAUCUUGAUGAUCACAAAUCACAAAUCACAAAAUGGAAAGGAGUCAGUUGGAGAAUUGGAUUUGAGUUUUGAUAUAUAGUUAGUGUUCACAAAUCACAAUUCGGCUCAUGCUCCAAAGGCGGCGGGUAACGGAACGUAUUUUUGGAUACUUUACAAGUAACGGUAUCUGUUACUGUUGGAGGGAACUGGAGAAGGUGUUUCAGAUUUCAGCUAUUUUAUUUUCGAAGAAAACGUUUUGAUAGUAUAGUACAUAUUAAAAAGUCGAUCCUCAUCACACUUCAUGCUUAGAUCAUACAGCUGCUGUCAUCCACGUGGCAUGCAGAAUAUGCGUUUGGUCGUGGACCAUAAAAGAAAUAGGUGGCCCACAUCUUGGAGUGCUGUGUGAGCCUGAUGCUAUGCACCACUAAUAAUAAUAAUUAUCGUAAUUAUAUAAUUUUAUAUAAAUAUAUUUAUGCGUAUGCAUCUCCCCAGCAAAAGUGCAAUGAGUACUGGUUCCUGGUUAGGACAAAUAAAUAGACUUUUUUUAUAUGAAUAAUAAAAGGAGUUCAACUGAUUAUCUUGGGUCAGCAGUCACUGGAACUGAACAAAUAAUAGCCCCACAUUUUAAAAAUAUAAUUAACCAAUUAUGGUUAAUUCUUAGAAAAGAAAACAUAUACAGGGGGAAAAAAUAAAUAAAUAAAAGAAGAAGCAACAAAGCUAACGGGUACUUUACUUACGAAUUUUCCAAGUAAAUGAUGAUUUUAUUGCUUAUCUAUUGGUUUUCAUCUUCUAUUGUAUUUUACUUCUCCACUUGCACGUGAAACACUCAUUUGAGACAGUGACUCAAAUGAGUUGACCCCAUUGAGCCAAUCCAACUAUCCAAGUCACCCAAAGUGAAUGUCAUUACACAUGCCUUUCAAGUUUCCAAACUAGUAUUAAUUAAUUCGGACAAGUAGCCCGUCCAAGAAAACAAAGAAAAAAGGCCAAACAAAAUCAAAUUGUUGUAAUAUUGAUAAUAGAGGAAGUAUUAAAGAAAGAAUGAUUAAAUAAAAUAGAAAGGAGCCUAGCAAAAUAUUGCAAAGGAGGAUAGCAUUUCUCACGUCAUUUUUUUUUCUCAAUUUUGAAGUAAAUAGAAAUAGCAUACAAGUGCUCUAUUUAUAAUAAUUGCGAUCGUGCUUUGCAAGUUCAAGAAGGCAAGCGGUGUGCAUAGCUAAAAGCACAUACAUAAUUUCACUUGUAACACAUGUGGUAAGGUGUGUGUGUGAUCGGCGUGCACAUUAUAUCAAGCAGUCUUCAUGCUUCUCAAUAUAUCAAAUAUGAUUUUCCUUAUUUCUCUCAUAAGUCUAUAGUAAGCCAAUCUUUAAAAGUGAUUUGACUGAUUUGAUUGGUUUUGGUCCAUAGCCACACUUCAACAUUGAUUUUCUUAAUCAGUGAUAUCACAAAACUCCUCUUGGAUAUCUACCACUUCAUCAUAGUUAUCCUUGAACUUUGUUAGGGAACAAUCCAAUGAAUAAAAAAGAAAUACAAUUUGAUGAAACAUAAAGUAGAGUUGACGUACUUCAAGACUGCCUCCUUAGAAAUCUUUACCAGUAAAACCCAAUGAGAAAACCUGGUUAAAGGAAAAAAUAGUACACAUAAUGUCCAGUUUAGCUUUAAAAGUUUUUCUCUAAUCUAAUGAGCACUCCUCUUCAUGAAUUUAAAAGUUUUUCUCUAAUCUAAUGAGCACUCCUGUUCAUGAAUACUCCCUUUGGUAAUAUGUAUCAACUCAAUAAUUUAUUGAAAUGUCACAUGUCAAUACUUUAUAUUCAAUUGUUGAUGUAGGGAACCUCUCAUAAAUUAUCCUACAAAAGCCAAUGACAAAAUGUUUCUUGUCUAUGGGUGGGUCUCAUGGGAUUAGCUAUAUCCCUGCAUUUACAAAAUCAACAAGAUCCAAAGUUUUCGUUAAUUCAUAAAUGAAAUAAUCUCAAUAAUGGAAUAUACGAAGCCAGUCUCUUCAAAUUAGCAAACAGCUUAAUCCUAUAAAAUAGAUUUAUAUAAUGUAUAUAUAAACAUGGGAAAUUAUCAGCCAUAUACCCUUAAAUGACACCCGUAUCAAACGUGUGUGAACAUUUUUCAAGUAUAUCACUCAUAUACCCUAAGUCGAAAAAACAUUUCUACCGUCCACCAAUCCGUUAACUUCCGUUUGCAAGCGCUGACAUCAUAAGGGUAGUUUAGUCUUUUAAAAUUGAGGAAACUUUGAUUUAAAAAACGACAUGUCAUCCCAUUUAUCUAGUAAAAAAUGAUAUGUCAUAUGAUAUAUAUUGAUAAAAAUGACAUGCCAUCCCAUUUAUUGGAUAAUUGUUAAUAAUUGCUAAAAAAAAACUACUUUACAACCGAAUCUACUCCUCCAAAAUUUAACCUAAAUUUUUAAAGAUCUACUCUUCCAAGCUCCAACUGAAAAUUUUUAUGGUAUAAUAUGAAUUUUUUUUAUGGAUAAUUGUUAAUAAUAUGUACCAUUAAUAAUUCAUUUUUUUAAUCAAAAAAUGUAUUGUUAAUAACAAAAUAAAAAAAAAUUGUGUAUUGAAAAUUUACAUUAAUUUUUGGGGUAAAUUUAUCUUUUUACCUCAUUUUGAGUUUCAAGGGCAAAAUAGUCAAUUUGCCAUAAUUCUGUUAACUUUCUAACGGAAGUUAACGGAUUGGUGGACGGUAGAAGUGUUUUGUUAACUUAGGGUAUACGAGUGAUACACUUGAAAAGUGUUCACACACGUUUGAUAUAGGUGUCAUUUAAGGGUAUAUGGCUGAUAAUUUCCCUAUAAACAUUAAUAAGAUAUGAAACUAAAGAUUAUACACUCACUUUAAGAUCAAGAGAGCAAAUUUUAGGAUAAUCAAGGGUAAACUUUAUCCAUUCUGAAAAUUAUAUUCCAAAAAUAUGUGGACAAAAAUGCUAGAGAAACAAUGCUUGUUCUAUAGCCUAAGAUAGUAAUUUGUUUCCCAAAAACAUAUAUAUUUUAGUCUCUCUAAUCAUAAUCAAUAGUCUUUAGAUCUUUUUAGGAGUUCUAAUUAUUGACAUAAACUGUAACAAAGUUAGAUCCUAUUUUAUAGAGUAAUGAUAGAGGCACAACCACUUUAUACAAAUAAGUGUGUACAAAUUGAUGCGGCAUCAAGAGAUUGAUUGUAUAAAAUCAUCACGGGUCCACAUAAUUAAAAAAAUAAUUGUUAUUACUUUUCAGUCAAUCUCUUCAUGCCACACUAGUUUGUACAAAACUAUUUGUUACUCUAUCAUUAUUGUAUUUUAUAAACAUAAAGGAUCAUAACAUAUCCUUCAUUUUAUCAAGAAUUCACAAAGAUCUUGAUAACUUUACUAGCUAUGUAUAUUGAUCUUCAGGCAUUUUGAAUCAUGAAGGGAUUCCUAUAAAAUGAAUAUCAAAUGCCCCAUAUAAAUUACCACUACUUUCAUAAGAAGCAUAUUAAUGCUCUCUCACAUAGCUGAAUCAAUUGUAAUGUAUUUGCACGCACUACGGGAGAACAUGUCUCCUAAUAAUCAAGGUUUCACAAUAAACAUUGUGCAUCGAGUCAUAUAUGAGAUUCUAUGAUGUCAUAUUACCUUUUCAUACACAUUCCCAUUUAUACUCAAUAAAUUUGACACCAUCAUCAGGUGUUUGGACUAUCAAUCCAUUAUGUUUGGCUAAGAAAGUCAAUUCCACCUGGAAUACUUCUUUCUAUUUGUGUCAAUCAUGCCUCAGUCUAUAUUUAUCGAUGGUUGGUGAUCAUGAUAAUUAAUAAUGUCCAUAGCUAUUGUAAAUGCAAACCUUUCAUCAAUGACUAAGCAAUAUUAAUAGCAUUUUCCUUUGAAGUAGGUAGUGUCAAAAUAAGAGCAUAGGUCUCCAUAAAGACCUUUUGUUCAAUGGAAAUAGUAGCUUGAGCAUCAAUUGCAGUCAAAUCUUGAAGGAUGCAUCUAGUAUCAAAGGAUAUUUAUUUUAUAGAUUAUUUUACUCUAUAAAAGAAAUAACUCAAGCAUUAAUAUAAUUAGAUCUUGAAAGAGCAAUAUCAUGUAUCUACUCUCACAAAAUCCUGAUUUUUUUUCCACUUUAAGGGCUUAUGCCAUAUCCUAGGCAUAUACCUCCACAUGAGGUCUUUCAGGCCAUUUUGGUCUCCUUAAGGACAAUGUACUUUUUAUUAUUACCUUGAGUAAAGUCAAUAGAACCUUAUUGAUGAGAUUAAGAAUAAAACUAUCACAAGCACAUGAGAUGAAGAAUAUUUAGAUCUUAUUCAAGUUCCUGUCGAACCCGUUAUAAGAGCUAGAGUAAAGAAAUUUAAAGAAGCACUUAAUUGAUUGAUUCAAGCAACUUGGGCUCAAUUAAAUUCGUCGAGGCCCGUUGAAGGAAUCGCACAUGAUAAAUGCAUGAUUCAGACUCUUGAAGUUUCCAAAUAAUCACUUCCAUGAAAUAGGAAGUUGGUUUGCACAUUCUAACGGGAAAAUAUAUUAUUUUCUAUUUUCAGAUACUUUCUCGUUUCUUGAGGAGGCUAUUAAGGAAACAAAUCAGUUAUUUCUAUUUUAAUCACCUAGUUUUCAUUUAAUUGAUGUAAGACAUUUAAGCCAAUUAGGAUCCUGAUUUGAUUUAGAUUCUUUCCUGUUUACUUAGAUUAAGAUUCUGAUUUGGUUUAAAUUCUUUCCUAUUUACUUAUAUUAGGAUUCUAAUUUGAUUUAGUUUCUUUCCUAUUAGGGAAGAUUCAGAUUCAGAUUUGAUUUUUGGGUUGGGAUUUAUUUCCAAAAAUUCUUGUAACCAACCCAUAUAAAGUACUUGUAUCCAAUAAACAUGGGAGAAGUUUUUGUUAUGCAAUUAGUGAUGCAAUUAGUGUUAUGUUCAAGACAAAGUAUGUAGAGGAAGUUGUACUAAUGUGACUAGUACUAUCAUGGUAGAGAAGUUAGGGCUUCCUAUACUUAAACACCUACGGCUAUACAAACUACAAUUGUUAAAUGACAGUGGUGAGGUGAAAGUGAACAAGUAGGUACUAAUGACUUUUUAGAUUGGCAAGUAUGAAGAUAAGGUGCUUUGUGAUGUAGUGUCAAUGCAGGCUGGACACUUGUUAUUUGGGCAGCCUUGGCAAUUCAACAGACGUGUGAAACAUGAUGGCUUCACCAACAAAUAUUCAUUUGUAUUUAAUCAACGCAACAUCUCUCUUGUUCCAUUGACACCAAAGCAAGUUUAUGAAGACCAAGUGAGCCUACAGAGAGAGAGUGAGGAAAAGAAAAAAAAGAGAAAAAGAGAGUGAAAUUCAAAAAGAGGCCGAGGAAAAUAUGAGAGAAAAACCAAAGAAAAAUACGGCCAUUGAGCAAAAAUCAGAUGGAAAACAAAAGAAUUUCUACGCGAGAGCGAGUGAGAUGAAAAAAACAUUGUUUUCACAUCAGCCGAUAAUUGUACUUUUGUACAAAGAGGCAUUUUUAAACACUAACGAAUUUGACCCUACUUUGCCUAGUUCUAUUACUUCUAUUUUGCAGGAAUAUAAGGAUGUCUUUCUUGAGGAAACACCACAUGGUUUACCUCCAAUCUGAGGGAUUGAGCAUCAGAUUGAUUUUGUACCCGGUGCAGCCAUUCCAAAUAGACCAGCUUAUAGGAGCAAUCCAGAGGAGACGAAAGAAAUUCAAAGGCAGGUUAAUAAUUGAUGGAAAAAAAAGGUACGUGAGAGAAAGCAUGAGUCCAUGUGCAGUUCCCAUUUUAUUAGUUUUUAAAAAGGAUGGGACAUGGAGGAUGUGUGUUGACUGUCAAGCCAUCAACAACAUAAUGGUAAAAUAUCGACAUCCUAUUCCUAGGUUAGAUCACAAGCUUGAUGAAUUACAUGGGUCUUGUGUAUUUUAUAAAAUUGAUUUGAAAAAUGGAUAUCAUUAGAUUAGAAUGAAAGAAAGAGAUGAAUGAAAAAUUGCUUUUAAAACAAACUAUGAUUUGUAUGAAUGGUUAGUCAUGCCUUUUGGUCUAUCUAAUGCCCCGAGCACUUUUAUGAGACUUAUGAAUCAUGUCUUACGAGCUUUUAUUGGCAAGUUUGUUGUUGUUUAUUUUGAUGAUAUCUUCAUUUAUAGAAAAAUCAUAAACGAUCAUGUAGUACAUUUGAAAUCUGUUUUAGAUGUGCUUAGAAAAGAAAAGUUGUUUGCUGACCUAAAGAAGUGUAUUUUUUGAUUAGAUUAAGGAUAAAACUAUCACAAGCACAUGAGACGAGGCAUAUUCAGAUCCUAUUCAAGUUCUCGUUGGACUUGUUACAAGAGCUCGAAUAAAGAAAUUCAAAUAAGCACUUAAUGGAUUUAUUCAAGCAACUUGGGCUCAAUAAAAUUCGUGGAGGCCCGUUGAAGGAAUCGCACAUGAUAAAUGCAUGAUUCAGACUCUUGAAGUUUCCAAAUAAUCACUUCCAUGAAUAUAAGGAGUUGGUUUGCACAUUAUGGCGGGAAAAUAUAUUAUUUUCCUUUUUCAAAUACUUUUCCAUUUCUUGAGAAGGCUAUUAGGGAAACAAAUCAAUUAUAUAUAUUUUAAUCGCCUAGUUUCCAUUUAAUUGAUGUAAGGCAUUUAAGCCAAUUAGGAUUCUGAUUUGAUUUAGAUUCUUUCGUAUUUACUUUUAUUAGAAUUCUGAUUUGGUUUAAAUUCUUUCCUAUUUACUUAGAUUAGGAUUUGAUUUGAUUUAAAUUCUUUCCUAUUAUGAAAUAUUCAGAUUCAGAUUUGAUUUUUGGGUUGGGAUUUAUUUUCAAAACUUUUUGUAACCAACCCUAUAUAACGUACACUUAUCCAAUAAACAUGGGAGAAGUUUUUUUGAUGCAAUUGGUGAGAGAGUUAAUUCUCUUUGGUUCUUUACGAACUCUUUGAACUUAUCGGAUUUCCGUGGUGUUCAAACUCUUGACUUAUCAAUCAGACCAUCCAUAGCUGAUUGUGGUGCCUUCACAUACCAGGGUUCGUGCUUUCAAUAAAUAUUGGGUCGAGGUUUCAUUUCAUUCUUAGUUUAGAUUCGAUCUUGGAAACUAAGUUGAUUAGGGUCGCGUCAGUUCUUGAUCGAGUUCGUAUCACUUACUGUUUUUAGACACAAGUUCCUUUUAUAUAAGGACCAAUAUGAAUGAACCAAUUGGACUACCAUGCUUUUGGGGUGCCACUGAUAAUUCAUUGGAGUCAUUUUACAACUGGAAUAAAUGAAUUUGUUUCUUUAGAUGCACUAGAGGUGCAUUUGGCUGGUGAUUUGUAAUUCACUGUAAAUAAAUUAUCUUCUACAUUUUGUUAUCAAUUUGAGUUAUGCAGGAAUCAAGAUGAUACAUAUAUAUCACAUGCCAUGAAAGCUCACGCUUAACAUAAUAAGGCAGCUUUUUCUCAUUCUCAAUAGAGCAAAGUUUUUCCCAUCGUAUUCCAAUUACCAGAAGUAUGGUAAACAAAUUAUUAGCUAGGGGUUCAAGAUAUAUGUUAAUAUAUGGUGAGUCAAAACUUAUAAAAAUUUUCCAAAUGACAUUAGAUCCCAUCUUAGUGCGUUGGAGGAGCAUAUCAGGCUUCUAUAGCGCAACCAGAAGUGCAUAAGUGGGGAUUAUCAAGUUGAUGACUCUGUAUCAAUUGCAGUAGGGAAUAAUGAUGACAGGCAGAAGCCUUAAUCGGAUGAACACCCCAACAUGCCAAAUAUUAUGUCCCUCUUCGUAAAUAAAUAAUAAUAAAGUUUUUAUAAUCACCUUAGUAGCAAAUCCAUAUUCAUUUCCAGAGAAAAAUUUGUUAGACGUCGUCAUAUAUAUAACAUAAAAUACAACAAAUAUAAAUAUAGAAAGCUCAUAAAAUGUAAUAGUAAUUUUAAUUGGCCUGGAUAUCUUCAUCUUUGUUUUCAAAGAAGUUUAGGUGUAUGACAAGAUCUCCAAAAUGGUUUUCGUUUUUGAUAAUUUUAUUGUAACCGUCAUAGGUCAAUAACAUUUGUUACCAUAAAUAUGACCAUGCUCAUAAACANNNNNNNNNNNNNNNNNNNNNNNNNNNNNNNNNNNNNNNNNNNNNNNNNNNNNNNNNNNNNNNNNNNNNNNNNNNNNNNNNNNNNNNNNNNNNNNNNNNNAAUUUGACCUCGACACUCACGUUUAGAUCGGCGGAGUAAUAAUACUAUAUGAGUUACAACAAAUGAGAAAUAUUUUAUUCACCAAUUAUUAUUGAAAAAUAUAUAUGUCUAUAUAACUAUAGAGUGAGAAAUAUUUUAAUUUAAAUUUUUAACAAAAAAAUAAACUAUUUAUUUCACGCAAUUCAAUGGUGGAGCAUAUAACAUUAUGAAAUGUUGCUUUGACUUUCAAUAUCAACCAUUAGAUUAUGAUAUAUUAGUGGCUCAAAUAUUGUGUCAAAAUUUUAAGUUAAAGUAUCCCAAACCAUAUCGUUAUAAUGGAAAUAUAAAAACAUGCAAUGAUUUUUUUCCUCAUUUUAUCCAUUAAAUAUUAUUUGAUGUGAUAUUUUAUUUAUUGUCACUAUUAAUUAUCAUAAUAAAAGUAAUGAUUCUUCGUAACAUAAAAAUUUUAUAAUUACUAUCAAAGAAUAACAAUAAAAUAAUCUUUCAUGAUUUAUAAACUAAAGUUAAUUAGGAAUAUGUGUUAGAUUUAACUUUUAUGAAAUUAAUAAAGUGACAUUUGAAAAUAAAAUGAAAACAAACUUGUGAAAGUUAAAUUUUAUAAAGCUCAGAUAAUUUUCUAACAUGUCAAUAAAAAUAUAAAAAAAUUUCUUUCACUUUUUUUUCCCACGUAAAUAUUAUCGGAGGCAAUAUUUUAUUUAUUGUCACUAUUAACUAUUAUAACAAAAGUAAUGACUCUUUAUAGCAUAAACUUUUAUAAUUACAAUACAAGAAUAUCAAUAAAAUAAUCUUUCACGAUUCAUAAACUAAAACUCAUUAGGAAUAUAUAUCUAUUCGAUUUAACUUUUAUGAAAUUAACAAAGUGAUAUUUGAAAAUAAAAUGAAAAUAUAUAAGCUUAUAAAACUUAAAACUCCCACCAUGUAAUGAUAUUAACUGUAAGAUAAAUAUAAAGUACAAAAAAUAAGUAUGUUAAAUGGGUGUUAAAAAUUAUACAUACUUCAUGAUCAAUUAUACAAUGGCCCUUAAUAUUAUAUAAAAUAAUGAGUAUUUGAAUAUACAAUAUUAAAUUUUAUUAAAACAUGUGUGAUCAAGUAAUUUUUAUAUUACAAGCAAUCUCAACAAUGAGUUUAUUGAUAUAACUAUGACAUUUACUUAAUUAUAUGUACUUAGUUGUGUUAUUUAUUAGUGUUAUAUCAUAUAUAAAUUUUACAAUUGCAACUUAUUUAUUUGAUUUGUGUUAAAUAACCUACCAUUAUAUUUUAUACUUAAUGGUAAUAGAUUUUGGAAGAUUUAUUUAAAAAAGAUUAUCACAUUUCAAAUUUAAAAGGGGAUUGAAAAAUAAUUUUAAAUAAAAUAUACUAUUUAAGUGAAAUUGUUUCAAACUCUAAGGGUGGUCAUAGUUAUUUUACAAACUUCUCUACCCCUUACACGUUUGUUAACCGUUUACCAUUAUUUUUUAUUUUUAUUUUUACCUACAAAUAUUGUGUACCAUUGAUUAAAUCCAAUGGUGCACAAUUAAAAACAUUAUUGAUGCUGUGAAAAAAUUACAUCAUCAUAGAGGAACCCCAUAAAUGGGCAGAUAAAAUAAUAAAAUUAGGGAUAGAAUACUUCUAGUAAUAGAGCGAUCUCAUGCUAAUAACAUAUUGUGAUAUUGAUAAUACAAGAAGUAUUAAAGAAAGAAUAAUUAAAUAAAUAGAAGGAAGCCAAGUAAAAUAUAUCCAAAGGAGCAUAGCAUUUCUCACGGCAUUUUAUUUCUCAACUUUGAAGUAUAGAGAAAUGAGUCUUAAGUUACAUCACUAACUUAUAGCAAACACAAAAGUAGUCACCCAUAAUAUUUUAAGUGUUUUUACUUGUCAUCAUAUUCUUAUAUUAAGUGACUAUUUUUGGAUUGUUAUAAGUCACAUUGUAUGUAACUUAGCCACAGCAGAAAGGACAUACAAGUGCUCUAUUUAUAAUAGCUGCUGAUAAAACGUGCUUUGCCAAGUUGAAGACCGCAAGCCGUGUGCAUCUAUGGCCAAAAUCACAUACGCAAAUUUCACUUGUAACACAUUACACGUGACGAUAUGUGUGUGAUCGGUGUGUGCAUGGUAGCAAGCGAUCUUCUUGCUUCUCCAUAUAUCAAAUGUGAUUUUCCUUCUUUCUAAGUCAAGCCUCACAAGUGUUUUGGCUGAUUUGGGUGGUUUUGGUGGAUGGCCACACCUCAAUACUGAUCGAUCAGUGACAUCACCACCAAAGAGUAGGGAAACAAAAUCUAGACGAGCACUCCAAGUAAACCACAGAUGAAUAGUGGAAAAAAACUAUGAACGCCCACAUAGCGGAACCAAAAAUCAAAUUCAAUUACAAUACCUACCUAGCACUCGGAACUCGACACGGGACCUCCACCUCGAACUCAACAGGAAGACCCAGAAAGCCGUUGAACUGAUCGAAGGUGACGUGAGUAAUGUGCCGGACAUUUGUGGGACACCCGAUCUCCAUGUUAUGAACGGCGGAGAUCACGUCUUUGCGUCUUUCAACACGACAAGACACCAUCGAUUUCCUCAAUGCCGCCAUAACAAACGCUACCAGCGAGAGCUGGUUCUGUUCCUCUUCAGUCGUUCUCGCUCCUUUUGUCGCCUUCCCAUUCCCCCGUCCCCGCCAGUGCAGCCACCUCCCUUCGUCACCAUCACAAGCCCCGUCAUUCGGCUUUUAUUGUUACUACUAAUCCACUGUAUUAAAUUCCUCUUUAAAAUUGUAUAUCUCUAAGGGCUCAGUUUCUGGUUAUUAUUAUUUUCGCAAAUUGUAUAUCCUUCAACGGUCGCCUACUUAAAAAUUCUUGUCGCAAAAAGAACCGAUUCGACCCGAACCCUCGAACUCGACCCAGAUUCCGUUUCCUUUUUCGGCCACUAUACCGGCGAAAGUUGGUAUCGAUAGGAAGCUCGUGCGACGCCGGUCAUGUCCAUGCCAUCCUUAUCGCAGGAAACCGUUCGGAAAGCUGUCGAUCGAAGCCGUGAAAAGCCGCAAAAUCGCCGCUUCAAUUCACCGCAAUUUCGCCGGUUUCCGGUGACGGAACCACUUGAUUUUUGUUCCCCACAAUUCCUUCUAUCUUUUCCGACCAACCAUAGCCACCGGGGGAGUCGAUUUGCCGUUGAUCGGCCGUUGAAAGAUUCACAGUUUUGUGAGAAAUUAACUUAAUAUUUGUGAAGCAAAGUUAAAAUAAAAAUGAGUAAAGGGAGUUAUAUGAAAGUUUAGAGCAGUGCUGGCACUAAAGACAAAAACAGUGGUACGGUACCACCGUGGUACCGUAGGUGAAUCCUAAAUUCUGACAAUUAAUAGCUCAUAAUUAUUUAAUUUUUCAAUUUUAUCACCAAAUCAUUAAAAACUAUUAUAUAUUGAAACACGGAUUACAAGAAUAUUUUAAGUAUUUCAUUAAUUUGAUUUCAUGAAUUAGGUCAAAAUGGCACCAUUUUAAUAAUAGAACAAUCAUUAAUUUCACACCUAAUUUUUAAGUAUUUCAAAUUACCUCCAAGGAAUUCUGACAGUAGUACAAACUAACUAAAUUUCAAUUUUUAUCAAUUAAUCACUAAUUAGUAAUAUCAUUAGUGGAAAUCUGACGUCACACAGGUAUUUGAGAUAUUUCAUUAAUCCGAUUUGUAAGGUGAAGAUGACCGCAUUUUAAUAAUAAAACAUUAAAACUCAUCAAAUACGGCUUCCCCAAACACAUUUCCUACCAAUUCGUUUUCUUUUAACUUUGGUUUAUUCAAGUUAAUAAAUAUAUUAAUUUUAUGGCUCAAAUUUUUUAUUUGUUUAAUUUAAACUAUAUAUUUUUGUUUAUUUAAUUUGUUAUUGGGCAACUUUUUAAAUAAUUGAUUUUCUACAUUUUUUUCCUUUCAGACGACAAAAUCUCUUUUUUGCACACUUAAAACAGUACUAGGGACAAAAACAAAUUAAUUUUUUACUAUAGAUUCUUUCAAAGAUUUGGUUACUUUAACGAUUUGAUGGUAAUUUGAUAAAAAUUAAAAAGUUAGGUGCUACUAGGUAGUGUUAAAAUUUCCAGCUGGUGAAUUGAACUUUUAGCAAACGUUAGGUGAGAAAUUGAAAAUUUUCCAAUUGAAAAUUGAUACAGGAUAUGGUGUGCUAGGAUAUGAGUAGUGUAACAUGGGUUCCAGAUGGCAUCAUGAAUCUUUGUUUUUUGUGCCAUAUCUGAAUCCAAAAUAAAAGAUAAAGAUACAGACCUACUUCAGAUUCGUAAAAUUAUUAAGAUCAGUACAUGUUUAAGAUCUUUCAUGAAUUCAUCAAUUUUAAGUAUUUGACAAGUUCAUCAUCAAUAUUUUUUAAUCAAUUAGGAGAGAAACUUAACAAAUUUAAACUUUUUUAAACUCCAAAACAUAACAAGAAAAAUAAAAGAGUAGCAAUUUUUUUAAGAAAUAAAGAUUAAAAUAUAGUAGUAUCAACUAAAACAUGUAAUUCAUCCUAAAAUAAAAUUAAGAAAAAAUAAAAUGUCAUACAAGUCUAAUAAAAUGAAUAUUGCAACUUAUUAAUGUAGCUUUGACUUUAGUAAGUUUAAGAUAGAAGUUUAGGAUCCCGCCACGGGUGCGUGAUGCAUCAUACCCCCUUUUUUGUCUUUUUUUAGUGCACCCCUUAUUCUCUUCCAUAUUUACAGUUUAUUAAAGUUUAUUAAAGUAUUUUCUUUCUCCUCCACCCCUCACCUCUAUAUUCUUCUGGAUUUUUUUCGAUUUUUAAUUUAGCCUAUAAUCAUUCAAUUGCAAUCAAUAAAAGACGACAUUCUCAUUGAAUCUACUUCUUUGUUACCUUAAAAUCCAUUUACUCUAUCACGUAAGCAAUAAUGAAUUUAACUUUUUGUAUAAAAGAAAGUCACAUAAAUAUAUUUUUGUAACCAUACUCUAUUCAUCAUAUAAAAUGAAAUUCAGGUGUAAACAAUUUGGAUUUUCUUUUUAUAUUUUAUUAUGUAUCUUCUUCCCAUUUUCUCCUCUAUGCGUCUCUCCAUUUUUUUCCUAAAUAAUCUAACUCUAAGGCUUUCCAAUAAUUAGUUUAUUAUUUUUUUUAUAAGUAAAACUCUUCUUUGUUAUGUCAAUGAAUUUAUUUUUUUCACAUAAAAAUAUUUUAGCAAAUGGCCAAAAGUGAGAGUUUUAAUAAAAAUUCAAAAUCUAUCUUAGUUUCUAUCGUCUUUAUUGACACAUCAGUCAUUUUUGGUCUCAUAAUUAUAAGUUGUGAGAAAGAAUACUAGAAACCAAUCAUCAUUAUUAGUGAUUCUCGCUGAGAGACCUUGGGAAGAAAGAUUAGGCACAAAAUUUUGUAAACUUUGACUUUUUUAAAAUUUUCAACAAACAACAAGGACUCCAUUAUUAAUAAGGCCCUUGAAACUACUUUCCUAUCAUAUCCAAUGGUUGUAGCAGAAAAAGACCAAAAGAGGNNNNNNNNNNNNNNNNNNNNNNNNNNNNNNNNNNNNNNNNNNNNNNNNNNNNNNNNNNNNNNNNNNNNNNNNNNNNNNNNNNNNNNNNNNNNNNNNNNNNAGGCAUGUACUUGAAUAUGGAUGAAUCCAAAUCUGAAGUCAAAUCCAUAGUUACUCCAUAUAUGUGUUGAAUCUAUUCAUCUUUAACCAAAUCCACUCUAAAUCCAUUUUGGACUAACCAAGGUAUGACUAAAUUUGGAUAAUAUGCAUCAUGGGUUAGACUCACCUCACUUGCCAUCUACUCAUAGGGGUAAAAUGGGUCAUUUAAUUUUGACCUAAUAAUAAGUCCAUUACAUUAAAGUAUCAUUUACUUUUCAUAUUGGAGAGAGAAUCUUGAGAAGUUGGAAUCCUAACAUUGAGUGUGUGGAGUUGUAUUGGAUCUAGAUUGUUUAUUUAUACUAGAAUGAAAAUUUAGAAUAUGAAUCAUAAUCUCAUUUAUAUGUCUAUUUUGUCUUGAAUUUGGAGUGAAUUAUUCUAAAUUAUAAUUUUAUCCUUAUUUAAAAGUUGUUGUUUUUAGUUAUAAGUAAAAAUAUAUAUUUGUAAAAUAAACUUUUAUUUUACUAUUAAUUUUAAUUAUAUAAAUUAAUAAUAAUUAUUAUUAUUCUUAAUUAUGUAGAUCAUAAUUUUUUAUUAAUUUUAAUUUUAAUUAUAUUAAUAAGAGCAACACAAAUGAAAUGUUAUUGUUAAUAAGAUAGUACAAAAUUAAUAUUUUCUUAUAAUAAACUAUUUAUUUUUAUUAACUAUGAAUAUUAAAUAAAUAUAAUACUAUUAAAUAUUAAGUAGAUAUAAUAAUAUUAUAUUUAAAUAAGUUUAAUAUUAUCAUUUUUAAUAAAUAUAACAUUAUUUUAUUUUAAUGAUAUAAUUAUAUUAUAUUUAAUAAACGAAGGAUAAAAAAAGAAUAAGAGCGAAUGGAGUCCUAGUCCCAACUCCCCCAAUGAGAGUGGGAAUCCCACUUCUCACUUGAAAAAUGAGUGAGACUCCCACUCUCCUUAAAUGUGCUAGUAAAUGCUAGAGUGGGCGAAAUCUACACUCUCUACUCCCACUCCAACAAGUAGAUGCAUCAUAAAAUGAUGUUCUUUUUUUAAAAAAAUUAAAUAAAAUUAUUAAUCAUGUCGUUGGCAAUGGUCACUAUAGAUGAGCGACUUGUAGAGGGUAUGCAAAAAUCAUUGGAAAUUUUAACUUGAUAAUAGGUAAAAGAUGCGGUGUUAAUAUGUUGGAAAAGUAUUAGUGAGUUGCUAUUUCAAAGUAUAAUUUUGAGUGUGACUUAUUUUAUAUAUGUGAGAGAUUUCAUGAGUAUGUCAAAAUAAUGUAUUUCUAUACUCAAAAUGAUGCUUGGGUGAAUGAAAAAUUGAUGUUAGAAAACACUCAUUGAUUACAUUGAAUAAGAGUUGAAGUUACAAAGAUUGUAACAUUCAGUUAAAUUUAGAAUUUAUAAUUGCUAGUUAAACAAAUUCAUAUUUAAAUAGAAAUUAAAUAAAAAAUUUAAUAUGUGAUUGAUGGGGCUGCAAUUAUUCUUUGAAUUUAAUUUAAUUGCAAAAUUAAAUCAAAGGUUUAAUGGACAGUCAAAUUUAUAGUAGUCAAAUAUGUGGAUGAAAUUUACCUCACAUAAUUCUAAAAAAACAGCAUUCCUCUUCAUUUCAUAGGAAUGGGAUAAGAGAUAAGAGAAAAUCCUAAAUAAGCAUUGAAAAAUAGGGAUACAACAUCCUCACUUUGAAUCUAAUUCAAAAAUUAAAUCAAAAGUUUAACGGACAGUCAAAUUUAUAGCAAUCAAAUUUGUGGAUGAAAUUUACCUCACAUAAUUCUAAAAAAUUAGCAUUCCUCUUCAUUUCAUAGGAAUGAGAUAAGAGAUAAGAGAAAAUCCUAAAUAAGCAUUAAAAAACAGGGAUACAAGAUCCUCACAAUUCCUCCUUUAUAUUCAUUUUGAUAGAGUUCAAACAAGAUCGAAGUUCACCAUAAAUAGCAUAGUGAUGCAUUAUAGCUAUUUGUUCGCAUUAUAUCCAGGGAGAUAGACGCCAUGCAAAUCUUGAAGCACCACGAUAGAAGGCAUAACUAUCUUAAGGAUAUUGUAUUUCUCACAAGCCUCGUGUUCUUACUUUAUCUUUCUCUUUCAAUUGAUUGUCUCAGUUGUACGUUUAACUACUCUUCUUUGUAUUUCUAGUUGCUUUAAUCUGUAAUUUGCAGAGAGUAUGCCAAAAUCAUUGGAAAAUUUAACUGGUCUUUUUACAAAAAAAUUCUAAUGGAAUAUAAGGAAAAUGUGGCUAAUUGAUACAAAAUAUAAACUAAAGAUGGUGCAUAGUUAUUAGCUUAAAUCUUUUGUGACUAUUUGUCAAAAAAGUUGCUAGUUCGCAGAUAAUCUCCCUAGCUAGUACUAUUGUUGUUCUUAUUUGUGUCAAUCUAAUUUAUAUACCUACUUAUUACAUACAUGUUUGGGCAGAAACAAGAAAAUUGUAAUAAAAUGCCACGUGUCGAUGAGGGGUGCCAUGGCUCUAAGUGAUCAUUGUACGCACUUGAGGUACCUGACAUGCACCAUAAAUUUGGAUACCCGAGGUACCUUACUUACACCACAAGGUCGGAUACGCGAGGUACCUAACCUACACUAUAAAUGAGAAUAUCCGAGGUACCCGACUUAUGACACAAACUUGGGCACCUGGGGUACCUUACCUACACUAAUAAGUGCGGCACCUAAGGUACCUGACAUACACUAGAUAUGCCUGGAGAUUAAGAAGGUACAACGGGUACUACAAAUCAUAUAUAAAAAAGUCGAGGAAAAAUCUUUGAAAGUUGGUCACGAGAAAUGUCUCCAUCGUCUAAAAGAUAAUAUUUGAUUUUGUGAAAAUCAAAUAUUAGAAUAUCAUGCUGAAAAACCGACGACAGUCAACUGUCACCUCUGAAGGACGCUGCACCAAGGACAGUGGUCAUCAGCCGUCCUGCCAGACAACCUCUGCUGAGGUAUCUUGGACCACUCUCCAGCUUACACCACUUGUCCAAACGGAUAAAUUAUACCAUUAACGCCUUCUUACUCCCCAAGAAUGCUCUCAACGACCCUAAAAAUCAUAAAAAGAUAAAAAGACAAAAAAAAACUGAAAAAGGACAGCCAAUAACCAUUGAAAAUAUGUCAUGUGCCAAUUGGGUUAUUCCAUAUAUAAAAGCGUCCAGGUUCUAUUUUCAUAAUUCAAUCAUCACACACACACUCCACAAAAAAGAAAGGCUAAGGUCCUCCUCAACCUUAAGCUAUUAUUUUCAGAGGGCUGGCAAACUUUUGCCACCAUAAAAGAGCUUGAGUUGCUGACUUGAGUAUCGGAGUGGAUGCCGGGCCACUCCGGCUCCACCUCUAACCUCUUUUCCAUUGUUUUUUAGGCUUAAAGCUUAUCUUAAAAGAUCUCCUCUCUAGAUUCCAAGCUUUCGCUGUCAUCACCAGCCUCCCAACCCUCCUUACCUCCUUCGGAUCUUAAAAAUAUCAUACACAACAACCUAAUGUGAUACCCCAGUUACCAAAAAAAAAAAUAUAUUGUUCUAAAUAGAUUUUUUUCUCUUUUCUUUUCCCUUCAAAAUCUAUCUAAUACAAUAUCUAUUACUUUUCAGUUGUCUGUAAUUCUCAGUACAUAUUCUCCUUGAUAUAUGCAUAAAUUACUUGCUAAACACAAGAUAAAGCUAUCCGUUUCGAUCUCUAGAUUAGUGUGAUNNNNNNNNNNNNNNNNNNNNNNNNNNNNNNNNNNNNNNNNNNNNNNNNNNNNNNNNNNNNNNNNNNNNNNNNNNNNNNNNNNNNNNNNNNNNNNNNNNNNAAUAUUCAAGAGUAAAAUGAAGCCAGUAAAAUGGUGGCGUUGAAGCAAGAGGGCUGUUUCCUCGAUGCACAUCGUGAGUUACAAACUUGUCAACUUGGUUCAAGGGCAUUAUUUUUAUUCACUAGCUUCCAUGCUAUGAUAAGCUAUCCCCUUUAGCUCAAAAGCACAACACCACAUCUUUAUUGUAAUAAUGAAGCAAUGUGAAUCAUAUUUGUGAAGUGAGCCCUUCUCCAGCGCUUUAGAGCCUAUACAUCAAUAAAAUAAAAUAAAAACCUUCGAUUUGAAUAAUUCCUUUUUUUUUUCUAGUGUCUAUUAUUUUUCACUUUUAUCAUUAGAUUCUUUUUUUAAAAAAUUAACUAUAAUAUUUUUGAUGUCAUAAUUUUAACUUUCAAACCUUACUUGAAAGAUUGAUAAAUGUGAUUUUUAAUAUGUAAAAUUUUUGUUACAAAUUAGGAACCUAUGUGAUAAAAAUAAGAUGCAUUGAGAAUCUAAAUAUAUCAUCUUCUUUUUGUCUUAACAUAACAUCCACAGAAUCCAACUGAAAAAAAUGAUAAUGAAAGGUUUGUUUGGCACAUUCAUUAAGUUCGUCUAGACUACAAAUUUGUACUGACUAAUCAAUCGUUGACUUCAUAAAAAGUAUGCACUAAAAUGUAUUAUUUUUAAUAAUAUUGAAGCAUUUUCAACACAAAUCAGGCCUAACUACAUAUUCUUCUAGGUCUGCACAAAAUUUUAGUUUUUUUUUUCAUAAUUUUUUAAAUGUUAUAAUUAUUUAAAUCACCAUCCACCAAUAUUCAUUGGAGAUUCAUUGUCGUCGGCAAACGUUCAUACUACUGGUGAAACUAUUAUUUGACAUUAGACCGGACAAUUUUUGAAAUUUGUAAUUAAUUAUACUCAAGGGAAGAUCAGAUUAAAAUAUUCAUAGAUUUUUAAAUAUCAAACAAAAAAAUAUACGGAAGAAAAUGGAAAUCCAUAUAAUUAUAUUUUAAUAAACAAAAGAUAGAGCGAUCUGUAUGAAAGUUCGUAAGCGCAGACCCAUGUUACAGCUUCGCCACUGCUCAGUGCUCACUACAGUUUAUCAUUUGCAUCCAUUGUCUGCUCCCGCCUCUUCCUAAUUUUGGACUCAAUUUCACUCAUAUUUAGUAAUGUUAGAAUCUUCAUUGCUAGAUCUACCCAGAGGUACAAAUAUCAAUCUUUAACACAUUGAGAACCAUUUUCUUAAAUAUAUAUUUUUAUAAUUAAACCAAAAAAAUUGGCAACGAAAAGACUUGAUGCAGCACUAAGCCAACAAUAAACAUGAAACCAACAAUAAAUGGGUUCUAGCAUAUAUGCUUAAUUUCACAAGAAAUAAAAUAAAUCUGAAAAGAAAAGAAAAGUUCUCAAUUGAAAAAUAAUAAAUUGAAUAUUAUUGAUAGGAGGUAACAACCAUAUUUAUAUUAGUAAACUUAAUCUUAAACUUACUACGUGAGAGAAGUAAACUCAAAUCUUAAAUUAAAAUUAAUCUGACAAUCAUCAUUUGUUGACUAGUCAUUGACCUAUUUUCAAUCUUUUUUUCCCAACAUUUAAUGUGUUGUUCCUCUUUUAAAAGUUUUUAAUCAAUAAAUUAAUUAAAAAAACUUGAUAAAGGCUUAAAUGGUAAAACCUUGGAGAAUCUAGAAUUGGUGAAAGGUGAUUAAAAGCGGCAGGUCAGUGUCAGUUCUUGGAAGGAUUUUGUGCAUUGAGUGUGAUUGCAUGCGGCGUUGGGUUAUCCUAGAACAUAACAAUUGAUCGAAAAAUAUAAUAAAAAAAGAAACGAUUAUAAGACUCAGACUAAUAUUUGAUAUUGUUCAAAUAUAUGUUCUUGAAUUCACAAAAAAAGAAAACUCUCAAAGGAUAGGAAAAUAUCUUAAUUAAAAAAUAAAAUUAAUAUUAUGAUAAAAGGUUAAAAAGAUCUAUUAAUAAUAUUAGUAAUAACCUUAUACAGUAGAACUUUUAAACAUGAAUAUUAUAUAUAGGAAUAACUUCUUCAUAGUAAUAAAAAAUUGUGGUCCUAACUUAGAAACCAAUUAUAAUUAGGAAUAAACUUCACAUUGUAAUAAAUUAUAUUUUUUUAUAGGUCUCAUCUUAAUAAACUUACCUCCAUAUAGUAAUAAUAUUUAAAAAAUAUAUGUCAUGUUACAUUCAAUAAUUAAGAUAGCUNNNNNNNNNNNNNNNNNNNNNNNNNNNNNNNNNNNNNNNNNNNNNNNNNNNNNNNNNNNNNNNNNNNNNNNNNNNNNNNNNNNNNNNNNNNNNNNNNNNNNNNNNNNNNNNNNNNNNNNNNNNNNNNNNNNNNNNNNNNNNNNNNNNNNNNNNNNNNNNNNNNNNNNNNNNNNNNNNNNNNNNNNNNNNNNNNNNNNNNNNNNNNNNNNNNNNNNNNNNNNNNNNNNNNNNNNNNNNNNNNNNNNNNNNNNNNNNNNNNNNNNNNNNNNNNNNNNNNNNNNNNNNNNNNNNNNNNNNNNNNNNNNNNNNNNNNNNNNNNNNNNNNNNNNNNNNNNNNNNNNNNNNNNNNNNNNNNNNNNNNNNNNNNNNNNNNNNNNNNNNNNNNNNNNNNNNNNNNNNNNNNNNNNNNNNNNNNNNNNNNNNNNNNNNNNNNNNNNNNNNNNNNNNNNNNNNNNNNNNNNNNNNNNNNNNNNNNNNNNNNNNNNNNNNNNNNNNNNNNNNNNNNNNNNNNNNNNNNNNNNNNNNNNNNNNNNNNNNNNNNNNNNNNNNNNNNNNNNNNNNNNNNNNNNNNNNNNNNNNNNNNNNNNNNNNNNNNNNNNNNNNNNNNNNNNNNNNNNNNNNNNNNNNNNNNNNNNNNNNNNNNNNNNNNNNNNNNNNNNNNNNNNNNNNNNNNNNNNNNNNNNNNNNNNNNNNNNNNNNNNNNNNNNNNNNNNNNNNNNNNNNNNNNNNNNNNNNNNNNNNNNNNNNNNNNNNNNNNNNNNNNNNNNNNNNNNNNNNNNNNNNNNNNNNNNNNNNNNNNNNNNNNNNNNNNNNNNNNNNNNNNNNNNNNNNNNNNNNNNNNNNNNNNNNNNNNNNNNNNNNNNNNNNNNNNNNNNNNNNNNNNNNNNNNNNNNNNNNNNNNNNNNNNNNNNNNNNNNNNNNNNNNNNNNNNNNNNNNNNNNNNNNNNNNNNNNNNNNNNNNNNNNNNNNNNNNNNNNNNNNNNNNNNNNNNNNNNNNNNNNNNNNNNNNNNNNNNNNNNNNNNNNNNNNNNNNNNNNNNNNNNNNNNNNNNNNNNNNNNNNNNNNNNNNNNNNNNNNNNNNNNNNNNNNNNNNNNNNNNNNNNNNNNNNNNNNNNNNNNNNNNNNNNNNNNNNNNNNNNNNNNNNNNNNNNNNNNNNNNNNNNNNNNNNNNNNNNNNNNNNNNNNNNNNNNNNNNNNNNNNNNNNNNNNNNNNNNNNNNNNNNNNNNNNNNNNNNNNNNNNNNNNNNNNNNNNNNNNNNNNNNNNNNNNNNNNNNNNNNNNNNNNNNNNNNNNNNNNNNNNNNNNNNNNNNNNNNNNNNNNNNNNNNNNNNNNNNNNNNNNNNNNNNNNNNNNNNNNNNNNNNNNNNNNNNNNNNNNNNNNNNNNNNNNNNNNNNNNNNNNNNNNNNNNNNNNNNNNNNNNNNNNNNNNNNNNNNNNNNNNNNNNNNNNNNNNNNNNNNNNNNNNNNNNNNNNNNNNNNNNNNNNNNNNNNNNNNNNNNNNNNNNNNNNNNNNNNNNNNNNNNNNNNNNNNNNNNNNNNNNNNNNNNNNNNNNNNNNNNNNNNNNNNNNNNNNNNNNNNNNNNNNNNNNNNNNNNNNNNNNNNNNNNNNNNNNNNNNNNNNNNNNNNNNNNNNNNNNNNNNNNNNNNNNNNNNNNNNNNNNNNNNNNNNNNNNNNNNNNNNNNNNNNNNNNNNNNNNNNNNNNNNNNNNNNNNNNNNNNNNNNNNNNNNNNNNNNNNNNNNNNNNNNNNNNNNNNNNNNNNNNNNNNNNNNNNNNNNNNNNNNNNNNNNNNNNNNNNNNNNNNNNNNNNNNNNNNNNNNNNNNNNNNNNNNNNNNNNNNNNNNNNNNNNNNNNNNNNNNNNNNNNNNNNNNNNNNNNNNNNNNNNNNNNNNNNNNNNNNNNNNNNNNNNNNNNNNNNNNNNNNNNNNNNNNNNNNNNNNNNNNNNNNNNNNNNNNNNNNNNNNNNNNNNNNNNNNNNNNNNNNNNNNNNNNNNNNNNNNNNNNNNNNNNNNNNNNNNNNNNNNNNNNNNNNNNNNNNNNNNNNNNNNNNNNNNNNNNNNNNNNNNNNNNNNNNNNNNNNNNNNNNNNNNNNNNNNNNNNNNNNNNNNNNNNNNNNNNNNNNNNNNNNNNNNNNNNNNNNNNNNNNNNNNNNNNNNNNNNNNNNNNNNNNNNNNNNNNNNNNNNNNNNNNNNNNNNNNNNNNNNNNNNNNNNNNNNNNNNNNNNNNNNNNNNNNNNNNNNNNNNNNNNNNNNNNNNNNNNNNNNNNNNNNNNNNNNNNNNNNNNNNNNNNNNNNNNNNNNNNNNNNNNNNNNNNNNNNNNNNNNNNNNNNNNNNNNNNNNNNNNNNNNNNNNNNNNNNNNNNNNNNNNNNNNNNNNNNNNNNNNNNNNNNNNNNNNNNNNNNNNNNNNNNNNNNNNNNNNNNNNNNNNNNNNNNNNNNNNNNNNNNNNNNNNNNNNNNNNNNNNNNNNNNNNNNNNNNNNNNNNNNNNNNNNNNNNNNNNNNNNNNNNNNNNNNNNNNNNNNNNNNNNNNNNNNNNNNNNNNNNNNNNNNNNNNNNNNNNNNNNNNNNNNNNNNNNNNNNNNNNNNNNNNNNNNNNNNNNNNNNNNNNNNNNNNNNNNNNNNNNNNNNNNNNNNNNNNNNNNNNNNNNNNNNNNNNNNNNNNNNNNNNNNNNNNNNNNNNNNNNNNNNNNNNNNNNNNNNNNNNNNNNNNNNNNNNNNNNNNNNNNNNNNNNNNNNNNNNNNNNNNNNNNNNNNNNNNNNNNNNNNNNNNNNNNNNNNNNNNNNNNNNNNNNNNNNNNNNNNNNNNNNNNNNNNNNNNNNNNNNNNNNNNNNNNNNNNNNNNNNNNNNNNNNNNNNNNNNNNNNNNNNNNNNNNNNNNNNNNNNNNNNNNNNNNNNNNNNNNNNNNNNNNNNNNNNNNNNNNNNNNNNNNNNNNNNNNNNNNNNNNNNNNNNNNNNNNNNNNNNNNNNNNNNNNNNNNNNNNNNNNNNNNNNNNNNNNNNNNNNNNNNNNNNNNNNNNNNNNNNNNNNNNNNNNNNNNNNNNNNNNNNNNNNNNNNNNNNNNNNNNNNNNNNNNNNNNNNNNNNNNNNNNNNNNNNNNNNNNNNNNNNNNNNNNNNNNNNNNNNNNNNNNNNNNNNNNNNNNNNNNNNNNNNNNNNNNNNNNNNNNNNNNNNNNNNNNNNNNNNNNNNNNNNNNNNNNNNNNNNNNNNNNNNNNNNNNNNNNNNNNNNNNNNNNNNNNNNNNNNNNNNNNNNNNNNNNNNNNNNNNNNNNNNNNNNNNNNNNNNNNNNNNNNNNNNNNNNNNNNNNNNNNNNNNNNNNNNNNNNNNNNNNNNNNNNNNNNNNNNNNNNNNNNNNNNNNNNNNNNNNNNNNNNNNNNNNNNNNNNNNNNNNNNNNNNNNNNNNNNNNNNNNNNNNNNNNNNNNNNNNNNNNNNNNNNNNNNNNNNNNNNNNNNNNNNNNNNNNNNNNNNNNNNNNNNNNNNNNNNNNNNNNNNNNNNNNNNNNNNNNNNNNNNNNNNNNNNNNNNNNNNNNNNNNNNNNNNNNNNNNNNNNNNNNNNNNNNNNNNNNNNNNNNNNNNNNNNNNNNNNNNNNNNNNNNNNNNNNNNNNNNNNNNNNNNNNNNNNNNNNNNNNNNNNNNUCUUUCACUUGUGGAUAUAUAUUAAUUGGUCAGCAUAGACAUCUUCUUGUUGAAACCAAAAUAUUUCUAGGUUCUCAAGUAUGUUUGUAGCUUCCAGACAUAAAACUUUUUGUAUUAGUUUUUUGAAACUAUAUAUCUUUUUUAUUAAUAUCUAUCUAUAGAAUUUGACUCACUUACUAAUUAAUUUAUUAAUGUCUAUACAUUGAAUUUGACUCACUUAUUAAUUUAUGAAUACAUGAUAUAAUUUACCUCUAUAUCACUUGCAUUAGAGAUAAUUAAGUAAAGACAAUAAUUUUUGUACUAUACCUCUAUUGAGUUAUAACUUUUUUAUAAUAAUAAAUUUCUCUAGUCCCAACAAUAUAACUAUGCAGAGGUUUUAUUGUAUUUAUUAGUAACUAACUUAAACUUAAUUCUACAGAAAUAAGAUAAUAAGCUGAAACUCUAAUUAAACUAACCUAACAAGAAUUACUCAAAUACAAAUACUAAUCACAAUGAAUCUUAAUAAAACAAAAAAUAUUAAAUUGUUCAACAAUAAAAUUUUUAAUCAAUUUUAACCAUGUGCUUCCGACAUCAGGACUAAGGUGGGGACGUAUUGUCAUAUUGGUCUUGUACAGUUAAGACAUCAUCGUUGCAAUUUGACAUAAUCUAGAAUGUCAAAGGGUUGAGCCAGAAAGGACUCUUCAACCAAUUAAUUACAAACGUUUAUAAUUGAUAUUUUAAGAUUAUGUAUAAACUUGUCAUCAUUAACAUUACAAUUUGAUCAAUUGUGAGCGAAAGAAUUUGUUUCUCUCAUUCAAUCAAUACGGCUAUAUAUGCUUUUGUUCCCGAGCUUUAAUCGGCCAACAAAGGCUAUAUUAGACAUUUAAUUCUUCAUGUCUUUUUGAAGUAAUUUUCUCUAGCUGCCACUCAAAUUUCAAUUAAUUCUAAGGAAGGUAGAGAACAAAAAAAUUAAUUUAGGCAUACCGACAUUUCUUAAAAAAUAAAAUCUAAUUAAUUAAUGUAAAGACACGUCAUACUACUCUGUUAAAAAAAAAGACAAAAGAAGUUAGAAAAAUGAAAAAGAUUUGCAUUUAUUAGUUUAGUCUUUUAGAAUAUUUUAAUCAAGAAUUUGAAAAUGUGAAGAGUUAAUACAGCUCAUUAAAUUUAUUUAAUAUAAUGAAGAAAGGAAAGUGCAUAGGCUUUGCUUAGUUUAGCUAUAUUCACAGAAUGUGUUGUGUCGCAAGUUCAAUUUUAUGUAAGAUCUCGAGAAGUAUGAAAUGAUAUAUACAUCGAAAAUAGUAAAAAAUAUAGUGUAUAAUGCAUAAAAGAUUAAAAAAAAAUUAUCUUGUGUUAUAUUUUUUUAUUUUGUAGUUAAAUUUUUUUGUUUUCUAGUGAUAGUGUACUAUUUUUUUGUGCUCGUAUGGAGUGCUGUUUAUGCUAAGGUGUGAUUGUAGCAUACAAAAUGAAGACACUGUUUGUAAUACAAUACUGUCGUUUCUGUCUUUGUAGUAUUUUGCUGGUGUUCAAAAAUCAUUUCCAUAUAUAAAACAUCUUUUCCACUACCGAUACAGUCAUAUUGUGACAUUUUGCAUACUAUAAUUAAAAUCUCCCUCUAAAGGUUUAUCUCCGACGAAGCUUUAAUUUGCUUGCCAAUCUGGCCAUGGAAACUUUUUCCUUGUUAUUGCAUCUCCUGCUUCUAGGUUUUGCUCAUGCAGAAACCAAUAGCUUCAUCUAUAAUGGGUUUAUCCAAGCAAACUUGAGCUUGGACGGAACAGCUUUCGUAAGAAAAGAUGGGAUUCUUGCUGUAUCAAACGAUCAAGGGAGAAUUCUUGGGCAUGCCAUCUAUCCAUCUCCUCUUCGAUUCAAACAAUUAUCCAAGUACAAUAUUAAUAAUAAUACAAUAUCACACACAGCUUUAACCUUCAGCACCAACUUUGUCUUUUCCAUCGUUCCCAAAUAUCCUCAACUUGGAGGUCAUGGUCUUGCUUUCGUUCUAAUGUCCAGAAAACAACCUCCGAGUUGUCUUGCAAAUCAGUACCUGGGCCUUCCAAACGACACCAGCAACGCAAAAUUCUCUACUCGUAUAUUGGCAGUAGAGUUUGAUGCCGUUCAAAACCUCGAGCUCCAAGACAUAAAUGACAACCAUGUUGGAAUAGAUAUAUCCAGUUUAAUUUCUAACAUAUCUGAGCCAGCUGCUUAUUAUUUUUCAAAAGGAAGCAAUAUCAACGACGAUAACAUCUCUGUUGUUCUCAAGAGUGGGGAUCCUAUUCAAGCGUGGAUUGAUUAUAACAGCCAGGAGAUGUUGAUAAACGUCACAAUAUCUCCUCUUGGCAUACCAAAGCCCCAUCGGCCUUUGAUAUCAUAUCCAAUUGAUCUGGCCACAGUAUUGGAUGAGUACAUGUAUGUCGGCUUCUCUGCUUCAACUGGUUUGCUUACAGCCUUCCAUAAUGUGCAUGGCUGGAGCUUUAAGAUCGGUGGGACUGCACGAGAACUGGAUGUAACUAUGCUUCCAUUUCAUGCACGGCCAAAAUCUAAACAAGUCGUGCAUAAGAAGGGAUUUGCAGUUGGUAUCACUCUUGCAAGCGUUAUUCUGGUAAUCUUUGUUAUCAUUGCUGCGAUUCUUGUCCUUCGCAGAAUUAGAAAUGGAGAUGACAUCUUGGAAGACUGGGAAGUUGAAUAUGGUGCUCGUAGAUUCAGAUAUUCUGAGCUCUACUCGGCGACAAAGGGCUUCCGGGAGAAGAAUCUUGUCGGAUCUGGAGGAUUUGGAAAAGUCUACCGGGGUGUAAUUCCAAGCACUGGUCUGGAAGUUGCAAUAAAGCGAGUUGCACAUAAUUCACGUCAGGGAAUGAAGGAAUUUGUUGCUGAAAUAACAAGCAUGGGACGACUUCGGCAUCGUAAUCUUGUGCAGUUACACGGAUGGUGUCGAAGGCAAGACGAGCUCCUCCUUGUUUAUGACUACGUACCAAAUGGUAGCCUUGACAAACUUUUGUUCGACAAUGAUCAGCAGAAGAAAAAAAUACUAAAUUGGGAUCAAAGGUACAAAAUCCUCAUCGGUGUGGCUCAAGCUUUGCUUUAUCUGCAUGAAGAAUGUGAUCAAAGGGUAGUUCAUCGAGAUGUGAAGCCAAGUAAUGUCUUAAUCGAUGCAGAUCUCAAUCCGAAGCUUGGGGAUUUCGGGCUUGCUAGGGCUUAUGAUCACAAUAUUAAUCCACAAACGACCCAUAUUGUAGGGACGCUAGGUUAUUUAGCCCCAGAAUUGACAAGAACCGGAAAAGCAACAACAAGUACAGAUGUGUUUGGUUUUGGAACAUUAAUGCUAGAAGUAGCUUGUGGAAGAAGGCCAAUCGAGCCCCAAAGAACCGCAAUGGAGUUAGUAUUGGUGGAUUGGGUUAGAGAGCUACAUAGUCAAGGGCAGAUCACAAGAGCAAUUGAUCCAACACUCGAUUAUUUUGAUCCACAAGAAGCUGAGCUGGUGCUUACCCUUGGCUUACUCUGCUGUGAUCCUCAUCCAGAUUUUAGACCAAGCACGAGAAGGGUGGUGCAAUUUCUACUGCGAGAUGCAAGCCUUCCCCAAGCGCCUCUUGACAUUCACCAUGAAUUUCCAAGGGCAAUACCAGAAUUAUCUGAAGAUGAUUCUGACCCGUCCUCCUGUAGAAUGACAUCAUCUACUAGUUUCACAAGCUUUGACAAGAAAGAAUCCGGUAGUAGUCAAAUAACUAGGGUUACUUUUUAAUUAUGUACCUACUAAAAUGUACAAGAAAGAAAGCAUCACACGGAAAUGUAGAACUCCGUUUAUGUACUUUUUAACGUUUCUUGUUUCAAACUUUUCUUUGCAAAAUAUGUAACAGAAUAUACAGGGGCUCGGAUCAGUUCUCUGUUAUGAGUGUUGUCCUCUUAUCUUUCGUAUAAGAACAUCUUAAGAGGAAAUCCAAAAAAAAAAAAAAAACACUUUCCAUCAAUUUUUCGUUUUAUAUACUUGAUCAAAUUAUAUUUAAUUGUCAAUCAUUCAAGUUGACGGCUAACAAAAACAUGGAUUAAUUGACAAUUUUCCUCUAAAACUAAAUUUAAGUUUCACAUAACAUAUUAAUCUUUCAGCUUCCUCGGAUAUAUUCUUUAAAUUUUUCUACUUUUUUAUGGGGUCAUAAUUGGGUUUAAAAAAAGUUUUAUAUUAUACACAUAUAUUUUUCGAAAGGUAUGACCGAACAAAAUUCAAAUUAGAUUUUUUAGCCUCCUGCUCCCUGGAUUCAGCACCAAUAUUAAGUAAAGAAAAAUUAUUGAAAACCAUUAGGACAGGUCUCUAGGAGUUAGAUUCAAAGGAAGCUUGGCGCAAUAAUAAUUUUUAAUAUUUUGUGAAGCCGUGGAUCCUCAUGCUAAAUUGAAGAACAUGUUUUAUGUUUGUCAUUAAUUCGCUUGAAGUAUAAAUUAAUCUAUUUAAAAACGGCUUUAUUUAUAGUAAAAAAAAAGAAGAAAAAGAAAGCUUUUAGAAACAUAAUUGUUUAGGGGGAAAUCUGGGUGCUAAUGUAGGCCAAUAAUUCAAUUACAUAUGGUAAGAAAAGUCAAUUAAAGGAAGUUAAUUUGUUUAACUAGGCCUUAAGAUAUCUCAUAGAGAGAUAGGAGAUAAGGUUAUUGAAGAAAAUGACAGUUUUAGUAAAAUACUCAAUAUUAAAAGGUAUUAUUGGAAGCUAGAUUUUGAUGGUUAGGGCCAAUGCAUGAAUAGUACACACCACCUUGAGAGAAAACAAAAAUAUCUUCUUUUGGCUAAGGAUGAGAAGCCAAUAAGAAUGGAGAUUCUAGCCAAACAAUGUGAAAAGGCCACAUCAGUUAUCCUUUGAUGCCACUAGAAAAGCAAGAGGACCACAAGGCUGGGAAGUCAGCAUGUGUCCAGCUAUGGAGGCAAAAAGAUAGCUAGAGGGUUCCUUACUUCUCAAGCUCAUUGAUGUCACCAUCAAGGGACCAUAAGGCAAAUAUAUUAAAAUAGCCUUCUUGAGGGAGGCUAGCCAUUAAAUAAGCACCAUGUACCUAAAAUUAUCAAAAUUCCCUCAGGAACACUCGUAUAUAUGCUCCACAUGUUCAAUCUUGAAGGGGCUCUCUCGAUCUCUAGCUCUACAUCUCUCCUUUUGCUUCAUAGCCCUAGGCCUCUUUUUUCCAAAUUUGAUUUCUAUAAAGGUUGCUUUAUCUUCUUAUCCCUCCAUUUUUACAUUUUCAUGGAAGAUCUUGACCAUCUCAUCUCCUAAAAUAGCGUUUUCCUUUAUUAUUCUCUUAGAAAACUCUUUAAUCUUCAUUAAAUCAACAUCUCCCUCAUGUUAUUAUUCAUUAUAAACAACCUUUAUUGAAGUUUUGUUGAUAUUGCAGAGCAAAUAAUCUAAUAUUUCUUUUAUAUAGUGGAUUGAAGAUGAGUUGCUCACGUGAACAUCGGCCAGAGAGGUGAAGCGCAUAAAAUCUUCUGUGUUCUUUAUUGCUUAUGCUUAUUUUUUGCUUAUUAUGAUAGUUUUGAUAUCCAUAUCGUAUUUCCCAUAUGAACUGGUCUGAGUUAUACUAGGAGCUCUACUAAGGUCCCCAGAUUAACUCUCUAGAGCUAUCCUCGAGUUCAACAAACCUAUUCCCUGAGCUCUCUUAAGGUUCCUAUAUCAACUCCCUAAAUUAACUCCUAAGAGCUCCACGGGUUCGCCAUAAUAUUCCAAACUUAGAACACUACAGCUCACAUCCUAGAUCACCUCAGAUAUACCUCUUGCCUUGAACAAUAGAAAUACACACCUAAAUCCAAACAUACCCUAAUCUCCCCUAAAGUAUAAAUUUUAUUUGUUUUAAUAAGAUUUGAACAAGAUUAGGUGGGAACUACUGCUUAAUGGUUUAAAUCGGAUCCUAGCAAAAAUCUGGUUAAAACAAUAAUUAUAACUAAAUUUGAAAGUAUUUAGAACCAUCUUGUUAAUUUCUGAAUGAAUAUUGAACAAUAAUAAAUAAAGACGUGUCUUGUAAUGAAUAGUUUGUCUUUUUAAUUCUUAAAGUACAAAAUAAGUAUUACCUAAUCUUCAUUGAUAAAACGUUUAAUUACUCAUUAGGGAUAAAUAAAGAAAAGUAAUUUAAUUUUCAAGUAAUUUAAUGUUUAACUUUUAGAUAUAACGUUAUAAGUAUAUAUUUGUUUAAUAAACAGACAUUGAGACUAGAAAUUUUUUUUUAUGUAAUUGUAUUUUUAAUAAAGUAAAAAUAGGGACCUAUUUGAAAUUCUGCAGGGUCUUGCUCGGUAUGCAGUUUAUGACAACUUUUGCUAGCUCCAUCUUCUAACUAAAACAAGAGGUUUAGGGUCCAAAAUUGCUCAAUUUCUGAGGAGGAGAUUUAAAAAUUCUAGCCACUUUGUUUAAAUUAAAUAAAAAAAUUAAUCAAUAAAUGACGUCAAGUAAUAUUGGCGCAUUUUAAAGUAUAUUAGAUGUUGAAACCGAACAAUAUUUUGAAGGCCUAAAUUUUCUCUAACCUAAUUUUAUUUUGUUCUUUUUAUUUUCUUACGCUUCUUGUUAUAGCAAAUUUGAGUCCGUAACAUUUUGCGUCAAAGCUAGACAAUAAAGUAAGGAGUAAAUCGUAGCAAUUUAGCAACGGCUGGCAAGCUUACACAAAUGAGUGGAUUCCAUAUUCCUCGAACAAAAGCAAUUUGGCAACAAACAAUAUUGAUGAAAUAUUAAGAAUGUCGAAUGCAAAGAUGAAUUCAUUUUCAAGCGGCAAAAAUAACAAAUAUGUAGAAGAAAAUUGUGUGCUUGUGUGAUGGGAUGGUUAUGGGUUCUGUUUAGCUUUUUCGAAAUCUGAUUGAUUCAGCAAGAUCUAGACUGAGAAAACUUCGAAGUUUUUUUAAUGAGAUUCGGUUCUUUGAUUUUCUUUGUAUUUCUUCUUGAUUUCAGUUUGAUUUUUCAAGAGCUGAACAAAAUUUAAACCAAUUUCUUUGAUAUUUUCAGACAAAAUAUUAACUGAAUUAAAAACUAAAGUAAAUCCAACUUGAAAUUUUGGUUUAUUCCGGCUAAGACCAAUAACGAACCCGAUCAUUUUAUUCGGGCAACUUCUGAUAGCCUAUUUACAUAAAAUAAAAGAUUGUUUUGUCCUAGGGUCUCUUAUUCAGUUCAAAGACCAAAUAAUAAUAAUAAUAAUCAUUGGGGGAUUAACAUUUUAUUUAGGGUUCCAAAAAUAUUUUAUAUUAAUCGCAGGUGUUGAUAUUUUCACCCCAUUUUCUUUUUGUAAUGACAAGUCCACUGUAAAUAUACCUCAUUAAAAUAGAUUUGAAUGCUGAGCUGCCCUUUUUACUAACCUUUUACAAAGAUACAAUUAAUAAUUAUUGGAUAAAAAUAUAAAACUAAUUAACUAUUAGUUAUAUAUUAUUAUACAUGUUUAUGUGUCAGAAAAUUAUGAAGAGUUGAAUACAGGUCAGCUCAAUAUUAAAUUUAAAUCAUAUUAAAAUCUGUGGUAGAAUAUUAUAAAGAACUGAGUAGAAGUCAGCUCAGCACUAUAUUUAAAGUCCAUUAAAAUUUAUGAAGAUGUCUUAUUUUAUAAACAAAACUCUCUGAAUCUCCAAAUUACCCUUGUAGAAUUUGAUACUUCCAUGCCCUGCCGUUUGCAUCUUCUUCCACAGCCGCUUUGCCACUUUUUUCCUUUCCUAAAUGAGCAAAAUAAAUAAUGGGGCGUUGUUACCGAACAAAAUAUUCAGAGGUUGGGGGAAUCCCCACCCAUAUUUACAAGAAUAUAUGUAAAUUUUUUACGGUGUUAAGAGUACCAUUAGGAUUAGUGUUUUAAUUUUUUAUUGUUAUUGUUUUAUCAAGGGAUUUGGUUCACUGAUUUUCAAUCAUUAUUAUUUGACUAAUAAAAGGAGUAGAGAAUAAAAGAUGGAUUUGAAUUACCCAUACCUCUACAUUUAAAAAUUAGUAAACAAAACGUUCUUUUCAAUGAGAAAAGAUAAAAGAGAUCAAAUUUUGUUUUUACUCUUUCCAUCAUUUUUAUUGCUAGAACCGUAAUGUCUUACUAGGGGUGUUCGCGGAUCGAAUUUUACAGAUUGGAUAUCAGUUCAUAUCCGAUCCAUAAUUUUGUGGAUUAUAAUUUUUCAAUCCAAUCCAAUCCACGGAUUGAUUAAACUCAACUCAAAUCCAAUUCAUAUAUCUGCGGAUCGGAUGCGGAUUUGACUCAAUCCAUAUCCAAUCCAUACGUCUGCGGAUCUGAUGCGGAUUUAACUUAAUCCAUAUCCAAUCCACCAUUUUACGCAUUAGUUUCCGAAUAAAACAUUUUUAGUUCUCCCCAAUCCAUGAACUAAUGAAAUAAACAAAAAAUCUAAUAUAAACAAUUUUCACUACCAAUUAAAUUUAAAAUUGAAUAAAAUUAAAACAAAUUAAUUGUUAAAUAAAACUAAAAUAAUACAUUCAAAGUUUCAAAAUAUAGCACAUUGAGAUUAAUUGUUCAAAUAAGGCUACAAUAAUACGUUUAAAGUUUCAAAAUAUAACACAAUAAGAUUAAUUGUUCAAAUAAAGUUACAAUAAUACAUUAAUAUAACACCAAAGUUAAUUGUUCAAAUAAAGCCACAAUUAAUUGAAAUAGCGAAGUUUCUGAAACCAAACAUAGUCUAAUCCUUCACUAGGGCUGUUGUACUUGUCGAAAAGUGGUGAUUACAGAGCCGUCAACGAUGGGAACCAGGAGAAGUACAGGUGGCGAUCUUGAAGGUUGUGAUAGUGCAAUUGUUUGGUUGGAACCAGUGAUUGUGAAGUGACUCGAUGGACUCGGGGAAGAAGAUGACUUGCUCUCAUUGGAAUCGUGCAGUCGACGUCCUUCAAAUCGGUGUCGAGAGUGUAUUGAAUCAGUAUUGGGUGUUGCUAGUGAAUGUGAUGGUGGGGAAGCUUCAGGUUUUUUGUUUGCAAAUUAUUGGUGACUUGGCGUUAUGUUACUUUGAUUUUGGGUGACUUUGCAAAUUGUUGGUAACUUGACGUUAUGUUACUUUGCUUUUGCUAGUGCGUGUGAGUUUGCUUUUAUUUUUAUUUUUACAAUUUCUACAAGUUAUAUUUGUAUAUUUGAUUAUUUAAUUAUUUUUUUAUUUUAUAUUAUUAUUGGGUAAUGGCUAAGAUAUGUUAUAGUGCUUAUUUAACUAUGUAAUGCCACAUUUAUAAUAUUCUUUAAUUAAAUUUAUAAUAAUUUUUAACUAUAUAUAUAUUUUGCGGAUUCACGGAUUUUUACGGAUUUACAGAAGUAAAUCCAUAUCCAAUCCAUCAACUGCGGAUUUUUAAAUUUUCAAUCUAUAGCCAAUCCACGAAUCCACGGAUCGGAUUUAUACGGAUCAGAUUUUCACAGAUCAGAGGGAUUGAGCGGAUCGAAUUGGAUUAUGAACACCCCUAUGUCUUACCAUAUAUGUAUGAGCCCAGAAUUCAUCAAAUAUAUUCUUUUCCUUUUUACGGUGGGAAAUUUACAUAGUUAGCCUAAAAGUUUUCUAGUUUUUCAAAAUUGCCCCCUCUAAUUUUUUUUAUCAUAAUUGGCCAAAUAUAAAUUUUUUCAACACAUUUACCCUCGUUCUCAUCUUGCUCAAGCUCCCAAUGAACGACAAAAUCCUAAAGUCUUGCAAUCAUCGGCAACACAACAACAACAUGUUAGUAGUGGUGACGGCGGCUUCAAUUUUCCAUUUCCCAUAAACUUCAUUUGAGGGCAACUUCUCUAAUUACCAGAAAGCAUGUUUAAUUUGGUGAGUAAAAUCUGAUUUGUUGUUGAUUUAAAAUUAAAUUACACUAUUUUAUAGAAAUUAGUGGUAAAAAAAAUAGUGUAUUAGGUUUAUAUUGGUAACAAUUUGCUAAAUAUAUUAUAAGGUUACUUGUUGCACAUAAAGUGUUUGAUGAAAUGUGCUUGAGAUUAUUAUUUGAUUAUUUGAGUGUUUGAAAUGAUGUGUGGUGUUUGCAGUGUUGUAUAGUAUGAGAAUGAGAAUGAUAGUGACUAACCAUCGAGAUUAUGAUGAUGAUGAUUUAUGGUUGUUGAGAAUGUCAAAUAAAAUGGCAUUGAAUGGAAAUUGUCAAAGACACGAUCCACACCGAACGGCAACGACACAGUUGGUGAAGAAGCUUCCAUAAUAUUCGUAUCUAAUUUUUGAAAAAAUUACAACCUCUGCAUGUAUAAAUAUGAUCAAUGUAUAACGUUUUACUUGAGAAAUGAAAAACACUCAUUUAUUCAUGGUAUCAGAGCCCAAUUUGCUGCUCUAUUUGUAACAAAAACAGAGAGAACCAAAUUCUUCCCACAACCAUUUUUCUUCUUUAAAAUCAUUCCUAGCAUUACAGAAACCCAUGCCAAUAAAAAAAUAAGCCACCCAUAAAUAAAAACUUAGGUUUACAAAUCUAUCAACAGUCCCAUAAAUUUUCCCAGAGAGUGAUCUUCAAAAACAAAGAAUACCAUCAAUUUUCUCAGCUUCCAGUAAGCAAACUGUAAAAAUUUCGCAUUCAAACACAGCCACACGUACCUUCCGGAAUCCUUCACCACCAACUCGCCCUCACGCGCUCCAGAGGUUGAAGAAGACAAAAAAUGACGUGUCAUUUUCUUAAGGAGAAACAAAAUGACUUGUCAUUUUAUUCCGUCAGAAAUGACAUGUCGUUUUCUUAAGGAGAAACAAAACGACUUGUUAUUUUUACCCUAAAAAUAUUUUUCCCCCGUUUGAAGCUAUACAACAUUUUUUCUUUCUAAACAUGUUCCCCCCCCCCCCCCCAAAAGAAAAGAAAAGAAAAAGAAAAAAAAAUAGAGAAAACUCUAACUGAAUCUACUCAUGUUAUCAUUCAAUCCGUUUAGUCUGAUGGAGCAUGUAAUGCCAGAAUUAUCCUUACCCAGACAAACUACAAUGUUUGGUCUUAAAUAAUGGAGAUGCAUCUCACAGAAAGAGAAAAACUCUACAUAUAUUCGUAGCAGCACAAAGCCAUUUGACGAAUCUUCAAAGGAAUAUGAGAAAUGGUAUAGUGAGAACCAAAAAGUAAAAAGAUGGUUACUCAUAUCCAUGUCUCCUGAGAUCAUAAAACGAUAUUUAUGAAUUCCUACAGCUUAUGAAAUCUGGAAUGCAUUAUCAAAAGCCUUUUUAUGAUGGAAGCAAUAAUUAUAAGUUUUCACUCUAAACUAGAAGGCGUUCUCUACCAAGCAAAAUGGACGACCACUCUCUAAAUUAUACGGAGAAUUGAUCGAAAUAUUUCGAGAACUUGAUCACCGAGAUAAAGUGGUCAUAAAGAAUCUAGAAGAUGUUGUAAUAUACAAAAAGUCUGUUGAAAGAUUGAGAGUGCACAUUUUUCUUGCUGGGCUAGAUGAAGAAUUUGAUCAAGUUCGUGGAGAAAUUCUACAAAAAGAUGCUAUCUCAAACUUAGAAGAAUGAUAUUCUCUUAUCCGAAGAGAAGAUGUACGACAAAGCACACUAAACAAGGUGGACAACUCAGAAAUGUUUGUUGUGAUAGCACGUCAACAACCUCAAAAGAAGCUUGUUGACAAGUCAUCACUCUAUUGCACUCAUUGUAGGAAGAAGGGUUAUACGAGAGAAUAAUUUUUUGAAAUCGUUGGAUAUCUUGACGGGUGGGAUACUCGAAGGAAGAACACCAAGUAGGGAUAAAAAUGACAGUAGUUGAAUCUACAUCCACUAGAAAUCUUAAAAAAGAAUAUUCAAUGCAAAUUGCAACCUCUGUCAAUCAAGGUUAGUCCCUUAAACUCUUACAUCUGUUAUUAAUAGUACAUGGAUAAUUGAUUUUGGUGCAACUGAUCAUAUGACUUUUGAUUCUUGAUAAGUUUCUUAAUUGAAACCAUCUUCACAAAAACAUGUUUCCACUGCAAACGGAACCACAACCUCAGUUAUUGAGGAAGGAUCUUUACGACUCACAAAUAAAUUAAAUUUAAGCCCUGUGUUAAUUGUUCUAUCUUUAAAUUAUAAUCUUUUUUUUUGUGUCUUAAAUAACCACUUCCUUAUCAUGUGUUGUAAUUUUUUGGUUUGAUCAUUGCGUGUUUAAGGACAUCCAAACGAAGCAAAUGAUUGGUUAUGGUAUUAGACAAGGCAACUUGUAUUACCUGGAGAUGACAUUAACAAGCACUAAAAAGUUAAGCCCCACAUUAGUAGCAGACAGUUCCAUGAAGAAAAAGAAAUCAGAAAUUUGGUCACGGUAUAAAUAUUUAGGGCAUGUGUCAUUUGUUUACUUAAAAAUAUUGUUUCCUAGUUUGUUUCUGAAAUUUGAUGUUUGUAACUUUAAAUGUGAUGUUUGUGAACUUUCAAAAAGCCAUCGAACUACAUUUACAUUGUCUUUAAAUAAGAAUCCAGUUCAUUUCAUGGUAGUACAUUCUGAUGUAUGGGGACCAUCUAAAGUUUGGUUUGUUAUAUUUAUUGAUGAUUGUAGCAGAAUGACAUGGAUUUCUUUUUAUAAAAUCAAAAGACAAAGUAAACUCUUUAUUUCAAAGCUUUCAUAAAAUGGCAACGACUCAAUUUCAGACACAAAUUCGAGUUUUACAUACUGAUAAUGGAGGUGAGUGUAUGAGCACAGUAAUUCAAUAGUUUCUGCAAUCACAAGGAAUUGUCCACCAAACCACUUGUGUGGGGACACCUCAACAAAAUAGCGUUGCUGAAUGAAAAAAAAAAAUUUACUAGAAGUUGUUCGAGCAUCACUAAUCCAAGCCCGCAUGCCACUAUCUUAUUGUGGAGAAGCACUGGCAUCCGCAACGUACUUAAUCAAUUGAACACCUUCAAGCUCCCUUGGAUUCUAGACUCCUUUCUAAGUUCUAAAUGAAGCAAUUUUUUCACCAAAUGUGCUGAAUUUAGCCCCACACGUGUUUGGUUGUGUUGUUUUCGUUCUAUUACUAUGACAAGACAAAUUAUCUCCUCGAGCACUACGUUGUGUGUUUGUAGGGUAUGCCUUACAUCAAAAGGGGUACCGAUGCUAUCAUCCUCCAUCAAGAAAAAUAUAUAUCACCACGGACGUUGUCUUUAAAAAAUAUAUAUCACCACGGACGUUGUCUUUCAUGAAGAUAUUAGGUACUACCCAUCGGAGCCUGAAUUUCGAGGGGAGUAUAAUGAAGAGGAAAUUCAUACUAUUACAUAUCUCCCACUUGAAGAAGAUCAAUUUUCCAUUAAGGUAGUAAACCUUCAAGAUACUGGAAAGAAAAUGGCGAUGAUUCUUAGACUGAAACAAGUGAAGACACAUUUGGGGAGCAAAAUAACUCAGACAUAACCACAAUCAAGAAUGAGUCCCAUGAAGAACCACAUGAAGAAAUACCUAACCAAUAAUCUACAGAGGAUGUUCCUACCACAAAUCCCAGUCUAAUCAGAAAAAUACUUCCCUAGCGUCAAAAUAGAGGUAUCCCUAAACCCACAUAUGAGUCUAACCUCUCUAGUAGAGUCAAAUACCUUAUAAGCCAUUUUGUGUCUAACCACCGCUUGUCAGAAUCAAAUCAGUCAUUUAUGAAUCAAUUAUCUACUAUAUCUAUUCCUAACAGUGUGCAGGAAGCUUUAAAAGAUCCAAAGUGGAAAGCAGCUAUGAAUGACGAAAUGAGAUCUCUUUAAAAAAAUCAGCCGAUGGAUCUAAAUUAUAAAAUACAAGGCAGAUGGCUCUAUUGAACGAUAUAAAAUAAGGCUCGUAACUAAGGGUUACACCCAAACCUACGGGAUAGAUUAUACUAAUACGUUUGAACCAGUAUAAAAAAUUAAUAUUAUUCGUAUUUUAUUAUCAUUAGCAGCAAACUUUGAUAGACUAGUGCAACAGUUUGAUGUAAAAAAUGCUUUCCUCCAUGGAGACCUGUCUAAAGAAAUUUAUAUGGAUCUGCCACCAGGAUGCAGUGGAUCAGAACGACUCAAUCAAUAAGUAUGCAAAUUAAAGAAAUCAUUAUACGGGUUGAAGCAAUUCCCAAGAGCAUAGUUCGGGAAAUUCAUAAAGGCUAUGAGUUUUUUUGGCUAUAACCAAAGCAAUUCAGAUCACACAUUGUUCAUUAAAAAAUGACAAGGUACUUGUCCCACACAAGGCUAGAUCUUGCUUAUGCAUUGAAUGUUAUAAGUCAGUUCAUGUAUAAUCCCGGAGAACAACAUAUGAAAGCAGUAAUGUGGAUCCUGAGGUACCUAAAGUCAAAUCCUGGAAAAAGAAUCUUAUUUUCCAAAAAUGAAGAUUACAACAACAUAGAAGUUUAUACUGUUGUAGAUUGGGCAGGGUUAGCUAGUGAUAGAUGCUUUACCUUAGGCGACUUUACCUUUAUGAGAAGCAACCUUGUCACAUGGAAAAGCAAGAAACAGCAUGUCGUUGCUCGUUCGAGUCCUGAAGCAGAAUAUCAAGGCAUGGUCUUUGGGGUAUGUGAAGGGCUAGGGUUAAGCUUUAUCUUAAAAGAUUUUGGCUAUCAAUCACAACAACCAAUACAACUAUACCGUCACAAGACAGUUGUAUGAGAUAUUGCUCAAAACCCAGUUCAGCACGAUCGAACAAAACACGUCGAGGUAGAUAGAUUUUUCAUCAAGGAUGAAAAAAAAUCUUAGAACUGCCGAAAAUUCGAUCAGAAGAUUAACUUGCAGAUAUUUUAACGAAGGCCAUUUCUAGUAGAGCAUUUAUAAAAUUCCUAGACAAGAUGGGUAAGCAAGACAUCUAUGCACCAACUUGAGGGGGAGUGUUGAGAAUAUCAAAUAAAACAGCGUUGCAUGGAAGUUGUCAAAGACACGAUUCACACUAAACGGCAACGGCACGGUUGGUGAAGAUCCUUCCAUAAUAUGUGAUAAUUCUAUGAAAUGAGAGUUAUUACAUCAAUUCUAGACUUAAAUCAAGAUUACUUAGAGAGCAAAUAGGGUGUUUUUAUUACAUUUUGGUUAUAUUUUGCAUAAACAUUCAUUUUAGUUAAGUCUUAAUAAGUUUUGCUUGAAUCAAACUAAUUUGUGUUCAAAACAGGUGCAUAAUUGUAGGUUUUCAGAAAGUCUUAAUUCAUGAAGGGAUGCUAAGACAUUAGAUUAGCAAGAGGAGGAAAGAAGAUGGCCGCAAAAAAAGUAAAACACAAUUGAGAACAGUGCAGUGUUGUAGUUGUUGUUAGAGCAACAUGUGCUGUAGCAAUCUGGGAGCAAUAAGGGAGAAAACUUAGGCACGGGCCAGCUGCAGAAUCGCGAUCUACAUGUUUCCUAAUUUAACUCAUGCAUGCCCACAAACUUUCAUUUACCUUAGUUUGCAGUAUAAAAGGGGCGCGCGCACCACAUAAAAAGGCGGCAAGGGAAUUAUCAUUAAGACAUUAGAGAAAAGAGGAGAAGAAGAUCAGAAUUAAGAGGGACGACUUUAGUAGAAUUGAGAUUUCCAGCAGAGUUAUUUGGAUUGCUUUUUACCGUUCUCAACUUUUACUUUUCUUCUUUCUGAUGUAUCCUGUGAACAAUAUAUUUAUGUUUGAUUUUCUCAUUUAGAAUAUGAACUAGAUUUGCUUGUAGUUGAGUGACAAACGAUCCAAUGGGUUCUUGACUAUUCUUAUGUGUUGUUAUGUCAUUGCUAUAGCAUUUUACUCUAGUAGUUAUUAUUAAUAUAAUUGUUAUUUUGGUUGACCACUCAUUUAACAAUUCAAGUUAAGAUAGAGCCGCAAAAGGGCAUGUCUUAGUGGAUAUUAUUAUAGUAUUACUUGAUCUUGAUUUAAGUUUCCUGGAUUAAGUUAUCUUGAAUCCCAUAAGGGCUACACUUGAAGUUAAGAUUUGUGACACACUAGACAUAAGUGCUCACCUUGUAGGGUGGAGAGACUAAAGGGUCAUAAAGCCAUACCAUAAGUAGAUUAGCAACUGGUCAUUAUUAAUAGAUUUAAGGGUAUGAGAGUUCCAAUAUGCGACAGCUGAGGAUGCAGAGUAAUUUUGCCCAGUGCUGCAGCACUUGCCGUAACAACUGGUGUUAACUUGAUGAAAAGCAGUCAGCCUAAAAGGAGAGUUUGAUCAUUCAACUACCAUAGUCUAAAUUGAAUCUUAGACACAUUUAAUUUAGUUUAUUUCAUUACGGUAUUAUUUUACUUUAUUCUCUCACAAUCAUCAAUUACGAUAGAACCCACUUUAUGUUUGUUAACUUCGCACUUAAGUAGUUUGCACUAUUGUGAUCGCUAUAGCACUUCAAAUAACAUCAAUCCCUGUGGAGAUGAUCUUGAAUAUUCAUCACUGUAUACCUGCACAUUGGCAUUAGUAGCAUUUGAUUAUAAAAUUUACCAACAAUAUGCGUAUCUAAUUUUUGAAAAAAUUGUAACAUCUGUAUGUAUAAAUAUGAUCAAUGUAUAACGUUUUACUUAAGAAAUGAAAAACACUCAUUUCUUAAGUGGUGUUAUAUUGUGAGUGUGUUUUGGUGUGAUAGGCACCAUAUGUGCCUUUGUUUUGAUGCCUAUUGCACCAAAACACAAUUCAAAUUAUGUUGUAUUUUAGGGCAAUGCCACUGUUGCACCAAGUGUGACAAACAAUUGUACAUAAAUAAUCAGUUUAUAUGUUAUGUUGUGUUUUAUGUGCCACAAAUGCUUAUCACCCAAACUGUGUUUUGGUUUUUUGUCUCUUUUUAAAAGUUUUAAUUGUUUUGUUAAUUUUAUAAAUGUUAUUGACCAUUUCUUUUGUGUGAUUCAUCAUAGAUAAAUGGCGAAGAAUUAACUGAUCAAGUAUAAACCAUCCAGACCGAGAAAUUUGUGUUUUGAUGUGACAUGCACUUGUCUCUCAAGCUUAACUGCAACAGGUACUUAUCACAUGUGUGAAAGUGCUUAUAGAAGCUCAAGUGCCACAAGCAUCUAUCACCUAAGCUCAAGUGUUGUAGGCACUUGUCGCACAUUUUAUGGGUUUGUAUUUUACUUUGUCUUUACUCAAAAUUUGUUUUUUUUUUUGUUCUAAUCUAUUAACUCAAACUAAGCAUUUUAUGAACCCACAUCAAUUUACAACAAAAAGUAGAUAAUAUUUACAACAACAAUGACAUCAAUUUAUUGAGAGUAGUGAGAUUUGGAGAUUUGUAGAGAGUGAUAUCGUGAUUUGUUGAGAGUAGUGAGGAUAUUUUUAUUUAAAAGUUAGAUAUUUGGUUAGUUAUAAUAGAAAAAUUUCGAAGGGCCAAUUUUAAGAAAUCUAAAAUUUUUUAGGCUAGCUAUUGCAUUUCCCAUGACAAAAUUAAAAUUGAGCAUGCCGACCCUUAGGCUUUGUGAUUGCAAUUCAAGUUUCUAAUGAUGUGGCAAUCACAACGAACCCUUUUUUUUUUUUUUAAUUGGAUUGCAAAUCUUCGAUUCAUGGGAAUGGUGCUUUUCAUUUUAGGAAACUAACCCUAAUAAAUUAUUAAAUUAUAAAAGUAACCACAAAUACAUUUUUUAUUUUUUCUAUCAAACUUAGCCAAAUGCCAUUCAUUUGGAUGAAUUACCCUUGUCAUUCAAAUCACAGAAACCAAAAGUACCGAUACUACACCUUGAUGCGCUCUCGAUUGUCAAUGGCAUGGAGAUUUUUCCUAAUUCAUGCGUCAAUGUUUUAUUUGGUGUCAUUACUUUUCGAUCAUAUUUUUUGUUGGGUCAUUAUUGAAUUUUUGGUUUAUAUAAUGAAUUGAGUUGUGUCUUGGUCAUUUAAAAUUUAUCAGUGGCAUGCGUGCUAAUAUAUAUAUAUUUUUUAAAUGUUAGUGAAUGAAACAUUAUUUGUUCAAUUUUUUUUUAUUGUCCAUGACAAUUAAAAUCAAGGGAAAUUAUCCACGGACCACUCAUUUUUAAAUUUUUUUAAAAAAUACACAAUUCUUUUUUUUAAUACCUGAUUUGUGCUCUUGCUAUCAAACUUCUCAAUUUCUAAGACCUAAUUUCUGCUCUUAUAUCCUAAUUGAUUUUUUAACUUCUUCACAAAAUUUAACUUUUGGCUAUAAGAUCACAAGCAUUAAACAUAAACCCAAAUUUAUAAAACAAAAUAAUUUCUUCUCAAGUUUAUAACAAUCAAACUUGAAAACACAAAAUACUCAAAUAACCCAUGAAAAUUUAAAAGAAGACGACCAAACCCUCAAAAAAUAAAAGCAGCGGUAGAUGCAGUGGUUCAAUACGGCAGCAUCCAGCUGAUGUUAUUGCCACCUGUUGUAGGACUGAAGCCUUUACUGUCACUACUUUCACUUUGAAGAACCAACAGUAAAGAAGAAAAAUGAAGAACAAGAAAAGAAGAAGAAGAAGAAGAGAAGAACAAAGAAGCAUUAAAGAACCAACAGCAAAGAGGAAAGAAAGACGACGAACUAUGAUUUUUUUUGGGUACCGAAAUAGGGUAAAUUAGUCAUUUAAUAUUUAAGGGUAAAAUAGUUCUUUAAUAUUUAUUUAUGAUAAAAAAGAAAUUUUAUGUUUUGGGGUUAAAAAAGUCAUUUGAGUAAUAUUCGGUUAACUCUUAUCGUGAAAGCUCUUAAUGUGAAAGUGGAGGAGUGAUCCAUUCUAUAAAGGGUGGUGAUAUUUCCACCCUACAAAUUUUAUAAACCCACUCCCUUUUCAAAAAAUCAUUACCACAAAUGCACAUUAUUUUUUUAAAAUUUAAAUUAAGAAGAAUUUAAAUAUUUAAUCAAUUAAAUUCAUAUUCAAUUUUUUAUGAGACUAUAUAUUUUUAUUAUAUUUGAUCAAUAAGGUUGCUUUAACAUAAAUUAAUAUGAUUAUUUUACCCCCACAAGGUAAAAGUAUCAAAAUAUCUAAAAAUUUACUUUCAAUUUUUUUAAUAUUUUAAUGAUGCAUAAGUAGUAUUUUAUUAGUAUGAUUAUUAAUAUUCCACUAAACUAAAAAGAUAUAAUUAAGACAUGUGGAGUAUUAAAAAUUAUUAAAUUUAUGUAAAUCAUAUUAGAUUAUAACACAUAAAACUAAAUGCCUAAAGAAUUAGUUACAAUAACAUAUAUUUCUUAGGGUAAUUUGGUUAUUUUAUAUUAUAAAGGUAAAAUGUUCAAAUUAAACUUAUCUUAAAACAACUUUACAUAUUGAUUGUUAAAAGACUAAGUUUGAAAAGAAAAAAAAUUAUAAAAAUGAUUUAAUUAAUUAAUUGUUCAAACUUAUUAUUAAUUUGUAAUUUUAUAAAAUACAGUGAACUUAUUGUAAUUAUUUUAUGGAGGUGGGGUGGGUUUAUAAAAACAAUGGGAUGUAAAUAUCGACACCCUUCCAUAAAGUUUAGGUGGAAUGCUGACAAAAAAAAAAGAUUUGAGUAUUUUUGGAAAAAAGUCUAAAAAAACGAGUGGUCUGUGGAUAAUUGCCAUAAAAUUAAACAAUUAAUGCUAGCAACUCUUCAAGCAUUAAAGAUCAAGAUUUUCAUGUGAUAACUUUGAGAUCAAAUGGAAAAUCAACUAUUUUAGGCAUCUUAUUAAUUUUUCUUAUACUAUACAUUAUUAUUGUGAAUUAAUGAUAAAAUAUGAAUCUUAAGGUAUUCUAUUUAUUAUAAUUCCAGAAUCAUAACAUAUUUACUUGAACAUGAUUUAGACUAUGAUAAAAUACUAUGAUAUUAAUGUUGUUUAGAUAUAUAUUAUUUAUUUAACAUUCAAAUUAAAUAAUGGUACAAAUGUAAAACUGCAUAUUUUCAAUUUUUAAAGUUGAAAGAACAACAAACUUGAUAUUUAUUUUCAAAGAUUCAAACAAAAUAAACAAAUAUGCUUUUUAGAUUCACAUAUUCAAAUCUAUUUAAAAUUCAAAUUGAUUUAAAUCUAUUCACAUUUCAAAUAAAAAAAAUAUUGGUAUUGAAUGAAUAUAGUAGGAACAUCAAACACAAAACUAGAGGACUAAUAUGUUGAAAUAUGUGAACCAAUAAAUGAGAAAGUUUAACCAAAGUUAGAGCCUAUUCUAACAAAAACAAAAUUAUAAAAAUUAAAGCUAGUAAUUAUUUCAAAUAAUUGAAAUUGUGCUAAGUUACUAUGAAUAUUCAACACAAAUGAAAUAAUUAGUUCAGACAAGAACUCGUAAGAGAGAAAAUUUAAGCAAAAUUAGGAAAUCUUUAAAUGAAAAAUGAAAGUUGGAAUAUAACUUAAAAUAUUGGUAUCGAAUUUGGUACGAAUAUCAAAUACAAAAUUGAUGGACUAAUAACUUGAAACGUGGGAACCCAUAAGUGAAAAAGCUUAAGCAAAAUUAACGACUAGUCUAAGAAAUAUAAUUCUUAUAUUUAACCCAAAUAAUUGAAAUCUUACUAAAUUAAUGAGAAUACACAAUACAAAAUUAGUGGAAUAAUAGUUGAAAUAUAUAAACCCACAUGAAAUGAAGUUUAACUAAAAUUAUGAACUCGUCUCAUAGAAAUGAAAGUUGUUUAGAAUCUAACUCAAAAUAUUGGUAUUUAACGACAUUAGUAGGAAUAUAAAACAUGAAAAUAGUGAACUAAAAAGUGAAUAUAUGAAACCUAUAAGUUUAACCAAAAUAAGUUACUAAUCUAACAAAACUAAAUUUAUAAAAAAUAAAAAUUUAGUAUCUAACCUAUAUAAUUGGAAUCUUACAAAGUUAAUGGAAAUACUCAACACAAAAAUGAUGGAAUAAUUAGUUGAAAUUACUGAGCCUAAAUAGUAGAAAAUAUAACGAAAAUGUGAACUUAUCCAAUAGGAAAUGAAUUUACUUACAUUCUAACCCAAUAUAUUAGUAUUUAAGGAAUUUAAUAGGAACAUCAAAGACAAAGCUAGUGGAUUGAGAAGUGAAAACAAAUAAAUUAGUAAGUGAAAAAGGUUAAAAAAAAUUAGAGUUGUGUGAAAUCAAAUUGCAACAUCCAAUUAAUAUAUUGGUAUUUAACUAAAAGAGUUGCAUAUGAUUAUUUUAUAGUUUUUUAAUAUCAUUUAAAUUAUAAUAUUUUUCUCAUUCAAAUAUUUUUAUGUUAGUUAUUUACAAAUUUUCUUAUUUUUCAGCAUUAAAAAUAAAUUGUCAAAAAUUAUUUAGAAAACACCAAAAUCACCAGCUGUUCAAGUUGUAAUGCACCUCUGUCCGCGGCCAAUUAAAUACCGGCUCCAUUCUCUCUUCUAGUCUUCUUCAUAAUUUUACGUUGUACACUUUUUAUUUUCUUUUUCUACGCUACACAUGUUUGUUUUUUCAUUUUUUCUUUUUUUUUCCUCAGUGUUUUUGCAUGUUGAUAAUUGUAUAGUUGCUCUUAGACAAUCACAUUCGCUUGGAUAAACUUCUUUUUAUCAUGGAAAAUGAUCUUUGCACAAUCCCUAUUUUAUCAUAUGUACAUUGUUGAGUGUUAGAAAAUGCAUAUUUAUAAGGAGAAAACCGUCAUUUUACAUUUCAAGUCUUACUAACAACCCUUACUUUUAUGUAUUUAACAUUCUUGUGAUUUAAUUACGUGUGUUUUAUUUUAAUUAAGUAAUUUAUGUAUUUUAGGGGCAUUAUAGUUAUUUCAUAAUAAAGGAGAGAUCAGACAGCAAAACGGACAUCACUUUUGAACUCAGGACGGUCGAAAACCUUAGGAGGAGCAUAAAAGGAAAAAUGACACUAUUCACAUGUACGGUACUAUUCACGUAUACGGGACUGUAUACGUUACUGUUCACGGCACUGUUCACAUAGACGGAUCGAUGACGUGGCAUUGACCGAUGAUGUGGCAUUGACUGAUGAGGUGUCACGAUCCUGUUGGACUAAAAUUCUUAUGUACUGUUGAUGGUGACGUGGCAGCAUAUCAGUGGACGAAAAAUCUCGCGUACGGUGUAUGCAUCACACAGGAUUAUUUUCAACCAAACCGCGUUACUGUUCAUCCGGGUCAAACCGCGUUACUGUUCAAAGUCGGGUCAAACCGUGUUACUGUUCAUCCGCGUGGUCAAACCGUGGACUGUUGACUGAUGACGUGGCGCAAUCCUGAGCGUUCAAACUGUUUUUAAUCCGAUGGCCAUGAUUUACUCCAUGUAUCUAUAAAAAGGGGGCCUCUCCCCCCUAAAUGGAUAUCUCUGAAUCCAUUUUUGGGAUCCAUUUUCUGUAAUUCCCUCUCCAUCUUGUAUUUUCUUCGUAUUUUAAUAAAUUUCCAUUUUGCCCCUAGUUCAAUUAUGAGUGGCUAAUUUUCUUUCAAGCUUGGGUUGAAGGUGAAGUCUCAACAUGUGUCAUGGGCUUAAUUUGGUAAAUUUAUUUUCUCUUCCCCUCUAGUUUUUGUGGAUGUUUUGACUUCUCGUCGAAAAAUAAUACUAAUCUUGUCUAGUACUGCCUUGGUUACACCGGCCCUCUAGUACAAGGUUAUUAUUAUUUGGCACGAUAAGCCCUUAGCACCAUAUUGAUUAGAGCGUGGUUCAUGAGGUGUGGAUUCCCCCCUCAUGAUUUAAUUGGCAUUAAUACGGAUUAUUUAGCCCAUGAUGCAUGUUGAUACGGAUCCAGAUACCCAAGUACGUCAUUUCAAUAGAAUUCUCUUCAAUUUAUUCUCACCAUUUCAAUACCAAUUUUAGAAUUUAUUCUCGCCAUUUUAAUUUAAGUUUUAGCAUAUUCCAAUCAUUUCCACCACAAAUCCAAUCACCCAUUCACAAAAAUUAAUUCUACACAAUUAAAAUCCACCUCCUCGUGGGAUCGACACUCGUCACCAUUAAUCUAUACUACAACAUAUUCGUGCGCUUGCGAGUACAUUAAAAUUUGCACAACAAGUUUUUGGCGCCGUUGCCGGGGAGGUAAGUAAUUUUAAUUCAUAGAAUUAAUUUUUUUGAAUAAUUUCUUUUAUUUGUUUUCUUGUAUUUUUUUUAAAUUAAAAAAAAGAAAAAAAAAAGUGAAUCUACAUUUAAAGGUUAGUAUUUCUUUUCUUUUUCUCUUCUUUAAAAUUCUGUAAUUUAAUUUUCCAUUUAUUUUUCUUUGUAAUUUUUUUUUGUUUAUCUUAUUAAUUUAAUUUUUAGUUAAUUUCUUUCACGUAUUUAUUUUUGUGUAUUUUUAUAGAAAGGUUGUAAUAGCGCAAUAAGGUUAGUAUCGUAAUUUCUCCCUCUUCUUUAUUUUUAUUUGUUUUGUUCUCAUCUUUAUUUUUUGUUUUGUUUGCAUCUUUAUUUUUAUUUUAUUUAUUUUGCAUGCAUGGUCGUAGGUCAUUAUUACCUAAUCUUGAACCUAUAGACCUUGAAUUAGAAAAAACACUUCGCACACACAAACACGUUAAAAAUAAAAUGGAUUUACAAGCACCACAGGAGAGGCCAUUUAAGGACUAUUUUAGUCCCUUAGCUAAUUUGAGCACGUCAUGCAUAAGAUACCCAAAUGUAGCUGCUAGGAGUUUUGAAUUAAAACCUAGUGUGUUAAAUUGUCUCCCUACAUUUUAUGGCCUAGAAAAUGAGGAUCCAUAUAAUCAUUUGAAUGAUUUUCAUGCCAUUUGUCAAACAUUCAAAUAUGAGAAUUUUUCAGAUGAUGAUGUUAAACUUAGACUAUUCCCAUUUUCUUUAAAAGAUAGAGCUCGUUCAUGGUUAAAUACUUUACCUGCUAAUAGCAUUUCAUCAUGGGAACAAAUGGUAACGAAAUUUUUGAAUAAAUAUUUCCCAGUGCAUAAAACCAAUGCUAUUCGCAGGGAAAUCUCAGAGUUUACCCAGAGAGAGGACGAGCAAUUUUUCGAAACAUGGGAGCGAUUCAAUGGGCUACUCUUGAAGUGUCCACAUCAUGGGUACGAGAAAUGGCACCAAUGCCAAUACUUUUUGGAGGGAUUACUACCAAAUGUGCAAGAAUGGCUAAUGGCAACAAGUAGAGGAGAGCUAAUGUCAAAAAGUGCAUCAGAAAUUUUCAUGCCAUUUGUCUCAAGGAUUCCAACAGAAUGGACCAGCAGCUCCAGCUCCACCAAUGCAACAAAUUUCUCAAGUUCCUCAAGCCUCUCAGCCACCAUUUAGACCAUACAAUCAGAACCAGAACCACUCUCAACCUAGACCAUGGGAGGAUGCAUUCCAGAAUUUCAGGAAUGUUACUCACUCCACGAUUGAGCAACAGAACCGCACCAUUGAUGGACUACGAAAUGAGUUGAGAGUAGGCUUCAACUCACAAGCUCAAUCGGUUUCAAGCCUCGAGAAGAUGGUGGGACAACUUGCUUCUUCAGUUCAGACCUUGGCAAUGACCGUUGAGAAAGGCAAAUUUCCAAGUCAACCAGUGCCUAAUCCUAAAGGAGUACAUGAAGCAAGUACCAGUUCACCACAGCAGCAUGGAGAGGUCAAAGCAGUAAUGACCUUGCGAAAAGGAAAAGAAGUCGACAACAAAGUGGAGAUGCCGGUGACAAAAGAAAAUCAAAUCGUGCCUGUGAAUGUUGAGGACUCACCACCGGAGGAAAAAGAAGAAACCAACCCACGGGAAUAUGUUCCCAAAGCUCCAUUUCCUCAGAGGUUAGCUAAAGGAAAAAAGGGAAAAUCCACAGGUGAGAUUCUUGAAAUCUUCAAACAGGUAAGUGUUAACAUCCCUUUGCUUGAUGCUAUUAAACAAGUUCCAUCUUAUGCCAAGUUUCUUAAAGACCUUUGUACUAAAAAGAGAAAUAUGCAUGCUCAAAAGAAGGCAUUUUUAACAGAAAACGUUAGUUCUAUACUCCAACAUAAAAUUCCUUUAAAAUGCAAAGACCCAGGCUCCCCCACUAUCUCAUGUAGUAUAGGGAACCACACAAUUGAGAAUGCUUUGUUGGAUUUAGGAGCUAGUGUAAAUUUGUUGCCUUAUUCAGUAUUUGUGAAACUUGGAUUUGGAGAAUUACACCCAACUCCAGUGGUGUUACAGCUUGCAGAUCGGUCCACGAAAAUACCUCGUGGUAUUGUGGAGGACGUGCUUAUCCAGGUAGACAAGUUUUAUUUUCCUGUUGAUUUUAUUGUAAUUGACACUCAACCAAUACAGGAUUCAAGGAAGCACAUCCCCAUUAUUCUAGGCCGACCUUUUUUGGCAACUGCGGAUGCUCACAUUCAAUGCAGGACUGGAAAUAUGCAGUUGUCCUUCGGCAACAUGACUAUGGAGCUGAACAUCUUCAACAUUGCCAAACAACCUCACAGUGUAGAUGAUGGAAUUGUUGAUGUGGAUUUAAUUGAAGCAUUAGUUGAUGAUACUUUUGUUUCAAACCUUAGUGAUGAUCCUUUACAAACAUGUUUAACUCACUUUGGUUUGGAUUUUGAUAUUGACAGAUCGGUUGAUGAGGUCAACGCCCUGCUUGACUCAGCACCAUCCAUGGACACUAAUAAAUGGAAGUCAAGAGUUGAACAACUAGCACCAUCAGAGAAGAAACUCAUCCCAUCAUCAGAAUCACCACCGAAACUCGAGCUCAAACCAUUGCCCAACACAUUGGAAUAUGCAUUUUUGGGAGAAGAAAGUACUCUGCCGGUAAUCAUCUCAUCAUCCCUAAAUGACGAACAAAAAGGUAAGUUGUUGGAUGUUUUAAAAGAGCACAAAGGAGCAUUAGGAUGGACCAUAGCAGACAUUAAAGGUAUAAACCCAGUAGACUGCAUGCAUUACAUUCACCUUGAUGAAAAUGCUAAAUCUACUAGGGAAAUGCAACGUCGGUUAAAUCCUAAUAUGAAAGAAGUUGUUAGAACAGAAGUCCUUAAGCUAUUAGAUGCUGGUAUCAUUUACCCCAUUUCUGAUAAUGAAUUGAUACCCACUAGAGUAACUACAGGAUGGCGUGUAUGCAUUGAUUAUAGAAAGUUGAAUUCUGUCACACGUAAAGACCAUUUUCCUUUACCAUUUAUUGAUCAAAUGCUUGAUAGAUUAGCAGGCCAUGAAUUUUAUUGCUUUCUAGAUGGCUACUCAGGAUAUAAUUAGAUUCCCAUAGCACCAAAAGAUCAAGAGAAAACUACUUUCACUUGCCCUUUUGGCACAUUUGCAUAUAGGAGAAUGCCAUUUGGAUUAUGUAAUGCACCUGCUACAUUUCAACGAUACAUGUUGAGCAUUUUUUCUGAUAUGGUUGAACGAUUCCUUGAAGUCUUUAUGGAUGACUUUUCUGUCUUUGGUGACUCGUUUGAUCAAUGUUUACAUCAUCUAACACUAGUUCUGCAGAGAUGUAUCGAGAAGAACUUGAUCUUAAAUUGGGAGAAAUGCCAUUUUAUGGUAAAACAAGGUAUUGUUCUCGGUCACAUCAUUUCGAGCAAAGGUAUUGAGGUUGACAAAGCCAAGGUGGAUCUCAUUUCUAAUCUUCCUCCACCCAAAACAGUCAGAGAAGUAAGAUCUUUCCUUGGGCAUGCUGGGUUCUAUAGACGUUUCAUUAAAGAUUUUAGCAAAGCUUCUAGACCCUUAUGCAAUUUACUUGCUAAGGAUGUACCUUUUGUCUUUGAUGAUUCAUGUCUUGUUGCGUUUGAAAAAUUAAAGCAUUUGUUGACAUCAUCACCCAUCAUUCAGUCCCCGAACUAGAGUUUACCAUUUGAACUCAUGUGUGAUGCAUCUGAUUAUGCAGUAGGAGCAGUAUUAGGAGAAAGAGUUGAUCGAAUUCCCCACGUUAUUUACUAUGCUAGUCUGACAUUGAAUGAUGCACAGUUGAACUAUUCAACUACUGAAAAAGAAAUGCUAGCAGUAGUGUUUGCAUUAGAGAAAUUUCGAUCUUAUCUCAUUGGUUGUAAAAUAACUAUAUUCACAGAUCAUGCUGCUCUUAAAUAUCUUCUCACAAAGAAAGAUGCAAAAGCUAGACUAAUUCGUUGGGUGUUACUUUUGCAGGAAUUUGACUUGGAAUUCAAAGAUAAAAAAGGGACAGAAAAUGUUGUGGCGGACCACCUCUCUCGUCUCCAUCUUGACACAAUUACAGAGCCAUUAAUAUUGAAUGAGUCAUUUCCAGAUGAACAAUUAAUGAGUGUGGAAGUAUUACCUUGGUAUGCUGAUAUAGUUAAUUAUCUUGUUACAGGUAAACUUCCUGAGCAUUGGACCAAGCAAGACAAGGCAAAAUUCUUUGCAGAGAUAAAGAAUUUCUUUUGGGAUGACCCGUAUUUGUUCAAGUAUUGUGCGGAUCAAAUUGUUAGACGAUGUGUCCCAGAAAGUGAAAUUCAGAAUAUCCUUUCAUUUUGCCAUGAACAAGCUUGUGGAGGCCAUUUCAGUGCUAAGAAAACAGCGACUAAAGUUUUACAAUGUGGUUUCUAUUGGCCAUCUAUAUUUCGAGAUGCUUACACUUUCUGUUCUUCAUGUGAUAGGUGUCAACGAAUGGGAAGCAUUACACGAAGGAACAUGAUGCCACUAAAUCCAAUUUUAGUGGUUGAGAUUUUUGACGUAUGGGGUAUCGACUUCAUGGGACCCUUNNNNNNNNNNNNNNNNNNNNNNNNNNNNNNNNNNNNNNNNNNNNNNNNNNNNNNNNNNNNNNNNNNNNNNNNNNNNNNNNNNNNNNNNNNNNNNNNNNNNNNNNNNNNNNNNNNNNNNNNNNNNNNNNNNNNCGCUUUGGAUUCCCUCGAGCAAUAAUCAGUGAUGGUGGUGCCCACUUUUGUAACAAAGCAUUCAAAGCUCUUUUGACAAAGUAUUCAAUCACACACAAAGUGGCGACCCCGUAUCAUCCGCAAACCAGUGGCCAAGUUGAGAUCUCCAAUCGAGAAAUAAAGCACAUAUUAGAAAAGACAGUGAGGCCAGACAGAAAAGAUUGGUCAUUAAGACUUGAUGAUGCCUUAUGGGCAUAUAGAACGGCUUUCAAGACCCCGAUUGGGAUGUCACCCUACAGGCUAGUGUAUGGAAAAGCUUGCCACCUACCUGUGGAACUCGAGCAUCGUGCAUAUUGGGCCAUCAAGAAAUUCAAUUUUGACAUGCAGCAAGCCAGCUCAGAAAGAAGAUUACAGCUGGCAGAACUUGAAGAAAUUCGCAAUGAUGCAUACGAAAAUGCCAAGAUUUACAAGCAACGAAUGAAAGUCUUCCAUGAUAAGCAAAUUAUGAGGAAAUCGUUCACUCCAGGUCAGAAAGUGCUUUUAUUCAAUUCUCGCUUGCACCUAUUCCCAGGUAAGUUACGCUCUCGUUGGUCUGGUCCCUUUAUUGUUCAUACUGUUUUUCCACAUGGGGUAAUUGAAAUUAAGGACCCAAAGAACGGUGUCACGUUUAAAGUUAAUGGUCAAAGAUUAAAGCCAUAUCUAGAGUACCAACCACAUAACGAAGACACCGAAAUAAAUUUGAGUGACCCACCAAAUUUGAAUUGAUUUUUUUUUCUUUUCGUUGAUUUGAUUUUUCUUUCUUUCUUUUUAUUAUUAUUCUUUUGCUAAUUGAAAUUGUUUUUGCAUAAGUGUGUUUAUUUUACCAUUAAGUUUUCUCUUAUCAUUUUUAAUCAUGAGUCUCAUACUUAGACCGUUCCUCCUGAACAUUCUUAAACCACUUCAACGUGUCAAAACUCAUCUCAAAAGGCAGAUUCAAUUUUGUAAAACACAACGCAUUUGGGCUCUACAACCACCAGAGUUAGUAGCCUAUGUUGAGGGUUUAGAACGCCAACUCAGAGACAUUGAGAGAAGUGUUUACGACAUCCAGUUGGAGCUUGAGGUAAAUUCAAUAAGAGGACGAUUUUAAUUUUCUUUGUGUGUUUUAAUUUGUUUUUCUGUUUGUGUGCUUUAGUUUGUUACCCCGGUGAAGUGGCGGAUAACGGUACUCCGUGACAAUCAAGUCGGUUACUUCAGUUUCCCAUAAUAACUGAUAUUCUGAGGCGAAGGUAUGGACAGAAAUGAGAUUCUAGCAAAGCUUCACAAGCGAUUCCCUUCACUUCCUUAGAAUGCCCUCCUUACGAUCUAUAAAGCUCGGUCCGAACGCAUGCGAUUGCUCAUGAGGAAUAACAUACCUGCUGAUAUCCGUUGGUUAAUUGAGGCGAAAGUACGAUCGACAGGUGAGUUACCUCCAAAAUUUAUUGCAUUCAUGCCUGGUUGUGGUAAAGGAAAUUAUGCAAGAAAACGACGAGCUCGAAGAAUUUCUGUUGCUUGUCAUAAGUGUGCUAGAAUGAGUUGCAAUAAAAACCCAUGUUCUUUAGGAAUGGUGUCUGACAACAGGGAAGAUAAGAUUCAAUUCAUUAGGGAUGGCUUGGAUAAGGAGUCAUUGGAUGAUAUCCUUUUGUCUCUUGAAACGCAUCCCAGUGGAUAUGUGCAAGGAGCAAUUCUCCAGCUAUGGCCAUUAUUCCAGAAAGAGCAUGCACGAUAUAGUCUCGGGAAUCUGACUAUAAACGACCCUGUUUGCCAGUUUAUAAGAAAACUGGAUAGGAAGCCUAUCCUCGACCCAUAGAGGGCGUUCAAGCCGUUUCUGGACGUAAAAUCAGAGGAAGAUGUGAGCCACAGUCGCAACUACCUGUAAAUAUCCUUUUACUUUAUUGUUAUUUUAUUUCACUAUUGUCUUAUUGUUUGCAUUAUUGUCUUUAAUAAUUUUAUUACUGUUUGCUUUUUCCUUUUUACUGUUUUCUUUUUGACUUGCGAGCCACGUGCUUUACGCGUUAUUUGACACUGAUAUAUUACCUCAUACACAACCAUGACCCACUAUCACCAAGACUCUUAAAUGUGAUUUCUUUUUUGUCAAGCACUCACAAAUUGUUUUCGAGAAGUAUCACAAUGGCAGCUACUCCCAAUAGACAAUUUAAGAACAUUUGUGUACUUUCUGGAUUUACCUAUGGCAAACAUAAAGAGUUCGUUGAGGCAGCCAUAGAUCUUGGUCGAAGCAUAGCAGCGAGAAAAUUACACUUGGUGUAUGGAGGAGGUAAUCGAGGGUUAUCAAAAAUGGUAUCAGAAGCAGCUUUUAUCAGAGGAAGUCAAGUGUUAGGCAUCAUCCCAAGAGUCCUAAAACCAUUGGGCAGUUCGUCUGACUCAUCAACUGGAGAAGAGUUAGUCGUCUCAGGUAUGCAAGAAAGAAUAACUGAAAUGCUUAAUUAUGCUGAUGCUUUUAUUUUCCUUCCAGGAGAUCUUGCAACACUGGAGGCACUUAUGACACUAGCAUCUUGGGCCCAUUUACACAUUCACCAGAAACCCAUCGGUUUGUUAAAUGUCAAUAACUUUUAUGAUGGUUUUAUCGCAUUUCUUAACCAUGCAAUAAAAAACUAUUUCAUUCCUUCUAAUGUGAAAAAACUCUUUAUUUGUGCUCACUCUGCUACUGAGCUACUUGAUAUGUUACAAGCUUAUAAACCGGAGCCAAACCCCUGGACCUUUGUGUUGGAGCGACCAAAUAAUGAUGGUAACAGUAGCCGCAGUAAGAAGUACAAAUUAGAUUUAACUCUCCGCCUAUAAAUAUUUUCUUCUGUGUUGCACCACCCAGGUGAUGUCUUCUAAACUCUACUUCUUUCAUUUCAAACAUUGAGGACAAUGUUUCGUUCUGGUUGGGGGGAGGGAAUAGUCGACAAUUGUGGAAUUUUGGUUAAGUUUUUACUAAUUUUUUGUUGUAGAAACUAACUGUUGCUAACUUUUUGUGUUGAAGAUGGCUGAAUAUGGAGUGUAGUUACUCUAGAAACGCAUCUUCAUUGUUUGAAAAAAAAAAUAUUCAAAAAAAAAAUUCAAAAAAAAAACAAUUAGACAUUUUCUUUUUCUUUAUUAAGUUUUGAUGUUUAUUUUUCUUCUUUUUAAUUUCUCCUCUAUGAAUAUACAUUUUCCAACUUUUGAGUCGAAGAUGGCUGAAUAUGGAGUGUAGUGCCUCUAGAAACGCAUCUUCUUAGUAAAAAAAAAAAAAAAACCAUUUUUCGUUUUCUAUCAUUUUAAGUAUAACUUUUCUAAUUAGUUUUUAUGCAUCAUUUUCAUAUCUCUGCAUACAUAUUUUCCUUUCAUGUUUAGAAUAGGUUGGGGGGGAGAAUGUUGUUUAAAAAAAAAAAUUAUGUGAUUUGUUUUAACAUUAGAUGACAUGAUUAAUUUCAAAUUUUAGUAUUUGUAUUAUCUUUGGUCUUAAGUGAUGUUACAUUAUGUUUGCUACUCUACAUGUUGAUGUCGGAGACAAAUAUGCGUUGCUUGAAGGAAUGAACAUGUCAUAAUAAGUACCAAGUGAGUUUUUGAGCCUAUCAUUUUUCUUGGAGAGUAACCCUUUUGCCCAUUCUUUAUACAGCUUAACAGUUUAUUAUUGUAUACACGAUCUCUAGAUUUCUUUUGAGUUAACCCUUAAUAAAAAAAAAGAAAAAAAAAAGUGUGUUGCUACAUUUGGAGGCCCAUCUAACUAGUAGAUAUGGAAGGUUAUUUAGAGCCCUAAAAGACGAUGGAAAGGCCAUCUUUGAUCCGUUUGAGCCUUUCUAGCCAUCCAUUUUAUUAAAUAUCCAUAGUUAACCCUUUUGAGCCUUUAAAAAAAAAAACAUUUUUUUUGUCAACUUAUUAUCUUGACCCACUCCGAUUUGGAGUAUUAUCCGAUAUUUUAUAAGUUCCAUAACCUAUUUAUGUUUGAGAAAAUGUAAAUAAUUAUGUUGUUCAGUGAAGUAUACAAAAAAAAAAACAACAAAACAAAAGUUGUUGUUUCAAAAGAAUAAAAAUAAAAAUAAUAGGUGAAAUCCACCUUGCAACUUCCAAAAAAUAAAAAAAUAAAAAAAUUCUUUGCAUUUUUCUCAAACAUACACUUUGUUUUCCUUAUUUCCUUUCUUUGUUAACCAUGUCCCUAGCCUACGUUACAUCCUAAUAAAAGUCCUUCAUGAUUUUAGGGAACUAUAAUCUGAAGUAGAAGCUAGUUAUAUGGGCUAAAAAGAUGUAGUGGUGCAUAUAAAAAAAAUAAAUAAAUAAAUUGGGUUGACUAACAGUUUUUAUUUGACUUGAGAUCGUAUUAUUUUUAAGCUGAGGGCAUAUUUAUUUCAUCUUGGUGAGAGCAUGUGAUAUCACUUCUUCAUUAUUUUCUCUCAAUUACCAUUCAUUGGAGUGACUAUUUUUAUUGGGUUUAAUUUAUUUGUAAGAGUGUCACUACUUCCAGUGAGAUUUUGGGGUUUGACAUGUCAUUCUUGAAAGUAGUUAUAACAAAGUCUACUGGGCUGAUUCAUGUGGAUGGUUGAUGUGGGUGUGAUGUUGCUUUAGACUAGAGAUAAUGCUUAUACUUUUAUUUGAUUGCUAUCAUUAAUCUGAUUGAAUAAACACAAGUGUUUCUAAAAAAAAAAAAAAUCAUUUUGAAUUUGAAUUUUGUUUUCGCUUUAUUUGCUAGGGACUAGCAAUAAGCUGGUUGGGGGGUGUGUUGAGUGUUAGAAAAUGCAUAUUUAUAAAGGAGAAAACCGUCAUUUUACAUUUCAAGUCUUACUAACAACCCUUACUUUUAUGUAUUUAACAUUCUUGUGAUUUAAUUACGUGUGUUUUAUUUUAAUUAAGUAAUUUAUGUAUUUUAGGGGCAUUAUAGUUAUUUCACAAUAAAGGAGAGAUCAGACAGCAAAACGGACAUCACUUUUGAACUCAGGACGGUCGAAAACCUUAGGAGGAGCAUAAAAGGAAAAAUGACACUAUUCACAUGUACGGUACUAUUCACGUAUACGGGACUGUAUACGUUACUGUUCACGGCACUGUUCACAUAGACGGAUCGAUGACGUGGCAUUGACCGAUGAUGUGGCAUUGACUGAUGAGGUGUCACGAUCCUGUUGGACUAAAAUUCUUAUGUACUGUUGAUGGUGACGUGGCAGCAUAUCAGUGGACGAAAAAUCUCGCGUACGGUGUAUGCAUCACACAGGAUUAUUUUCAACCAAACCGCGUUACUGUUCAUCCGGGUCAAACCGCGUUACUGUUCAAAGUCGGGUCAAACCGUGUUACUGUUCAUCCGCGUGGUCAAACCGUGGACUGUUGACUGAUGACGUGGCGCAAUCCUGAGCGUUCAAACUGUUUUUAAUCCGAUGGCCAUGAUUUACUCCAUGUAUCUAUAAAAAGGGGGCCUCUCCCCCCUAAAUGGAUAUCUCUGAAUCCAUUUUUGGGAUCCAUUUUCUGUAAUUCCCUCUCCAUCUUGUAUUUUCUUCGUAUUUUAAUAAAUUUCCAUUUUGCCCCUAGUUCAAUUAUGAGUGGCUAAUUUUCUUUCAAGCUUGGGUUGAAGGUGAAGUCUCAACAUGUGUCAUGGGCUUAAUUUGGUAAAUUUAUUUUCUCUUCCCCUCUAGUUUUUGUGGAUGUUUUGACUUCUCGUCGACAAAUAAUACUAAUCUUGUCUAAUACUGCCUUGGUUACACCGGCCCUCUAGUACAAGGUUAUUAUUAUUUGGCACGAUAAGCCCUUAGCACCAUAUUGAUUAGAGCGUGGUUCAUGAGGUGUGGAUUCCCCCCUCAUGAUUUAAUUGGCAUUAAUACGGAUUAUUUAGCCCAUGAUGCAUGUUGAUACGGAUCCAGAUACCCAAGUACGUCAUUUCAAUAGAAUUCUUUUCAAUUUAUUCUCACCAUUUCAAUACCAAUUUUAGAAUUUAUUCUCGCCAUUUUAAUUUAAGUUUUAGCAUAUUCCAAUCAUUUCCACCACAAAUCCAAUCACCCAUUCACAAAAAUUAAUUCUACACAAUUAAAAUCCACCUCCUCGUGGGAUCGACACUCGUCACCAUUAAUCUAUACUACAACAGAUUCGUGCGCUUGCGAGUACAUUAAAAUUUGCACAACAUACAUCUAACCACCAUAAAAGUUUAAUAUGUUCUUGACACCACCUUUGUUUUUAAAUUUGUAUCAAUAAACAAUUUUGACCAUUAGAGUUUAAAUAAAAUAAUCAUUUUACCCUUAAACGAAUUAACAAACUAUUUUAUCCUACAAAAUUUUUAAAAAUAAAAAAAUUAUAAUUACCAUUUAAUCAAUUGAUAAAAUACUAUUGAAAAAUUGGAUGUGUGAGUACUAUUUAAUUAAAUGAUAAAAUAUUAUUGAUUUUUUAAAUCCUUUUAACCUAAAGAACAUGCAAUACUCAUCUCAAAUAUUUUUCUUUUUUUUUUCCCAUCAAACGCACAAUCACAAUUAUCAAACAAUUUUGAUCAUUUAAAUUAAUCACCAGGAUCAUAAUAGUCUAAACUAAUUUUGAAUAAUAAAAAAAUAUAAUUACAAAAAUUAUCGUUUAAUUUUUUUUAUAAAAACUAACAUCUUUAAUUUUUAGAUUUAUUUGUUUUAUUAAAUUUAGAGGUAUUUUUGUAAAUAUAAUUUUUUAUUUUUAAAAAUUUUGUAUGAUAAAAUGAUCUUUUAAUUUAUUUAGGGGUAAAAUGAUUAUUGUAUUUAAAUUCUUAGUGUUAAGUGGUUGAUUGAUAUAAGUUUAUAAACAAAGGUGGUAUAAAGAACAUGUAAAAAUUUUAUGGUAGUUAAAUGUACAUAUAACAAAAUAGUGGUGGUGCAGAGACAAUUUUCCUCUUAUUAUUAUUAUUAUUAUUUUUCAUGUCUCAUGUUGAUAACAUAUGUUACAUCACCUAUUUGAUGGUGUUAGCCGAUUUAUUCUUCUUUUUUCUUUUAUGUAAAAUCAUGGGAUAUAUCACAAGAUUUCUUUUUGAAAUAUUAAAUUCUAUAAAUAUAUUUUGUAAUCCAAAAUAUAUUGGGACCCUAUAAAUAAACACUUAUGCACAACUUAGAUUUCUUAUAUCAUAGAAUUUUGAUAAAUUAUUAGCAUUGAGACUAUGAAAUUUAUUAAUUUAGCGAGUAAUAAUUUAAUGAUAAAUUAAUAAACAAAUUAAUAAUUAUUAAUUCACCAAGAUAGCAUCACGUUCACAAUAAAAUUUUUCUUUUUUAUGAAGUAUAGAGAUGGUAUAAUUAGAGAAUACAGUGAUUCUUCAAAUUAUGUGGAACGAUUUUGAUAUGAUCUUAAUUAAGUUGAUGAGAACCAUCAAGGGAAUACCAUUAAAACUUCAAUGGAUCCUUUGCACAUUCAUGGAGGCCCAAUUACAAGAGCAAAAGCCAAAAAGAUGCAAGCUGCUUUAAAUGGAUUAAUUGAGAAAAUAUGGAUUGAAAAUGCAAUUCAAGAUGCAAGACAUCAUGAAUUGGGCUUGAAGAGAAGACAAGGCAUUGUGGGCAUUAUUCAAGUUAUUGGGCAGCCAAAUACACAAUUUGUAUCAAAUGCAAAAAGGUCAAAUUCGAAAUAAAAACUGUAUUGAUUGAGCUAGAAGUAAUGUGAAACCUAUAUAUCGUUGGAAAGAUAAUUAAGUUAGCUUUCCAAUAAAUUUUACAGAGCUAGAUUUGGAGUUAUCUAGAAGGCAUUAUGACCAAUUCAUUACAGCUUGUUCGGACUUGGGAUUUUCAACGACUCCUUUGUUUUUCAACUUCAUUUGUUUGUUUUGUUUCAAGUUUGUCAAUGUGUAAGGUAAGUCUACCAUCAAUGAUGAUGGGCUAACAUUAAGUUUUUCAAUGAUAGCAUUAAUUAUAGUAGGUUAGCAUUAAAUUUGUCAAAAAUAACAUUAAUUAUGGUGGGUUGGUGAAGACUUUUGAAACAUCCUUUGACAAACCUACUUGGAGGGUUGUUCCAAUGUUUUCAUUUGUAUUUUUAGGAUCUUGGGUUUCUUUUAGCCUAUUUAAAUUCAACAACCUUGUAUGUAAGAAUAUUAGAGAUUAAUGUUAUUUGAAUUUGAAAGAUUAUUCUUUCUUUGGUUCUUUUGAGAACUAGUGAACUUAUCAAGAAUUUGCAUUCUUGUGGCGUUCUAAAUUUAGACUUAUCACUCACCUUCUCAUCUAUUUCUUGAGUGUGGCGUCAAUAUCAUUUUCUAUACCUUUGGUUCAUGUUUUUUUAAGCAUUGGGUCAAGGUUUUGUUUGUCAUAAAUCUGUUUAGAACUUUCUUGGGAAGUUAAAACUACAAAUUAAAUGUGGGUUUCAAGGUUUCAUUGUGGGAUUCACAUCAUAAGUGAACCAAUCACUUGAUAAUUCUUUAACUAAAUGGAAGGCUUACAACAUUGCAUCAGUACAAAAAAGAAAAUCGUAAACAUAUUAUAUGUAUUGAAUUUCAAUUUAGUUAAUUAUUAAUUUCUGUCCUAUAGAAAAAUAAGAUUUUUUUUCCAAAGCUUACUUUUUAUUAAUUUAUCGAACUAUUCAGUUACCACAAUGACCCCCAGAUCAAAAUCAACAAAAAAUAUUAUUUACUCAAAGUUAUUAUUUUAUCAAUUGUUAAUUUAAUAAAACUCUACUGUGUUUCUUGAACACUUAUAAUUGAGGGCUUGAGCAGUGUGAGACUACACACCUAGUGCCAUAUAUUUCAUUACUUCUUUACUAUGGAUGUAUGAAAAUUUGAAUUGAAUGCAGUACAAUAUUGUAUAUUAUAUUUUUGGAAAAAGACAUUCUUACAAAAGAUUUCACAACACUUUGUAUAAAAUUGUGUGUUUUAAUAAAACAAAAUUGUAAAACAUUCAUAAAAUUUUAAACAUUAAUCAUUUACAUCCCUAUUUUGAUUCUUGGGUUGAUAAAUGUCAACAAAAAUGGUAUCAGAGCCAAGUUUUAGGUUCAGAAUAUAAAAGUAGAAGAAAUAGUUGUUUAUUUUGUAAUUAAUGGAGGAUAUAAUUUAAUGAUAGAUAGUAAUACAAUUAAGGAUAACAUAACUAAAUAUAGACAAUAUUAUUAUUUAGAACAAAAUAUAUUAGAUGAUAGCAACUAGAACAAUUGUAUUUAUCCAGAGAGCUCAUGAAAUUAGAAUUGGAGAACUCAUAAUAAUAAAGAAUAUAAAUUUCAACAUAGAUCCUAAUCUCCUAUUCACAGUUAGGAGAGAGGUUUAUAGAAAUAAUUGUUCACAUCCACAAUUACAUUGUGAAGGUUGCUUGAUUUGUGAGCAUAAACGAACUGAUUGUGCCAAUACCACAUGACGCCAAAUAACAUUGACCUAUCCUUCUCAUUAGUGAUCCUCAAGUGGUUUUUCAUAUUAUAAACAAUCCAUGCACGAACAUCCAAUGUAAAACAGGUAUGACUUGUGUGUUUCGAAAUAAGGGCUAACCAAAUGCGUUUAUAGUCAACAUAAUCCCCGACUGCAUGGAUAGCAUCCUCUAUGAUAUGCCCACACUGCAUGCAAGUACUAUCAUUAAGCACUUCUCUUCGUGAUAAUUUAGUAUUAUUUUUCAAUCUAUUAUGCAUCAAUAGCCAAAGAAAGCACUGAAUGCUUUGGGGGCCUCUCAAUCUCCAAAUCAAAACCCAAAGGGAAUUAUUUUCAUUUAGCAUCGGUCUAAAGAGGGAUAAAUAAUCUGACCUCACGCUAAACAAACCAGACCGCGAUGGAGCCCAAUAACAACAGUCAACUUCAUUGCUAACAGAAGGGGGCAUAGUGCUUGCUAUUUUGAGAAUUAUAUGGUGGGGUAGAAAAGAAGCAAAACAAUCCCAGUUCCAAGCACCAUUAUUAUCGACAAAAUUAGCUACACACUCAUUUAAUAUGUUUUCAGUGAUUGUACCGGAAGUAUAAGAUUGCAACCAAUGCCCAUCCUCCAGCCAAUAAUCUUUCUAAAAUCUAGUCAACUUCCCAUUCCCAAUUGCCCAGCGAGUCCCUUAGAGAACCUCAUUCCAUAAGUUUCCCGCGAAUUUUCAUAAAGGAGAACUAUAUCAAGUAGGACGUUUUAGAGGAAGGUUUUCUUUAUCAACGCCAUAUUUAAACAUCAAUACUUGAAUUUAGAAGCUGUGGGGUGAUUCCAUAUGACCCCAACCAAUUUUCAUUAGCAAGGCUUUAUUCAUGAGAUUAAGAUCUUUAAGGCCAAGGCCCCUACAGAAAUUAAGGAGUUGUGCUCUAUCCCACUUAAUAAGGUGUGUGCGAUGAGUCUCGUUAAUCUCGUUCUAGAUAAAAUGCUUGUAAAUCUGAUCAAUUUUACUAUGAAUACUUACAGGUAGCAUGCAGGUCUGCAUGGAAUAGGUUGGGAGAGCCAUAAUGAUCGAUUGCGUUAAUGUUAUUUGACCUACAAGAGAAAGAUAAUUGGUUGUCCAGCCUGGAAGUCUUUGUAGUGCUAAUGGUGGUCAAGGAUAAGGUACCAGUUUCAGUGGGAGACAUUGAGUUUACAUGAGAAAUAUGGGAGAUUUCAUAGAGAAUGUAUGAGUUAGUGACAAUGGUAAACAUGAUUAAACGCGCGAACUAACAUAAAAUGAAAUACAAAAACUAAAUGAUAGAGCACAAUUUUUGAAAAAAGUUUAUUCUUCAAUCCACCAUCAAUUAAACAGAAGCAAGCCACUGUCAUUCUAAGUAAAAAAAUAUAACAACAUCACAUACAUAGGAAUAAUUUUUCAAUAUGGGAAUCUUGAACUUUUCAGUAAAAAAAAUCAGUUUACAAUUUUAUAGGUAUGUGAAAAAUAAAGUUUAUAACAUUGUAAAUCAGAUCACCAGCCAGAAUCUGACUCCACCUACAUGGUUUAGUAAUCAACUAUAACAUUGCAUCCAACAAUGGCGUCACCAGAUUUAAAAUCUGGUCGAUGCAUUUGAGCAAUUGCAUAUCCACCAGUCAAUAGGAACUCGCUAGUGUUGCAAUCGAUGGGCAUCUUACGGACAGGAAUAAUCGACCUGUUGUUGCCAAGGAGGCUGAUACAGCUGCCAUUAUUAGGACCAUCAAUGAACACAAAGCUCAUGGACAUGAUGAUAGCUAGUUGAUGCUGACAAGCCGACCCGUAAAGCCCUUGAGCACGACCAACAAGCUUUGAUUGAGGACUAGUAAUUUCUAUCGACGAAUCAUCCACCAAAUCACAACGCAGAAACAAGUUGGUGACUUGUAAGUAUCAGUGGCUUGAGCAAUGCUUUUUGCCACUAUGUUUUUUUUUUGUUGUCUCUUUUGCAAAAUCAAGCCCCGUAGCCAAAGUCUCUCUGAUCGUAUUGCUGUUGCUGCCACCGGGCAAAUGAUGAGCAAUAAAAAAACUGCUUAAAACAUUGUAGUAACUUUAAAACAAGGCAUGAAAUUAAAAGGAAGAGAAUAAAUGAUGCACUUUUGAAGGUAGAAAAGAAGGAUGAUUCAAGAUUCAUUUCAAAUGUUUUUGAAGUGUUUUGAUCAAUGAAUAUCCAAAGGCUGCUUAACUACAAAGGUGAAGUGGGAAGAAAUUUUGACAUUUUGUUACAUUGAGCUAGCCAGCGAAUGUAUAUGAGGGGCUUCACAUGUACACAUAAAAAAGGAAGAUUAAUUACUCGUGGUUUUUUAUUAAGAAAAAAAAAUGGCUUGCUUAAAAUAUAGAGUGUGGUUAAUUUCAUUGAAGGACAUGACUCAAAGGAAAAGAAAAAGAAAUCUAAUAAUAAACUAAACAAAAAAUAAUGCCCAAAACAAUAAAUUUAAUUAAAUGUACAUUGAAAUUACCUUUAUAAUGCAACAAGAUAUUAAAAUCAAUAGUUAACUCUAAAAAAUGAAGCGUAAUUUAUUUAAUACUUAUUUAUGGACUCUUUCAAUUCCAUUAAAGCCACUGCAAGUUGUUUUUCAAUAUUCACUUAGAUAAAUAGAGGCUCAUGCCUUUCUGAUUCUUCCACAUCUCUUUCAAUUCUAAUUAACCCGUUUGUAAUUCUCUUAAGAAAUUAAAAAAUGUCGAAGAGUCUUACUUUCAUCAUUUUGGCUUUGCUUGUAGUGGCAAACACUAAAAACAUGCUUAUUUCAGCCAGUAGAACUGGCCAAGGAUCUAAGCCAGAGGUUUUAUUUUCUAUUAACCCUACAGCAUCACCUGACAUUGUUGAUUGCUCAGGGCUCACAAGUGAAGAGUGUUUGAUCGAGAUGAUUAAGAAAGCACUUGUAGACUAUCGAUACCCCUGCCCUGAGGGGGGGUGCAAAUGAUAUUGUUAAUAAGUUAUUUCUUUUACCUUGUAGGAGUGCUUUUGCAAUAACGAUCAAUUACAGUGAAAUUGAAUUCGUGUUUUUAAUAAAAUAAAACAUUAAUCCAUUAUGCAUAGGUAAUAUUAUGUCAUAUGUUUUUGGUGUGUGUAUCUCCUACUGCUUUGUUAUAGAUGCAUCGUCGAAUCAAUCUUCAAAAAAUCAAUUUCUUUAAAUAAUAGCAAUUAUCAACCAAUCAACAUUACUAUGUUGGUACCAUUUGUAAUAUUUAAAUUUUAAGUCUAUCUACUUUUAGGGUGAGAUUAUUGAUUCCUAAGAAAAAUAAUAAAAUAAACCCUCAUUAUCGAAAUCCUAUAUUACUAAGCUGUCUGAUUUAAUUUAAUGUUAAACUUUAAUUUAACCCCUGAAAAUGUCCAGACUUACCUACAUUUAUUGCUAAGAUAUGAUUUAAAAGUUCAUCAAUGUGCACCUCAUUUAUGCUCAUCUUUUGAAGAACAAAUAGGGUGGAUUGAGAUUUUCAUGCUUUUGGAGGGUAAAUUAAAGAUAGUUAUUAGGAGGGAACGAAUUGAAGUUUGUUUUUAAAUGCAAAGAUGUUUUCUUUUAGUUUAUAUGAGAUAGUUCGUUUGACUUUAAUUUAACAUAUGUUUUUGUAAUUGAAAUAUAGAUACUUCGUUAUUUUUGUUAUUUAGCUAAGUAAUAUAAUAUUAUAUUUAAUUGAUCACUUAAAAAAUGUUUAUGCAUUAAAAGGUUGUUACAAGUGAAUAAAAGUUAUAGAUUUUAUUUUGAAAUUAAAUUCUAAAAAUAAAUUUAAGAGUUAGUGUUUCAUUUUCUGGAUGUAAAUGCCCUUCACCAAUUUCAUUUUAAAAACACACCAAAAUCCAAGUAAUUUUUUUGCUCUCCUCUCUCAACUAAAAUCUUUCUAUCUUAGACUUCACGUGAUGGAGUUCCAACACUAGUUUGAAGUUCGCAAGAGUAGUGAGGUUAUGUUGCCGAGACCAUUUGACUUUGCAAUAUCCUAAGGGACAUUUGCUAAUAUAACCUAAGUACUACUGAGAAAAUGACAAAUCCUUUUUAAGGACAUUGUAACUGCACAUGCCUCAGUUUAGUUUAUGUUCUUCUCUUUCUUAUUGAUCUAUACUAGAGAAAUUAUCUCUACACCAACUCUAUUUUAUCAUAUGUACAUCCAGAUACCACAAAAUUGUAACAUGUUCUUUGUACUACCAUCAUUUCUGAACUUGUAUUAAUCGACUAAUUCAACUUAACUGGGGUCUUCACUUUUAAGGCACUACCGGGGUGGCCAUUGCCCUCAUUGCUUAUGUACCUUAACUUCAUAUAGAUUUUUACUUUUUUUCGAUCCCUUUUUUGGAGCACAAGUAGAUUGUCGAUUAAUGCCAAACGCACAAGAAUGUGGUCAGAUGCCUAGAUUAGGGAAAAAUAAUGAAAUUUAAAGUAAUACACCAGAUUGCUGAUGUAUUAACAUUAUAUUGAAAUUCAAUAUUUGGCUACCAACAAGCACAUAUUAUAUAUAAAGAAUUAAACACGCAAAUAAACAUAAAAUGAAAUACUUAAAUAAAAUGAUAGAGCGCAUGUUUUGGAAAAGUUUAUUCCUCAAUCCACCACUAAUUAAAUAGAAGCAAGUCACUGUCAUUCUAUGUAAACAUACAUAACUAAUCGCCUACUUAGGAAUAAUAUUUUGAUUUGGGAAUCUUGAAUUUUUCAUUAAAAAAUCAGUUUACAAUAUUAUAAGUACGUGAAAAAGAAAGUGUAUCUUGUAUGAGAGUUUUUUGCAUUACCGAUCAAUUGUAAUGAAAUCGAAGCUGCGUUUUAAUAAAAAGAAGAAAUGGAUCACACAUACAUAGUUCAUACUUCUAAAUGUUGGAUUCAAAUUUAUUAAAACACAACACGGGCAAAGUCACUAGCAAAUAAGAAAGAAUAGCAAAGUCAUUCUUAGGGAAUAUAUUGAAUAUCACUCUAGAUAUGUUAGAGUAGUAAACUUCACUCUGUAUUUUAUUAGAAGUAAUAGGACCAUUUGGUCCAUAUAUUGAAGAUGUAUCUACCUACAAAAGCAUAGUUAAUGGCCAACAAUAUCUCAUCUUAACCACACCAGAGAUAUCAUUUACAAUGUAUAAGCUAAAUUAGUAUAUGGCUGCUCCUACACUUCAACAUCUAAUGGCUUGUAAACGAGUGUUAAGGUACUUAAAGGAACUGGAAGAUAUGGAUGAAACUAAUUGGAUUCACAGAUACAAAGUAGGCAUGUGAUUUGGAUGACAAAAAAUCCAUUGGAGUUUACUACAUAUACUUGGGAAACAAUUUAAUACAUGGUCAUCAAAAAAGCAAUCUAUGGUAGCAAGGUCCAGUGCAGAAAGUGAAUAUAGAGCACUUGCAGAAUUAACUUGGUUGCAAUCAUUAUUCAGUGAAAUCGGAAUACAAUGUACAUUAGUUCCAUCAAUUUGGUGUGAUAAUGCAAGUGCCACUGAAUUAUCCAAGAAUCCAAUCUAUCACUCAAGAACUAAACAUAUUGAGUUGGAUAUGCACAUUGUGAGAGGCAAAAUACUUGUAAAAGAACUUGAAAUCAGUUAUAUAACAUGUGCAGAACAAAUUGCCCAAUUAUAUCUUUACAUAUUAAUUUUGCUAGUAUAAUAUCCUUGAGAAUAAUUGAAUCAAAUGAUUUUGUUACUUUGGCAAUAAUUAAAUAAUAUUAGAUUGAAUUGUUGUGUCAUUCGUUUAGCUUAUUUUAACCCUAUGUAAAAUUAGCUUCGGCAAGUAAAAUGAAAUUUACAUUAUUAAAAUCUUUGUUUGUGGUAAUAAAAGUUCACUUGGAAUUUUAUAAUAUCAACUUGAAAUUUAACUCAAAGUAUUGGUAGUUAAGGAUUUCAAUAGAAAUAUUAAAUAGAAACAAGUAGUUAACAAGUUAAAACAAGUUAACCUAUAAUUGAGUAUGUUUAACUAAACUUAGGGGCUAAUUUUACAAAAAGUUAAACAAUAGAAAGUAAAUUUGGCAUUAAACCCAAAUAGUUAAAAUUUUACCAAGUUAUUGGAAAUAGUCAAACAAAAGCAUUGAAAUAAUAGUUGAAACACAUAAGUUAAAAAGGGAUAAAAUAUUAACCAAAUUCUAAUUUUAAAACUCAUCCAAUAAGAAAUGAAUUUACUUAGAAUUUAACAAAAAGUAUUGGUAUUUAAUGAACUUAAUAUGAACAUUAAACGCAUAGCUGGUAGAUUUAUAAGUUAGAAAUAUGUAAACCUAGAAGUAAGAAGGUUUAACCAAAAUUAAGGAAUAAAAAAAAUAAAAAAGUCCAAUUGGUAUUUAACCUAAAUAAUUGCAACCUUACCUAAUCAGUAGGAAUAUUCGACAAAAAGAUAGUGGAAUAAUUAAUUGAACCAUAUGAACCUAGAAGGGAGAAAAUUUAAGCAAAAUUAGGAACUUAUCCAAUGGGAAUAAAUAUUAUUUGGAAUCUAACCCAAAAUUGGUAUUAAAUGAACGUAGUAGGAAUAUAAAACAUAAAACUAGUAAACUACUAAUUAAGUUGAAGUAUGUGGACCUAUAAGUGAGAAAAUUUAACCAAAAUUAGAGACUAGUUUAACCAAAAAUAAAAUUAUAAAAAAUAAAUUUGGUGCUUACCCUCAAUAAUUAGAAUCUUAUUAAGUUAAUAGAAGUAUUCAACACAAAAAUAUGGAAAUUAGUAGUUGAAACUGGAACCCAUAAGAGAGAAAGUUCAAGUAAAAUUUGGAACUCAUCCACCAGAAAUAAAUUUAACUUGGAAUCUAACCAAAAUAUUGGUAUUGAAUGAAUAUAGUAGGAACAUCAAACACAAAACUUGAGGACUAAUAUGUUGAAAUAUGUGAACCAAGAAAUGAGAAAGUUUAACCAAAGUUAGAGCCUAUUCUAACAAAAACAAAAUUAUAAAAAUUAAAGCUAGUAUUUAUUUCAAAUAAUUGAAAUUGUACUAAGUUACUAUGAAUAUUCAACACAAAUGAAAUAAUUAGUUGAGACAAGAACUCGUAAGAGAGAAAAUUUAAGCAAAAUUAGGAAAUCUUUAAAUGAAAAAUAAAAGUUGGAAUAUAACUUAAAUAUUGGUAUCGAAUUUGGUACGAAUAUCAAAUACAAAAUUGAUGGACUAAUAACUUGAAACGUGGGAACCCAUAAGUGAAAAAGCUUAAGCAAAAUUAACGACUAGUCUAAGAAAAUAUAAUUGUUAUAUUUAACCACAGUAAUUGAAAUCUUACUAAAUUAAUGAGAAUACACAAUACAAAAUUAGUGGAAUAAUAGUUGAAAUAUAUAAACCCACAUGAAAUGAAGUUUAACUAAAAUUAUGAGCUCAUCUCAUAGAAAUGAAAGUUGUUUAAAAUCUAACUCAAAAUAUUGGUAUUUAACGACAUUAGUAGGAAUAUAAAACAUGAAAAUAGUGAACUUAAAAGUGAAUAUACGAACCUAUAAGUUUAACCAAAAUAAGUUACUAAUCUAACAAAACUAAAUUUAUAAAAACUAAAAAUUUAGUAUCUAACCUAUAUAAUUGGAAUCUUACAAAGUUAAUGGAAAUACUCAAUACAAAAAUGAUAGAAUAAUUAGUUGAAAUUACUGAGCCUAAAUAGUAGAAAAUAUAACGAAAAUGUGCUUAUCCAAUAGGAAAUGAAUUUACUUAUAUUCUAACCCAAUAUAUUAGUAUUUAAGGAAUUUAAUAGGAACAUCAAAGACAAAGCUAGUGGAUUGAGAAGUGAAAACGAAUAAAUUAGUAAGUGAAAAAGGUUAAAUGAAAUUAGAGAUGUGCGAAAUCAAAUUGUAACAUCCAAUUAAUAUAUCGGUAUUUAACUAAAAGAGUUGGAUAUGAUUAUUUUAUAGAUUUUUAAUAUCAUUUUAAUUAUAAUAUUUUUCUCAUUCAAAUAUUUUUAUGUUAGUUAUUUAUAAAUUUUCUUAUUUUUCAGCAUUAAAAAUAAAUUGUCAAAAAUUAUUUAGAAAACACCAAAAUCACCAGCUGUUCAAGCUGUAAAGCGACUAUGUAAUAGACAACAACUAGAUAAGUUGGAUGAUCCUUCAUUUUAUUCUCCCUUGCAAGCAGCAAUUUUCAUGGGAUUUUACUUUUGGUUGCCACUACUUACUGUGUCAAAUAGUCCAAGGAAAGGAUGGUAAAGAUAGUGUGUGGAUUAGUCAAAUCCACAUGCACCUUUGUUCUCGGCCAAAUAAAUAUCGGCUCCAUUCUCUCUUCUAGUCUUCUUCAUAAUUUUACGUUGUACACUUUUUAUUUUAUUUUUCUACGCUACACACGUUUUUUUUUCUUUUUUUUUCCUCAGUGUUUUUGCAUGUUGAUAAUUGUAUAGUUGCUCUUAGACAAUCACAUUCGCUUGGACAAACUUCUUUUUAUCAUGGAAAAUGAUCUCUACACUGCUCCUAUUUUAUCAUAUGUACAUCUAACCACCACAAAAGUUUAAUAUGUUCUUGACACCACCUUUAUUUUUAAAUUUGUAUCAAUAAACAAUUUUGACAAUUAGAGUUUAAAUGAAAUAAUCAUUUUACCCUUAAACGAAUUAACAAACUAUUUUAUCCUACAAAAUUUUUAAAAAUAAAAAAAUUAUAAUUACCAUUUAAUCAAUUGAUAAAAUACUAUUGAAAAAUUGGAUGUGUGAGUACUAUUUAAUUAAAUGAUAAAAUAUUAUUGAUUUUUUUAAUCCUUUUAACCUAAAGAACAUGCAAUACUCAUCUCAAAUAUUUUUCUUUUUUUUUCCCAUCAAACAUACAAUCACAAUUAUCAAACAAUUUUCAUUAUUUAAAUUAAUCACCAGGAUCAUAAUAGUCUAAACUAAUUUUGAAUAAUAAAAAAAUAUAAUUACAAAAAUUAUCGUUUCAAUUUUUUUUUAAUAAAAACUAACAUCUUUAAUUUUUAGAUUUAUUUGUUUUAUUAAAUUUAGAGGUAUUUUUGUAAAUAUAAUUUUUUUAUUUUUAAAACUUUUGUAUGAUAAAAUGAUCUUUUAAUUUAUUUAGGGGUAAAAUGGUUAUUGUAUUUAAAUUCUUAGUGUUAAGUGGUUUAUUAAUAUAAGUUUAGAAACAAAGGUGGUAUAAAGAACAUGUAAAACUUUUAUGGUAGUUAAAUAUACAUAUAACAAAAUAGAGGCGGUCCAGAGAUAAUUUCCCUCUUAUUAUUAUUAUUAUUAUUAUUAUUAUUAUUAUUUUUCAUGUCUCAUGUUGAUAACAUAUGUUACAUCACCUAUUUGAUGGUGUUAGCCGAUUUGUUCUUCUUUUUUCUUUUCUGUAAAAUUGAUUGACACUAAAAAGUGUACAUUUAAUAAGGAUAAAAUUAUUAGUUUUUCACUUAUUGUGUCGAUUAAUGCAUUCAUUAUUUCUAAAUUAUUUUAAUACUCCCCAAAUAUAUUUUAUGUUAAAUUAAUUCGUAAUUUGUUAAUUUUUAUCUUGUAAAUAUUUUUCAGGAAUAAAUAUGGAAUUGAAAUUGAAAGUGAGAACAAAGAAGAACUACUGGAACACAAUUGAGGAGAUCUAAUAAUAAAAAUAAAUAAAAUAAAAAAUAAAUAAAGAACAAAAAGACAAAAGAGUAAAAGGCAAGCAAAACAUUGGUUGCCUGAGAUGGUCAGGAGGCCAUCACGCCUCCUGGCCAUCACACUUCUCAACAUUUAUUUAAAUUUUAAAAAAUAAAAUAAUAAUAUAAUAAUAAAUUAAAUAAGAAUCAAAAGAAUGAAAAUGAGGCAAUUGUUGCCUAUAAAAGCCGAAGUAUUGGGAAGCUGAAGGGGGAGAGCUAUUUUGAGAGCUUAAGCCGAGAGAGAAUUUGAGAGCUAAAGCUGAGACUGAAGAUUUUCUUUCUUUCUUUGGUUCUUUUCUUUUCUUGUUUCCAUUUGUAUCAAUUUUCUUUGUAAUAUAUUUCAAAAAGUUUAUUAAAUAAGAAGAGUGUUGUGUUUUCUUUCAAUAUGAGUAGCUAAUUUUAUUAAGCUGAUGUGAAGGGUGAAGCUCAAUAUUUCAAACUAUUAAUUAUUAUUAUUUUCUCAAAUGAGUUUUUUUAAUUCUUUUCUAAUUAUUUUUAUAUUAUGUAAUUUAUAAAUCUCACUGGAUUUUAUGGUAUUUUGACAUAAUGUUGACACAUUAAUAUAGUGUGGCACAUUAGGUACUUUAUUCUAUAUUUAUCCACAUACAUAGAAUUAAAUGAUAUAAUAAUUAAUUGAUAAAAGUGAGGCAAAAUAUAAAUGAGAGAGUAUUAAAAUUAUAGUUUGAAUACAGAGAGUGGAUCCUAAACCUUAUCUUAUUUUUAAAUUGAUUUCAAAUAAUUUCUUUUCCCCACAAUUAAUUUUCUUAGUUUUACUAGAUUUAAAAUUUCCUGUGGUUUGACCCCGGUCUCACCAGGUUAUAUUAUAACUAGACACUCUUAUACUUGAGAGUAAUACACUUUUGAGUCGUGUCAAGUUUUUGACGCCGUUACCGGAGAGUUUUCUAAAUUUGGUAUUAGUUUGUCUUUACUUUUAUUUUAAUAUAUUUUUUGUUUUGUCGUUACCAUCUUUCCGUAAUUCUAUUUUAUUCUCUUUUUGUAAAACUUCAGGCGCCCCUCUUCUUUUCAAACCUUAACAUUAUUCAUAAAAUUUUUGACAAACUUCAUCUUAGCCUAGAAACCUUUGCAAAUCAGUUCCCAAAUCAAAUUUAUUUCUUUAAAUUUCUGCAAUUUACUUUCUGCAUUUAUUUUAAAUGGUCGGUUCUACCUCCUGACUGUUAUUUAAAUUUUGUUAAUUUAUGUAUUUUUAUUUAUAUGGUUGGUUCUACCGCCUAGCAUUUUAAUUUCAGUUUAUUUAUUUUUGUGCAUUAAUUAAUUUAAUUUUAUGUUUUAUUAUAUGGCUGGUUUUAAAAUACCGCCUAAACUGUUUCUUUUAAUGGCUGGUUUCACCGCCUAAUUUAUUUAUUUAUUUUUUAGUUUGUUUAUUUUUAUUUCAUAUUUUUUUUUGCUUAUUUGAUUUCCAGUUUAUUUUUAUUUCUGCAAUUUUCAUUUAGCGUUUUUGCAUCAUUAGUUUAGCACACAUCAUUAGCAUUGUAUGCGUUGUUGGUCUUGUACAAAUAGUGGUAGAUUGAUUAGAAAAUCACCUUCACCACCCUUAAAUAUGGCUGACAUAGGAGCUGAAAAUUUUUCGGAGCACGAAAAUGACCAAGCCUUACAAAAUCUUCAUGAACAACCUAGGACCCUUAGAGACUUCAUGCAUCCUACUAGAACAGGGUCACCAUCAUGUAUAUUUUUCCCUCCUGAUGCAUCACGUUUUAAUUUCAAGCCUGGUAUAAUUCAACUUUUGCCUACCUUUCAUGGUUUUGAGUCUCAAAAUCCAUAUUUGCAUUUAAGGGAAUUUGAGGAAGUCUGUAACACCUGUACUGAUCAAAAUUGUAGCAUGAAUAUAAUCAGGCUUAAGUUUUUUCCUUUCUCACUUAAGGAUAAAGCUAAAACUUGGCUAUAAAAUCUUAGGUCAUAAUCCAUCAGAACUUGGGAUGAAAUGCAAGCACAAUUUUUUAAAAAAUUCUUCCCACCCCACAGAACGUUUUGAAAAGACAAAUCACCAUUUUCACUCAAAAAUCAGGAGAAACUUUGUACCAAUGUUGGGAUAGGUUUAAAGAACUACUUAACAUUUGCCCACAUCACGGUUUUGAAACAUGGAGAUUAGUGUCUUAUUUCUACGAGGGAUUAACAUCCCAAGGUAGACAAGUUAUUGAAAUGAUGUGUAAUGGUGAGUUUAGGGACAAAAAUCCUGAAGAUGCAUUAGACUAUCUUGACUAUAUAGCAGAAAAUGCACAACACUGAGAUACAAUUGGUUUUUAUGAGUGAUCAAGUAAACCCCGGUCAUCUCCAUCUGGUGGAGGCAUGCAUAAUCUUAGGGAAGACCAUGAUUUUCAAGCCAAAUUUGCAUCGUUAGCUAGAAAAGUCGAAGCAUUAGAGUCGAAAAAAAAUGAUCAUGUAAAGUCUGUUAAAAAUAUUUAAUGUUAUGUUUGCGAUUCUACUGACCAUUUUACGCAGGACUGCCCAACUUUACCAGCCCUAAGAGAAAGUUUGCAUGAACAAGUAAAUGUUGUUGACAAUUUCAAAAGGCCAAAUCCAAAUCUAUACUCCCAAACUUACAACUCUGGUUGGAGAAACCACCCAAAUUUCAGUUGGAGAAAUGAUAAUCAUGCACAAUCUUCACAACGUGUUUUUGUUCUUUAUUUUUUUUUAUUUUAUUGAUUAUUUAUUAUUACAUCUCUUCAAUUUUGUUCCCGCUUUCAAUUUCAAUUCCAUCUUUAUUCCUAAAAAAUAUUUACAAGAUAAAAAUUAACAAAUUACGAAUUAAUUUAACAUAAAAUAUAUUUGGGAAGUAUUAAAAUAAUUUAGAAAUAAUGAACGCAUUAAUCGACACAAUAAGUGAAAAACUAAUAAUUUUAUCCUUAUUAAAUGUACACUUUUUAGUGUCAAUCACACCCCCCAACCAGCUUAUUGUUAGGCCCUAGCAAUUUAAGCGAUAAAAGUUUAGUAAAAUUUCAAACUCAAAUUGAAAAUCAUUUUUUUUUAAAAUUAUGUUUACUUUUUCCAUCAGAUUAAUGACAACAAUCAAAUAAAAGUAUAAGCAUUAUCUUCAGCCUAAAGAAAAUAACACCCGCUCAAAACAGUUCAGUAACAAGCCACUUUUAAGAAUGAUACAUUAAACCCCAAAAUCUCACAAUUAGGAGUGACUAUCUCAAAAGAAGAUAUACUCCAAAUUAAUUUGUCACUCUAAAAAAAUGGUAAAUUUGAGAGAAUAAUAAAAUAAUAUCACACGCUCUCACCAAGAUAAAAAUUAAUGCCCAAAACUUAGAAAUAAAAUGAUAUCAAAUCCAAUGAAUUACUAGCAAAAUUUAUUUUUAUUUUUACUUAUCACCACAUCUUUUAGUCCAUAUUACCAGUUUUUACUUCAGAUUAUAGUUCUCAAAAAUCGAGAAGGACUUUUAUUAGGACGUAACGUAGGCUAGGGUUAUGGCUAACAAAAAAGGUAAUAGGGAAAAUAAAAAUAAAUCUUUGAAAAAUAGGGGACUUUUUGGAGAUUAUAAGGUGCUCUUUUUUUUUUUUUCAAAGGCUCAAAGGGGUUAACUAUGGAUUCUUUAUAAUAGGGUUGGCUAGAAAGGCUCAAACGGAUCAAAGAUGGCCUUCUGUCAUCUUUUAGGGUUCUAUAUAAUCUUUCAUAUCCACUAGUUCAAUGGACUUUUAUAUGUGGUUGCACAAACUUUUUUUUUUUUAAAUAUUGAUAUCUUGUACAAUAAAUUGUGAAGCUGUAUAGGCAAACAAGGUUACUCUCUAAGGAUAACAGGCUCAAAAACUCGCUUGGUCUUUUUAUAACAUGUACAUUCAUCCAAAUGGCUUAAUCAAUUUCACUCAUUCAAUUUCUCAAUUUACGUUUUAACAUGCAAAGGGAAAAAUAUAGUGUAACAUAACUCAAGGCCAAAGAUAAUACGAAUACUAAAAUUUGAAAAUCAUAAUGUUAUCCAGUAUUGAAAGAUCAUACCAAAAAAUAAAAUAAAUUUUUUUAAGAAAGCACUAAAAAAUUAGGACUAAUUGCAGAAACUUAAGGGAGAUGAUUAAGAGAAAAAGACCGAAAACAAAAAGUUAGAAAAUUUUUUUUUUGGAAGAAAACACAAAAAUUAAGAAGAUGCGAUUCUAGAGACACUACAUUCUAUAUUCUAUCAUCUUCAACUCAAAUUUUUAUCCAAAGUUAGUCUUUACAACAAAAAUUAGUAAAAACAUCACUAGGAAUGAGACAUUCCACAAUUAUCAACUAUUCCCUCUCUCCAACCUGAAGGAGACAUUGUCCUCAAUGCCUAAAGAAAGGAGUAGAGUUUAGAAGAUAUCACCUGGCCAUUGCUGGAAAUAUUUACAAAUGGAGAGUUAAAUCUAAUUUACACUUUUUACGAGAGUUACUGCCAUCGUUAUCAGUUGCCCAAUCCAAUGCCAAAGUUAUGGGAUCUAGCUUUGGUUUGUAAGCUUGCAAAAAGUCAAGCAACUCAUUAGCAGUAUGAGCACAAAUGACGAGUUUUUUUUGCUGAGGAUGGAAUGAAAUAAUUUUUUAUUGUAUGAUUAAGAAAUGUUAUUAAGCCAUCAUAAAAGUUAUUAAUAUUUAACAAACCGAUUGGUUUUUUAUGGAUAUUCAAAUGGGCCCAGGAAGCAAAUGUAAUUAGCGCCUCCAAAGUUGCAAGGUUUGCUGGCAAGAAAAUAAAAGCGUCAGCAUGAUUUAACAUUUCGGAUAUUCUUUCUUGCAUACCUGAGACAACUAACUCUUCUCCAGUUGGUGAGUCUGGUAGCCAUCCUAAAGGUUUUAAGGCUUUUGGAAUGAUGCCUAGCACUUGGCUUCCUCGAACGAAAGCAGCUUCAGAGACAAGCUUUGAUAAUCCUCGGUCACCUCCUCCAUAUACAAGAUGUAGUUUCCUCUCUGCUAUAGCACGACCAAGAUCUACAGCUACUUAAACGAACUCCUUAUACUUUCCAUAGCGAAAUCCAGAAAGCACACAAAUAUUUUUAAGUUGACUGCUUGAAGUUGCUGCCAUUACAAAAAUUCUAAAGAGAAACAAUUUGUGAGUGCUUAAAAAGGAGUUCCUAUUUAAGGAUCUUGGUGACGGACAUAAUGAUGUACAUUUGUAAAUGGGGUGGUGUGUUUGUCAAAUGACGCGUGAAGCUUUUAGCUUAAUAAUUCAAAUGCAAACAGUGAAAAAAAAAGCAAACAAUGAUUAGAUAAAAUAAAAAAAACAAUAAUAAUAAUAAUGAAAAAGAUAAAAGAACAGUAAAAUAAAAGGAUAUUUACUGGUAGUUGUGAUUGUGGCUCACAUCUUCCUCUGGUUUUACGUCCAGUAACGGCUUGAACGCCCUCUAUGGGUCGAGAAUAGGAUUCCCAUCCAGUUUUCUUAUAAAUUGGCAAAUAAGGUCUUUUAGAGUCAGAUUCCCAAGACUAAACUGUGCACUUUCCUUUUGGAACAACUUCCACAAAUUUUGAAUUUCACGUUAAACAUAUAUGCUCGGAUGCGUCUCAAGAGAUCGUAAGAUAUCAUCCAACGAUUCUUUACUCAUGCUAUCCUUAACGAAUUUGAUUUUAUCUUCACGAUUUACAGAAACCAUUCCUAAAGCUUUACAACGUGGAUUUUUGCAAGCAAGUCUUACACAAUGAGAACAUUCAGAGCCAAGUCGCUUAGCUCUUCUUUUUUUAGCAAAUGUACUUUUACCAAAACCAGGCAUGUAGGAACUGAAUGGAUCAGGAAACUCACCUGCCAAUCGGACCUUUGCUUCGAUUAACCACCGAAUGUCAGCAGGAAUCCCAUUGAUCAUUAACAAACGCAGUCAUUCACAACGAGCUUUAUAACUCUUCUUAAGAGUAUUUUGAGGGAGAGAAGGAAAACGUUGAUGCAAAUUUUGUUGUAUUUCUUCCAUGUUUGACAUUGAGGUUUCAGUUAUUGUGGUAAACUGAGAAUACCGACUUAAAAAGUCACGGAGUACUAUUAUCCGCCAUUUAUACAGGAGAGUGAAUCAAAACAAAACAAAUCAAAUCUGCAAAAUCAAAUCAAAAGUGAAAAAUAACAACAAAAUAAAACAAAAACACACAAGGAAUAUAACUCACCUUCGUCCUUUUAUUGAAUCCAGUUCUAAUUGCAGAUUAUAAAUACCAUCAUCUAUUUUCUUGAGUUGUCUUUCUAGAUCUUUCACGUCAGAUACUAACUCUGGUGGUUGCAGAUCCCGAAUGAGAUGUAAUUUACAAAAUCAGAGCAAUUUCCUUAGGUGAAAUUUUACAUGAAAAAGCGUUUUAAAAUGAUCGAAAAUGAAAUUUCUCAUGGAGGUACUCAUGAUAAGUAUAAAAAUUUGGUGAGCUAAAUCACAAUUGUCAAACAACACACAAUUAAAACAAUGCAAUGCACUCCAUUCAAGACAUAGGGAAAAGGGAAAAGAAAAAGAAAUCAAAUAAUUCAAACGAUAAAGUAACAGUAAAUCAAAUUCACAAAACGUUAAAAUGAACAGGCUUAAUCAAAAUUUUGGUGGGUCACUCAAAUGGAAUUCGGUAUCUGCUUUAUGUGGUUGGUAUUCCAGAUAUGGUUUCAAUAUUUGGCCAUUAACUUUAAAUGUGACACCAUCCUUUGGAUUCUCAAUUUCUACGGCUCCAUAUGGAUACACAUUUUUUACAACAAAUGAACCAUUCAACUUUGACUUUAACUUCCCUAGAAAGAAAUGAAGACGAGAAUUAUGAAGCAACACUUUUUGACCAAUUUCAAAUGUUUUCUGAAAAAUUCUUUUGUCAUGAAAAAUUUUGGUUCUUGCCUUAAUAAUUUUGGAAUUAUCAUAUGCAUCAUUCCUUAAUUCCUCAAGUUCAUUUAUUUGCAAUUUACGCACAUUGCCAACAUCAUCAAGAUUUGAAUUAAAAGCUUUAAUGGCCCAAAAUGAUUUAUGUUCAAGUUCUACUGGUAAGUGGCAAGAUUUUCCAUAAACAAGCCGAUAGGAUGACAUUCCUAAAGAUGUUUUAAAAGCAGUACUCUAUGCCCAAAGUGCAUCAAUUAGUCGAAGAGACCAAUCUAUACAGUUUGGAUUAACUGUUUUUUCUAAAAUUUGUUUUAUCUCCCUAUUUGCUAAUUCAACUUGACCACUUGUUUGAGGGUGAUAAAGGGUAGCAACCUUAUGUGUAAUUCCAUAUUUCUUCAUUAAAGACUCAAAUGGCUUAUUACAAAAAUGCUUACCUCCAUCACUGAUAAUGGCUUGAGGUAUUCAAAAUCUGCUCAAAAUAUUUUCUUCUAAAAAGCGGAUCACAAUCUUGUGAUCAUUGUGCCGACAAGGAAUCGUCUCGAUCUAUUUUGAAACAUAAUCAACAGCAACCAAAAUGUAUACAAAUCCAAAUGAUGAUGGGAAAAGACCCAUAAAAUCAAUUCCUCAACAAUUAAAUAUUUCAAUGACAAUGAUGGGGUUUAAAGGCAUCAUGUUCCGCUUUGAAAUAGACCCUAUCAUUUGAUAAUUCUUACACAUUUUACAGAAUGCAUGUGAAUCUUUAAAUAAUGUAGGCCAAUAAAAUCCACACUGCAAUAUUUUGCAGCUAUCUUUUUUGAAGAAAAAUUGCCACCGCGUGCUUCAGAAUGACAAAAUUGAAUGACCCUACUUACCUCGUCGUCUGGUAUGCAUCUUUGAAAAAUUUGAUCGAAGCAGUACUUGAACAGGUAUGGCUCAUCCCAGUAAAAGCUUUUUACUUCAGUUAAGAAUUUCUUCUUGUCUUGGGAACUCCAGUCACAUGGCAUUUCACUUGUUGUAGGAUAAUUAACAAUAUUAGCAUACCAAGGCAUUUUGUUUAUAGAAAACAAAAAUUCAUCAGGGAAAGAAUCAUUGAUGGGUGUUGUUUCAAUUGAAGACUCAUUUGUAAGUCUUGAAAGAUGAUCUGCAACAACAUUUUCAGCGCCCUUUUUGUCUUUGAUUGUCAAAUUAAAUUCUUGAAGUAGCAAAAUCCAUCGUAUUAACCUUGGUUUGGCAUCCUGUUUUGACAUUAAAUAUCUCACAGCAGCAUGAUCAGAAUAAACAACAGUACAUGAACCAAUUAAAUACGAACGAAAUUUAUCCAAUGCAAAUAUUACAGCAAGUAGUUCUUUCUCAGUUGUAGUGUAAUUCAUUUGAGCAGUAUUCAAAGUUCUACUUGCAUAAUAGAUGACAAAGGGCUUACCUUCCUUUCUUUGACCCAGAACAACGCCAAUGGCAUAAUCACUAGCAUCACACAUUAGCUCAAAAGGUAAAGACCAAUCAGGGGGUUGCAUUAUUGGGGCUGAUGUCAAAAAACUAAUUAUCUUUUCACAAGCUUGUUGACAAUCUUUAGUCCAUUCAAAUUGUGUGUCUUUUAUUAGGAGGUUACAAAUUGGUCUAGAUAAGGCACUAAAAUCUUUUAUAAACCUCCUAUAAAAUACUGCAUGUCCUAAAAAAAGGGACUUCUCUAAUUGUCUUUGGUGAGGGUAAUUUUGAAAUGACUUCAACUUUGGCUUUAUCAACUUCGAUUCCUUUUAAAGACACAAUAUGGCCUAAGACAAUUCCAGAAGUGGUCAUGAAAUGACAUUUUUCCCAAUUUAAAACGAGUCCUUUUUCUUUGCACCUUUCCAAAACUUUUUCUAGAUUAUCAAGACAUGUAUCAAAAGAAUUACCAAAUACAGUUAAAUCAUCCAUAAAAACCUCUAGACAAUUUUUAACCAUGUCACUAAAAAUGCUUAGCAUGCACCUUUGAAAUGUUGCAGGAGCAUUACAAAGUCCAAAGGGCAUUCUCCUAAAUGCAAAUGUUCAAAAUGGGCAUGUGGAUGUGGUCUUUUCCUGGUCUUCUAAGGCUAUAGGGAUUUGAUAAUAGCGAGAGUAGCCAUCAAGAAAGCAGUAGUAAGGAUGUCCAGCUACUCUUUCGAGAAUUUGGUCUAGAAAUAGAAGAGGAAAAUGAACUUUUCUAGUGGCAUCAUUUAAUUUUCUGUAAUCAAUGCACAUGCGCCAACUAGAUGGAAUUCGUGUUGGGAUUGAUUCACCUUUUUCAUUUUUUACAACAGUUAGUCCAGAUUGUUUUGGUACUACUUGUGUUGGACUUAUUGAUUUACUAUUAGAGAUAGGGUAGAUAAUUCCUACAUCUAGUAGUUUAAGGACCUCAUUUUUUACCACUUCUUUCAUAUGAGGGUUUAGUCUUCUCUGUGGUUGACGGGUUGUUUUGGCAUUUUCCUCUAAGUGUAUUCGGUGUGUGCAAAUUAAAGGAUUAAUGCCUUUUAUGUCUUUUAAGGUCCAACCAAGUGCAAUUUUAUGCCUUUUUAGUACAGAUAACUUACCCUCUUGAUCAUGUGUGAGUUGAGAAGAAAUUACCACCGGAUAUGUCUGCUGCUCUUCUAGAUAGGCAUACUUCAAUUCUUCUGGUAAGAGCUUUAAUUCGAGCUCUGGUGCUUCCUCUUCGUUUGCUUCUUUAUGUUGUAUUGUAUCUUCAAAGUUCGAUUGGUCAUCGUCACCUAUAGGUACCUGCAUAGAAUCAAGUGUAGGACAUAUGUUAGCAGUAUCAAAAUCUAAUUCCUUACUUGAUUCAACCGAACCAGCAAAAAAAAAAUUUCCGCAGAGUUUGUAAAAUUCUCAUCCUGAAUGUGUUCCUCAAUGAUUGGGUCGAUGAGAUCAAUUUCAUCAUUCUCAUUAUCAUCAUCUUCUUGGUGGUGAGGUUGUUUACACAUGUUGAACACAUUGAGUUCCAGUGUCAUGUGGCCAAAAGAUAAAUUCAUUAAUCCAUUCCUGCAAUUUAUCAAAGCAUUAGCAGUAGCUAAAAAUGGUCGACCCAAUAUAACAGGAAUUUGUUUGCAUUCAUUAGCAAUUGGUUCAAUUUCCAAAAUAAUAAAAUCCACAGGAUAUAUGAAUUUAUCAGCAAGUAAAAGAGUGAUAGAAGUUGGUUUUAACUUACCGAGAUUGAGUUGUUGGUACACUGAGUAAGGAAGUAAAUUAACACUGGCACCAAGAUAAAGUAAAUCAUGUCCAAUUUUAUGAUCCCCAAUAGUGCAAGAAAUAGUUGGACAACCAGGAUCCUUGUAUUUCAAAGCACUAUUGGUUGAGAGAAUGGAACUUACCUGUUCUGCUAGAAAAGCUCUCUUUUGCACCUUAUGUUUCCUUUUCACCGUGCACAGAUCUUUCAGAAAUUUAGCAUAGGACGGCACCUGGUUAAUGACAUCCAGCAGAGGAAUGUUGACCUUUAGUUGUUUAAAAACUUUAUAAAUUUCGGUUUCAUUUCUUUGGCUUGAUCAGUGCUUGAGGAAAUUGGGUUACAAGAGGAGAGUUGAUUAUUUCUUCAUGGGUUAAAGGUUCGACAACCUCUUCUCUAUUUUCUGAAAUUGAAUCUUUACUAGUUUCACGAGGGUCCACAAUGUGUUUUUCAACUACUUUACCGCCACGAAGGGUUAUAACCGAUUUGACUUGACUCAUAUUUUGGUUUCCUGAAUUUCCCAUUUUAGGAUGUUGUUGACUUUUGGGGUUUGGUUUAGGUUGAGUAGGAAACUUUCCUUUUUCAUGUAUGGUCAGAGCAGAUGUAAGUUUGGAGAUAAUUUCUGUCAAAUUGCUUAAGGUUUGCAUCUUUUGGUUAUUGAUUGACUCUUGUUUUUUAAUAAACAAAUACAAUGUGUCUUUCAGAGUUUUUCUUGGUGGUGGGACAUAUGGUGGGUAACUUUGGGAGUUUUGGAAAUUUUGACAUGGAGGGGCUGGUUGUGAAGGUUGUGCAUGAUUGUCAUUUCUGCAACUGAAAUUUGGGUGGUUUCUCCAACUAGAGUUGUAAGUUUGGGAGUAUGAAUUUGGAUUUGGCCUUUUGAAAUUGUCAACGACAUUUACUUGUUCAUGCAGACUUUCUCUCAGGGCUGGUAAAGUUGGACAGUUCUGCGUAGAAUGGUCAGUAGAAUCGCAAACAUAACAUGAAAUAUUUUGAACAGACUUUACAUGAUCAUUCUUUUUCGACUAUAAUGCUUCGACUUUUCUAGCUAAUGGUGCAAAUUUGGCUUGAAAAUCAUGGUCUUCCCUAAGGUUAUGCAUGCCUCCACCAGAUGGAGAUGACUGGGGUUUACUUGAUGACUCAUAAGAACCAACUGUAUCCCAGUGUUAAUAAAAAUUGAAAGCAAUAAAUUAAAUAAAAGUACAAGAACAAAUGAGUAAGAGAGAAGAGAAACAAACACACGAAAUUUUACAUGGUUCGGCAAUCCCCACCUACGUCCAUGCCUCCAAGCGAUCCAAUCUUGAGGAUUUCACUAUCCGAGCCUUUCCAAGGCUUCAACCGUUUACAAUUGACUUCAAGGCGUCAAUGAACCUUUACAACAAAGAGAUUAUCUCCCAAUCUCUUCACUCAAGUGUCUUACACACUCAAACUUUUACAAUUAAGAUGAAGAAAUGGAAGUUACAAUAAAACUCACUCAAAGAGUAGAUAUUCAAAAAUGAAGAACAAGAAAUGAUUCAAUGUUUUGUGAUUUACAAAUUGAAAGCUCAAGAUAUCUCGUGUGCUUUUUGUUUAUGCUUGGUGGAGAGCUUGAAAAUGAGUUGGAUUUGAGUUUAUAUAGUUUAAGCUAAAAAACUAGCCGUUAUGCAUAUUUUGGUCGUAACCGGCUUGCUUGCCAUUUAGGAAUCCGGUAAGCUACUUUUAUGUUACUGUUAAGGCAAAAAUUUGAAUUUCAGAAUAUCCGGCUUGCCGCUUUUCAUAUCCGGCAAGCCGCUUUUGAAAUCCGAAUUGCCGCUAGUGAAAUUCGAUAAGCCAUUUAUGCUCCAGAAGCUUACUGCCAAAAAUCUGGUUUGCCAUUUACCAUAUCCGGUAAGCCGCUUGCUACAGUGACUACUACAAUGAAAUAUUUUCCAAAUUUACAGUUUAACCUAAAAUUUUAUAAAACUAUAUUAUGGCCCAAAAUGUUAUGAAAGUUUACAAAUAGGUCCAAUUUCAUAAUUUUAAAUAAUGCUUUGUCAAUCCCAAAACUUUAUGAAAUUAUGAUUUCGCCCAAACUAUGUAAAAUUAUAGAAUGACCCAAAAAUAUUUAAAUAGUUUCAAAUAGGUCCAAAUCUAACAUUUAAAACAUUAUCAAAGAUUUUAAAAUACUUUCAUUUUAGUCCAAAAUACUUUAAUUCCAUAACAUCAUUUUCUUAUUAUAAAAGCACAAUUCCUAAAUCUUUGCUUCAUCAAUACAUGUGGUUUGUUAUCAUCAAAAUGAAUAUUUAUAGCCAUAUAGGCUAACAGAUUUGUCUUUUGAAAGAAUUUGUUCUGUGGGGUGGGAAGAAUUUUUUCAAAAAUUGUGCUUGCAUUUCAUCCCAAGUUCUGAUGGAUUUUGACCUAAGAUUUUGUAGCCAAGUUUUAGCUUUAUCCUUUAGUGAGAAAGGAAAAAACUUAAGCUUGAUUAUAUUCAUGCUACAAUUUUGAUCAGUACAGAUGUUACAGACUUCCUCAAAGUCCCUUAUAUGCAAAUAUGGAUUUUCAAACUCAAAACCAUGAAAAGUAGGAAGAAAUUAAAUGAUACCAGGUUUGAAAUUAAAACAUGAUGCAUCAGGAGGGAAAACUAUGCAUGAUGGUGACCCUGUUCUAGUAGGAUGCAUGAAAUCUCUAAGGGUCCUAGGUUGGUCAUGAAGAUUUUGCAAGGCUUGAUCAUUUUCGUGCUCCGAAAAAUUUUCAGCUCCUAUGUCAGCCAUAUUUAAGGGUGGUGAUGGUGAUUUUCUAAUUAAUCUACCACUAUUUGUACGAGACCAAUGACGCAUGCAAUGCUAAUGAUGUGUGCUAAACUAAUGAUGCAAAAACGCUAAAUGAAAAUUGCAGAAAUAAAAAUAAACUGGAAAUUAAAUAAGCAAAAAAAAUACGAAAUAAAAAUAAACAAACUGAAAAAUAAAUAAAUAAAUUAGGCGGUGAAACCAGCCAUUAAAAGAAACAGUUUAGGCGGUAUUUUAAAACCAGCCAUAUGAUAAAACAUAAAAUUAAAUAAAUUAAUGCACAAAAAUAAAUAAACUGAAAUUAAAAUGCUAGGCGGUGGAACCGACCAUAUAAAUAAAAAUACAUAAAUUAACAAAAUUUAAAUAACAAUCAAGCGGCAGAACCAACCAUUUAAAAUAAAUGCGAAAAGUAAAUUAAAGAAAUUUAAAUAAAUAAAUUUAAUUUGGGGACUGAUUUGCAAAGGUUUUUGGGCUAAGAUGAAGUUUCUCACAAAUUUUAUAGAUAAUGUUAAGGUUUGAAAAGAAGAGGGGUGCUAACUGAAGUUUUACAAAAAGAGAAUAAAAUAGAAUCACAAAAAGAUUGUAACGACAAAACAAACAAAAAUAAAUUAAAAUAAAAUAAAAAUAAAGUAAAGACAAACAAAUACCAAAUUUAGAAAACUCUCCGGCAACGGCGCCAAAAACUUGACACGACUCAAAAGUAUGUUACUCUCAAGUAUAAGAGCGUCUAGUAAUAAUAUAACCCGGUGAGACCAGGGUCAAACCACAGGGAGUUUUAAAUCUAGUAAAACUAAGAAAAUUAAUUGUGGGGAAAAGAAAUUAUUUGAAAUCAAUUUAAAAAUAAGCUAAGGUUUAGGAUCUACUCUCUGUAUUCAAACUAUAAUUUUAAUACUCUCUCAUUUAUAUUUUGCCUCACUUUUACCAAUUAAUUAUUAUAUCAUUUAAUUCUAUGUGUGUGGAUAAUUAUAGAAUAAAGUACCUAAUGUGCCACACUAUAUUAAUGUGUCGAUAUUAUGUCAAAAUACCAUAAAAUCCAGUGAGAUUUAUAAAUUAACAUGAUAUAAAAAUAAUUAGAAAAGAAUUAAAAAAAACUCAUUUGAGAAAAUAAUAAUAAUUAAUAGUUUGAAACAUUAAGCUUCACUCUUCACCUCAACUUAAUAAAAUUAGCUGCUCAUAUUGAAAGAAAACACAACACUCUUUUUAUUUGAUAAACUUUUUGAAAUAUAUUACAAAGAAAAUUGAUACAAACGGAAAUAAGAAAAGAAAAGAAAAGAAACAAAGAAAGAAAGAAAAUCUUCAGUCUCGGCUUCAGCUCUCAAAUUUUGCUCUCCAGCUUCCCCCCGCUCUUAAAUUUCUCCUCUUUUUUUAUAGGCAACAAUUGCCUUUAACUUUCUUUAUUUUAUUAUUUAUUUAUUAUUUUAUUAUUAUUUUAAAAUAUAUAAGUGUGUUGAAAUGUGUGAUGGUCAGGAGGUGUAAUGGCCUCCUGACCAUCACCAACAUGUUUUUGUUCUUUUGUUCUUUUUUUUAUUGAUUAUUUAUUAUUACAUCUCUUCAAUUUUGUUCCAGUAGCUCUUCUUUGUUCCCGCUUUCAAUUCCAAGUCCAUCUUUAUUCUUGAAAAAUAUUUACAAGAUAAAAAUUAACAAAUUACGAAUUAAUUUAACAUAAAAUAUAUUUGGAGAGUAUUAAAAUAAUUUAGAAAUAAUGAACGCAUUAAUCGACACAAUAAGUGAAAAACUAAUAACUUUUUAUUGUCAAUCACACCCCCAACCAGCUUAUUGUUAGGUCCUAGCAAUUUAAGCAAUAAAAGUUUAGUAAAAUUUCAAACUCAAAUUGAAAAUCACACCCUCUCAAAACAGUUCAGUAAAAUCCUGUAAAAUGAUCAAUCAUCAGAGCUACAUUAAUCAAGCCAAUUUUAAGAAUGAUACAUCAAACCCCAAAAUCUCACGAUUAAGAGUGACUCUCUCAAAAGAAGAUAUACCCCAAAUUAAUUUGUCACUCUAAAAAAAUGGUAAAUUUGAGAGAAUAAUAAAACAAUAUCACACGCUCUCACCAAGAUAAAAAAUAAUGCCCACAACUUAGAAAUAAAAUGAUCUCAAGUCCAAUAAAUUACUAGCAAAAUUUAUUUUUAUUUUUACUCAUCACCACAUCUUUUAGUCCAUAUUACCAGCUUUUAUCUAGAAGAAUACACAUGUAGCUUUGAAGAAUUACAUUAUAAAUGUGAAUUUGAUAAAGUUGAAAAUACCAUAUGCUAUUAUAAUGAUCAAUAUUUUAUAAAGAUACCAGAUCCAUGGGGGAAAACGAUUAUGUUAGAAUAUAACAAUGAAUAAAUUGAUACCCUAAGAAAUAGGAUCAGAUUUGCUCGAAAUAGAAUUACUGAACGGUAUGUUGAAAUAAGAGUUAAGAGACUUUGGUAAAGUCCCCAUAGUUCAGCUUCCAUAAUGGAACAACUACCCAAAUUCAUGUUAAAACCGCAAACCCAUUCCCUACAAUAAUUCCUCACCAAGCCACCAGCAUUAGCCAAUCCCGAUCUCUUUAAAGCCCCAUCAGUAUUGAGCUUGAAGAACGACCACUUUGGGGGCAGCCAAUAGAUCCAUCUUUUAGUUUUUGGAACUCUCUGACUAUCUAAAGACUUUAUAAGCAGCGAUGCUUUUUUCCGUGCAAUUGUUCACAUCCACAAUUGCGUUGUGAAGGCUGCUUGAUUUGUGAGCAUAAACGAACUCAUUGUGCCAAUAUCACAUGCGCCAGACAUGACGUCAAAUAACAUUGACCUAUCCUUCUCAUUAGAGAUCCUCAAGUGGUUUUUCAUAUUAUAAACAAUCCAUGCAUGAACAUCCAAUGUAAAACAGGUAUGACUUGUGUGUUUCGAAAUAAGGGCUAACCAAAUGCACAUAGAGUCAACAUAAUCCCCAACUGCAUGGAGAACAUCCUCUAUGAUAUGCCCACGCCGCAUGCAAGUACUAUCAUUAAGCACAUGUCUUCGCGAUAAUUUAGCAUUAUUUUUCAAUCUAUUAUGCAUCAGCAGCCAAAGAAAGCACUGAAUGCUUUAGGGGCCUCUCCAUCUCCAAAUCAAAACCCAAAGGGAAUUAUUUUCAUUUAGCAUCGGUCUAAAGAGGGAUAAAUAAGCUGACCUCAUGCUAAACGAACCAGACCGCGAUGGACCCCAAUAACAACAGUCAACUUCAUCGCUAACAGAAGGGGGCAUAAUGCUUGCUAUUUUGAGAAUUAUAUGGUGGGGUAGAAAAGAAGCAAAACAAUCCCAGUUCCAAGCACCAUUAUUAUCGAUAAAAUUAGCUACACACUCAUUUAAUAUGUUUUCAGUGAUUGUACCGAAAGUACAAGAUUGCAACCAACGCCCAUCCUCCAGCCAAUAAUCUUUCCAAAAUCUAGCCAACUUCCCAUUCCCAAUAGCCCAGCGAGUCACUUAGAGAACCUCAUUCCAUACGUUUCCCACGAAUUUUCAUAAAGGAGAACUAUAUCAAGUAGGACGUUUUAGAGGAAGGUUUUUUUUAUCAACGCCAUAUUUAAACAUCAAUACUUGAAUCUAGAAGCUGUGGGGUGAUUCAAUAUGACCCUAACCAAUUUUCAUUAGCAAGGCUUUAUUCAUGAGAUUAAGAUCUUUAAGGCCAAGGCCCCCACAUAAAUUAAGGAGUUGUACUCUAUCCCCUUAAUAAGGUGUAUGCGAUGAGUCUCAUCAAUCUCGUUCUAGAUAAAAUGCUUGCAAAUCUGAUCAAUUUUACUACGAAUACUUAGAGGUAGCAUGAAGGUGUGCAUGGAAUAGGUUGGGAGAGCCAUAAUGAUCGACCGUUAAUGUUAUCGGACCUACAAGAGAAAGAUGUUUGGUUGUCCAACCUGGAAGUCUCUGUAGUGCUAAUGGUGGUCAAGGAUAAGGUACCAGUUUCAGUGGGAGACAUUGAGUUUGCAUGAGAAAUCUGGGAGAUUUCAUAGAGAAUGUAUGAGUUAGUAACAAUGGUAAACAUGAUUAAACGCGUGAACUAACAUAAAAUGAAAUACAAAAACUAAAUGAUAAAGCACGAGUUUUGAAAAAAGUUUAUUCUUCAAUCCACCAUCAAUUAAACAGAAGCAAGCCACUGUCAUUCUAAGUAAAAAAACAUAACAAAACCACCUAUAUAGGAAUAAUUUUUCAAUAUAGGAAUCUUGAACUUUUCAUGAAAAAAAUCAGUUUACAAUAUUAUAGGUACGUGAAAAAUAAAGUUUAUAACAUUGUAAAUCAGAUCACCAGCUAGAAUCUAACUCCACCUACAUGGUUUAGUAAACAACUAUAACAUUGCAUCCAACAAUGGCGUCACCAGAUUUAAAAUCCGCUCGAUGCAUUUGAGCAAUUGCAUAUCCACCAAUCAAUAGGAACUUGCCAGUGUCGCCGACGAUGGGCAUCUUACGGACAGGAACAAUCGACCUGUUGUUGCCAAGGAGGCUGAUAUAGCUACCAUUAUUAGGACCAUCAACGAACACAAAGCUCAUGGACAUGAUGAUAGCUAGUUGAUGCUGACAAGCCGACCCGUAAAGCCCUUGAGCACGACCAACAAACUUUGAUUGAGGACUAGUAGUUUCUAUCGACGAAUCAUUUGCCAAAUCACAACGCAGAAACGAGUUGGUGACUUGUAAGUAUCAGUGGCUUGAGCAAUGCUUUUUGCCACUACGUUUUUUUUGUUGUCUCUUUUGCGAAAUCAAGCCCCGUAGCCAAAGUCUCUCUGAUCGUAUUGAUGUUGCUGCCACCGGGCAAAUGAUGAGCAACAAAAAAACUACUUAAAACAUUACAGUAACUUUAAAACAAGGCAUGAAAUUAAAAGGAAGAGAAUAGAUGAUGCACUUUUGAAGGUAGAAAAGAAGGAUGAUUCAAGAUUCAUUUCAAAAUUUUUUGAAGUGUUUUGAUCAGUGAAUAUCCAAAGGUUGCUUAACUACAAAGGUGAAGUGGGAAGAAAUUUUGACAUUUUGUUACAUUGAGCUAGGCAGCGAAUGUAUAUGAGGGGCUUCACUUGUACACAUAAAAAAGGAAGAUUAAUUACUCGUGGUUUUUUAUUAAGAAAAAAAUGGCUUGCUUAAAAUAUAGAGUGUGGUUAAUUUCAUUGAAGGACAUGAUUCAAAGGAAAAGAAAAAGAAAUCUAAUAAUAAACUAAACAAAAAAUAAUGGCAAAAACAAUAUAUUUAAUUAAAUGUACAUUGAAAUUACCUUUAUAAUGCAACAAGAUAUUAAAAUCAAUAGUUUACGUUAAUAAAUGAAGCGUAAUUUAUUUAAUACUUAUUUAUGGACUCUUUCAAUUCCAUUAAAGCCACUGCAAGUCGUUUUUCAAUAUUCACUCAGAUAAAUAGAGGCUCAUGCCUUUCUGAUUCUUCCACAUCUCUUUCAAUUCUAAUUAACCCGUUUGCAAUUCUCUUAAGAAAUUCAAAAAUGUCGAAGAGUCUUACUUUCAUCAUUUUGGCUUUGCUUGUAGUGGCAAACACUAAAAACAUGCUUAUUUCAGCCAGUAGAACUAGCCAAGGAUCUAAGCCAGAGGCUUUAUUUUCUAUUAACCCUAUAGCAUCACCUGACAUUGUUGAUUGCUCAGGGCUCACAAGUGAAGAGUGUUUGAUCGAGUUGAUUAAGAAAGCACUUGUAGACUAUCGAUACCCCUGCCCUGAGGGGGGGUGCAAAUGACAUUGUUAAUAAGUUAUUUCUUUUACCUUGUAAGAGUGCUUUUGCAAUAAUGAUCAAUUACAGUGAAUUUGAAUUUGUGUUUUUAAUAAAAUAAAACAUUAAUCCAUUAUGCAUAGGUAAUAUUAUGUCAUAUGUUUUUGGUGUGUGUAUCUCCUACUGCUUUGUUAUAGAUGCAUCGUCGAAUCAAUCUUCGAGAAAUCAGUUUCUUUAAAUAAUAGCAAUUAUCAACCAAUCAACAUUACUAUGUUGGUACCAUUUGUAAUAUUUAAAUUUUAAGUCUAUCUACUUUUAGGGUGAGAUUAUUGAUUCCUAAGAAAAAUAAUAAAAUAAACCCUCAUUAUCGAAAUCCUAUAUUACUAAGCUGUCCGAUUUAAUUUAAUGUUAAACUUUAAUUUAACCCCUGAAAAUGUCUAGACUUACCUACAUUUAUUGCUAAGAAUAUGAUUUAAAAGUUCAUCAAUGUGCACCUCAUUUAUGCUCAUCUUUUGAAGAACAAAUAGGGUGGAUUGAGAUUUUCAUGCUUUUGGAGGGUAAAUUAAAGAUAGUUAUUAGGAGGGAACGAAUUGAAGUUUGUUUUUAAAUGCAAAGAUGUAUUCUUUUAGUUUAUUUGAGAUAGUUCGUUUGACUUUAAUUUAACAUAUGUUUUUGUAAUUGAAAUAUAGAUACUUCUUUAUUUUUGUUUUUAAGCUGAGUAAUAUAAUAUUUAUAUUUAAUUGAUCACUUAAAAAAUGUUUAUGCAUUAAUAUGUUAAUUUUUCGCGCCUUGGAAGGUAAUAAUUUUUUUUUAUAAAAAAAUAAUGCAAGCAACAGUAAGAAUUAAGAUUAAUCAUAUAAUGAUGCAAACUAUGGACAUACUAAUAAGUUGGUACACGGAAUCUUAAUCAAUGAUGUCUGGUUUCAGCUUUCCUUGUUUUUUCUUUCUUCGGUAAUGCUCUUAAGAUGUUAUGAAUUAAACAAAUAUAUGUUCCCAAUUAUGCACUCUUAUCAUAUAAGGAGCAUCAUAAACAGAGGAAAAACAAUUUCAAGUUUGGUGACCAAAAAGACUUGAAACAAUGCCUAAUGUCUUUGAAAGAAGUAGGGGAUUCAACAUAACUGUGUGGACUGAAUAGAGAAGUAGUAGCAAAUAGAACACUCAACAUAAAAGGCACCGAACAAAAUACAGUUAAAAGGCUGUUACAAGUGAAUAAAAGUUACAGAUUUUAUUUUGAAAUUAAAUUCUAAAAAUAAAUUUAAGAGUUAGUGUUUCAUUUUAUGGAUGUAAAUGCCCUUCUCCAAUUUCAUUUUAAAAACAUACCAAAAUCCAAGUAAUUUUUUUGCUCUCCUCUCUCAACUAAAAUCUUUCUAUCUUAGACUUCACGUGAUGGAGUUCCAACACUAGUUUGAAGUUCGCAAGAGUAGUGAGGUUAUGUUGCCGAGAACAUUUGACUUUAUAAUAUCCUAAGGGACAUUUGCUAAUAUAACCUAAGUACUACUGAGAAAAUGACAAAUCCUUUUUAAGGACAUUGUAACUGCACAUGCCUCAAUUUAAUUUAUGUUCUUCUCUUUCUUAUUGAUCUGUACUAGAGAAAUUAUCUCUACACCAACUCUGUUUUAUCAUAUGUACAUCUAGAUACUACAAAAUUUUAACAUGUUCUUUGCACUACCAUCAUUUCUGAACUUGUAUUAAUCGACUAAUUUGACAAUAAUAAUUAAAAUAAAAUGACCAUUUUACCCCUAAGUGAUCUAAAAGACCAUUUUAUCCCACGAAAUUUUUAAUUAAAAAACUAUGAUUACCAUUUAACUAAUUGAUAAAAUAUUAUUGAAAAAUCAACCUGCGCGUACUAUUUAACUAAUGGAUAAAAUAUUAUUGAUUUUUUCAAUUCUUUUGACCUAAAAAAUGUGUAAUUCCCAUCUUAAAUAUUUUCCUUUUUUUUUUAUCAAUUGUACAGUCACAAUUAUAAGACAAUUUUCAUUUUUUAAAUUAAUCACCAAAAUAACAAUAGUUUGAAUCAAUUUUGAAUAAUAAAAAUUAUAAAUUGGAAAAUGUAUCGAGUAAAAAUUAUAAUUAUAAAAAUUAACAUCGCAGAUUUUGAGAUUUUUUUUAUUAAAAUCAAAGGUAAUCUCAUAACUAUAAUUUUUUUUUUCAAAAAUUUUGUAGGAUAAAAUAGUCUUUCAUUUCAUUCAAGAAUAAAAUGGUCAUUUUAUUUCAUUUCUUAGUGUGAAAGUAGUUCACUGAAAAAACUUUAGAAACAAAGUGGUGAAAGAACAAGUUAAAAAUUUGUGGUAGUUAGAUAUAUGUAUGACAAAACAGUGGUGGUGCAGAGAUAAUUUCCCUUCAUACAAGGUUAUUAAAAAAUUUUGUUUCAAUAAACUCAUGACAAGUGUGUAGCUAGCUUACUAGUAAACUUAGGCACUCUUAGAAAGAUUCUAAAGCAAAAGUAAUGCCUGAAAAAUCUAGAUUUAAGUAAGGCCAUUUGUGACCCUUUUAGUCUUUUCUAAGAACUCAACUGGUAUAUUUUUUCAUACACUAUGGAUUGUUUUAUGUCAUUUAUUAGCAAUAAUUUUCAACAUAUAUUCCCAAACUUUACCAUUUUAUAGCUUGAAGUUCAUAGGGCUUUGGAAUUAGAUCAUUUACAAAAAUCUUUACAAGGUGAUAAUGAUACGGAGAGAAUAUGUAAAUUUUAAGUCAGCCAGUAUGAGGGCGCCUUCAACUUAAUUGGGGUCUUCACUUUUAAGGCACUACCAGGGUGGCCAUUGCCCUCAUUGCUUAUGUACCUUAACUUCAUAUAGAUUUUUACUUUUUUUCGAUCCCUUUUUUGGAGCACAAGUAGAUUGUCGAUUAAUGCCAAACGCACAAGAAUGUGGUCAAAUGCCUAGAUUAGGGAAAAAUAAUGAAAUUUAAAGUAAUACACCAGACUGCUGAUGUAUUAACAUUAUAUUGAAAUUCAAUAUUUGGCUACCAACAAGCACAUAUUAUAUAUAAAGAAUUAAACACACAAAUAAACAUAAAAUGAAAUACUUAAAUAAAAUGAUAGAGUGCAUGUUUUGGAAAAGUUUAUUCCUCAAUCCACCACUAAUUAAAUAGAAGCAAGUCACUGUCAUUCUAUGUAAACAUACAUAACUAAUCGCCUACUUAGGAAUAAUAUUUUGAUUUGGGAAUCUUGAAUUUUUCAUUAAAAAAUCAGUUUACAAUAUUAUAAGUACAUGAAAAAGAAAGUGUAUCUUGUAUGAGAGUUUUUUGCAUUACCGAUCAAUUGCAAUGAAAUCGAAGCUGCGUUUUAAUAAAAAGAAGAAAUGGAUCACACAUACAUAGUUCAUACUUCUAAAUGUUGGAUUAAAAUUUAUUAAAACACAACACGGGCAAAGUCACUAGCAAAUAAGAAAGAAUAGCAAAGUCAUUCUUAGGGAAUAUAUUGAAUAUCACUCUAGAUAUGUUAGAGUAGUAAACUUCACUCUGUAUUUUAUUAGAAGUAAUAGGACCAUUUGGUCCAUAUAUUGAAGAUGUAUCUACCUACAAAAGCAUAGUUAAUGGCCAACAAUAUCUCAUCUUAACCACACCAGAGAUAUCAUUUACAAUGUAUAAGCUAAAUUAGUAUAUGGCUGCUCCUACACUUCAACAACUAAUGGCUUGUAAACGAGUGUUAAGGUACUUAAAGGAACUGGAAGAUAUGGAUGAAACUAAUUGGAUUCACAGAUACAAAGUAGGCAUGUGAUUUGGAUGACAAAAAAUCGAUUGGAGUUUACUACAUAUACUUGGGAAACAAUUUAAUACAUGGUCAUCAAAAAAGCAAUCUAUGGUAGCAAGGUCCAGUGCAGAAAGUGAAUAUAGAGCACUUACAGAAUUAACUUGGUUGCAAUCAUUAUUCAGUGAAAUCGGAAUACAAUGUACAUUAGUUCCAUCAAUUUGGUGUGAUAAUGCAAGUGCCACUGAAUUAUCCAAGAAUCCAAUCUAUCACUCAAGAACUAAACAUAUUGAGUUGGAUAUGCAUGUUGAGUGUUAGAAAAUGCAUAUUUAUAAAGGAGAAAACCGUCAUUUUACAUUUUAAGUCUUACUAACAACCCUUACUUUUAUAUAUUUAACCUUCUUGUGAUUUAAUUACAUGUGUUUUAUUUUAAUUAAGUAUUUUAUGUAUUUUAGGGGCAUUAUAGUCAUUUCACAAUAAAGGAGAGAUCAGACGGCAAAACGGACAUCACUUUUGAACUCAGGACGGUCGAAAACCUUAGGAGGAGCAUAAAAGGAAAAAUGGCACUAUUCACAUGUACGGUACUAUUCACGUGUACGGUACUGUAUACGUUACUGUUCACGACACUGUUCACAUAGACGGAUGAUGACGUGGCAUUGACCGAUGAUGUGGCAUUGACUGAUGAGGUGUCACGAUCCUGUUGGACUAAAAUUCUUAUGUACUGUUGAUGGUGACGUGGCAGCAUAUCAGUGGACGAAAAAUCUCGCGUACGGUGCAUGCAUCACACAGGAUUAUUUUCAACCAAACCGCGUUACUGUUCAUCCGGGUCAAACCGUGUUACUGUUCAUCCACGUGGUCAAACUGUGGACUGUUGACUGAUGACGUGGCGCAAUCCUGAGCGUCUAAACUGUUUUUAAUCCGAUGGCCAUGAUUUACUCCAUGUAUCUAUAAAAAGGGGGCCUCCCCCCCCUAAUUUGAUAUCUCUGAAUCCAUUUUUGGACUCUGUUUUCUGUAAUUCCCUCUCCAUCUUGUAUUUUCUUCGUAUUUUAAUAAAUUCCUAUUUUGCCCCUAGUUCAAUUAUGAGUGGCUAAUUUUCUUUCAAGCUUGGGUUGAAGGUGAAGUCUCAACAUGUGUCAUGGGCUUAAUUUGGUAAAUUUAUUUUCUCUUCCCCUCUAGUUUUUGUGGAUGUUUUGACUUCUCGUCGACAAAUAAUACUAAUCUUGUCUAGUACCGCCUUGGUUUCACCGGCCCUCUAGUAUAAGGUUAUUAUUAUUUGGCACGAUAAGCCCUUAGCACCAUAUUGAUUAGAGCGUGGUUCAUGAGGUGUGGAUUCCCCCCUCAUGAUUUAAUUGGCAUUAAUAAGGAAUAUUUAGCCCAUGAUGCAUGUUGAUGCGGAUCCGAAUACCCAAGUACGUCAUUUCAAUAGAAUUAUCUUCAAUCUAUUCUUGCCAUUGCAAGUCAAAUUUUAGAAUUUAUUAUCGCCAUUUCAAUUCCAAUUUUAGAAUAAUUUAAAUCACUUCCACCACAAUUCCAACCACCCAUUUACAAAAUUAAUUCUACAUAUAAUUAAAAUCCACCUCCUCGUGGGAUCGACACUCGUCACCAUUGAUCUACACUACAAUAGAUUCGUGCGCUUGCGAGUACAUUAAAAUUUGCACAACAAGUUUUUGGCGCCGUUGCCGGGGAGGUAAGUAAUUUUAAUUCAUAGAAUUAAUUUUUGUGAAUAAUUUCUUUUAUUUGUUUUCUUGUAUUUUUUUUAUUAUUAAAAAAAAAAGAAAAAAAAAGUGAAUCUACAUUUAAAGGUUAGUAUUUCUUUUCUUUUUCUCUUCUUUAAAAUUUUGUAAUUUAAUUUUCCAUUUAUUUUUCUUUGUAAUUUUUUUUUAUCUUAUUAAUUUAAUUUUUAGUUAAUUUCUUUCACGUAUUUAUUUUUGUGUAUUUUUAUAGAAAGGUUGUAAUAGCGCAAUAAGGUUAGUAUCGUAAUUUCUCCCUCUUCUUUAUUUUUAUUUGUUUUGUUCCCAUCUUUAUUUUUUGUUUUGUUUGCAUCUUUAUUUUUAUUUUAUUUAUUUUGCAUGCAUGGUCGUAGGUCAUUAUUACCUAAUCUUGAACCUAUAGACCUUGAAUUAGAAAAAACACUUCGCACACACAAACACGUUAAAAAUAAAAUGGAUUUACAAGCACCACAGGAGAGGCCAUUUAAGGACUAUUUUAGUCCCUUAGCUAAUUUGAGCACGUCAUGCAUAAGAUACCCAAAUGUAGCUGCUAGGAGUUUUGAAUUAAAACCUAGUGUGUUAAAUUGUCUCCCUACAUUUUAUGGCCUAGAAAAUGAGGAUCCAUAUAAUCAUUUGAAUGAUUUUCAUGCCAUUUGUCAAACAUUCAAAUAUGAGAAUUUUUCAGAUGAUGAUGUUAAACUUAGACUAUUCCCAUUUUCUUUAAAAGAUAGAGCUCGUUCAUGGCUUAAUACAUUGCCUGCUAAUAGAAUUGCAUCAUGGGAACAAAUGGUUACAAAAUUUUUAAAUAAAUAUUUCCCAGUGCAUAAAACCAAUGCUAUUCGCAGGGAAAUCUCGGAGUUUACCCAGAAAGAUGACGAGCAAUUUUUCGAAACAUGGGAGCGAUUCAAUGGGCUACUCUUGAAGUGUCCACAUCAUGAGUACGAGAAAUGGCACCAAUGCCAAUACUUUUUGGAAGGAUUAUUGCCGAAUGUGCAAGAAUGGCUAAUGGCAACGAGUGGAGGAGAGCUAAUGUCAAAAAGUGCAUCAGAGAUUUGGGAAUUCUUCCAGCGACAAGCAGAUAAUUCCCAACAACGGAGUCGAUCACUCAAGACUACUAGAAGAAUUAAAGGAGUGAAUGAGGUUCAAAUUGGCGAAUCAAGUUCAGAAAUUAAAGAAGUCAAAGCGAUAAUUGAAGGUCUCUCUCGACAAAUAGCAUCAUUAUCGACUGCUAAAUCAACAGAGCCACAUGACCAUGACUCAUACUCAGAUCAAGCCAAUGCCAUAGGUGUAAUGAGAAAGCUAUCAAAUUACAACCCAUACUCCAACACAUAUAACCCUGGAUGGAGAGACCACCCCAAUUUUUCAUGGUCUCAAGGAUUCCAACAGAAUGGACCAACAGCUCCAGCUCCACCAAUUCCACAAAAUCCUCAAGCCUCUCAGCCACCAUUUAGACCAUACAAUCAGAACCAGAACCACUCUCAACCUAGACCAUGGGAGGAUACAUUCCAGAAUUUUAGGAAUGUUACUCACUCCACGAUUGAGCAACAGAACCGCACCAUUGAUGGACUACGAAAUGAGUUGAGAGCAGGCUUCAAUUCACAAGCCCAAUCAGUUUCAAGCCUCGAGAAGAUGGUGGGACAACUUGCUUCUUCAGUUCAGACCUUGGCAAUGACCGUUGAGAAAGGUAAGUUUCCAAGUCAACCAGUGCCUAACCCUAAAGGAGUACAUGAAGCAAGUACCAGUUCACCACAGCAGCAUGGAGAGGUCAAAGCAGUAAUGACCUUGCGAAAAGGAAAGGAAGUCGACAACAAAGUGGAGAUGCCGGUGACAAAAGAAAAUCAAAUUGUACCUGUGAAUGUUGAGGACUCAUCACCGGAGGAGAAAGAAGAAACUAACCCACGAGAAUAUGUUCCGAAAGCUCCAUUUCCUCAGAGGUUAGCUAAAGGAAAAAAGGGAAAAUCCACAGGUGAGAUUCUUGAAAUCUUCAAACAGGUAAGUGUUAACAUCCCUUUGCUUGAUGCUAUUAAACAAGUUCCAUCUUAUGCCAAGUUUCUUAAAGACCUUUGUACUAAAAAGAGAAAUAUGCAUGUUCAAAAGAAGGCAUUUUUAACAGAAAACGUUAGUUCUAUACUCCAACAUAAAAUUCCUUUAAAAUGCAAAGACCCAGGCUCCCCCACUAUCUCAUGUAGUAUAGGGAACCACACAAUUGAGAAUGCUUUGUUGGAUUUAGGAGCUAGUGUAAAUCUUUUGCCUUACUCUGUAUUCGUGAAACUUGGACUGGGAGAAUUACACCCAACUCCAGUGGUGUUACAGCUUGCAGAUCGGUCCACGAAAAUACCUCGUGGUAUUGUGGAGGACGUGCUUAUCCAGGUAGACAAGUUUUAUUUUCCUGUUGAUUUCAUUGUAAUUGACACUCAACCAAUACAGGAUUCAAGGAAGCACAUCCCCAUUAUUCUAGGCCGACCUUUCUUGGCAACUGCGGAUGCUCACAUUCAAUGCAGGACUGGAAAUAUGCAGUUGUCCUUCGGCAACAUGACUAUGGAGCUAAACAUUUUCAACAUUGCCAAACAACCUUACAGUGUAGAUGAUGGAAUUGUUGAUGUGGAUUUAAUUGAAGCAUUAGUUGAUGAUACUUUUGUUUCAAACCUUAGUGAUCCUUUACAAACAUGUUUAACUCACUUUGGUUUGGAUUUUGAUAUUGACAGAUCGGUCGAUGAGGUCAAUGCCCUGCUUGACUCAACACCAUCUAUGGACACUAAUAAAUGGAAGUCAAGAGUUGAGCAACUAGCACCAUCAGAGAAGCAACUCAUUCCAUCAUCAGAAUCACCACCGAAACUCGAGCUCAAACCAUUGCCCAACACUUUGGAAUAUGCAUUUUUGGGAGAAGAAAGUACUCUACCGGUAAUCAUCUCAGCAUCCCUCAAUGACGAACAAAAAGGUAAGUUGUUGGAUGUUUUGAAAGAGCACAAAGGGGCAUUAGGAUGGACCAUAGCAAACAUUAAAGGUAUAAACCCAGUAGACUGCAUGCAUUACAUUCACCUUGAUGAAAAUGCUAAAACUACUAGGGAGAUGCAACGUCGGUUAAAUCCUAACAUGAAAGAAGUUGUUAGAACUGAAGUCCUUAAGCUAUUAGAUGCAGGUAUCAUUUAUCCAAUUUCUGAUAGUUCAUGGGUCAGUCCUGUACAAGUUGUCCCCAAAACGUCAGGAGUCACAGUAGUUACGAAUGCUGAUAAUGAAUUGAUACCCACUAGAGUAACUACAGGAUGGCGUGUAUGCAUUGAUUAUAGAAAGUUGAAUUCUGUCACACGUAAAGACCAUUUUCCUUUACCAUUUAUUGAUCAAAUGCUUGAUAGAUUAGCAGGCCAUGAAUUUUAUUGCUUUCUAGAUGGCUACUCAGGAUAUAAUCAGAUUCCCAUAGCACCAAAAGAUCAAGAGAAAACUACUUUCACUUGCCCUUUUGGCACAUUUGCAUAUAGGAGAAUGCCAUUUGGAUUAUGUAAUGCACCUGCUACAUUUCAACGAUGCAUGCUAAGCAUUUUUUCUGAUAUGGUUGAACGAUUUCUUGAAGUCUUUAUGGAUGACUUUUCUGUCUUUGGUGAUUCAUUUGAUCAAUGUUUACAUCAUCUAACACUAGUUCUGCAGAGAUGUAUCGAGAAGAACUUGGUCUUAAAUUGGGAGAAAUGUCAUUUUAUGGUAAAACAAGGUAUUGUUCUCGGUCACAUCAUUUCGAGCAAAGGUAUUGAGGUUGACAAAGCCAAGGUGGAUCUCAUUUCUAAUCUUCCUCCACCUAAAACAGUCAGAGAAGUAAGAUCUUUCCUUGGGCAUGCUGGUUUCUAUAGACGUUUCAUUAAAGAUUUUAUCAAAGUUUCUAGACCCUUAUGCAAUUUACUUGCUAAGGAUGUACCUUUUAUCUUUAAUGAUUCAUGUCUUAUGGCGUUUGAAAAAUUAAAACGGUUGUUGACAUCAUCACCCAUCAUUCAGGCCCCAAACUGGAGCUUACCAUUUGAGCUAAUGUGUGAUGCAUCUGAUUAUGCAGUAGGAGCAGUAUUAGGACAAAGAGUUGAUCGAAUUCCCCAUGUUAUUUACUAUGCUAGUAUGACAUUAAAUGAUGCACAGUUGAACUAUUCAACUACUGAAAAAGAAAUGCUAGCAGUAGUGUUUGCAUUAGAAAAAUUUCGAUCUUAUCUCAUUGGUUGUAAAAUAAUUAUAUUCACAGAUCAUGCUGCUCUUAAAUAUCUUCUCACAAAGAAAGAUGCAAAAGCCAGACUAAUUCGUUGGGUGUUACUUUUGCAGGAGUUUGACUUGGAAUUCAAAGAUAAGAAAGGGACAGAAAAUGUUGUGGCGGACCAGCUCUCUCGUCUCCAUUUUGACACAAUUACAGAAUCAUUACCAUUGAAUGAGUCAUUUCCAGAUGAACAAUUAAUGAAUGUGGAAGUAUUACCUUGGUAUGCUGAUAUAGUUAAUUAUCUUGUUACAGGUAAACUUCCAGAGCAUUGGACCAAGCAAGACAAGGCUAAAUUCUUUGCAGAGAUAAAGAAUUUCUUUUGGGAUGACCCGUAUUUGUUCAAGUAUUGUGCAGACCAAAUUGUUAGACGAUGUGUCCCAGAAAGUGAAAUUCAGAAUCUCCUUUCAUUCUGCCAUGAACAAGCUUGUGGAGGCCAUUUCAGUGCUAAGAAAACCGCGACUAAAGUUUUACAAUGUGGUUUUUAUUGGCCAACUAUAUUUCGAGAUGCUUACACUUUCUGUUCUUCAUGUGAUAGGUGUCAACGAAUGGGGAGCAUUACGCGAAGGAACAUGAUGCCACUAAAUCCAAUUUUAGUGGUUGAGAUUUUUGACGUAUGGGGUAUCGACUUCAUGGGACCCUUUCCCCCGUCUUUUGGUCAUCAAUACAUAUUGGUUGCUGUUGACUACGUAUCGAAAUGGGUAGAAGCAAUUCCAUGUAGGACCAAUGAUCACAAGGUGGUGAUAGGAUUUUUGAAAAGCAACAUUGUCUCGCGCUUUGGAUUCCCUCGAGCAAUAAUCAGUGAUGGUGGUGCCCACUUUUGUAACAAAGCAUUCAAAGCUCUUUUGACAAAGUAUUCAAUCACACACAAAGUGGCGACCCCGUAUCAUCCGCAAACUAGUGGCCAAGUUGAGAUCUCCAAUCGAGAAAUAAAGCACAUAUUAGAAAAGACGGUGAGGCCGGACAGAAAAGAUUGGUCAUUAAGACUUGAUGAUGCAUUAUGGGCAUAUAGAACGGCUUUCAAGACCCCGAUUGGGAUGUCACCCUACAGGCUAGUAUAUGGAAAAGCUUGCCACCUACCUGUGGAACUCGAGCAUCGUGCAUAUUGGGCCAUCAAGAAAUUCAAUUUUGACAUGCAGCAAGCCAGCUCAGAAAGAAGAUUACAGCUGGCAGAACUUGAAGAAAUUCGCAAUGAUGCAUACGAAAAUGCCAAGAUUUACAAGCAACGAAUGAAAGUCUUCCAUGAUAAGCAAAUUAUGAGAAAAUCGUUCACUCCAGGUCAGAAAGUGCUUUUGUUCAAUUCUCGCUUGCACCUAUUCCCAGGUAAGUUACGCUCUCGUUGGUCUGGUCCCUUUAUUGUUCAUACUGUUUUUCCACAUGGGGCAAUUGAAAUUAAGGACCCAAAGAACGGUGUCACGUUUAAAGUUAAUGGUCAAAGAUUAAAGCCAUAUCUAGAGUACCAACCACAUGGAGAAGACACCGAAAUAAAUUUGAGUGACCCACCAGAUUUGAAUUGAUUUUUUUUUUCUUUUCAUUGAUUUGAUUUUUCUUUCUUUCUUUUUAUUAUUAUUCUUUUGCUAAUUGAAAUUGUUUUUGCAUAAGUGUGUUUAUUUUACCAUUAAGUUUUCUCUUAUCAUUUUUAAUCAUGAGUCUCAUACUUAGACCGUUCCUCCUGAACAUUCUUAAACCACUUCAACGUGUCAAAACUCAUCUCAAAAGACAGAUUCAAUUUUGUAAAACACAUCGCAUUUGGGCUCUACAACCACCAGAGUUAGUAGCCUAUGUUGAGGGUUUAGAACACCAACUCAGAGACAUUGAGAGAAGUGUUUACGACAUCCAGUUGGAGCUUGAGGUAAAUUCAAUAAGAGGACGAUUUUAAUUUUCUUUGUGUGUUUUAAUUUGUUUUUCUAUUUGUGUGCUUUAGUUUGUUACCCCGGUGAAGUGGCGGAUAACGGUACUCCGUGACAAUCAAGUCGGUUACUUCAGUUUCCCAUAAUAACUGAUAUUCUGAGGCGAAGGUAUGGACAGAAAUGAGAUUCUAGCAAAGCUUCACAAGCGAUUCCCUUCACUUCCUCAGAAUGCCCUCCUUACGAUCUAUAAAGCUCGGUCCGAACGCAUGCGAUUAUUCAUGAGGAAUAACAUACCUGCUGACAUCCGUUGGUUAAUCGAGGCUAAAGUACGAUCGGCAGGUGAGUUACCUCCAAAAUUUAUUGCAUACAUGCCUGGUUGUGGUAAAGGAAAUUAUGCAAGAAAACGACGAGCUCGAAGAAUUUCUGUUGCUUGUCAUAAGUGUGCCAGAAUGAGUUGCAAUAAAAACCCAUGUUCUUUAGGCAUGAUGUCUGAUAACAGGGAAGAUAAGAUUCAAUUCAUUAGGGAUGGCUUGAAUAAGGAGUCAUUGGAUGAUAUCCUUUUGUCUCUUGAAACGCAUCCCAGUGGAUAUGUGCAAGGAGCGAUUCUCCAGUUAUGGCCAUUAUUCCAGAAAGAGCAUGCACGAUAUAGUCUCGGGAAUCUGACUAUAAACGACCCUGUUUGCCAGUUUAUAAGAAAACUGGAUAGGAAGCCUAUCCUCGACCCAUAGAGGGCGUUCAAGCCGUUUCUGGACGUAAAACCAGAGGAAGAUGUGAGCCACAGUCGCAACUACCUGUAAAUAUCCUUUUACUUUAUUGUUAUUUUAUUUCACUAUUGUCUUAUUGUUUGUAUUAUUGUCUUUAAUAAUUUUAUUACUGUUUGCUUUUUCCUUUUUACUGUUUUCUUUUUUACUUGCAAGCCACGUGCUUUACGCGUUAUUUGACACUAACAUAUUACCUCAUACACGACCAUGACCCACUAUCACCGAGACUCUUAAAUGUGAUUUCUUUUUUGUCAAGCACUCACAAAUUAUUUUUGAGAAGUAUCACAAUGUCAGCUACUCCCAAUAGACAAUUCAAGAACAUUUGUGUGCUUUCUGGAUUUACAUAUGGCAAACAUAAAGAGUUCGUUGAGGCAGCCAUAGAUCUUGGUCGAAGCAUAGAAGCGAGAAAAUUACACUUGGUGUAUGGAGGAGGUAACCGAGGGUUAUCAAAAAUGGUCUCAGAAGCAGCUUUUAUCAGAGGAAGUCAAGUGUUAGGCAUCAUCCCAAGAGUCCUAAAACCAUUGGGCAGUUCGUCUGACUCAUCAACUGGAGAAGAGUUAGUCGUCUCAGGUAUGCAAGAAAGAAUCACUGCAAUGCUUAAUCAUGCUGACGCUUUUAUUUUCCUUCCAGGAGAUCUUGCAACACUAGAGGCACUUAUCACACUAGCAUCUUGGGCCCAUCUGCACAUCCACCAGAAACCCAUCGGUUUGUUAAAUGUCAAUAACUUUUAUGAUGGCUUUAUCGCAUUUCUUAACCAUGCAAUAAAAAACUAUUUCAUUCCCGCUAAUGUGAAAAAACUCUUUAUUUGUGCUCACACUGCUAAUGAGCUACUGGAUCUAUUACAAGCUUAUAGACCGGAGCCAGACCCCUGGACCUUUGUGUUGGAGCGUCCAAAUAAUGAUGGUAACAAUAGCAGUAGUAAGAAGUACAAAUUAGAUUUAACUCUCCGCCUGUAAAUAUUUUCUUCUGUGUUGCACCACCCAGGUGAUGUCUUCUAAACUCUACUUCUUUCAUUUCAAACAUUGAGGACAAUGUUUCGUUCUGGUUGGGGGGAGGGAAUAGUCGACAAUUAUGAAAUUUUGGUUAAGUUUUUACUAAUUUUUUGUUGUAGAAACUAACUGUUGCUAACUUUUUGUGUUGAAGAUGGCUGAAUAUGGAGUGUAGUGACUCUAGAAACGCAUCUUCAUCGUUUAAAAAAAAAAUUAAAAAAAAAACUUAAAAAAAAAAAUUAAGACAUUUUCUUUUUUCUUUAUUAUGUGUUUAUGUUUAUUUUUCUUCUUUUUAAUUUAUCCUCUAUAAAAAUGCAUUUUCCAACUUUUGAGUCGAAGAUGGCUGAAUAUGGAGUGUAGUUCCUCUAGAAACGCAUCUUCUUUAAAAAAAAAAUAAUAAAAAAAUUAUUUUCUUUUCUAUCAUUUUAAAUGUAACUUUUCUAAAUUAAUUUUUCUACAUCAUUUUCACAUUUCUGCAUGCAUAUUUUUUUUUUUUUUAUGUUUAGAAUAGGUUGGGGGGUAGAAUGUUGUUUAAAAAAAAAAUUUUUUUGAUUUGUUUUAACAUUGGGUGACAUGAUUAAUUUAAAUUUUAGUAUUUGUAUUAUCUUUGAUCUUAAGUGAUGUUACAUUAUGUUUGCUACUNNNNNNNNNNNNNNNNNNNNNNNNNNNNNNNNNNNNNNNNNNNNNNNNNNNNNNNNNNNNNNNNNNNNNNNNNNNNNNNNNNNNNNNNNNNNNNNNNNNNNNNNNNNNNNNNNNNNNNNNNNNNNNNNNNNNNNNNNNNNNNNNNNNNNNNNNNNNNNNNNNNNNNNNNNNNNNNNNNNNNNNNNNNNNNNNNNNNNNNNNNNNNNNNNNNNNNNNNNNNNNNNNNNNNNNNNNNNNNNNNNNNNNNNNNNNNNNNNNNNNNNNNNNNNNNNNNNNNNNNNNNNNNNNNNNNNNNNNNNNNNUUCUAGCCAUCCCUUUUAUUAAAUAUCCACAGUUAACCCUUUGACCCUUUAAAAAAAAAAAAAAAAACAUUUUCUUUUGUCAACUUAUCAUCUUGACCCACUCCGAUUUGGAGUAUUACCCGAUGUCUUAUAAGUUCCAUCACCUAUUUAUGUUUGAGAAAAUGUAAAUAAUUAUUUUGUUCAGUGAAGUUAUGCCAAAUAAAAGCAAAAAACAAAAAAAACAAAAAAACAAAAAAACAAAAAAACACCAAAACAAAAGUUGUUGUUUCAAAAGUUGUUGUUUCAAAAGAACAAUAAUAGGUGAAAUCCACCUUGCAACUUCCAAAAAAAAAAAAAAAAAAUCUCUGCAUUUUUCUCAAACAUACACUUUGUUUUCCUUAAUUCCUUUCUUUGUUAACCAUGUCCCUAGCCUACGUUACAUCCUAAUAAAAGUCCUUCCUGAUUUUAGGGAACUAUAAUCUGAAGUAGAAGCUAGUUAUAUGGGCUAAAAAGAUGUAGUGAUGCAUAAUUAAAAAAAAAAGAAAGAUAAAUAAAGUGGGUUGACUAACAUUUUAUUUGACUUGAGAUCGUAUUAUUUCUAAGCUGAGGGCAUAUUUAUUUCAUCUUGGUGAGAGCAUGUGAUAUCACUUCUUUAUUAUUUUCUCUCUCAAUUACCAUUCAUUGGAGUGACUAUUUUUAUUGGGAUUAAUUUAUUUGUGAGAGUGUCACUACUUCCAGUGAGAUUUUGGGGUUUGACAUGUCAUUCUUGAGAGUAGCUAAAACAAAGUCUACUGGGCUAAUUCAUGUGGAUGGUUGAUGUGGGUGUGAUGUUGCUUUAGACUGGAGAUAAUGCUUAUACUUUUAUUUGAUUGCUAUCAUUAAUCUGAUGGAAUAAAUACGAGUGUUUCUAUUAAAACAAAAAAAAAAUUAUUUUGAAUUUGAAUUUUGUUUUCGCUUUAUUUGCUAGGGACUAGCAAUAAGCUGGUUGGAGGGUGUGUUGAGUGUUAGAAAAUGCAUAUUUAUAAAGGAGAAAACCGUCAUUUUACAUUUUAAGUCUUACUAACAACCCUUACUUUUAUAUAUUUAACCUUCUUGUGAUUUAAUUACAUGUGUUUUAUUUUAAUUAAGUAUUUUAUGUAUUUUAGGGGCAUUAUAGUCAUUUCACAAUAAAGGAGAGAUCAGACGGCAAAACGGACAUCACUUUUGAACUCAGGACGGUCGAAAACCUUAGGAGGAGCAUAAAAGGAAAAAUGGCAUUAUUCACAUGUACGGUACUAUUCACGUGUACGGUACUGUAUACGUUACUGUUCACGACACUGUUCACAUAGACGGAUGAUGACGUGGCAUUGACCGAUGAUGUGGCAUUGACUGAUGAGGUGUCACGAUCCUGUUGGACUAAAAUUCUUAUGUACUGUUGAUGGUGACGUGGCAGCAUAUCAGUGGACGAAAAAUCUCGCGUACGGUGCAUGCAUCACACAGGAUUAUUUUCAACCAAACCGCGUUACUGUUCAUCCGGGUCAAACCGUGUUACUGUUCAUCCGCGUGGUCAAACCGUGGACUGUUGACUGAUGACGUGGCGCAAUCCUGAGCGUCCAAACUGUUUUUAAUCCGAUGGCCAUGAUUUACUCCAUGUAUCUAUAAAAAGGGGGCCUCCCCCCCCUAAUUUGAUAUCUCUGAAUCCAUUUUUGGACUCUGUUUUCUGUAAUUCCCUCUCCAUCUUGUAUUUUCUUCAUAUUUUAAUAAAUUCCUAUUUUGCCCCUAGUUCAAUUAUGAGUGGCUAAUUUUCUUUCAAGCUUGGGUUGAAGGUGAAGUCUCAACAUGUGUCAUGGGCUUAAUUUGGUAAAUUUAUUUUCUCUUCCCCUCUAGUUUUUGUGGAUGUUUUGACUUCUCGUCGACAAAUAAUACUAAUCUUGUCUAGUACUGCCUUGGUUUCACCGGCCCUCUAGUAUAAGGUUAUUAUUAUUUGGCACGAUAAGCCCUUAGCACCAUAUUGAUUAGAGCGUGGUUCAUGAGGUGUGGAUUCCCCCCUCAUGAUUUAAUUGGCAUUAAUAAGGAAUAUUUAGCCCAUGAUGCAUGUUGAUGCGGAUCCGAAUACCCAAGUACGUCAUUUCAAUAGAAUUAUCUUCAAUCUAUUCUUGCCAUUGCAAGUCAAAUUUUAGAAUUUAUUAUCGCCAUUUCAAUUCCAAUUUUAGAAUAAUUUAAAUCACUUCCACCACAAUUCCAACCACCCAUUUACAAAAUUAAUUCUACAUAUAAUUAAAAUCCACCUCCUCGUGGGAUCGACACUCGUCACCAUUGAUCUACACUACAAUAGAUUCGUGCGCUUGCGAGUACAUUAAAAUUUGCACAACAAUGCACAUUGUGAGAGGCAAAAUACUUGUAAAAGAACUUGAAAUCAGUUAUAUAACAUGUGUAGAACAAAUUGCCCAAUUAUAUCUUUACAUAUUAAUUUUGCUAGUAUAAUAUCCUUGAGAAUAAUUUGAAUCAAAUGAUUUUGUUACUUUGGCAAUAAUUAAAUAAUAUUAGAUUGAAUUGUUGUGUCAUUUGUUUAGCUUAUUUUAACCCUAUGUAAAAUUAGCUUCGGCAAGUAAAAUGAAAUUUACACUAUUAAAAUCUUUGUUUGUGGUAAUAAAAGUUCACUUGGAAUUUUAUAAUAUCAACUUGAAAUUUAACUCAAAGUAUUGGUAGUUAAGGAUUUCAAUAGAAAUAUUAAAUAGAAACAAGUAGUUAACAAGUUAAACCAAGUUAACCUAUAAUUGAGUAUGUUUAACUAAACUAAGGGGCUAAUUUUACAAAAAGUUAAACAAUAGAAAGUAAAUUUGGCAUUAAACCCAAAUAGUUAAAAUUUUACCAAGUUAUUGGAAAUAGUCAAACAAAAGCAUUGAAAUAAUAGUUGAAACACAUAAGUUAAAAAGGGAUAAAAUAUUAACCAAAUUCUAAUUUUAAAACUCAUCCAAUAAGAAAUGAAUUUACUUAGAAUUUAACAAAAAGUAUUGGUAUUUAAUGAACUUAAUAUGAACAUUAAACGCAUAGCUGGUAGAUUUAUAAGUUAGAAAUAUGUAAACCUAGAAGUAAGAAGGUUUAACCAAAAUUAAGGAAUAAAAAAAAUAAAAAAGUCCAAUUGGUAUUUAACCUAAAUAAUUGCAACCUUACCUAAUCAGUAGGAAUAUUCGACAAAAAGAUAGUGGAAUAAUUAGUUGAACCAUAUGAACCUAGAAGGGAGAAAAUUUAAGCAAAAUUAGGAACUUAUCCAAUGGGAAUAAAUAUUAUUUGGAAUCUAACCCAAAAUUGGUAUUAAAUGAACGUAGUAGGAAUAUAAAACAUAAAACUAGUAAACUACUAAUUAAGUUGAAGUAUGUGGACCUAUAAGUGAGAAAAUUUAACCAAAAUUAGAGACUAGUUUAACCAAAAAUAAAAUUAUAAAAAAUAAAUUUGGUGCUUACCCUCAAUAAUUAGAAUCUUAUUAAGUUAAUAGAAGUAUUCAACACAAAAAUAUGGAAAUUAGUAGUUGAAACUGGAACCCAUAAGAGAGAAAGUUCAAGUAAAAUUUGGAACUCAUCCACCAGAAAUAAAUUUAACUUGGAAUCUAACCAAAAUAUUGGUAUUGAAUGAAUAUAGUAGGAACAUCAAACACAAAACUUGAGGACUAAUAUGUUGAAAUAUGUGAAUUGUAACAUCCAAUUAAUAUAUAUGUAUUUAACUAAAAGAGUUGGAUAUGAUUAUUUUAUAAUUUUUAAUAUCAUUUUAAUUAUAAUAUUUUUCUCAUUCAAAUAUUUUUAUUUUAGCAUUUUUGCAUCAUUAGUUUAGCACACAUCAUUAGCAUUGCAUGCGUCGUUGGUCUCGUGCAAAUAGUGGUAGAUUGAUUAGAAAAUCACCUUCACCACCCUUAAAUAUGGCUGACAUAGGAGCUGAAAAUAUUUCGGAGCACGAAAAUGACCAAGCCUUGCAAAAUCUUCAUGAACAACCUAGGACCCUUAGAGACUUCAUGCAUCCUACUAGAACAUGUCACCAUCAUGCAUAUUUUUCCCUCCUGAUGCAUCACGUUUUAAUUUCAAGCCUGGUAUCAUUCAACUUUUGCCUACCUUUUAUGGUUUUGAGUCUCAAAAUCCAUAUUUGCAUUUAAGGGAAUUUGAGGAAGUCUAUAACACCUGUACUGAUCAAAAUUGUAGCAUGAAUAUUAUUAGACUUAAGUUUUUUCCUUUCUCACUAAAGGAUAAAACUAAAACUUGGCUACAAAAUCUUAGAUCAGAAUCCAUCAGAACAUGGGAUGAAAUGCAAGCACAAUUUUUGAAAAAAUUCUUCCCACCCCACAGAACAAAUUCUUUCAAAAGACAAAUUACCACUUUCACUCAAAAACCAGGAGAAACUCUCUACCAAUGUUGGGAUAGGUUUAAAGAACUACUUAACAUUUGCCCACAUCACGGUUUUGAAACAUGAAGAUUAGUGUCUUAUUUCUAUGAGGGAUUAACAUCCUAAGGUAGACAAGUCGUUGAAAUGAUGUGUAAUGGUGAGUUUAGGGAUAAAAGUCCUAAAGAUGCAUUAGACUAUCUGGACUAUAUAGCAGAAAAUGCACAACACUAGGAUAUAGUUGGUUCUUAUGAGUGAUCAAGUAAACCCCAAUCAUCUCCAUCUGGUGGAGGCAUGCAUAACCUUAGGGAAGACCAUGAUUUUCAAGCCAAAUUUGCAUCGUUAGCUAGAAAAUUCGAAGCAUUAGAGUCGAAAAAGAAUGAUCAUGUAAAGUCUGUUCAAAAUAUUUCAUGUUAUGUUUGUGAUUCUACUGACCAUUCUACGCAGGACUGUCCAACUUUACCAGCCCUGAGAGAAAGUCUGCAUGAACAAGUAAAUGUCGUUGACAAUUUCAAAAGGCCAAAUCUAAAUCCAUACUCCCAAACUUACAACUUUGGUUGGAGAAACCACCCAACUUUCAGUUGGAGAAAUGAUAAUCAUGCACAAUCUUCACAACCAGUUCCUCCACGCCAAAAUUUUCAAAACUCUCAGAGUUACCCACCAUAUGUCCCACCACCAAGAAAACCUCUGGAAGACACAUUGCAUUCAUUUAUUGAAAAACAAGAGUCGAUAAAUAACCAAACGAUGCAAACCUUAACCAAUUUGACAGAAACUAUCGCCAAACUUACAUAUGCUCUGACCAUACAUGGAAAAGGAAAGUUUUCCGCUCAACCUGAACCAAACCCCAAGAGUCAACAACAUCCUCAAAUGGGAAAUUCAGGAAAUCAAAAUAUGAGUCAAAUCAAAUCGGUUAUAACCCUUCGUGGUGGUAAAGUAGUCGAAAAACACAUUGUGGACCCUCGUGAAACUAGUAAAGAUUCAAUUUCAGAAAAUAAGGAAGAGUCUUUCGAACCUUUAAACCAUGAAGAAAUAACCAACUCUCCUCUUGUACCCUCAUUUUCUCAAGCACUGAUCAAGCCAAAGAAAUCAAACCACAGUCCAUAAAUUUAUGAAGUUUUUAAACAAGUUAAGGUCAACAUUUCUCUACUGGAUGUCAUUAAACAGGUGCCUUCUUAUGCUAAAUUUCUGAAAGAUCUGUGCAUAGUGAAAAGGAAACAUAAGGUGCAAAAGAGAGUUUUUCUUGCAGAACAAGUAAGUUCCAUUCUCUCAACCAAUAGUGCUUUGAAAUAUAAGGAUCCUAGUUGUCCAACUAUUUCUUGCACUAUUGAGGAUUAUAAAAUUGGACAUGCUUUACUUGAUCUUGGUGCUAAUGUUAAUUUGCUUCCUUACUCAGUGUACUAACAACUCAAUCUCGGUGAGUUAAAACCAACUUCUACCACUCUUUUACUUGCUGAUAGAUCGAUUAAGGUCAAGAGGAAUAAUGAAGAUGAAUUAGUUCAAGUCGAUAAAUUCAUAUAUCCUCUGGAUUUUAUUGUUCUGGAAACGGAACCAAUUGCUAAUGAAUGCAAAUAAAUUCCUGUUAUAUUGGAUCGACCAUUUUUAGCUACUGCUAAUGCUUUGAUAAAUUGCAGGAAUGGAUUAAUGAACUUAUCUUUCGGCAACAUGGCACUGGAACUCAAUGUGUUCAACAUGUGUAAACAACCUCACCACCAGGAAGAUGAUGAUAAUGAGAAUGAGGAAAUUGAUCUCAUCGAGCCAAUCAUUGAGGAACACAUUCAGGAUGAGAAUUUUAGAAACUCUGCAGAAAUUUGUUUUGCUAGUUUUGUUGAAUCAAGUAAGGAAUUAGAUUUCGAUACUGCUAGCAUAUGCCCUACAUUUGAUUCUAUGCAGGUACCUAUAGGUGACGAUGACCAAUCGAACUUUGAAGAUACGGUACAACCUGAAUAAGCAAACGAAGAGGAAGCAUUAGAGCUCGAAUUAAAGCCCUUACCAGACGAAUUGAAGUAUGCCUAUCUUGGAGAGCAGCAGACAUAUCCGGUGGUAAUUUCUUCUUAGCUCACGCAUAAUCAAGAAGGUAAGUUGUUAUCUGUACUAAAAAGGCAUAAAACUGCAUUUGGUUGGAUAUAAAUGAGAGUAUUAAAAUUAUAGUUUGAAUACAGAGAGUGGAUCCUAAACCUUAUCUUAUUUUUUAAAUUGAUUUCAAAUAAUUUAUUUUCCCCACAAUUAAUUUUCUUAGUUUUACUAAAUUUAAAACUUAUUGUGGUUCGACCCCGGUCUCACCGGGUUAUAUUAUAACUAGACACUCUUAUACUUGAGAGUAAUACACUUUUGAGUCGUGUCAAAAAUCAUGGGCUAUAUCACCAGAUUUCUUUUCGAAAUAUUAAAUUCUAUAAAUAUAUUUUGUAAUCCAAAAUAUAUUGGGACUCUAUAAAUAAACACUUAUGCACAACUUAGAUUUCUUAUAUAGUAGAAUUUUGAUAAAUUAUUAGCAUUGAGACUAUGAAAUUUAUUAAUUUAGCGAGUAAUAAUUUAAUGAUAAAUUAAUAAAAAAAUUAAUAAUUAUUAAUUCACCAAGAUGCAUCACGUUCAUAGUAAAAUUUUUCUUUUUUAUGAAGUAUAGAGAUUGUAUAAUUAGAGAAUAUAUUAAUUCUUCAAAUUAUGUGAAACGAUUUUGAUAUGAUCUUAAUUAAGUGAACCAAUCACUUGAUAAUUCUUUAACUAAACGAAAGGCUUACAACAUUGCAUUAGUACAACAAAGAAAAUAGUAAACAUAUUAUAUGUAUUUAAUUUCAAAUUAGUUAAUUAUUAAUUUGUGUCCUAUAGAAAAAUAAGAUUAUUUUUUCCAAAUCUUACUUUUUUAUUAAUUUAUCGAACUAUUCAGUUACCACAAUGACCCCCAGAUCAAAAUCAACAAAAAUUAUUAUUUAUUCGAAGUUAUUAUUUUAUCAAAUAUUAAUUUAAUAAAAUUCUACUGUGUUUUUUGAACACUUAUAAUUGAGGGCUUGAGCAGUGUGAGACUACAUACCUAGUGCCAUAUAUUUCAUUAUUUCUUUAUUAUGGAUGUAUGAAAAUUUGAAUUGAAUGUGGUACAAUAUUGUAUAUUAUAUUUUUGGAAAAAGACAUUCUUACAAAAGAUUGCGCAACACUUUGUAUAAAAUUGUGUGUUUUAAUAAAACAAAAUUGUAAAACAUUCAUAAAAUUUUAAAGAUUAAUCAUUUACAUCCCUAUUUUGAUUCUUUGGUUGAAAAAUGUCGGCAAAAAUGGUAUCAGAGCCAAGUUUUAGGCUCAGAAUAUAAAAAUGGAAGAAAUAGUUGUUUAUUUUGUAAAUAAUAGAGGAUAUAAUUUAAUGAUAGAUAGUAAUACAAUUAAGGAUAACAUAACUAAAUAUAGACAAUAUUAUUGUUCAGAACAAAAUAUAUUAGAUGAUAACAACUAGAACAAUUGUAUUUAUCCGGAGAGCUCAUGAAAUUAGAAUUGGAGAACUCAUAAUAAUAAAGAAUAGAAAUUUCAACAUAGAUCCUUCUCUCAUAUUCACAGUUACGAGAGAAGUUUAUAGAAAUAAUUUUUCUUGGAAAUAAUGGAAUAAUGAGGAUUAUAUAGAUGAACUUGUGAUUGAUUAUAAUAGAUUUUUAACUAUUAACCAAAGAGAUGAAUACAAUUGGAAUAAAUAAAGGAUCAGAAGUGAAUACUAUCCUUCUAGCAACAUUCUGAUAGGAUACAAAGAUUUAAUUAUAUAUAAGCUUUGUUAUAUACAUAAAGGAUUAGAAGAAAACAAUAUUUCUAAGGAUAUAAAAAAUAUUAUAUAUCACAAAUACUUGAUAGAAUAUAAUGAAAUAUUAUACAGAUGGUAUUAUGAAUAUAUUACUAGAACCAUUGAUAAUUUCACAAAAUAUAGAAACCAAUAAAUUUCCACCUUCUCGCUAUAGGCAUAGAGGAUUUACUUAUGAAAGAUUUCAACCAUUUGAUUUGGUAAAUGAUUUUGAUAUGUAAGGAAGUAAUAAGUUAAACUAGAUUUCUCUAUAUUUAUUAAAUAAAUUUGGAAAUCCUAAUUUAACCAUAAAUGAUAUAGAAGAAAGUGCAAAUGAAAUACUUGAAAUUAAAAGCUUUAAUACUGAAAAUAUAACACAAGUUAAAAUGUUAAAAGAUCAAAUGAGUGAAGAAUUUGAUUCACUCAAACAAUUAUAAAAGACUUCAAAAUUGAAGAUUAAGAUAGAUUGGAAUAAGAAAUCAUUAAUGUCAUGAACAAAAAUUCAAUUGAAGAUAAAUUAAAUAAGAUAGAAAUUCAAUUACAUAAAAUUAGAAAAAUCGUUGAACAACUUGGUAAUAAGUUUGAAUAAGUAUAAAUGGAAAAUUAAAAAAGGAUUGAAGAACAAAAGAUUAGUAACAAUAUGGAAGAAUUACUCAAUGGUAAUUCAAGAACAAAAUAAAGUUUUACUAGAUACCAUAACCUAGUACAAUGAAAAGAAAAAUAAAGAAAUGCUAGCAAUAUCAUGAUCAAUAUUUAACAAAGUAAAUGAAGAUAAAAAAAUUAGUAAGUUUAAGGAUGCUAAGCAAAAAUGUAGACAAUGGAAGAAUUAUCUAAUCCAGAAAUAUUGGAGGAAGAAUAUGAAGAGGAAGAAGAUGUAUUUAUUAAUUUAUAAGAUAUUGAAAAUAAACUAGAACUUCUAAAAUGAAUGAAUCAAAGCCAAGAGACUUUGAACAAGGAGAAUUUAGUAAUAGAGCUUCUUAUGCUAGGGAACAAAUACCACCUCAUGAAAGACUACAAGGUCAAUAUUUUAGGGUUAACAAACCUAAAAAAAAAUAUAAAACUCUAGGAGAAUAUAGAGAAAGACUAAUCAACCAUGAUGUAGUAUGGUUAGAUUUAGACUGUGUCAAAAAUAGUGAUAAACUUAUUACCACUUAGGUUAAAUCUAUGAAAAUUGCAUUUGCAUUUAACAAAAUAGAUAGAAACAAUGGUAUAGAGUUCCUUAAAACUUCAUUUAUACGAAUAGUGUCAUAUUGGUUUAUGGGAUUGAAAGAUACCGACAAAAAUAAAAUAUUAUAUAGCGAAAAUAAUAAUUAAAACGAAAGCUUGGAUCAAGUCUUAAAUAAAUUUGAAAAUAAAAUAAGAAAAGAAUUCUUACGAGAAGAUUGGGAAAUUGAUUUUCAACAGGAAAUAAAGAGGAAACGGAUGGAAAACGUAAUGAAGCUAAAAACACUUGAAAUAUGUAAUAUAUUUUAUCUAGAAGAAUACACAUGUAGCUUUGAAGAAUUACAUUAUAAAUGUGAAUUUGAUAAAGUUGAAAAUACCAUAUGCUAUUAUAAUGAUCAAUAUUUUAUAAAGAUACCAAAUCCAUGGGGGAAAAUGAUUAUGUUAGAAUAUAACAAGGAAUAAAUUGAUACCCUAAGAAAUAGGAUCAGAUUUGCUCGAAAUAGAAUUAGUGAACAGUAUGUUGAAAAAAGAGUUAAGAGACUUUGGUAAAGUCCCCAUAGUUCAGCUUCCAUAAUGGAACAACUACCCAAAUUCAUGCUAAAACCGCAAACCCAUUCCCUACAAUAAUUCCUCACCAAGCCACCAGCAUUAGCCAAUCCCGAUCUCUUCAAAGCCCCAUCAGUAUUGAGCUUUAAGAACAACCACUUUGGGGGCUGCCAAUAGAUCCAUCUUUUAGUUUUUGUAAUUCUCUGACUAUCUAAAGACUUAUAAGCAGCGAUGAUUUUUUCCGUGCAGUUGUUCACAUCCACAAUUACGUUGUGAAGGGCUGCUUGAUUUGUGAGCAUAAACGAACUCAUUGUGCCAAUACCACAUGCGCCAGACAUGACGCCAAAUAACAUUGACCUAUCCUUCUCAUUAGUGAUCCUCAAGUGGUUUUUCAUAUUAUAAACAAUCCAUGCACGAACAUCCAAUGUAAAACAGGUAUGACUUGUGUGUUUCGAAAAAAGGGCUAACCAAAUGCGUUUAGAGUCAACAUAAUCCCCGACUGCAUGGAGAGCAUCCUCUAUGAUAUGCCCACACCGCAUGCAAGUACUAUCAUUAAGCACAUGUCUUCGCAAUAAUUUAGCAUUAUUUUUCAAUCUAUUAUGCAUCAGCAGCCAAAGAAAGCACUGAAUGCUUUGGGGGCCUCUCCAUCUCCAAAUCAAAACCCAAAGGGAAUUAUUUUCAUUUAGCAUCGGUCUAAAGAGGGAUAAAUAAGCUGACCUCACGCUAAACAAACCAGACCGCGAUGGACCGCAAUAACAACAGUCAACUUCAUCGCUAAUAGAAUGGGGCAUAGUGCCUGCUAUUUUGAGAAUUAUAUGGUGGGGUAGAAAAGAAGCAAAAUAGUCCCAGUUCCAAGCACCAUUAUUAUCGAUAAAAUUAGCUACAUACUCAUUUAAUAUUUUCAGUGAUUGUACCGAAAGUAUAAGAUUGCAAUCAACGCCCAUCCUCCAGCCAAUAAUCUUUCCAAAAUCUAGCCAACUUCUCAUUCCCAAUAGCCCAGCGAGUCCCUUAGAGAACCUCAUUCCAUACAUUUCCCACGAAUUUUCAUAAAGGAGAACUAUAUCAAGUAGGACGUUUUAGAGGAAGGUUUUUUUUAUCAACGCAUAUUUAAACAUCAAUACUUGAAUCUAGAAGCUGUGGGGUGAUUCAAUAUGACCCCAACCAAUUUUCAUUAGCAAGGCUUUAUUCAUGAGAUUAAGAUCUUUAAGGCCAAGGCCCCCACAUAAAUUAAGGAGUUGUACUCUAUCCUACUUAAUAAGGUGUAUACGAUGAGUCUCGUCAAUCUAUUUCUAGAUAAAAUGCUUGCAAAUCUGAUCAAUUUUAUUACGAAUACUUAGAGGUAGCAUGAAGGUCUGCAUGGAAUAGGUUGGGAGAGCCAGAAUGAUCGACUGCGUUAAUGUUAUCGAACCUACAAGAGAAAGAUGUUUGGUUGUCCAACCCGUAAGUCUCUGUAGUGCUAAUGGUGGUCAAGGAUAAGGUACCAGUUUCAGUGGGAUACAUUGAGUUUGCAUGAGAAAUCUGGGAGAUUUCAUAAAGAAUGUAUGAGUUAGUGACAAUGGUAAACAUGAUUAAAUGCGUGAACUAACAUAAAAUGAAAUACAAAAACUAAAUGAUAGAGCACGAGUUUUGAAAAAAGUUUAUUCUUCAAUCCACCAUCAAUUAAACAGAAGCAAACCACUGUCAUUUUAAGUAAACAAACAUAACAAAACCACCUACAUAAGAAUAAUUUUUCAAUAUAGGAAUCUUGAACUUUUGAUGAAAAAAAAUCAGUUUACAAUAUUAUAGGUACGUGAAAAAUAAAGUUUAUAACAUUGUAAAUCAGAUCACCAACUAGAAUCUAACUCCACCUACAUGGCUUAGUAAACAACUAUAACAUUGCAUCCAACAAUGGCGUCACCAGAUUUAAAAUCCGCUCGAUUCAUCUGAGCAAUUGCAUAUCCACCACUCAAUAGGAACUCGCCAAUGUCACCGAUGAUGGGCAUCUUACGGACAGGAACAAUCGACCUGUUGUUGCCAAGGAGGCUGAUAUAGCUACCAUUAUUAGGACCAUCAACGAACACAAAGCUCAUGGACAUGAUGAUAGCUAGUUGAUGCUGACAAGCCGACCCGUAAAGCCCUUGAGCACGACCAACAAGCUUUGAUUGAGGACUAGUAGUUUCUAUCGACGAAUCAUUCGCCAAAUCACAACGCGGAAACGAGUUGGUGACUUGUAAGCAUCAGUGGCUUGAGCAAUGCUUUUUUCCACUACGUUUUUUUUGUUGUCACUUUUGCGAAAUCAAGCCCCGGAGCCAAAGUCUCUCUGAUCGUAUUGAUGUUGCUGCCACCGGGCAAAUGAUGAGAAACAAAAAAAUUGCUUAAAACAUUAUCGCCAGUGUCACCGAGAAUAGAUGAUGCACUUUUGAAGGUAGAAAAGAAGGAUGAUUCAAGAUUCAUUUCAAAUUUUUUUGAAGUGUUUUGAUAAGUGAAUAUCCAAAGGCUGCGUAACUACAAAGGUGAAGUGGGAAGAAAUUUUGACAUUUUGUUAUAUUGAGCUAGCCAGUGAAUGUAUAUGAGGGGCUUCACUUGUACACAUAAAAAAGGAAGAUUAAUUACUCGUGGUUUUUUAUUAAGAAAAAAAAUAGCUUGCUUAAAAUAUAGAGUGUGGUUAAUUUCAUUGAAGGAGAUGACUCAAAGGAAAGGAAAGAAAAAAGAAAUCUAUAUAUAUAAACAAAAAAUAAUGCCAAAAACAUAAAUUUAAUUAAAUGUACAGUGAAAUUACCUUUAUAAUGCAACAAGAUAUUAAAUUCAAUAGUUAACGCUAAUAAAUUAAGCGUAAUUUAUUUAAUACUUAUUUAUGGACUCUUUCAAUUCCAUUAAAGCCACUGCAAGACGUUUUUCAAUAUUAACUCAGAUAAAUAGAGGCUCAUAUCUUUCUGAUUCUUCCACAUCUCUUUCAAUUCUAAUUAAGCCGUUUGCAAUUCCCUUAAGAAAUUAAAAAAUGUCGAAGAGUCUUACCUUCAUCAUUUUGGCUUUGCUUGUAGUGGCAAACACUAAAAACAUGCUUAUUUCAGCUAGUAGAACUGGCCAAGGAUCUAAGCCAGAGGCUUUAUUUGCUAUUAACCCUACAGCAUCACCUGACAUUGUUGAUUACUCAGGGCUCACAAGUGAAGAGUGUUUGAUCGAGAUGAUUAAGAAAGCACUUGUAGACUAUCGAUACCCCUGCUCUGAGGGGGGGUGCAAAUGAUAUUGUUAAUAAGUUAUUUCUUUUACCUUGUAGGAGUGCUUUUGCAAUAACGAUCAAUUACAGUGAAAUUGAAUUUGUGUUUUUAAUAAAAUAAAACAUUAAUCCAUUAUGCAUAGGUAAUAUUAUGUCAUAUGUUUUUGGUGUGUGUAUCUCUUACUGCUUUGUUAUAGAUGCAUCGUCGAAUCAAUCUUCGAGAAAUCAGUUUCUUUAAAUAAUAGCAAUUAUCAACCAAUCAACAUUACUAUGUUGGUGCCAUUUGUAAUAUUUAAAUUUUAAGUUUAUUUACUUUUAGGGUGAGAUUAUUGAUUCCCAAGAAAAAUAAUAAAAUAAACCCUCAUUAUCAAAAUCCUAUAUUACUAAGCUGUCCGAUUUAAUUUAAUGUUAAACUUUAAUUUAACCCCUGAAAAUGUCCAGACUUACCUACAUUUAUUGCUAAGAAUAUGAUUUAAAAUUUCAUCAAUGUGCACCUCAUUUAUGCUCAUCUUUUGAAGAACAAAUAGGGUGGAUUGAGAUUUUCAUGCUUUUGGAGGGUAAAUUAAAGAUAGUUAUUAGGAGGGAACGAAUUGAAGUUUGUUUUUAAAUGCAAAGAUGUAUUCUUUUAGUUUAUUUGAGAUAGUUCGUUUGACUUUAAUUUAACAUAUGUUUUUGUAAUUGAAAUAUAGAUACUUCUUUAUUUUUGUUAUUCAGCUAAGUAAUAUAAUAUUUUUGUUAUACUUCAAAAGUGUAUUACUCUGUAGUAUAAGAGUGUCUAGUUAUAAUAUAACCCGGUGACACCGAGGUCGAACCACAUGAAGUUUAAAUCUAGUAAAACAAAGAAAAUUAAUUGUGGGGAAAAGAAAUUAUUUAAAAUCAAUUUAAAAAUAAGUUAAGGUUUAUGAUCCACUCUCUGUAUUCAAACUAUAAUUUUAAUACUCUCUCAUUUAUAUUUUGCCUCACUUUUGCCAAUUAAUUAUUAUAUCAUUUAAUUCUAUGUGUGUGGAUAAAUAUAGAAUAAAGUACCUAAUGUGCCACACUAUAUUAAUGUGUCGAUAUUAUGUCAAAAUACCAUAAAAUCUAGUGAGAUUUAUAAAUUAACAUGAUAUAAAAAUAAUUAGAAAAGAAUUAAAAAAAACUCAUUUGAGAAAAUAAUAAUAAUUAAUAGUUUGAAACAUUGAGCUUCACUCUUCACCUCAGCUUAAUAAAAUUAGCUACUCAUAUUGAAAGAAAACACAACACUCUUUUUAUUUGAUAAAAUUUUUGAAAUAUAUUACAAAGAAAAUUGAUACAAACGGAAAUAAGAAAAGAAAAGAAACAAACAAAGAAAGAAAAUCUUCAGUCUCGGCUUCAGCUCUCAAAUUUUGCUCUCCAACUUCCCCCCGCUCUUCAAUUUCUCCUCCCUUUUUAUAGGCAACAAUUGCCUUUAACUUUCUUUAUUUUAUUAUUUAUUUAUUAUUUUAAAAUAUAUAAGUGUGUUGAAAUGUGUGAUGGUCAGGAGGCGUAAUGGCCUCCUGACCAUCACCAACGUGUUUUUGUUCUUUUGUUCUUUUAUUUUUUAUUUUUUUUAUUUUAUUGAUUAUUUAUUAUUACAUCUCUUCAAUUUUGUUCCAAUAGUUCUUCUUUGUUCCCGCUUUCAAUUUCAAUUCCAUCUUUAUUCUUGAAAAAUAUUUACAAGAUAAAAAUUAACAAAUUACAAAUUAAUUUAACAUAAAAUAUAUUUGGGGAGUAUUAAAAUAAUUUAGAAAUAAUGAACGCAUUAAUCGACACAAUNNNNNNNNNNNNNNNNNNNNNNNNNNNNNNNNNNNNNNNNNNNNNNNNNNNNNNNNNNNNNNNNNNNNNNNNNNNNNNNNNNNNNNNNNNNNNNNNNNNNAUCAAACCCCAAAAUCUCACGAUUAGGAGUGACUAUCUCAAAAGAAGAUAUACCCCAAAUUAAUUUGUCACUCUAAAAAAAUGGUAAAUUUGAGAGAAUAAUAAAACAAUAUCACACGCUCACACCAAGAUAAAAAUUAAUGCCCACAACUUAGAAAUAAAAUAAUAUCAAAUCCAAUGAAUUACUAGCAAAAUUUAUUUUUAUUUUUACUCAUCACCACAUCUUUUAGUCCAUAUUACCAGCUUUUACUUCAGAUUAUAGUUCCCAAAAAUCAAGAAGGACUUUUAUUAGGAUGUAGCGUAGGCUAUGGUUAUGGCUAACAAAAAAGGUAAUAGGGAAAAUAAAAAUAUAUGUUUGAAAAAUAGGGGACUUUUUGGAGAUUAUAAGGUUCUUUUUUUUUUUCAAAGGUUCAAAGGGGUUAACUAUGGAUUCUUUAUAAUAGGGUUGACUAGAAAGGCUCAAACGGAUCAAAGAUGGUCUUCUAUCAUCUUUUAGGGUUCUAUAUAAUCUUUCAUAUCCACUAGUUCAGUGGACCUUUAUAUGCGGCUGCACAAACUUUUUUUUUUUUUAAUAUUGAGAUCUUGUACAAUAAAUUGUGAAGCUGCAUAGGCAAACAAGGUUACUCUCCAAGGAUAACAGACUCAAAAACUCGCUUGGUCUUUUUAUAACAUGUACAUUCAUCCAAAUGGCUUAAUCAAUUUCACUCAUUCAAUUUCUCAAUUUACGUUUCAAGAUGCAAAGGGAAAAACAUAGUGUAACAUAACUCAAGGCCAAAGAUAAUACGAAUACCAAAAUUUGAAAAUCAUCAUGUUAUCCAAUGUUAAAAGAGCACACCAAAAAAGAAAAUAAUUUUUUUUUAAGAAAGCACUAAAAAAUUGGGGCUAAUUGCAGAAACUUAAGGGAGAUGAUUAAGAGAAAAAGACCGAAAACAAAAAGUUAAAAACAUUUUGUUUUGGAAGAAAACAAAAAAAAUUAAGAAAAUGCGUUUCUAGAGACACUACAUUCUAUAUUCUGUCAUCUUCGACUCAAAUUUUUAUCCAAAGUUAGUCUUUACAACAAAAAUUAGUGCAAACAUCACUAGGAAUGAGACAUUCCCAAUUAUUAACUAUUCCCUCCCCCCAACCUGAAGGAGACAUUGUCCUCAAUGUCUAAAGAAAGGAGUAGAGUUUAGAAGAUAUCACCCGGCCAUUGCUGGAAAUAUUUACAGACGGAGAGUUAAAUCUAAUUUAUACUUUUUACGAGAGUUACUGCCAUUGUUAUCAGUUGCCCAAUCCAACGCCAAAGUCAUGGGAUCUGGCUUUGGUUUGUAAGCUUGCAAAAGAUCAAGUAACUCAUUAGCAGUAUGAGCACAAAUGAAGAGUUUUUUCGCUGAGGAUGGAAUGAAAUAAUUUUUUAUUGCAUGAUUAAGCAAUGUUAUUAAGCCAUCAUAAAAGUUAUUAACAUUUAACAAACCGAUUGGUUUUUUAUGGAUAUUCAAAUGGGCCCAUGAAGCAAAUGUAAUUAGCGCCUCCAAAGUUGCAAGGUCUCCUGGCAAGAAAAUAAAAACGUCAGCAUGAUUUAACAUUUCAGAUAUUCUUUCUUGCAUACCUGAGACAACUAACUGUUGAGUGUUAGAAAAUGUAUAUUUAUAAAGGAGAAAAUCAUCAUUUUACACUUCAAGUUUUACUAACACCUUUACUUUAUGUAUUUAACCUUCUUUUGAUUUAAUUCCGUGUGUUUUAUUUUAAUUAAGUAUUUUAUGUAUUUUAGGGGUAUCAUAGUCAUUUCACAAUAAACGAGAGAUCAAACGACAAAACGGACAUCACUUUUGAACUCAGGACGGUCAAAAACCUUAGGAGGAGCAUAAAAGGAAAAAUGGCACUGUUCACAUGUACGGUACUGUCUACGUUACUGUUCACGACACUGUUCAUAUAGACGGAUCGAUGACGUGGCAUUGACCGAUGAUGUGGCAUUGACUGAUGAGGUGUCAUGAUCCUGUUGGUCUAAAAUUCUGAUGAACUAUUGAUGGUGACGUGGCAGCAUAUUAGUGGACCAAAACUUGCGCGUACGGUAUACACAUUACACAGGAUUAUUUUCAACCAAAUCGCAUUACUGUUCAAGCCGGGUCAAACCAUGUUACUGUUCACCCGCGUGGUCAAACUGCGUACUAUUGACUAAUGACGUGGCGCAAUCCUGAGCGUCCAAACUGUUUUUAAUCCGAUGGCCAUGAUUUACUCAAUGUAUCUAUAAAAAAUGGGGCUCCCCCCUAAUUUGAUAGCUCUGAAUUCAUUUUUGGACUCCAUUUUCUGUAAUUCCUUCUCCAUCUUGUAUUUUCUAGGUAUUUUAAUAAAUUUUCAUUUUGCCCCUAGUUCAAUUAUGAGUAGCUAAUUUUCUUUCAAGCUUGGGUUGAAGAUGAAGUCUCAAUAUGUGUCAUGGGCUUUAUUUGGUAAAUUUAUUUUCUUUUCCCCUCUAAUUUUUGUGGAUGUUUUGACUUCUCGUCGACAAAUAAUACUAAUCUUGUCUAGAUACUGCCUUGGUUUCAUCGGCUCUCUAGUACAAGGUUAUUAUUAUUUGGCAUGAUAAGCCCUUAGCACCAUAUUGAUUAGAGCGUGGUUCAUGAGGUGUGGAUUCCCCCCUCAUGAUUUAAUUGGCAUUAAUAAGGAUUAUUUAGCCCAUGAUACAUGUUGAUACAGAUUCAGAUACCCAAGUACGUCAUCUCAAUAGAUUUCUCUUCAAUUUAUUCUCGCUAUUUCAAUUCCAAUUUUAGGAUAAUCCAAAUUAUUUUCACCACAAAUCCAACCACCCAUUUACAAAAUUAAUUCUACACACUAUUAAAAUCCACCUUCUCGUGGGGAUCGACACUCGUCACCAUUAGUCUAUUCAAAAGAUAAAAUAACGGUGAUUAGAUAAAAUAAAAAAUAAAAAUAAUAAUAAUGCAAAAGAUAAAAGAACAGUAAAAUAAAAGGAUAUUUACUGGUAGUUGUAAUUGUGGCUCACAUCUUCCUCUAGUUUUACAUCCAGUAACGGCUUGAACGCCCUCUAUAGGUCGAGGAUAGGGUUCCCAUCCAGUUUUCUUAUAAACUGGCAAACAAGGUCUUUUAGAGUCAGAUUCCCAAGACUAAACUGUGCACUUUUCUUUUGGAACAGCUUCCACAAAUUUUGAAUUUCACGUUGAACAUAUCCGCUCGGAUGUGUCUCAAGAGAUCGUAAGAUACCAUCCAACGAUUCUUUACUCAUGCUAUCCUUAACGAAUUUGAUUUUAUCUUCACAAUUUACAAAAACCAUUCCUAAAGCUUUACAACGUGGAUUUUUGCAAGCAAGUCUUACACAAUGAGAACAUUCAGAGCUAAGUCGCUUAGCUCUUCUUUUCUUAGCAAAUGUACUUUUACAAAAACCAGGCAUGUAGGAAAUAAAUUGAUAAAAAAACUCACUUGGACCUUUGCUUCAAUUAACCAGCGAAUGUCAGCAGGAAUCCCAUUGAUCAUUAACAAACGCAGUUGUUCACAACGAGCUUUGUAACUCUUCUUAAGAGCAUUUUGAGGGAGAGAAGGAAAAGGUUGAUGCAAAUUUUGUUCUAUUUCUUCCAUGCUUGACAUUGAGGUUUCAGUUAUUGUGGGAAACUGAGAAUACCGACUUAAAAAGUCACGGAGUACCGUUAUCUGCCAUUUAUACGAGAGAGUGAAUCAAAACAAAACAAAUCAAAUAUGCAAAAUCAAAUCAAAAGUGAAAAAUAACAACAAAAUAAAACAAAAACACACAAGGAUUAUAACACACCUUCGUCCUUUUAUUGAAUCUAGUUCCAAUUACAAAUUAUAAAUACCAUCAUCUAUUUCCUUGAGUUGUCUUUCUAGAUCUUUCACGUGAGAUACUAACUCUGGUGGUUACAGAUCCCAAAUGGGAUGUAAUUUACAAAAUCAGAGCAAUUUCCUCAGGUGAAAUUUUACAUGAAAAAGCAUUUUAAAAUAAUCGAAUAGGAAAUUGCUCAUAGAGGUACUCAUGACAAGUAUAAAAAUUGGGUGAGCUAAAUCACAAUUGUCAAACAACAUAAAAUUAAAACAAUGCAAUGCACUCCAUUCAAGACAUAGGGAAAACGAAAAAGAAAAAGAAAUCAAAUAAUUCAAACGAUAAAGUAACAGUAAAUCAAUUCCCCAACAAUCAAAUAAAAAGGCUUAAUCAAAAUUUUGGUGGGUCACUCAAAUGGAUUCCAGUAUCUGCUUCAUGUGGUUGAUAUUCCAUAUAUGGUUUCAAUCUUUGGCCAUUAACUUUAAAUGUGACACCAUCCUUUGGAUUCUCAAUUUCUACGGCUCCAUCACAUUUUUUAUAACAAAUGGACCAUUCCACUUUAACUUUAACUUCCCUGGAAAUAAAUGAAGACGAGAAUUAUAAAGCAACACUUUUUGACCAAUUUCAAAUGUUUUCCGAAAAAUUAUUUUGUCAUGAAAAAAUUGACGNNNNNNNNNNNNNNNNNNNNNNNNNNNNNNNNNNNNNNNNNNNNNNNNNNNNNNNNNNNNNNNNNNNNNNNNNNNNNNNNNNNNNNNNNNNNNNNNNNNNNNNNNNNNNNNNNNNNNNNNNNNNNNNNNNNNNNNNNNNNNNNNNNNNNNNNNNNNNNNNNNNNNNNNNNNNNNNNNNNNNNNNNNNNNNNNNNNNNNNNNNNNNNNNNNNNNNNNNNNNNNNNNNNNNNNNNNNNNNNNNNNNNNNNNNNNNNNNNNNNNNNNNNNNNNNNNNNNNNNNNNNNNNNNNNNNNNNNNNNNNNNNNNNNNNNNNNNNNNNNNNNNNNNNNNNNNNNNNNNNNNNNNNNNNNNNNNNNNNNNNNNNNNNNNNNNNNNNNNNNNNNNNNNNNNNNNNNNNNNNNNNNNNNNNNNNNNNNNNNNNNNNNNNNNNNNNNNNNNNNNNNNNNNNNNNNNNNNNNNNNNNNNNNNNNNNNNNNNNNNNNNNNNNNNNNNNNNNNNNNNNNNNNNNNNNNNNNNNNNNNNNNNNNNNNNNNNNNNNNNNNNNNNNNNNNNNNNNNNNNNNNNNNNNNNNNNNNNNNNNNNNNNNNNNNNNNNNNNNNNNNNNNNNNNNNNNNNNNNNNNNNNNNNNNNNNNNNNNNNNNNNNNNNNNNNNNNNNNNNNNNNNNNNNNNNNNNNNNNNNNNNNNNNNNNNNNNNNNNNNNNNNNNNNNNNNNNNNNNNNNNNNNNNNNNNNNNNNNNNNNNNNNNNNNNNNNNNNNNNNNNNNNNNNNNNNNNNNNNNNNNNNNNNNNNNNNNNNNNNNNNNNNNNNNNNNNNNNNNNNNNNNNNNNNNNNNNNNNNNNNNNNNNNNNNNNNNNNNNNNNNNNNNNNNNNNNNNNNNNNNNNNNNNNNNNNNNNNNNNNNNNNNNNNNNNNNNNNNNNNNNNNNNNNNNNNNNNNNNNNNNNNNNNNNNNNNNNNNNNNNNNNNNNNNNNNNNNNNNNNNNNNNNNNNNNNNNNNNNNNNNNNNNNNNNNNNNNNNNNNNNNNNNNNNNNNNNNNNNNNNNNNNNNNNNNNNNNNNNNNNNNNNNNNNNNNNNNNNNNNNNNNNNNNNNNNNNNNNNNNNNNNNNNNNNNNNNNNNNNNNNNNNNNNNNNNNNNNNNNNNNNNNNNNNNNNNNNNNNNNNNNNNNNNNNNNNNNNNNNNNNNNNNNNNNNNNNNNNNNNNNNNNNNNNNNNNNNNNNNNNNNNNNNNNNNNNNNNNNNNNNNNNNNNNNNNNNNNNNNNNNNNNNNNNNNNNNNNNNNNNNNNNNNNNNNNNNNNNNNNNNNNNNNNNNNNNNNNNNNNNNNNNNNNNNNNNNNNNNNNNNNNNNNNNNNNNNNNNNNNNNNNNNNNNNNNNNNNNNNNNNNNNNNNNNNNNNNNNNNNNNNNNNNNNNNNNNNNNNNNNNNNNNNNNNNNNNNNNNNNNNNNNNNNNNNNNNNNNNNNNNNNNNNNNNNNNNNNNNNNNNNNNNNNNNNNNNNNNNNNNNNNNNNNNNNNNNNNNNNNNNNNNNNNNNNNNNNNNNNNNNNNNNNNNNNNNNNNNNNNNNNNNNNNNNNNNNNNNNNNNNNNNNNNNNNNNNNNNNNNNNNNNNNNNNNNNNNNNNNNNNNNNNNNNNNNNNNNNNNNNNNNNNNNNNNNNNNNNNNNNNNNNNNNNNNNNNNNNNNNNNNNNNNNNNNNNNNNNNNNNNNNNNNNNNNNNNNNNNNNNNNNNNNNNNNNNNNNNNNNNNNNNNNNNNNNNNNNNNNNNNNNNNNNNNNNNNNNNNNNNNNNNNNNNNNNNNNNNNNNNNNNNNNNNNNNNNNNNNNNNNNNNNNNNNNNNNNNNNNNNNNNNNNNNNNNNNNNNNNNNNNNNNNNNNNNNNNNNNNNNNNNNNNNNNNNNNNNNNNNNNNNNNNNNNNNNNNNNNNNNNNNNNNNNNNNNNNNNNNNNNNNNNNNNNNNNNNNNNNNNNNNNNNNNNNNNNNNNNNNNNNNNNNNNNNNNNNNNNNNNNNNNNNNNNNNNNNNNNNNNNNNNNNNNNNNNNNNNNNNNNNNNNNNNNNNNNNNNNNNNNNNNNNNNNNNNNNNNNNNNNNNNNNNNNNNNNNNNNNNNNNNNNNNNNNNNNNNNNNNNNNNNNNNNNNNNNNNNNNNNNNNNNNNNNNNNNNNNNNNNNNNNNNNAUCAAAUAUUUCAAUGACAAUGAUGGGGUUUAAAGGCAUCAUCUUCCGCUUUGAAAUAGACCCUAUCAUUUGACAAUUCUUACACAUUUUACAGAAUGCAUGUGAAUCUUUAAAUAAUGUAGGCCAAUAAAAUCCACACUGCAAUAUUUUACAGUUGUCUUUUUUGAAGAAAAAUGGCCACCGUAUGCUUCAGAAUGACAAAAUUAAAUGACCCUACUUACCUCGUCGUCUGGUAUGCAUCUUCGAAAAAUUUGAUCGGAGCAGUACUUGAAUAGAUAUGGCUCAUCCCAGUAAAAGCUUUUUACUUCUGUUAAGAAUUUCUUCUUGUCUUGGGAACUCCAGUCACAUGGCAUUUCACCUGUUGCAAGAUAAUUAAUAAUAUUAGCAUACUAAGGCAUUUUGUUUAUAGAAAACAAAAAUUCAUCAGGGAAAGAAUCAUUGAUGGGUGUUGUUUCAAUUGAAGACUCAUUUGUAAGUCUUGAAAGAUAAUCUGCAAUAACAUUUUCAGCGCCCUUUUUGUCCUUGAUUGUCAAAUUAAAUUCUUGAAGUAGCAAAAUCCAUCGUAUCAACCUUGGUUUGGCAUCCUGUUUUGACAUUAAAUAUCUCACAGCAGCAUGAUCAAAAUAAACAACAGUAGAUGAACCAAUUAAAUACGAACGAAAUUUAUCCAAUGCAAAUAUUACAGCAAGUAGUUCUUUCUCAGUUGUUGUGUAAUUCAUUUGAGCAGUAUUCAAAGUUCUACUUGCAUAAUAGAUGACAAAGGGCUUACCUUCCUUUUUUUGACCCAGAACAGCGCCAAUGGCAUAAUCACUAGCAUUACACAUUAGCUCAAAAGGUAAAGACCAAUCAGGGGGUUGCAUUAUUGGGGCUGAUGUCAAAAGACUAAUUAUCUUUUCAAAAGCUUGUUGACAAUCUUUAGUCCAUUCAAAUUGUGUGUCUUUUAUUAAAAGGUUACAAAUUGGUCUAGAUAAGGCACUAAAAUCUUUUAUAAACCUCCUAUAAAAUCCUGAAUGUCCUAAUAAAGAACGGACUUCUCUUAUUGUCUUUGGUGAGGGUAAUUUUGAAAUGACUUCAACUUUAGCUUUAUCAACUUCGAUUCCUUUUGAAGACACAAUAAGGCCUAAGACAAUUCCAGAAGUGAUCAUGAAAUGACAUUUUUCCCAAUUUAAAACAAGUCCUUUUUCUUUGCACCUUUCCAAAACAUUUUAUAGAUUAUCAAGACAUGUAUCAAAAGAAUUACCAAAUACAGUUAAAUCAUCCAUAAAAACCUCUAGACAAUUUUCAGCCAUGUCACUAAAAAUGCUUAGCAUGCACCUUUGAAAUGUUGCAGGAGCAUUACAAAGUCCAAAGGGCAUUCUCCUAAAUGAAAAUGUUCCAAAUGGGCAUGUGAAUGUGGUAUUUUCCUGGUCUUCUAAGGCUAUAGGGAUUUGAUAAUAGCCAGAGUAGCCAUCAAGAAAGCAGUAGUAAGGAUGUCCAGCUACUCUUUUGAGAAUUUGGUCUAGAAAUGGAAGGGGAAAAUGAACUUUUCUAGUGGCAUAAUUUAAUUUUCUAUAAUCAAUGCACAUGCGCCAACUAGAUGGAAUUUGUGUUGGGAUUGAUUCACCUUUUUUAUUUUUUACAACAGUUAUUCUAGAUUUUUUUAGUACUACUUGUGUUGGACUUACCAAUUUACUAUUAGAGAUAGGGUAGAUAAUUCCUACAUCUAAUAGUUUAAGGACCUCAUUUUUUACCACUUCUUUCAUAUGAGGGUUUAGUCUUCUUUGUGGUUGAUGGGUUGUUUUGGAAUUUUCCUCUAACUGUAUUCGGUGUGUGCAAAUUAAAGGAUUAAUGCCUUUUAUGUCUUUUAAGGUCCAACCAAAUGCAAUUUUAUGCCUUUUUAGUACAUAUAACAACUUACCCUCUUGAUCAUGUGUGAGUUGAGAAGAAAUUACCACCGGAUAUGUCUGCUGCUCUCCAAGAUAGACAUACUUCAAUUCUUCUGGUAAGGGCUUUAAUUCGAGCUCUGGUGCUUCCUCUUCGUUUGCUUCUUCAGGUUGUACCGUAUCUUCAAAGUUCGAUUGGUCAUCAUCACCUAUAGGUACCUGCAUAGAAUCAAGUGUAGGACAUAUGUUAGCAGUAUCAAAAUCUAAUUCCUUACUUGAUUCAACAGAACCAACAAAACAAAUUUCCGCAGAGUUUGUAAAAUUCUCAUCCUGAAUGUGUUCCUCAAUGAUUGGCUCAAUAAGAUAAAUUUCAUCAUUCUUAUUAUCAUCAUCUUCUUGGUGGUGAGGUUGUUUACACAUGUUAAACACAUUCAGUUCCAGUGUCAUGUCGCCAAAAGAUAAAUUCAUUAAUCCAUUCCUGCAAUUUAUCAAAGCAUUAGCAAUAGCUAAAAAUGGUCGACCCAAUAUAACAGGAAUUUGUUUGCAUUCAUUAGCAAUUGGUUCCGUUUCCAAAACAAUAAAAUCCACAGGAUAUAUGAAUUUAUCGACUUGGACUAAUACAUCUUCAAUUAUUCCUUUUGGAACCUUCAUCGAUCUAUCAGCAAGUAAAAGAGUGGUAGAAGUUGGUUUUAACUCACCAAGAUUGAGUUGUUGGUACACUGAGUAAGGAAGUAAAUUAACACUAGCACCAAGAUCAAGUAAAUCAUGUCCAAUUUUAUGAUCCCCAAUAGUGCAAGAAAUAGUUGGACAAUCAGGAUCCUUGUAUUUCAAAGCACUAUUGGUUGAGAGAAUGGAACUUACCUGUUCUGUUAGAAAAGCUCUCUUUUGCACCUUAUAUUUCUUUUUCACCGUGCACAGAUCUUUCAGAAAUUUAGCAUAGGAUGGCACCUAUUUAAUGACAUCCAGCAGAGGAAUGUUGACCUUUACUUGUUUAAAAAUUUCAUAAAUUUCUAGACUGUGGUUUCAUUUCUUUGGCUUGAUCAGUGCUUGAGGAAAUUAGGGUACAAGAAGAGAGUUGGUUACUUCUUCAUGGGUUAAAGGUUCGAUAAACUCUUCCAUAUUUUCUAAAAUUGAAUCUUUACUAGUUUCACGAUGGUCCACAAUGUGUUUUUCAACUACUUUACCACCACGAAGGGUUAUAACCGAUUUGACUUGACUCAUAUUUUGGUUUCCUGAAUUUCCCAUUUUAGGAUGUUGUUGACUCUUGGGGUUUGGUUCAGGUUGAGUAGGAAACUUUCCUUUUUCAUGUAUGGUCAGAGCAGAUGUAAGUUUGGAAAUAGUUUCUGUCAAAUUGGUUAAGAUUUGCAUCUUUUGGUUAUUGAUUGACUCUUUUUUUUCAAUAAACGAAUGCAAUGUGUCUUUCAGAGUUUUUCUUGGUGGUGGGACAUAUGGUGGGUAACUCUGGGAGUUUUGGAAAUUUUGACGUGGAGGGGCUGGUUGUGAAGGUUGUGCAUGAUUGUCAUUUCUCCAACUGAAAUUUGGGUGGUUUCUCCAACUAGAGUUGUAAGUUUGGGAGUAUGAAUUUGGAUUUGACUUUUUGAAAUUAUCAACGACAUCUACUUGUUCAUGCAGACUUUCUCUCAGAGCUGGUAAAGUUGGACAGUCCUGCGUAGAAUGGUCAGUAGAAUCGCAAACAUAACAUGAAAUAUUUUGAACAGACUUUACAUGAUCAUUCUUUUUCAACUCUAAUGCUUCGACUUUUCUAGCUAAUGAUGCAAAUUUGGCUUGAAAAUCAUGGUCUUCCCUAAGGUUAUGCAUGCCUCCACCAGAUGGAGAUGACUAGGGUUUGCUUGAUGACUCAUAAGAACCAACCGUAUCCCAGUGUUUUGCAUUUUCUGCUAUAUAGUCAAGAUAGUCUAAUGCAUCUUCAGGACUUUUAUCCCUAAACUCACCAUUACACAUCAUUUCAAUGACUUGUUUACCUUAGGAUGUUAAUCCCUCGUAGAAAUAAGACAUUAAUCUCCAUGUUUCAAAACCGUGAUGUGGACAAAUGUUAAGCAGUUCUUUAAACCUAUCCUAACAUUGGUAGAGAGUUUCUCAUGGUUUUUGAGUGAAAGUGGUGAUUUUGAAAUAAAAGUGUGCAACCCAAGAGGGGGGGUGAAUUAGAAUUUUAAAAAUUAUCCUAGCAAAUCUACACAACAAGCAAUCUAAUGUCUUAAUAAAAAUUGAAAGCAAUAAGUUCAAUAAAAGCACAAGAACGAAUGAGUAAGAGAGAAGAGAAACAAACACACGAAAUUUUACGUGGUUCGGCAAUCCCCGCCUACGUCCACGCCUCCAAGCGAUCCAAGCUUGAGGAUUUCACUAUCCGAGCCUUUCCAAGGCUUCAACCGUUUACAAUUGACUUCAAGGUGUCAAUGAACCUUUACAACAAAGAGAUUAUCUCUCAAUCUCUUCACUCAAGUGUCUCACACACUCAAACUUUUACAAUUAAGAUGAAGAAAUGAAAGUUACAAUAAAACUCACUCAAAAAGUAGAUAUUCAAAAAUGAAGAACAAGAAAUGAUUCAAUGUUUUGUGAUUUGCAAAUUGAAAGCUCAAGAUAUUUCGUGUGCUUUUUGUUUAUGCUUGGUGGAGAGCUUGAAAAUGAGUUGGAUUUGAGUUUAUAUAGUUUAAGCUAAAAAGCUAGCCGUUAUGCACAUUUUGGUCGUAAUCGGCUUGCCGUUUAGAAAUCUGGUAAGCUGCUUUUAUGUUACCGUUAAGGCAAAAAUUUGAAUUUCAGAAUAUCCGGCUUGCCGCUUUUCAUAUCCGGCAAGCCGCUUUUGAAAUCUGGAUUGCCGCUUGCGAAAUCCGGUAAGCCGUUUAUGCUCCAGAAGCUUACUGCUCAAAAUUUGGUUUGUCAUUUACCAUAUCCGGUAAACCGCUUGCUACAGUGACUGCUACAGUGAAAUAUUUCUUAAAUUUACAGCUUAACCUAAACUUUAUAAAAUUAUAUUAUGGCCCAAAAUGUUAUGAAAGUUUAUAAAUAGGUCUAAUUUCAUAAUUUUAAAUAAUACUUUGUCAAUCCCAAAACUUUAUGAAAUUAUGAUUUUGUCCAAACUAUGUGAAAUUAUAGAAUGACCCAAAAUAUUUAAAUAGUUUCAAAUAGGUCCAAAUCUGAAAUUUAAAACAUUAUCAAAGAUUUUAAAAUACUUUCAUUUUAGUCCAAAAUACUUUAAUUCCAUAACAUCAUUUUCUUAUUAUAAAAGCACAAUUCCUAAAUCUUUGCUUCAUCAAUACAUGUGGUUUGUUAUCAUCAAAAUCAAUCUUUAUAGGCAUAUAGGCUAACAGAUUUGUCUUUUGAAAGAAUUUGUUCUGUGGGAUGGGAAGAAUUUUUUCAAAAAUUGUGCUUGCAUUUCAUCCCAAGUUCUGAUGGAUUCUAACCUAAGAUUUUGUAGCCAAGUUUUAGCUUUAUCCUUUAGUGAGAAAGGAAAAAACUUAAGCCUGAUUAUAUUCAUGCUACAAUUUUGAUCAGUACAGAUGUUAUAGACUUCCACAAAUUCCCUUAAAUGCAAAUAUGAAUUUUCAGACUCAAAACCACGAAAAGUAGGAAGAAAUUGAAUGAUACCAGGUUUGAAAUUAAAACGUGAUGCAUCAGGAGGGAAAACUAUGCAUGAUGGUGACCCUGUUCUAGUAGGAUGCAUGAAAUCUCUAAGGGUCCUAGGUUGGUCAUGAAGAUCUUGCAAGGCUUGGUCAUAUUUAAGGGUGGUGAAGGUGAUUUUCUAAUUAAUCUACCACUAUUUGUACGAGACCAACGACGCAUGCAAUGCUAAUGAUGUGUGCUAAACUAAUGAUGCAAAAACGCUAAAUGAAAAUUGCAGAAAUAAAAGUAAACUGGAAAUUAAAUAAGCAAAAAAAAUACGAAUAAAAAUAAACACUGAAAAAUAAAUAAAUAAAUUAGGCGGUGAAACCAACCAUUAAAAGAAACAGUUUAGGCGGUAUUUUAAAACCAGCCAUAUAAUAAAACAUAAAAUUAAAUAAAUUAAUGCACAAAAAUAAAUAAACUGAAAUUAAAAUGCUAGGCGGUAGAACCGACCAUAUAAAUACAAAUACAUAAAUUAACAAAAUUUAAAUAACAGUCAAGCGGUAGAACUGACCAUUUAAAAUAAAUGCGGAAAGUAAAUUACAGAAAUUUAAAUAAAUAAAUUUGAUUUGAGGACUGAUUUGCAAAGGUUUUUGGGCUAAGAUGAAGUUUUUCACAAAUUUUAUGGAUAAUGUUAAGGUUUGAAAAGAAGAGGGGUGCUAACUAAAGUUUUACAAAAAGAGAAUCAAAUAGAAUCACGGAAAGAUGGUAACGACAAAACAAACAAAAAUAAAUUAAAAUAAAAUAAAAAUAAAGUAAAGACAAACGAAUACCAAAUUUAGAAAACUCCCCGGCAAUGGCGCCAAAAACUUGACACUACUCAAAAGUGUGUUACUCUCAAGUAUAAGAGUGUCUAGUUAUAAUAUAACCCGGUGAGACCGGGGUCGAACCACAUGGAGUUUUAAAUCUAGUAAAACUAAGAAAAUUAAUUGUGGGGAAAAGAAAUUAUUUGAAAUCAAUUUAAAAAUAAGUUAAGGUUUAGGAUCCACUCUUUGUAUUCAAACUAUAAUUUUAAUACUCUCUUAUUUAUAUUUUGCCUCACUUUUACCAAUUAAUUAUUAUAUCAUUUAAUUCUAUGUGUGUGGAUAAAUAUAGAAUAAAGUACCUAAUGUGCCACACUAUAUUAAUGUGUCGACAUUAUGUCAAAAUACCAUAAAAUCCAGUAGAUUUAUAAAUUAACAUGAUAUAAAAAUAAUUAGAAAAGAAUUAAAAAAAAACUCAUUUGAGAAAAUAAUAAUAAUUAAUAGUUUGAAACAUUGAGCUUCACUCUUCACCUCAGCUUAAUAAAAUUAGCUGCUCAUAUUGAAAGAAAACACAACAAUUUUUUUAUUUGAUAAACGUUUGAAAUAUAUUACAAAGAAAAUUGAUACAAACGGAAAUAAGAAAAGAAACAAAGAAAGAAAGAAAAUCUUCAGUCUCGGCUUCAGCUCUCAAAUUUUGCUCUCCAGCUUCCCCUCGCUCUUCAAUUUCUCCUCCCUUUUUAUAGGCAACAAUUGCCUUUAACUUUCUUUAUUUUAUUAUUUAUUUAUUAUUUUAUCAUUAUUUUGAAAUUAUAUAAGUGUGUUGAAAUAUGUGAUGGUCAGGAGGCGUAAUGGCCUCCUGACCAUCACCAACAUGUUUUUGUUCUUUUGUUCUUUUUUUUAUUGAUUAUUUAUUAUUACAUCUCUUCAAUUUUGUUCCAGUAGUUCUUCUCUGUUUCUGCUUUCAAUUCCAAGUCCAUCUUUAUUCCUGAAAAAUAUUUACAAGAUAAAAAUUAACAAAUUACGAAUUAAUUUAACAUAAAAUAUAUUUGGGGAAUAUUAAAAUAAUUUAGAAAUAAUGAACGCAUUAAUCGACACAAUAAGUGAAAAGCUAAUAAUUUUAUCCUUAUUAAAUGUACACGUUUUAGUGUCAAUCACACCCCCAACCAGCUUAUUAUUAGGCCCUAGCAAUUUAAGCGAUAAACGUUUAGUAAAAUUUCAAACUCAAAUUGAAAAUCAUUUUUUUUUAAAUUGUGUUUACUUCUUCCAUCAAAUUAAAUGUGAAUUUGAUAAAGUUGAAAAUACCAUAUGCUAUUAUAAUGAUCAAUAUUUUAUAAAGAUACCAGAUCCAUGGGGGAAAACGAUUAUGUUAGAAUAUAACAAGGAAUAAAUUGAUACCCUAAGAAAUAGGAUCAGAUUUGCUCGAAAUAGAAUUAGUGAACCGUAUGUUGAAAAAAGAGUUAAGAGACUUUGGUAAAGUCCCCAUAGUUCAGCUUCCAUAAUGGAAUAACUACCCAAAUUCAUGCUAAACCCGCAAACCCAUUCCCUACAAUAAUUCCUCACCAAGCCACCACAAUUAGCCAAUCCCGAUCUCUUCAAAGCCUCAUCAGUAUUGAGCUUGAAGAAUGACCACUUUGGGGGCUGCCAAUAGAUCCAUCUUUUAGUUUUUGGAACUCUCUGACUAUCUAAAGACUUUAUAAGCAGCGAUGCUUUUUUCCGUGCGAUUGUUCACAUUCACAAUUACAUUGUGAAGGCUGCUUGAUUUGUGCGCAUAAACGAACUCAUUGUGCCAAUACCACAUGCGCCAGACAUGACGCCAAAUAACAUUGACCUAUCCUUCUCAUUAGUGAUCCUCAAGUGGUUUUUCAUAUUAUAAACAAUCCAUGCACGAACAUCCAAUGUAAAAAAGGUAUGACUUGUGUGUUUCGAAAUAAGGGCUAACCAAAUGCGUUUAGAGUCAACAUAAUCCCCGACUGCAUGGAGAGCAUCCUCUAUGAUAUGCCCACACCGCAUGCAAGUACUAUCAUUAAGCACAUGUCUUCGCGAUAAUUUAGCAUUAUUUUUCAAUCUAUUAUGCAUCAGCAGCCAAAGAAAGCACUGAAUGCUUUGGGGGCCUCUCCAUAUCCAAAUCAAAACCCAAAGGGAAUUAUUUUCAUUUAGCAUCGGUCUAAAGAGGGAUAAAUAAGCUGACCUCACGCUAAACGAACCAGACCGCGAUGGACCCCAAUAACAACAGUCAACUUCAUCGCUAACAGAAGGGGGCAUAGUGCCUGCUAUUUUGAGAAUUAUAUGGUGGGGUAGAAAAGAAGCAAAACAGUCCCAGUUGCAAGCACCAUUAUUAUCGAUAAAAUUAGCUACACACUCAUUUAAUAUGUUUUCAGUGAUUGUACCGAAAGUAUAAGAUUGCAACCAACGCCCAUCCUCCAGCCCAUAAUCUUUCCAAAAUCUAGCCAACUUCCUAUUCCUAAUAGCCCAGCGAGUCCCUUAGAGAACCUCAUUCCAUACGUUUCCCACGAAUUUUCAUAAAGGAGAACUAUAUCAAGUAGGACGUUUUAGAGGAAGGUUUUCUUUAUCAACGCCAUAUUUAAAUAUCAAUACUUGAAUCUAGAAGCUGUAGGGUGAUUCAAUAUGACCCCAACCAAUUUUCAUUAGUAAGGCUUUAUUCAUGAGAUUAAGAUCUUUAAGGCCAAGGCCCCCACAUAAAUUAAGGAGUUGUACUCUAUCCCACUUAAUAAGGUGUAUGCGAUGAGUCUCGUCAAUCUCGUUCUAGAUAAAAUGCUUGCAAAUCUGAUCAAUUUUAUUACGAAUACUUAGAGGUAGCAUGAAGGUCUACAUGGAAUAAGUUGGGAGAGCCAGAAUGAUCGACUGCAUUAAUGUUAUCGGACCUACAAGAGAAAGAUGUUUGGUUGUCCAGCCCGGAAGUCUCUGUAGUGCUAAUGGUGGUCAAGGAUAAGGUACCAGUUUCAGUGGGAGACAUUGAGUUUGCAUGAGAAAUCUGGGAGAUUUCAUAGAGAAUGUAUGAGUUAGUGACAAUGGUAAACAUGAUUAAACGCGUGAACUAACAUAAAAUGAAAUACAAAAACUAAAUGAUAAAGCACGAGUUUUGAAUAACAUUUAUUCUUCAAUCCACCAUCAAUUAAACAGAAGCAAGCCACUGUCAUUCUAAGUAAACAAACAUAACAAAACCACCUACAUAGGAAUAAUUUUUCAAUAUAGGAAUCUUGAACUUUUCAUGAAAAAAAAUCAGUUUACAAUAUUAGAGGUACGUGAAAAAUAAAGUUUAUAACAUUGUAUUAGUGGCUUGAGCAAUGCUUUUUGCCACUACGUUUUUUGUUGUUGUCUCUUUUGUGAAAUCAAGCCCCGUAGCCAAAGUCUCUCUGAUAGUAUUGAUGUUGCUGCCACCGGGCAAAUGAUGAGCAACAAAAAAACUGCUUAAAACAUUGCAGUAACUUUAAAACAAGGCAUGAAAUUAAAAGGAAGAGAAUAGAUGAUGCACUUUUGAAGGUAGAAAAGAAGGAUGAUUCAAGAUUCAUUUCAAAUUUUUUUGAAGUGUUUUGAUUAGUGAAUAUCCAAAGGCUGCUUAACUACAAAGGUGAAGUGGGAAGAAAUUUUGACAUUUUGUUACAUUGAGCUAGCCAGCGAAUGUCUAUGAGGGGCUUCACUUGUACACAUAAAAAAGGAAGAUUAAUUACUCGUGGUUUUUUAUUCAGAAAAAAAAUGGCUUGCUUAAAAUAUAGAGUGUGGUUAAUUUCAUUGAAGGACAUGAUUCAAAGGAAAAGAAAAAUAAAUCUAAUAAUCAACUAAACAAAAAAUAAUGCCAAAAACAAUAAAUUUAAUUAAAUGUACAGUGAAAUUACCUUUAUAAUGCAACAAGAUAUUAAAAUCAAUAGUUAAUGCUAAUAAAUGAAGCGUAAUUUAUUUAAUACUUAUUUAUGGACUCUUUCAAUUCCAUUAAAGCCACUGCAAGUCGUUUUUUAAUAUUCGCUGAGAUAAAUAGAGGCUCAUGCCUUUCUGAUUCUUCCACAUCUCUUUCAAUUCUAAUUAAGCCGUUUGCAAUUCUCUUAAGAAAUUAAAAAAUGUCGAAGAGUCUUACUUUCAUCAUUUUGGCUUUGCUUGUAGUGGCAAACACUAAAAACAUGCUUAUUUCAGCCAGUAGAACUAGCCAAGGAUCUAAGCCAGAGGCUUUAUUUUCUAUUAACCCUAUAGCAUCACCUGACAUUGUUGAUUGCUCAGGGCUCACAAGUGAAGAGUGUUUGAUCGAGUUGAUUAAGAAAGCACUUGUAGACUAUCGAUACCCCUGCCCUGAGGGGGGGUGCAAAUGAUAUUGUUAAUAAGUUAUUUCUUUUACCUUGUAGGAGUGCUUUUGCAAUAACGAUCAAUUACAGUGAAAUUGAAUUCGUGUUUUUAAUAAAAUAAAACAUUAAUCCAUUAUGCAUAGGUAAUAUUAUGUCAUAUGUUUUUGGUGUGUGUAUCUCCUACUGCUUUGUUAUAGAUGCAUCGUCGAAUCAAUCUUCCAGAAAUCAGUUUCUUUAAAUAAUAGAAAUUAUCAACCAAUCAACAUUACUAUGUUGGUACCAUUUGUAAUAUUUAAAUUUUAAGUCUAUCUACUUUUAGGGUGAGAUUAUUGAUUCCUAAGAAAAAUAAUAAAAUAAACCCUCAUUAUCGAAAUCCUAUAUUACUAAGCUGUCUGAUUUAAUUUAAUGUUAAACUUUAAUUUAACCCCUGAAAAUGUCCAGACUUACCUACAUUUAUUGCUAAGAAUAUGAUUUAAAAGUUCAUUAAUGUGCACCUCAUUUAUGCUCAUCUUUUGAAGAACAAAUAGGGUGGAUUGAGAUUUUCAUACUUUUGGAGGGUAAAUUAAAGAUAGUUAUUAGGAGGGAACAAAUUGAAGUUUGUUUUUAAAUGCAAAGAUGUAUUCUUUUCGUUUAUUUGAGAUAGUUCGUUUGACUUUAAUUUAACAUAUGUUUUUGUAAUUGAAAUAUAGAUACUUCUUUAUUUUUGUUAUUCAGCUAAGUAAUAUAAUAUUUAUAUUUAAUUGAUCACUUAAAAAAUGUUUAUGCAUUAAUAUGUUAAUUUUUCGCUGCUUGGAAGGUAAGAAUUUUUUUUUUAUAAGAAAAUAAUGCAAGCAACAAUAAGAAUUAAGAUUAAUCAUAUAAUGAUGCAAACUAUGGACAUGCUAAUUAGUUGGUACACGGAAUCUUAAUCAAUGAUGUCCGGUUUCAGCUUUCCUUGUUUUUUCUUUCUUCGGUAAUGCUCUUGAGAUGUUAUGAAUUAAAUAAACAUAUGUUCCCAAUUAUGCACUCUUAUCAUAUAGGGAGCAUCAUAAACAGAGGAAAAAAAAAUUUCAAGUUUGGUGACCAAAAAGACUUGAAACAAUGCCUAAUGUCUUUGAAAGAAGUAGGGGAUUCAACACAACUGUGUGGACUGAAUAGAGAAGUAGUAGCAAAUAGAACACUCAACAUAAAAGGCACCAAACAAAAUACAGUUAAAAGGUUGUUACAAGUGAAUAAAAGUUACAGAUUUUAUUUUGAAAUUAAAUUCUAAAAAUAAAUUCAAGAGUUAGUGUUUCAUUUUCUGGAUGUAAAUGCCCUUCACCAAUUUCAUUUUAAAAACACACCAAAAUCCAAGUAAUUUUUUUGCUCACCUCUCUCAACUAAAAUCUUUCUAUCUUAGACUUCACGUGAUGGAGUUCCAACACUAGUUUGAAGUUCGCAAGAGUAGUGAGAUUAUGUUGCCGAGACCAUUUGACUUUGUAAUAUCCUAAGGGACAGUUGCUAAUAUAACCUAAGUACUACUGAGAAAAUGACAAAUCCUUUUUAAGGACAUUGUAACUGCACAUGCCUCAGUUUUAAUUUUAUGUUCUUCUCUUUUCUUAUUGAUCUAUACUAGAGAAAAUAUCUCUACACUAACUCUGUUUUUAUCAUAUGUACAUCUAGACACCACAAAAUUUUAACAUGUUCUUUGCACCACCAUCAUUUCUGAACUUGUAUUAAUCGACUAAUUUGACAAUAAUAAUUAAAAUAAAAUGACCAUUUUACCCCUAAGUGAUCUAAAAGACCAUUUUAUCCCACGAAAUUUUUAAUUAAAAAAAUAUGAUUACCAUUUAAUUAAUUGAUAAAAUAUUAUUGAAAAAUCAACCUGCGAGUACUAUUUAAUUAAUGGAUAAAAUAUUAUUGAUUUUUUCAAUUCUUUUGACCAAACAAAUGUGUAAUUCUCAUCUUAAAUAUUUUCCUUUUUUUUUAUCAAUCUUACAGUCACAAUUAUCAAACAAUUUUCAUUUUUUAAAUUAAUCACCAAAAUAACAAUAGUUUGAACCAAUUUUGAAUAAUAAAAAUUAUAAAUUGGAAAAUGUAUCGAGUAAAAAUUAUAAUUAUAAAAAUUAACAUCGCAGAUUUUGAGAUUUUUUUCUAUUAAAUCAAAGGUAUUCUCAUGACUAUAAUUUUUUUUUUCAAAACUUUUGUAGGAUAAAAUAGUCUUUCAUUUCAUUCAAGAAUAAAAUGGUCAUUUUAUUUCAUUUCUUAGUGUGAAAGUAGUUCACUGAAAGAACUUUAGAAACAAAGUGGUGAAAGAACAAGUUAAAAAUUUGUGGUAGUUAGAUAUAUGUAUGACAAAACAGUGGUGGUGCAGAGAUAAUUUCCCUUAAUACUAUUGACAAGUGUGUAGCUAGCUUACUAGUAAACUUAGGCACUCUUAGAAAGAUUCUAAAGCAAAAGUAAUGCCUGAAAAAUCUAGAUUUAAGUAAGGCCAUUUGUGACCCUUUUAGUCUUUUCUAAGAACUCAACUGGUAUAUUUUUUCAUACACUAUGGAUUGUUUUAUGUCAUUUAUUGGCAAUAAUUUUCAACAUAUAUUCCCAAACUUUACCAUUAUAUAGCUUGAAGUUCAUAGGACUUUGGAAUCAGAUCAUUUACAACAAUCUUUACAAGGUGAUAAUGAUACGGAGAGCAUAUGUAAAUUUUAAGUCAAUCAGUAUGAGGGCGCCUUCAACUUAAUUGGGGUCUUCACUUUUAAGGCACUACCGGGGUGGUCAUUGCCCUCAUUGCUUAUGUACCUUAACUUCAUAUAGAUUUUUACUUUUUUCGAUCCCCUUUUUGGAGCAUAAGUAGAUUGUCGAUUAAUGCCAAACGCAUAAGAAUAUGGUCAGAUGCCUAGAUUAUAGAAAAAUAACGAAAUUUAAAGUAAUACAUCAGACUGCUGAUGUAUUAACAUUAUAUUGAAAUUUAAUAUUUGGCUACCAACAAGCACAUAUUAUAUAAAAAGAAUUAAACAAGCAAAUAAGCAUAAAGUGAAAUACUUAAAUAGAAUGAUAGAGCGCAUGUUUUGGAAAAGUUUAUUCCUCAAUCCACCACUAAUUAAAUAGAAGCAAGUCACUGUCAUUCUAUGUAAACAUACAUAAACAAUCACGUACUUAGGAAUAAUUUUUUGAUUUGGGAAUCUUGAAUUUUUCAUUAAAAAAUUAGUUUACAAUAUUAUAAGUACGUGAAAAAGAAAGUGAUCGUGUACGAGGGUUUUUUGCAUUACCGAUCAAUUGCAGUGAAAUCAAAGCUGCGUUUUAAUAAAAAGAAGAAAAGGAUCACACAUACAUAGUUCAUACUUCUAAAUGUUGGAUUAAAAUUUAUUAAAACACAACACGGGCGAAGUCACUAGCAAAUAGCAAAGAAUAGCAAAGUCAUUCUUCGGGAAUAUAUUGAAUAUCACUCUAGAUAUGUUACAGUAGUAAACUUCACUCCAUUUUAUUAGAAGUAAUAGGACCAUUUGGUCCAUAUAUUGAAGAUGUAUCUACCUACAAAAGCAUAGUUAAUGGCCAACAAUAUCUCAUCUUAACCACACCAGAGACAUCAUUUACAAUGCAUAAGCUAAAUUAGUAUAUGGCUGCUCCUACACUUCAAAAUCUAAUGGCUUGUAAACGAGUGUUAAGGUACUUAAAGGAACUGGAAGAUAUGGAUGAAACUAAUUGGAUUCACAGAUACAGAGUAGGUAUGUGAUUUGGAUGACAAAAAAUCUAUUGGAGUUUACUACGUAUACUUGGGAAACAAUUUAAUACAUGGUCAUCAAAGAAGCAAUCUAUGGUAGCAAGGUCCAGUGCAGAAAGUGAAUAUAGAGCACUUGCAGAAUUAACUUGGUUGCAAUCAUUAUUCAGUGAAAUCAAAAUACAACGUACAUUAGUUCCAUCAAUUUGGUGUGGUAAUGCAAGUGCCACUGAAUUAUCCAAGAAUCCAAUCUAUCACUCAAGAACUAAACAUAUUGAGUUGGAUAUGCACAUUGUGAGAGGCAAAAUACUUGUAAAAGAACUUUUAAUCAGUUAUAUAACAUGUGCAGAACAAAUUGCCCAAUUAUAUCUUUACAUAUUAAUUUUGCUAGUAUAAUAUCCUUGAGAAUAAUUUGAAUCAAAUGAUUUUGUUACUUUGGUAGUAAUUAAAUAAUAUUAGAUUGAAUUGCUGUGUCAUUUGUUUAGCUUAUUUUAACCCUAUGUAAAAUUAGCUUCGGCAAGUAAAAUGAAAUUUACAUUAUUAAAAUCAUUGUUUGUGGUAAUAAAAGUUCACUUGGAAUUUUAUAAUAUCAACUUGAAAUUUAACUCAAAGUAUUGGUAGUUAAGGAUUUUAAUAGAAAUAUUAAAUAGAAACAAGUAGUUAACAAGUUAAAACAAGUAAACCUAUAAUUGAGUAUGUUUAACUAAAAUUAGGGGCUAAUUUAACAAAAAGUUAAACAAUAGAAAGUAAAUUUGGCAUUUAACCCAAAUAGUUAAAAUUUUACCAAGUUAUUGGAAAUACUCAAACAAAAGUAUUGAAAUAAUAGUUGAAACACAUAAGUUAAAAAGGAAUAAAAUAUUAACCAAAUUCUAAUUUUAAAACUCAUCCAAUAAGAAAUGAAUUUAAUUAGAAUUUAACAAAAAGUAUUGGUAUUUAAUAAACUUAAUAUGAACAUUAAACGCAUAGCUGGUAGAUUUAUAAGUUAGAAAUAUGUAAACCUAGAAGUAAGAAGGUUUAACCAAAAUUAAGGCAUAAAAAAUAUAUAAAAAAUUCCAAUUGGUAUUUAAAUUAAAUAAUUGCAACCUUACCUAAUCAGUAGGAAUAUUCAACAAAAAAAUAGUGGAAUAAUUAGUUGAACCAUAUGAACCUAGAAGGGAGAAAAUUUAAGCAAAAUUAGGAACUUAUCCAAUGAGAAUGAACAUUAUUUGGAAUCUAACCCAAAAUUGGUAUUAAAUGAACGUAGUAGGAAUAUAAAACACAAAACUGGUAAACUACUAAUUAAGUUGAAGCUUGUGGACCUAUAAGUGAGAAAAAUUAACCAAAAUUAGAGACCAGUUUAACCAAAAAUAAAAUUAUAAAAAUUAAAUUUGGUGCUUACCCUCAAUAAUUAGAAUCUUAUUAAGUUAAUAGAAGUAUUCGAUACCAAAAUUAUGGAAAUUAGUAGUUGAAACUGGAAACCAUAAGAGAGAAAGUUCAAGUAAAAUUUGGAACUCAUCCACCAGAAAUAAAUUUAACUUGGAAUCUAACCAAAAUAUUGGUAUUGAAUGAAUAUAGUAGGAACAUCAAACACAAAACUAGAGGACUAAUAUGUUGAAAUAUGUGAACCAAUAAAUGAGAAAGUUAACCAAAGUUAAAGCCUAUUCUAACAAAAAAAAAUUAUAAAAAUUAAAGCUAUUAUUUAUUUCAAAUAAUUGAAAUUGUACUAAGUUACUAUAAAUAUUCAACACAAAUGAAAUAAUUAGUUGAGACAAGAACUCGUAAGAGAGAAAUUUUAAGCAAAAUUAGGAAAUCUUUAAAUGAAAAAUGAAAGUUGGAAUAUAACUUAAAAUAUUGGUAUCGAAUUUGGUACGAAUAUCAAAUACAAAAUUGAUGGACUAAUAACUUGAAACGUGGGAAACCAUAAGUGAAAAAGCUUAAGCAAAAUUAACGACUAGUCUAAGAAAAUAUAAUUGUUAUAUUUAACCCAAAUAAUUGAAAUCUUACUAAAUUAAUGAGAAUGCACAAUGUUCCUAUUGAAUUCCUUAAAUACUAAUAUAUUGGGUUAGAAUGUAAGUAAAGUCAUUUCCUAUUGGAUAAGUUCACAUUUUCGUUAUAUUUUCUACUAUUUGGGCUCAGUAGUUUCAAUUAAUUAUUCCAUCAUUUUGGUGUUGAGCAUUUCCAUUAACUUUGUAAGAUUCCAAUUAUAUAGGUUAGAUACUAAAUUUUUAUUUUUUAUAAAUUUAGUUUUGUUAGAUUAGUAACUUAUUUUGGUUAAACUUAUAGGUUCGUUUAUUCACUUUUAAGUUCACUAUUUUCGUGUUUUAUAUUCCUACUAAUGUCGUUAAAUACCAAUAUUUUGAGUUAGAUUUUAAACAACUUUCAUUUCUAUGAGAUGAGUUCAUAAUUUUAGUUCAACCUCAUUUCAUGUGGGUUUAUAUAUUUCAACUAUUAUUCCACUAAUUUUGUUCAGAAUAUAAAAAUGGAAGAAAUAGUUAUUUAUUUUGUAAAUAAUGGAGGAUAUAAUUUAAUGAUAGAUAGUAAAUAUAGACAAUAUUAUUAUUCAGAACAAAAUAUAUUAGAUGAUAACAACUAGAACAAUUGUAUUUUUCCGGAGAGCUCAUGAAAUUAGAAUUGGAGAACUCAUAAUAAUAAAGAAUUGAAAUUUCAACAUAGAUCCUAUUCUCCUAUUCACAGUUAGGAGAGAGGUUUAUAGAAAUAAUUUUUCAUAGAAAUAAUGGAAUAUUAAUUAUGUUGAGGAUUAUAUAGAUGAACUUGUGAUUGAUUAUAAUAGAUUUUUAACUAUUAAGCAAAGAGAUGAAUACAAUUGGAAUAAAUAAAGGAUCAGAAGUGAAUACUAUCCUUCUAGCAACAUUCUAAUAGGAUACAAAGAUUUAAUUAUAUAUAAGCUUUGUUAUAUACAUAAAGGAUUAGAAGAAAACAAUAUUUCUAAGGAUAUAAAAAAUAUUAUAUAUCACAAAUACUUGAUAGAAUAUAAUGAAAUAUUAUACAUAUGGUAUUAUGAAUAUAUUACUAGAACCAUUGAUAAUUUCAAAAAAUAUAGAAACCAAUAAAUUUCCACCUUCUCGCUAUAGGCAUAGAGGAUUUACUUAUGAAAGAUUUCAACCAUUUGAUUUGGUAAAUGAUUUUGAUAUGUAAGGAAGUAAUAAGUUAAACUAGAUUUCUCUAUAUUUAUUAAAUAAAUUUGGAAAUCCUAAUUUAACCAUAAAUGAUAUAGAAGAAAGUACAAAUGAAAUACUUGAAAUUAAAAGCUUUAAUACUGAAAAUAUAACACAAGUUAAAAUGUUAAAAGAUCAAAUGAGUGAAGAAUUUGAUUCACUCAAACAAUUAUAAAAGACUUCAAAAUUGAAGAUUAAGAUAGAUUGAAAUAAGAAAUCAUUAAUGUCAUGAACAAAAAUUCAAUUGAAGAUCAAUUACAUAAAAUUGGAAAAAUCAUUGAACAACUUGGUAAUAAGUGACAAGACUCAAAAGUGUAUUACUCUCAAGUAUAAGAGUGUCUAGUUAUAAUAUAACUUGGUGAGACCGGGGUCGAACCACAUGGAGUUUUAAAUCUAGUAAAAGUAAGAAAACUAAUUGCGGGGAAAAGAAAUUAUUUGAAAUCAAUUUAAAAAUAAGCUAAGGUUUAGGAUCCACUCUCUGUAUUCAAACAAUAAUUUUAAUACUCUCUCAUUUAUAUUUUGCCUCAUUUUUACCAAUUAAUUAUUAUAUCAUUUAAUUCUAUGUGUGUGGAUAAAUAUAGAAUAAAGUACCUGAUGUGCCACACUAUAUUAAUGUGUCGAUAUUAUGUCAAAAUACCAUAAAAUCCAGUUAGAUUUAUAAAUUAACAUGAUAUAAAAAUAAUUAAAAAAGAAUUAAAAAAACUCAUUUGAGAAAAUAAUAAUAAUUAAUAGUUUGAAACAUUGAGCUUCACUCUUCACCUCAGCUUAAUAAAAUUAGCUACUCAUAUUAAUAGAAAACACAACACUCUUUUUAUUUGAUAAAAUGUUUGAAAUAUAUUAUAAAGAAAAUUGAUACAAACGGAAAUAAGAAAAGAAAAAAAACAAAGAAAGAAGAAAAUCUUCAGUCUCGGCUUCAGCUCUCAAAUUUUGCUCUCCAAUUUCCCCCCGCUCUUCAAUUUCUCUCCCUUUUUAUAGCAACAAUGAUUUAACUUUCUUUAUUUAUAUUUAUUUUAUUAUUUAUUUAUUAUUUUAAAAUAUAUAAGUGUGUUGAAAUGUGUGAUGGUCAGGAGGCAUAAUGGCCUCCUGACCAUCACCAACGUGUUUUUGUUCUUUUGUUCUUUUAUUUUUUAUUUUUUAUUUUUAUUUUAUUGAUUAUUUAUUAUUACAUCUCUUCAAUUUUGUUCCAGUAGUUCUUCUUUGUUCUCGCUUUUAAUUUCAAUUCCAUCUUUAUUCAUGAAAAAUAUUUACAAGAUAAAAAUUAACAAAUUACGAAUUAAUUUAACAUAAAAUAUAUUUGGGGAGUAUUAAAAUAAUUUAGAAAUAAUGAACGCAUUAAUCGACACAAGAAGUGAAAAACUAAUAAUUUUAUCCUUAUUAAAUGUACACUUUUUAGUGUCAAUCACACCCCCCAACCAGCUUAUUGUUAGGCCCUAGCAAUUUAAGCGAUAAAAGUUUAGUAAAAUUUCAAACUCAAAUUGAAAAUCAUUUUUUUAAAAAAUUGUGUUUACUUCUUUCAUCAGAUUAAUGACAACAAUCAAAUAAAAGUAUAAGCAUUAUCUUCAGCCUGAAGAAAAUCACACCCGCUCAAAAUAGUUCAGUAAAAUCUUGUAAAAUGAUCAAUUAUCAGAGCUACAUUAAUCAAGCCACUUUUAAGAAUGAUACAUCAAACCCCAAAAUCUCACGAUUAAGAGUGACUAUCUCAAAAGAAGAUAUACCCCAAAUUAAUUUGUCACUCUAAAAAAAUGGUAAAUUUGAGAGAAUAAUAAAACAAUAUCACACGCUCUCACCAAGAUAAAAAUUAAUGCCCACAACUUAGAAAUAAAAUGAUAUCAAAUCCAAUGAAUUACUAGCAAAAUUUAUUUUUAUUUUUACUCAUCACCACAUCUUUUAGUCCAUAUUACCAGCUUUUACUUCAGAUUAUAAUUCCCAAAAAUCGAGAAGGACUUUUAUUAGGACGUAACGUAGGCUAUGGUUAUGGCUAACAAAAAAGGUGAUAGGGAAAAUAAAAAUAUAUGUUUGAAAAAUAGGGGACUUUUUGGAGAUUAUAAGGUGCUCUUUUUUUUUUUUCUCAGGUUCAAAGGGGUUAACUAUGGAUUCUUUAUAAUAGGGUUGGAUAGAAAGGCUCAAACGGAUCAAAGAUGGCCUUCUGUCAUCUUUUAGGGUUCUAUAUAAUCUUUCAUAUCCACUAGUUCAAUGGACUAUUAUAUGCGGCUGCACAAACUUUUUUUUUUAAUAUUGAGAUCUUGUACAAUAAAUUGUGAAGCUGUAUAGGCAAACAAGGUUACUCUCCAAGGAUAACAAACUCAAAAACUCGCUUGGUCUUUUUAUAACAUGUACAUUCAUCCAAAUGGCUUAAUCAAUUUCACUCAUUCAAUUUCUCAAUUUACGUUUCAACAUGCAAAGGGAAAAACAUAGUGUAAUAUAACUCAAGGCCAAAGAUAAUAUGAGUACCAAAAUUUGAAAAUCAUCAUGUUAUCCAAUGUUAAAAGAUCACAUCAAAAAAGAAAAUAAUUUUUUUUAAAGAAAGCACUAAAAAAUUGGGACUAAUUGUAGAAACUUAAGGGAGAUGAUUAAAAGAAAAAGACCGAAAACAACAAGUUAGAAACAUUGUUUUUUGGAAGAAAUCACAAAAAUUAAGAAGAUGCGUUUCUAGAGACAUUACAUUCUAUAUUCUGUCAUCUUCGACUCAAAUUUUUAUCCAAAGUUAGUCUUUACAACAAAAAUUAGUAAAAACAUCACUAGGAAUGAGACAUUCCAUAAUUAUCAACUAUUCCCUCCCCCCAACCUGAAGGAGACAUUGUCCUCAAUGUCUAAAGAAAGGAGUAGAGUUUAGACGAUAUCACCUGGUCACUGCUGGAAAUAUUUACAGACGGAGAGUUAAAUCUAAUUUACACUUUUUACGAGAGUUACUGCCAUCGUUAUCAAUUGCCCAAUCCAACACCAAAGUCAUGGGAUCUGGCUUUGGUUUGUAAGCUUGCAAAAGAGUGCAAAAGAUCAAGUAACUCAUUAGCAGUAUGAGCACAAAUGAAGAGUUUUUUCGCUGAGGAUGGAAUGAAAUAAUUUUUUAUUACAUGAUUAAGAAAUGUUAUUAAGCCAUUAUAAAAGUUAUUAACAUUUAACAAACCGAUUGGUUUUUUAUGGAUAUUAAAAUGGGUCCAGUAAGCAAAUGUAAUUAGCGCCUCCAAAGUUGCAAGGUCUCCUGGCAAGAAAAUAAAAACGUCAGCAUGAUUUAACAUUUCGGAUAUUCUUUCUUGCAUACUUGAGACAACUAACUCUUCUCCAGUUGGUGAGUCUGGUAGCCAUCCUAAAGGUUUUAAGGCUUUUGAAAUGAUGCCUAGCACUUGGCUUCCUCGAACGAAAGCAGCUUCAGAGACAAGCUUUGAUAACCCUCGGUCACCUCCUCCAUAUACAAGAUGUAGUUUCCUCUCUGCUAUAGCACGACCAAGAUCUACGGCUACUUAAACGAACUCCUUAAACUUUCCAUAGCGAAAUCUAGAAAGCACACAAAUGUUUUUAAGUUGACUGCUUGAAGUUGCUGCCAUUACAAAAAUUCUAAAAAGAAACAAUUUGUGAGUGCUUGAAAAGGAGUUCCUAUUUAAGGAUCUUGGUGACGGACAUAAUGAUGUACAUUUGUAAAUGGGGUGGUGUGUUUGUUAAAUGACGUGUGAAGCUUUUAGCUUAAUAAUUCAAAUGCAAACAGUGAAAAGAAAAAGUAAAUUGUGAUUAGAUAAAAAAAACAAUAAUAAUAAUAAUGCAAAAUAUAAAAGAACAGUAAAAUAAAAGGAUAUUUACUGGUAGUUGUAAUUGUGGCUUACAUCUUCCUCUGAUUUUACAUCCAGUAACGGCUUGAACGCCCUCUAUGGGUCGAGGAUAGGGUUCCCAUCCAGUUUUCUUAUAAACUGGCAAACAAGGUCUUUUAGAGUCAGAUUCCCAAGACUAAACUGUGCACUUUCCUUUUGGAACAGCUUCAACAAAUUUUGAAUUUCACGUUGAACAUAUAUGCUCGGAUGCAUCUCAAGAGAUCGUAAGAUAUCAUCCAACGAUUCUUUACUCAUGCUAUCCUUAACGAAUUUGAUUUUAUCUUCACGAUUUACAGAAAUCAUUCCUAAAGCUUUACAACGUGGAUUUUUGCAAGCAAGUCUUACACAAUGAGAACAUUCAGAGCCAAGUCGCUUAGCUCUUCUUUUUUUAGCAAAUGUACUUUUACCAAAACCAGGCAUGUAGGAAAUGAAUAGAUCAGAAAACUCACCUUCCAAUCGGACCUUUGCUUCGAUUAACUAUCGAAUGUCAGCAGGAAUCCCAUUGAUCAUUAACAAACACAGUUGUUCACAACGAGCUUUGUAACUCUUCUUAAGAGCAUUUUGAGGGAGAGAAGGAAAAUGUUGAUGCAAAUUUUGUUGUAUUUCUUCCAUGCUUGACAUUGAGGUUUCAGUUAUUGUGGGAAACUGAGAAUGCCGACUUAAAAAGUCACGGAGUACCGUUAUCCGUCAUUUAUACGAGAGAGUGAAUCAAAACAAAACAAAUCAAAUCUGCAAAAUCAAAUCAAAAGUGAAAAAUAGCAACAAAAUAAAACAAAAACACACAAGGAAUAUAACACACCUUCGUCCUUUUAUUGAAUCCAGUUCCAAUUGCAGAUUAUAAAUACCAUCAUCUAUUUCCUUGAGUUGUCUUUCUAGAUCUUUCACGUGAGAUACUAACUCUGGUGGUUGCAGAUCCCAAAUGGGAUGUAAUUUACAAAAUCGGAGCAAUUUCCUCAGGUGAAAUUUUACAUGAAAAAGCGUUUUAAAAUUAUCGAAAAGGAAAUUGCUCAUGGAGGUACUCAUGACAAGUAUAAAAAUUUGGUGAGCUAAAUCACAAUUGUCAAACAACACACAAUUAAAACAAUGCAAUGCACUCCAUUCAAGACAUAUGGAAAAGGAAAAAGAAAAAGAAAUCAAAUAAUUCAAAUGAUAAAGUAACAGUAAAUCAAAACAAAACGUUAAAAUGAAAAGGCUUAAUCAAAAUUUUGGUGGGUCACUCAAAUGGAAUUCGGCAUCUGCUUUAUGUGGUUGGUAUUCCAGAUAUGGUUUCAAUCUUUGGCCAUUAACUUUAAAUGUGACACCAUCCUUUGGAUUCUCAAUUUCUACGGCUCCAUAUGGAUACACAUUUUUUACAACAAAUGGGCCAUUCAACUUUGACUUUAACUUCCCUGGAAAUAAAUGAAGACGAGAAUUAUAAAGCAACACUUUUUGACCAAUUUCAAAUGUUUUCCGAAAAAUUCUUUUGUCAUGAAAAAAUUUGGUUCUUGCCUUAAUAAUUCUGGAAUUAUCAUAUGCAUCAUUCCUUAAUUCCUCAAGUUCAUUUAUUUGCAAUUUACGCACAUUGCCAGCAUCAUCAAGAUUUGAAUUAAAAGCUUUAAUGGCCCAAAAUGAUUUAUGUUCAAGUUUUACUGGUAAGUGGUAAGAUUUUCCAUAAAUAAGCCGAUAGGGUGACAUUCCUAAAGAUGUUUUAAAAGCAGUACGAUAUGCCCAAAGUGCAUAAAUUAGUCGAAGAGACCAAUCUAUACGGUUUGGAUUAACUGUUUUUUCUAAAAUUUGUUUUAUCUCCCUAUUUGCUAAUUCAACUUGACCACUUGUUUGAGGGUGAUAAAGGGUAGCAACCUUAUGUGUAAUUCCAUAUUUCUUCAUGAAAGACUCAAAUGGCUUAUUACAAAAAUGCUUACCUCCAUCACUGAUAAUGGCUUGAGGUAUUCAAAAUCUGCUCAAAAUAUUUUCUUCUAAAAAGCGGAUCACAAUCUUGUGAUCAUUGUGCCGACAAGGAAUCGUCUCGAUCUAUUUUGAAACAUAAUCAAUAGAAAUCAAAAUGUAUACAAAUCCAAAUGAUGAUGGGAAAAGACCCAUAAAAUCAAUUUCCCAACAAUCAAAUAUUUCAAUGACAAUGAUGGGGUUUAAAGGCUUCAUGUUCCGCUUUGAAAUAGACCCUAUCAUUUGAUAAUUCUUACACAUUUUACAGAAUGCAUGUGAAUCUUUAAAUAAUGUAGGCCAAUAAAAUCCACACUGCAAUAUUUUGCAGCUGUCUUUUUUGAAGAAAAAUUGCCACCGAAUGCUUCAGAAUGACAAAAUUGAAUGACCCUACUUACCUCGUCGUCUGAUAUGCCUCUUCGAAAAAUUUGAUCGGAGCAGUACUUGAACAGGUAUGGCUCAUCCCAGUAAAAGCUUUUUACUUCAGUUAAGAAUUUCUUCUUGUCUUGGGAACUCCAGUCACAUGGCAUUUCACUUGUUGUAGGAUAAUUAACAAUAUUAGCAUACCAAGGCAUUUUGUUUAUAGAAAACAAAAAUUCAUCAGGGAAAGAAUCAUUGAUGGGUGUUGUUUCAAUUGAAGACUCAUUUGUAAGUCUUGAAAGAUGAUCUGCAACAACAUUUUCAGCGCCCUUUUUGUCCUUGAUUGUCAAAUUAAAUUCUUGAAGUAGCAAAAUCCAUCGUAUUAACCUUGGUUUGGCAUCCUGUUUUGACAUUAAAUAUCUCACAGCAGCAUGAUCAGAAUAAACAACAGUACAUGAACCAAUUAAAUACGAACGAAAUUUAUCCAAUGCAAAUAUUACAGCAAGUAGUUCUUUCUCAAUUGUAGUGUAAUUCAUUUGAGCAGUAUUUAAAGUUCUACUUGCAUAAUAGAUGACAAAGGGCUUACCUUCCUUUCUUUGACCCAGAACAACGCCAACGGCAUAAUCAUUAGCAUCACACAUUAGCUCAAAAGGUAAAGACCAAUUAGGGGGUUGCAUUAUUGGGGCUGAUGUCAAAAAACUAAUUAUCUUUUCAAAAGCUUGUUGACAAUCUUUAGUCCAUUCAAAUUGUGUGUCUUUUAUUAGGAGGUUACAAAUUGGUCUAGAUAAGGCACUAAAAUCUUUUAUAAACCUCCUAUAAAAUACUGCAUGUCCUAAAAAAAGGGACUUCUCUAAUUGUCUUUGGUGAGGGUAAUUUUGAAAUGACUUCAACUUUGGCUUUAUCAACUUCGAUUCCUUUUGAAGACACAAUAUGGCCUAAGACAAUUCCAGAAGUGGUCAUGAAAUGACAUUUUUCCCAAUUUAAAACGAGUCCUUUUUCUUUGCACCUUUCCAAAACUUUUUCUAGAUUAUCAAGACAUGUAUCAAAAGAAUUACCAAAUACAGUUAAAUCAUCCAUAAAAACCUCUAGACAAUUUUUAACUAUGUCACUAAAAAUGCUUAGCAUGCAACUUUGAAAUGUUGCAGGAGCAUUACAAAGUCCAAAGGGCAUUCUCCUAAAUGCAAAUGUUCCAAAUGGGCACGUGAAUGUGGUCUUUUCCUGGUCUUCUAAGGCUUUAGGGAUUUGAUAAUAGCCAGAGCAGCCAUCAAGAAAGCAGUAGUAAGGAUGUCCAGCUACUCUUUCAAGAAUUUGGUCUAGAAAUGGAAAGGGAAAAUGAACUUUUCUAGUAGCAUAAUUUAAUUUUCUGUAAUCAAUGCACAUGCGCCAACUAGAUGGAAUUCGUGUUGGGAUUGAUUCACCUUUUUUAUUUUUUACAACAGUUAUUCCAGAAUUUUUUGGUACUACUUGUAUUGGACUUACCCGUUUACUAUUAGAGAUAGGGUAGAUAAUUCCUACAUCUAAUAGUUUAAGGACCUCAUUUUUUACCACUUCUUUCAUAUGAGGGUUUAGUCUUCUUUGUGGUUGACGGGUUGUUUUGGCAUUUUCCUCUAAGUGUAUUCAGUGUGUGCAAAUUAAAGGAUUAAUGUCUUUUAUGUCUUUUAAGGUCCAACCAAAUGCAAUUUUAUGCCUUUUUAGUACAGAUAACAACUUACCCUCUUGAUCAUGUGUGAGUUGAGAAGAAAUUACCACCGGAUAUGUCUGCUGCUCUCCAAGAUAGGCAUACUUCAAUUCUUCUAGUAACGGCUUUAAUUCGAGCUCUGGUGCUUCCUCUUCGUUUGCUUCUUUAGGUUGUACCGUAUCUUCAAAGUUCGAUUGGUCAUCAUCACCUAUAGGUACCUGCAUAGAAUCAAGUGUAGGACAUAUGUUAGCAGUAUCAAAAUCUAAUUCCUUACUUGAUUCAAUAGAACCAGUAAAAAGUAAAUUUCCGCAGAGUUUGUAAAAUUCUCAUCCUGAAUGUAUUCCUCAAUGAUUGGCUCGAUGAGAUCAAUUUCAUCAUUAUCAUUAUCAUCAUCUUCUUGGUGGUGAGGUUGUUUACACAUGUUGAACACAUUGAGUUCCAGUGUCAUGUUACCAAAAGAUAAAUUCAUUAAUCCAUUCCGGCAAUUUAUCAAAGCAUUAGUAGUAGCUAAAAAUGGUCGACCCAAUAUAAAAAUGGUCGACCCAAUAUAACAGAAAUUUGUUUGCAUUCAUUAGCAAUUGGUUCCGUUUCCAAAACAAUAAAAUCUACAGGAUAUAUGAAUUUAUCGACUUGGACUAAUACAUCUUCAAUUAUUCCUUUUGGAACCUUCAUCGAUCUAUCAGCAAGUAAAAAAGUAGUAGAAGUUGGUUUUAACUCACCGAGAUUGAGUUGUUGGUACACAGAGUAAGGAAGUAAAUUAACACUGGCACCAAGAUCAAGUAAAUCAUGUCCAAUUUUAUGAUCCCUAAUAGUGCAAGAAAUAGUUGGACAAUCAGGAUCCUUGUAUUUCAAAGCACUAUUGGUUGAGAGAAUGGAACUUACAUGUUCUGCUAGAAAAGCUCUCUUUUGCACCUUAUGUUUCCUUUUCACCGUGCACAGAUCUUUCAGAAAUUUAGCAUAGGACGACACCUGUUUAAUGACAUCCAGCAGAGGAAUGUUGACCUUUACUUAUUUAAAAACUUCAUAAAUUUCUGGACUGUGGUUUCAUUUCUUUGGCUUGAUCAGUGCUUGAGGAAAUUGGGGUACAAGAGGAGAAUUGGUUAUUUCUUCAUGGGUUAAAGGUUCGACAAACUCUUCCCUAUUUUUUGAAAUUGAAUCUUUACUAGUUUCACGAGGGUCCACAAUGUGUUUUUCAAUUACUUUACCACCACGAAGGUUAUAACCGAUUUGACUUGACUCAUAUUUUUGUUUCCUGAAUUUCCCAUUUUAGGAUGUUGUUGACUCUUGGGGUUUGGUUCAGGUUGAGCAGGAAACUUUCCUUUUUCAUGUAUGGUCAGAGCAGAUGUAAGUUUGGAGAUAGUUUCUGUCAAAUUGGUUAAGAUUUGCAUCUUUUGGUUAUUGAUUGACUCUUGUUUUUCAAUAAACGAAUGCAAUGUGUCUUUCAGAGUUUUUCUUGGUGGUGGGACAUAUGGUGGGUAGCUCUGGGAGUUUUGGAAAUUUUGACGUGGAGGGGCUGGUUGUAAAGGUUGUGCAUGAUUGUCAUUUCUCCAACUAAAAUUUGGGUGGUUUCUCUAACCAGAGUUGUAAGUUUGGGAGUAUGAAUUUGGAUUUGGCCUUUUGAAAUUAUCAACGACAUUUACUUGUUCAUGCAAACUUUGUCUUAGAGCUGGUAAAGUUGGACAGUCCUGCGUAGAAUGGUCAGUAGAAUCGCAAACAUAACAUAAAAUAUUUUGAACAGACUUUACAUGAUCAUUCUUUUUUUACUCUAAUGCUUCGACUUUUCUAGCUAAUGAUGCAAAUUUGGCUUGAAAAUCAUGGUCUUCCCUAAGGUUAUGCAUGCCUCCACCAGAUAGAGAUGACUAGGGUUUACUUGAUGACUCAUAAGAACCAACUGUAUUCCAGUGUUGUGCAUUUUCUGCUAUAUAGUCAAGAUAGUCUAAUGCAUCUUCAGGACUUUUAUCCCUAAACUCACUAUUACACAUCAUUUCAAUGACUUGUCUACCUUGGGAUGUUAAUCCCUCGUAGAAAUAAGACACUAAUCUCUAUGUUUCAAAACCAUGAUGUGGACAAAUGUUAAGCACUUCUUUAAACCUAUCCCAACAUUGGUAGAGAGUUUCUCCUAGCUUUUUAGUGAAAGUGGUGAUUUUGAAAUAUAAGUGUGCAACCCAAGAGGAGGGGUGAAUUGGAAUUUUAAAAAUUAUCCUAGCAAAUCCACACAACAAGCAAUCUAAUGUCUUAAUAAAAAUUGAAAGCAAUAAGUUCAAUAAAAGCACAAGAACAAAUGAGUAAGAGAGAAGAGAAACAAACACACGAAAUUUUACGUGGUUCGGCAAUCCCCGCCUAUGUCCAUGCCUCAAAGCGAUCCAAGCUUGAGGAUUUCACUAUCCGAGCCUUUCCAAGGCUUCAACCGUUUACAAUUGACUUCAAGGUGUCAAUGAACCUUUACAACAAAGAGAUUAUCUCCCAAUCUCUUCACUCAAGUGUCUCACACACUCAAACUUUUACAAUUAAGAUGAAGAAAUGAAAGUUACAAUAAAACUCACUCAAAGAGUAGAUAUUCAAAAAUGAAGAACAAGAAAUGAUUCAAUGUUUUGUGAUUUACAAAUUGAAAGCUCAAGAUAUCUCGUGUGCUUUUUGUUUAUGCUUGGUGGAGAGCUUGAAAAUGAGUUGGAUUUGAGUUUAUAUAGUUUAAGCUAAAAAAACUAGCUGUUAUGCACAUUUUGGUCUUAACCGGCUUGCCGUUUAUGAAUCCGAUAAGCUGCUUUUAUGUUACCGUUAAGGCAAAAAUUUGAAUUUCAGAAUAUCCGGCUUGCUGCUUUUCAUAUCCAGCAAGCCGCUUUUGAAAUCUGGAUUGUCGCUUGUGAAAUUCGGUAAGCCGUUUAUGCUCCAGAAGCUUACUGCCCAAAAUCCAGUUUGCCAUUUACCAUAUCCGGUAAGCCGCUUGCUACAGUGAAAUAUUUUCCAAAUUUAUAGUUUAACCCAAAACUUUAUAAAACUAUAUUAUGGCCCAAAAUGUUAUGAAAGUUUACAAAUUGGUCCAAUUUUAGAAUUUUAAAUAAUGCUUUGUCAAUCCCAAAACUUUUUGAAAUUAUGAUUUCGCCCAAACUAUGUGAAAUUUUAGAAUGACCUAAAAAUAUUUAAAUAGUUUCAAAUAGGUCCAAAUCUGAAAUUUAAAACAUUAUUAAAGAUUUUAAAAUACUUUCAUUUUAGUCCAAAAUACUUUAAUUCCAUAACAUCAUUUUCUUAUUAUAAAAGCACAAUUCCUAAAUCUUUGCUUCAUCAAUACAUGUGGUUUGUUAUCAUCAAAAUCAAUAUUUAUAGCCAUAUAGGCUAACAAAUUUGUCUUUUGAAAGAAUUUUUUCUAUGGGGUGGGAAGAAUUUUUUCAAAAAUUGUGCUUGCAUUUCAUCCCAAGUUCUGAUGGAUUCUAACCUAAGAUUUUGUAGCCAAGUUUUAGCUUUAUCCUUUAGUGAGGAAGGAAAAAACUUAAGCCUGAUUAUAUUCAUGCUACAAUUUUGAUCAAUACAGAUGUUACAGACUUCCUCAAAUUCCCUUAAAUGCAAAUAUGGAUUUUCAGACUCAAAACCAUGAAAAGUAGGAAGAAAUUGAAUGAUAUCAGGUUUGAAAUUAAAACGUGAUGCAUCAUGAGGGAAAAUUAUGCAUGAUGGUUACCCUGUUCUAGUAGGAUGCAUGAAAUCUCUAAGGGUCCUAGGUUGGUCAUGAAGAUUUUGCAAGGCUUGGUCAUUUUCGUGCUCCGAAAAAUUUUCAGCUCCUAUGUCAGCCAUAUUUAAGGGUGGUGAAGGUGAUUUUCUAAUUAAUCUACCACUAUUUGUACGAGACCAACGACGCAUGCAACGCUAAUGAUGUGUGCUAAACUAAUGAUGCAAAAAAGCUAAAUGAAAAUUACAUAAAUAAAAAUAAACUCGAAAUUAAAUAAGCAAAAAAAAAAUACGAAAUAAAAAUAAACGAACUGAAAAAUAAAUAAAUAAAUUAGGCAGUGAAACCAGCCAUUAAAAGAAACAGUUUAGGCGGUAUUUUAAAACCAGCCAUAUAAUAAAAAAUAAAAUUAAAUUAAUUAAUGCACAAAAAUAAAUAAACUGAAAUUAAAAUGCUAGGUGGUAGAACCGACCAUAUAAAUAAAAAUACAUAAAUUAACAAAAUUUAAAUAACAGUCAAGCGGUAGAACCGACCAUUGAAAAUAAAUGCGGAAAGUAAAUUACAGAAAUUUAAAUAAAUAAAUUUGAUUUGGGAACUGAUUUGCAAAGGUUUUUGGGCUAAGAUGAAGUUUCUCACAAAUUUUAUGGAUAAUGUUAAGGUUUGAAAAGAAGAGGGGUGCUAACUGAAGUUUUACAAAAAGAGAAUAAAAUAGAAUCACGGAAAGAUAGUAACGGCAAAACAAACAAAAAUAAAAUAAAAUAAAAUAAAAAUAAAGUAAAGACAAACGAAUACCAAAUUUAGAAAACUCCCGGGCAAUGGCGCCAAAAACAUGACACAACUCAAAAGUGUGUUACUCUCAAGUAUAAGAGUGUCUAGUUAUAAUAUACCCCGGUGAGACCGGGGUCGAACCACAUAGAGUUUUAAAUCUAAUAAAACUAAGAAAAUUAAUUGUGGGGAAAAGGAAUUAUUUGAAAUCAAUUUAAAAAUAAGCUAAGGUUUAGGAUCCACUCUCUGUAUUCAAACUAUAAUUUUAAUACUCUCUCAUUUAUAUUUUACCUCACUUUUACCAAUUAAUUAUUAUAUAAUUUAAUUCUAUGUGUGUGGAUAAAUAUAGAAUAAAGUACCUAAUGUGCCACACUAUAUUAAUGUGUCGAUAUUAUGACAAAAUACCAUAAAAUCCAGUGAGAUUUAUAAAUUAACAUGAUAUAAAAAUAAUUAGAAAAGAAUUAAAAAAACUCAUUUGAGAAAAUAAUAAUAAUUAAUAGUUUGAAACAUUGAGCUUCACUCUUCACCUCAGCUUAAUAAAAUUAGCUACUCAUAUUGAAAGAAAACACAACACUCUUUUUAUUUGAUAAACUUUUUGAAAUAUAUUACAAAGAAAAUUGAUACAAACGGAAAUAAGAAAAGAAAAGAAACAACGAAAGAAAGAAAAUCUUCAGUCUCGGCUUCAUCUCUCAAAUUUUGCUCUCCAGCUUCCCCCCGCUCUUCAAUUUCUCCUCCCUUUUUAUAGGCAACAAUUGCUGAUGAGCAUAAUUUGUAUACAUAUUUUACCGUUUAUUAUCUAAUUACUAGUUAUUUUUAUUAGUUAUUUUUAAUUAAUUGAAUUAUUUUAUUGCAUGGGGAAUUAAUUGGAGAUUGGAAAUAAAAAGUACAAAAAGAAUAACAAUUUAAAAGAAUAUUAGUUGAAGCCGUGACAGAGUUAAGAGUCAAGAGCAAUUUGCAUUGAAUUUCAAUUCUCCAACUGGGUUGCACGUGCAUGGCAUUGCAAAAGUGGAAAGCAAUUUAAAUAGGACCCGCACUUGGCUUUCAUAAUUGGAAAAGGAAUCCAAAAGCAAUUCUAAGGGUGAUCAUGUGUGAGAGCUAAAGCAAAUAAAAGGGCAAGCCUUUUGGCUUUAGGAUUUAAGAGGUGGGGCCCAUUUCAAAGAUUAUAAAAGGGAGUUUUGGCUUUUGGAGAAGGAGGCAGCCAUUGGACGGAAACAAAAGGGUGCAUACGCAAGGUUGGGAGAGAGUAUUCGGCAGAAGCAGCAGUUCGGCUUCCAUGGCUGAUUUUAUUUCUUGUGUUACUCUCAAUUCAAGUAUGUCUAGCUAAUUUUCUUAUACUGAGGUUAAGGAUGAAACCCUAUUUAAUGAAAUAAUUAUCUUUGUAUUUAAUUAAUUCCUUAUAUAUGUUCUUUGAUGAUUAUGGUUUUUAUUUCACAUGAUUAAUUGGAUGUAAAUAAAAUCUUUUCAUCAAUUCUGUCAUGCAUUAUUGAUUGUUAGGAUUAAUAUUUGAUUAAAUCUAUGCUUGGAUCUAUAAAGUUUAUACAUGAUUGUCUUUGAUUUUAUGUCUUUCAUUAAAUUGUUCACAUAGAAUGCUUAGGGAAACUUUGACUCUUUGUUAUUCAAUAUGUUUACAUGAAAUUCUUAGAUGUCAUACUAUUAAGCAGAAAAAGAACCUACAUAAGAUUAAUUUUAUUUGGGCUUAAUUGUUAUAUCUAUAAGAUGACAUAGAUUGAUUUCGAGUUGUCACUCUAAAAUUGGGGAUUAAUGAAUAUUUAGAUAAUUACUAGUUGAAUAGUGGUGGAUUCUGAAACCUUGGUAAUUCUUAUCUUAUUGAAUUCUCCUUUAUUUUAAUUGCUUCCUUGUUUAAUUGGUUUAAUUUUCUUAGAAACUCAAUUUUGGUCAACUAGGUUAGAAUUAAUGUUAAUUUUAGAUUUAAAUUAGACUUUUCAAUUUAUAACAAUCCCUGUGGGAUCAACCUCGUUACCACUAUUAUAUCUCUAGAUUUGUGCGCUUGCGAGUAUAUUAAAAUUUUCAUAACAAGUUUUUGACGCCGUUGUCGGAGAUUGUACUAGAAAGUCAGUUUAAUCUAGGUUAAUUUGAUUCUUCCACUAGUUAUAAUUUAGGUUGUCUUUUAUUUUAUUUAUUCAAUUUUUAUUAAAAAAAACAAAAAAAAAUUUAAUUUUAAUUUAAUUUUAUUUUGAAUUUAUUGUUUAGUUGUUUGCUUUCUUUUAUUUAAUUUUGUUUAUUUUUAUUAUUGUUGUUUUAUUUUUCUUCUUUGUCUAGUUAGUUUAUGAGUGUUUGGGAACGCGAUUCAACAAAUCGUUUGGUAAAAAAAGAGUCGAAAAUUGAUAGUAGUCGAGAUAGUUCUUCGGAAGUGAUGGAUGACCCCAAUAGAUUAUUGCCAAUACUUCCACCAGUGCAAGCAGAGAAAACCCUUAGAGAAUAUUUUUCACCACUUGCAGCCAACCAACCAUCUUGUAUUGUGUUGCCACAAACUACAGCAACACACUUUGAAUUUAAGCCCUCUGUCAUUCAACUUUUGCCAUCCUUCCAUAGGUUAGAGAGAGAGGACCCAUAUUUUCACAUUAAGGAAUUUCUUGACAUAUGCUCUACAUUCCGUUUUCAAAAUUUUAAUGAUGAGUCAAUUAGGCUUCGUAUGUUCCCUUUCUCAUUAAAAGACAAAGCAAAAGCUUGGUUGAAUUCACUUCCUGCUGGGUCCAUUAGUACAUGGGAUAAAUUGAGUAAUAAGUUUCUCACCAAGUUUUUUCCUAUGUCUAGAACAAAUGCCCUUAGGAGAGAGAUAAGUGAUUUUUAUCAAAGAGAGGGUGAGCAAUUUUACGAGUGUUGGGAAAGAUUCAAUGAUUUACUCCUUAAGUGUCCCCACCAUGGUUUUGAAAAAUGGAGACUUAUACAAUACUUUUAUAACGGUUUAACCAUGUCAAAUCGUCAUAUGGUAGAGUCUAUGAAUGGUGGGAGAUUUUUGAACUUACAUGAAUGGGCCGCAUGGGAUUUCUUUAAUUCACUUUCUGAAAUUUCUCAACAGUGGGAUUUUUCAAAUCAAAGGGAAAAAUCAUCUCAAGUUUCUAGAAAGGGGUUAUAUGAAGUUAAGGAUGAUUUAGAUAUGAAAUCCAAUCUAGCUACACCUUCUAGGAAAGUAGAUGCCUUAGUUAUGAACCAAUCCAUAAAUUAUCAUCCUAGUGUAGCUAAUGAGGUUUGUGCUAUUUGUUCUAACUUGUCUCAUACAGCACAGAAUUGUCCAUCAUUACCAGUCUAUCCAGAGGCUUAUUCUGAGUAGGUACAUGCCUUACAAUCAUAUGAGAAAACCUCCAAUAGUCCAUAUUCAUCCACAUAUAAUCCUAAUUGGAGGAAUCACCCUAAUUUUUCUUAGAAACAAAAUCAACCUUUGUCAAACCAAGGAGGGCAACAAUUUAACAUGCCCAAUCAACAAUUUGUCCCUCCUAACCAAGUAUAUCCUCCUGCCCAACAACCUAUGUCUCAAUUUGUUGCACCCCAACAAAGAAAGCCUUCUUUAGAGGAUACACUUCAAAGUUUCAUUUAGUCAACCCAACAAGCUUUUCAGUCAAAUACUCAAGCUAUUCUGAAGCUUGAACAUCAAUUGGGUCAAUUAGCAACUACUAUAGCGGAGAGAGAAAAAGGAAAAUUUCCAAGUCAACCAAUUCCCAAUCUUAAAGGAGUGCAUGAAGUUGAAUCGAGUUCAAGCCAUCAGCAUGAAGAAGCAAAAUCUGUUAUGACCUUGAGAAGAGGAAAGUUAUUUGACAACAAGGUGGAGGUUCAAACAAGAAAAACAUAUAAGUCUACUUCUUCAAAUCCAGUUCCAUCACAAGACUCAUCACCAAAUGAUCCAGAAGAGAGUGACCCACCAGCUUACAUUCCCAAGGCUCCUUUUCUUCAGGUUAACAAAGGUAAAGAAAGGGACUUCAACAGGUGAGAUUAUAGAAAUCUUCAAGCAGGUAAGUAUAAACAUCUCUUUACCCGAUGCUAUUAAGCAAGUUCCUUCCUAUGCCAAAAUUUUGAAAGAUUUAUGCACUAAAAAGAGAAAUUUGCAUGUCACUAAAAAGGCAUUUUUAACUGAACAAACUAACAAUUUACUUCAAUGUAAAAUGCCACCAAAAUUUAAGGAUCCUGGUUCGCCUACUAUCUCAUGUGUUAUAGGGAACCAAUGUUUUGAUAAAGCAUUAUUGGAUUUAGGCGCUAGUGUUAAUCUCUUGCCUUAUUCCGUUUACAUGCAGCUUGGACUAGGUGAGUUAAAAUCAACUCCUAUUAUUUUGCAACUUGCUGAUAGGUCAAUGAAAAUACCUCGUGGUAUUAUAGAGGAUGUGUUGAUACAGAUUGAUAAAUUUUAUUAUCCUGUUGAUUUUAUUGUUAUUGAUACUCAACGUGUACCGGAUCCGAAGAAACACACCCCAAUUAUUCUAGGUCGUCUUUUCUUAGCUACAACUGAUACUCAUAUUAGUUGCAGGACUGGAAACAUGCAAUUUUCUUUUGGUAACAUGACCAUGGAAUUAAACAUUUUUAAUAUUCCCAAGCAGGCACAAGAAGAUGAUGAAGUCGUUGAAGUAGAUAUGAUAGAAGCAUCAAUUGAUGACUCACUUAUUUCUAACCACUGUGACAAUCCAUUAAUACCAUGCACAACUGACUCUGAUUUCUCUGUUCAUGUUGAUAGUGGUAUUGAAGAAGUUAAUGCUUUACUUGAUUCGACUCUUAUCAUAGAUCUAAUUAAGUGGAAAGAAAAGAUUGAGCCACUUCCUCCUGAAGAGAAAAUUGAACUAUUCAAGUUGGAGUUACUUCCUAAAAAAGUGAAACAUAGGUCACAUUCUGACAUGAAAAAGGUGGUAAGAUCUAAAGUGCUUAAAUUAUUAGAUUUUUAUACUACUUCAGAUAACUCUCAGGAAAGCAUGGAACAGAAGAGAUCAAGGCAGUGUGAUAUUGAGGAGUUUCAUUACCAUCAUCUUUUUAUAGAUAAAAUACUCCAGUGCUUAGUCAAUUAUGUUUUCUGGCAUUUUCUAUAUAAUUGCUUUGCUUUUCACCAAAUUCUUAUUGAUCCUGGUUGAUUUGUUGUUUACAUUAAUUAGUUAGUUAUUAGGAUUUUUUUAUUUUUUAUUUUUAUUAUUUAUAUUUCUUCUAACGUUUUCUUUUAGUUAUCAUUUUUUUAAGCUUUCACAGCCCAUCCAGGUGUGUUCUCUCCAACUUUCUUUUUAUUAUUUAUGUUUUGUUAUUAUUUUUUCUUCUCUCAUUUGUAUAUCUUUUGUUUGUGAAACAUUGAGGACAAUAUUCCGAAUAAGUUUGGGGGUGGGAAUAGUGUGUGCUUUGUUUGUUAAAAUUUUUUUUUUUGUUUGUUAAAAAAAAAUUGUGUUUUUUUUUUGUUUUUAUGUGAAAAGCCAAUGAUAAGAAUUUGAUUGACAAUGAAUAUGAUUUUUAGAAAUGGUUGAAUAUUGUCUUAGUUUAUACUUGAUUCUUGUGUUAGUUCCUCUUGAUGGAGAUUCUUUAAAAUAUAAGCACUAAUGUCAAUUCUUUCAUAAUUUUGACUUGAAAUUUGAGAUUGACGCAGCUUGAGUUGAGAAUUUUAGAAAGAGUAAAUGACUGUUUGUCUUGAUUCUUAUCUCCACAAUACAAAAUAGUAUACAGAGGUGCCAAAGUCAGAAAUAGCUACCUAUAACCCUUAAGAGUGAAGCUACCCUUGAGUAAUUUGGUCCUAUGUACCACAAGUAUGUAGAGGAUAAUCUACCAUGAGAAGAAGGCUACCUUAAGGGGUAGAGUGAAAGCUCCUGACUAUGGUUAAGAAAAAAAAAGAAAAAAAAAAGAAAAAAGGAAAAGAAAAAAAAUCAAGUGCAUCUGCUAAAAAAAAUCAAUAAAAAAAAUGCACAUAAAAGCCUAUGAAAAACAAAUUGGAGAUUAAGAUGAUAAGAUUAGUUUGACCUACUCUUUUCUUUGUUUGAGGCGAAGGCUGUUGAUAUUAAGGAUUUUGGGAAUGGAUUUGAUUGAAUUGAUUUUACACACACACUACAAGAAUCGAAAGAGAGAUGAGAUUGAUUAUUGAAUUAAAGUUAGAAUUUUGCCAAUAUUUGAAAUUUUCUUUGAGCUAUAUAAUUUAUGUAAUCUUUGAGGCUAUCUUCAUGUUUUGUUUAAAGCUUGUUGUUCUUUUCAUUUUAUUUUUAUUUUAAUUCUUUGAAAAAUGAUGUUUGUGGGUAUCAUCAUUGAAGCCCUCACGAGACUACAACUCGUCCACUAGGGCCGCCUAGGGGUUUAAAGGCUUGUUGCAUACACUAAAUGCAAUCGCGAUUACCUGCGAAAGUGGUUUAAUUAGGAUUUACUUUUUGUGUUGUUAUUUUUAUUUUUGUUUUAAGUUUUAGUUUUGCUCGAGGACUAGCAAAAUCUAAGUUUGAGGGUAUUUGAUGAGCAUAAUUUGUAUACAUAUUUUACCGUUUAUUAUCUAAUUACUAGUUAUUUUUAUUAGUUAUUUUUAAUUAAUUGAAUUAUUUUAUUGUAUAGGGAAUUAAUUGGAGAUUGGAAAUAAAAAGUACAAAAAGAAUAACAAUUUAAAAGAAUAUUAGUUGAAGCCGUGACAGAGUUAAGAGUCAAGAGCAAUUUGCAUUGAAUUUCAAUUCUCCAAUUGAGUUGCACAUGCAUGGCAUUGCAAAAGUGGAAAGCAAUUUAAAUGGGACCCGCACUUGGCUUUCAUAAUUGGAAAAGGAAUCCAAAAGCAAUUCUAAGGGUGAUCACGUGUGAGAGCUAAAGCAAAUAAAAGGGCAAGCCUUUUGGCUUUAGGAUUUAAGAGGUGGGGCCCAUUUAAAAUCUUUUCAUCAAUUCUGUCAUGCAUUAUUGAUUGUUAGGAUUAAUAUUUGAUUAAAUCUAUGCUUGGAUCUAUAAAGUUUAUACAUGAUUGUCUUUGAUUUUAUGUCUUUCAUUAAAUUGUUUACAUAGAAUACUUAGGAAAACUUUGACUCUUUGUUAUUCAAUAUGUUUACAUGAGAUUCUUAGAUGUCAUACUAUUAAGUAGAAAAAGAACCUACAUAAGAUUAAUUUUAUUUGGGCUUAAUUGUUAUAUCUAUGAGAUGACAUAGAUUGAUUUCGAGUUGUCACUCUAAAAUUGGGGAUUAAUGAAUAUUUAGAUAAUUACUAGUUGAAUAGUGGUGGAUUCUGAAACAUUGGUAAUUCUUAUCUUAUUGAAUUCUCCUUUAUUUUAAUUGCUUCCUUAGUUUAAUUGGUUUAAUUUUCUUAGAAACUCAAUUUUGGUCAAUUAGGUUAGAAUUAAUAUUAAUUUUAGAUUUAAAUUAGACUUUUCAAUUUAUAACAAUCCCUGUGGAAUCGACCUUGUUACCACUAUUCUAUCUCUAGAUUCGUGCGCUUGCGAGUAUAUUAAAAUUUCACAACAAUUGCCUUUAAUUUUCUUUAUUUUAUUAUUUAUUUAUUAUUUUAUUAUUAUUUUAAAAUAUAUAAGUGUGUGGAAAUGUGUGAUGGUCAGGAGGCGUAAUAGCCUCCUGACCAUCACCAACAUGUUUUUGUUCUUUUGUUCUUUUUUUCUUUUUUUUAUUGAUUAUUUAUUAUUACAUCUCUUCAAUUUUGUUCUAGUAGUUCUUCUUUGUUUCCGCUUUCAAUACCAAGUUCAUCUUUAUUCCUGAAAAAUAUUUACAAGAUAAAAAUUAACAAAUUACGAAUUAAUUUAACAUAAAAUAUAUUUGGGAAAUAUUAAAAUAAUUUAGAAAUAAUGAAUGCAUUAAUCGACAUAAUAAGUGAAAAACUAAUAAUUUUAUCCUUAUUAAAUGUACACUUUUUAGUGUCAAUCACACCCCCAACCAGCUUAUUGUUGGGCCCUAGCAAUUUAAGUGAUAAAAGUUUAGUAAAAUUUCAAACUCAAAUUGAAAAUCAUUUUUUUAAAAAAAUUGUGUUUACUUCUUCCAUCAUAUUAAUGACAACAAUCAAAUAAAAGUAUAAGCAUUAUCUUCAGCCUAAAGAAAAUCACACCGACUCAAAACAGUUCAGUAAAAUCCUGUAAAAUGAUCAAUCAUCAUAGCUACAUUAAUCAAGCCACUUUUAAGAAUGAUACAUCAAACCCCAAAAUCUCACGAUUAAGAGUGACUCUCUCAAAAGAAGAUAUACCCGAAAUUAAUUUGUCACUCUAAAAAAAUGGUAAAUUUGAGAGAAUAAUAAAACAAUAUCACACGCUCUCACCAAGAUAAAAAAUAAUGCCCACAACUUAGAAAUAAAAUGAUCUCAAGUCCAAUGAAUUACUAGCAAAAUUUAUUUUUAUUUUUACUCAUCACCACAUCUUUUAGUCCAUAUUACCAGCUCUUAUCUAGAAGAAUACACAUGUAGCUUUGAAGAAUUACAUUAUAAAUGUGAAUUUGAUAAAGUUGAAAAUACCAUAUGCUAUUAUAAUGAUCAAUAUUUUAUAAAGAUACCAGAUCCAUGGGGGAAAACGAUUAUGUUAGAAUAUAACAAGGAAUAAAUUGAUACCCUAAGAAAUAGGAUCAGAUUUGCUCGAAAUAGAAUUAGUGAAUGGUAUGUUGAAAAAAAAGUUAAGAGACUUUGGUAAAGUCCCCAUAGUUCAGCUUCCAUAAUGGAACAACUACCCAAAUUCAUGCUAAAACCACAAACCCAUUCCCUACAAUAAUUCCUCACCAAGCCACCAGCAUUAGCCAAUCCCAAUCUCUUCAAAGCCCCAUCAGUAUUGAGCUUGAAGAACGACCACUUUGGGGGCUGCCAAUAGAUCAAUCUUUUAGUUUCUGGAACUCUCUGACUAUCUAAAGACUUUAUAAGCAGCGAUGCUUUUUUUCGUGUGAUUGUUCACAUCCACAAUUACGUUGUAAAGGCUGCUUGAUUUGUGAGCAUAAACGAACUCAUUAUGCCAAUACCACAUGUGCCAGACAUGACUCCAAAUAACAUUGACCUAUCCUUCUCAUUAGUGAUCCUCAAGUGGUUUUUCAUAUUAUAAACAAUCCAUGCACGAACAUCCAAUGUAAAACAGGUAUGACUUGUGUGUUUCGAAAUAAGGGUUAACCAAAUGCGUUUAGAGUCAACAUAAUCCCCGACUACAUGGAGAGCAUCGUCUAUGAUAUGCCCACACUGCAUGCAAGUACUAUCAUUAAGCACAUGUCUUCGCGAUAAUUUAGCAUUAUUUUUCAAUCUAUUAUGCAUCAGCAGCCAAAGAAAGCACUGAAUGCUUUGGGGGCCUCUCCAUAUCCAAAUCAAAACCCAAAGGGAAUUAUUUUCAUUUAGCAUCGGUCUAAAGAGGGAUAAAUAAGCUGACCUCAUGCUAAACGAACCAGACCGCGAUGGACCCCAAUAACAACAGUCAACUUCAUCGCUAACAGAAGGGGGCAUAGUGCCUGCUAUUUUGAGAAUUAUAUGGUGGGGUAGAAAAGAAGCAAAACAGUCCCAAUUCCAAGCACCAUUAUUAUCGAUAAAAUUAGCUACACACUCAUUUAAUAUGUUUUCAAUGAUUGUACCAAAAGUAUAAGAUUGCAACCAACGCCCAUCCUCCAGCAAAUAAUCUUUCCAAAAUCUAGCCAACUUCCCAUUCCCAAUACCCCAGCGAGUCCCUUAGAGAACCUCAUUCCAUACGUUUCCCACGAAUUUUCAUAAAGGAGAACUAUAUCAAGUAGGACGUUUUAGAGGAAGGUUUUCUUUAUCAACGCCAUAUUUAAACAUCAAUACUUGAAUCUAGAAGCUGUGGGGUGAUUCAAUAUGACCCCAACCAAUUUUCAUUAGCAAGGCUUUAUUCAUGAGAUUAAGAUCUUUAAGGCCAAGGCCCCCACAUAAAUUAAGGAGUUGUACUCUAUCCCACUUAAUAAGGUGUAUGCGAUGAGUCUCGUCAAUCUCGUUCUAGAUAAAAUGCUUGCAAAUCUGAUCAAUUUUAUUACGAAUGCUUAGAGGUAGCAUGAAGGUCUGCAUGGAAUAGGUUGGGAGAGCCAGAAUGAUCGACUGCAUUAAUGUUAUCGGGCCUACAAGAGAAAGAUGUUUGGUUGUCCAGCCCGGAAGUCUCUGUAGUGCUAAUGGUGGUCAACGAUAAGGUACCAGUUUCAAUGGGAGACAUUGAGUUUGCAUGAGAAAUCUGGGAGAUUUCAUAGAGAAUGUAUGAGUUAGUGACAAUGGUAAAUAUGAUUAAAUGCGUGAACUAACAUAAAAUGAAAUACAAAAACUAAAUGAUAAAGCACGAGUUUUGAAAAAAGUUUAUUCUUCAAUAGACCAUCAAUUAAACAGAAGCAAGCCACUGUCAUUCUAUGUAAACAAACAUAACAAAACCACCUACAUAGGAAUAAUUUUUCAAUAUAGGAAUCUUGAACUUUUCAUGACAAAAAAUCAAUUUACAAUAUUAUAGGUACGUGUAAAAAAAAGUUUAUAACAUUGUAAAUCAGAUCACCAGCUAGAAUCUAACUCCACCUACAUGGUUUAGUAAACAACUAUAACAUUGCAUCCAACAAUGGCGUCACCAGAUUUAAAAUCCGCUCGAUGCAUCUGAGCAAUUGCAUAUCCAUCAGUCAAUAGAAACUCGCCAGUGUCGCCGACGAUGGGCAUCUUACGGACAGGAACAAUCGACCUGUUGUUGCCAAGGAGGCUGAUACAGCUGCCAUUAUUAGGACCAUCAACCAAUACAAAGCUCAUGGACCUGAUGAUAGCUAGUUGAUGCUGACAAGCUGACCCGUAAAGCCCUUGAGCACGACCAACAAGCUUUGAUUGAGGACUAGUAGUUUCUAUCGACGAAUCAUCCGCCAAAUCACAACGCAGAAACAAGUUGGUGACUUGUAAGUAUCAAUGGCUUGAGCAAUGCUUUUUGCCACUACGUAUUUUUUGUUGUCUCUUUUGCGAAAUCAAGCCCCAUAGCCAAAGUCUCUCUGAUCGUAUUGAUGUUGCUGCCACUGGGCAAAUGAUGAGCAACAAAAAAACUACUUAAAACAUUGCAGUAACUUUAAAACAAGACAUGAAAUUAAGAGGAAGAGAAUAGAUGAUGCACUUUUGAAGGUAGAAAAGAAGGAUGAUUCAAGAUUCAUUUCAAAUUUUUUUGAAGUGUUUUGAUCAGUGAAUAUCCAAAGGCUGCUUAACUACAAAGGUGAAGUGGGAAGAAAUUUUGACAUUUUGUUACAUUGAGCUAGCUAGCAAAUGUAUAUGAGGGGCUUCACUUGUACACAUAAAAAAGGAAGAUUAAUUAGUCAUGGUUUUUUAUUAAGAAAAAAAAUGGCUUGCUUAAAAUAUAGUGUGGUUAAUUUCAUUGAAGGACAUGACUCAAAGGAAAAGAAAAAGAAAUCUAAUAAUAAACUAAACAAAAAAUAAUUCCAAAAACAAUAAAUUUAAUUAAAUGUACAUUGAAAUUACCUUUAUAAUGCAACAAGAUAUUAAAAUCAAUGGUUAACGCUAAUAAAUUAAGCGUAAUUUAUUUAAUACUUAUUUAUGGACUCUUUCAACUCCAUUAAAGCCAUUGCAAGUCGUUUUUCAAUAUUCACUCAGAUAAAUAGAGGCUCAUGCCUUUCUGAUUCUUCCACAUCUCUUUCAAUUCUAAUUAAGCCGUUUGCAAUUCUCUUAAGAAAUUAAAAAAUGUCGAAGAGUCUGACUUUCAUCAUUUUGGCUUUGCUUGUAGUGGCAAACACUAAAAACAUGCUUAUUUUAGCCAGUAGAACUGGCCAAAGAUCUAAGCCAGAGGCUUUAUUUUCUAUUAACCCUACAGCAUCACCUGACAUUGUUGAUUGCUCAGGGCUCACAAGUGAAGAGUGUUUGAUCGAGAUGAUUAAGAAAGCACUUGUAGACUAUCGAUACCCCUGCCCUGAGGGGGGGUGCAAAUGAUAUUGUUAAUAAGUUAUUUCUUUUACCUUGUAGGAGUGCUUUUGCAAUAACGAUCAAUUACAGUGAAAUUGAAUUCGUGUUUUUAAUAAAAUAAAACAUUAAUCCAUUAUGCAUAGGUAAUAUUAUGUCAUAUGUUUUUGGUGUGUGUAUCUCCUACUGCUUUGUUAUAGUUGCAUCGUCGAAUCAAUCUUCGAGAAAUCAGUUUCUUUAAAUAAUAGCAAUUAUCAACCAAUCAACAUUACUAUGUUGGUACCAUUUGUAAUAUUUAAAUUUUAAGUCUAUCUACUUUUAGGGUGAGAUUAUUGAUUCCUAAGAAAAAUAAUAAAAUAAACCCUCAUUAUCUAAAUCCUAUAUUACUAAGCUAUCCGAUUUAAUUUAAUGUUAAACUUUAAUUUAACCCCUGAAAAUGUCCAGACUUACCUACAUUUAUUGCUAAGAAUAUGAUUUAAAAGUUCAUCAAUGUGCACCUCAUUUAUGCUCAUCUUUUGAAGAACAAAUAGGGUGGAUUGAGAUUUUCAUGCUUUUGGAGGGUAAAUUAAAGAUAGUUAUUAGGAGGGAACGAAUUGAAGUUUGUUUUUAAAUGCAAAGAUGUAUUCUUUUAGUUUAUUUGAGAUAAUUCGUUUGACUUUAAUUUAACAUAUGUUUUUGUAAUUGAAAUAUAGAUACUUCUUUAUUUUUGUUAUUUAGCUGAGUAAUAUAAUAUUUAUAUUUAAUUGAUCACUUAAAAAUGUUUAUGCAUUAAUAUGUUAAUUUUUCGCGGCUUGGAAGGUAAGAAUUUUUUUUAUAAGAAAAUAAUGCAAGCAACAAUAAGAAUUAAGAUUAAUCAUAUAAUGAUGCAAACUAUGGACAUGCUAAUAAGUUGGUACACGAAAUCUUAAUAAAUGAUGUAUGGUUUCAGCUUUCCUUGUUUUUUCUUUCUUCGGUAAUGCUCUUGAGAUGUUAUGAAUUAAACAAAUAUAUGUUCCCAAUUAUGCACUCUUAUCAUAUAGGGAGCAUCAUAAACAGAGGAAAAAAAAUUUCAAGUUUGGUGACCAAAAAGACUUGAAACAAUGCCUAAUGUCUUUGAAAGAAGUAGGGGAUUCAACACAACUGUGUGGACUGAAUAGAGAAGUAGUAGCAAAUAGAACACUCAACAUAAAAGGCACCGAACAAAAUACAGUUAAAAGGUUGUUACAAGUGAAUAAAAGUUACAGAUUUUAUUUUGAAAUUAAAUUCUAAAAAUAAAUUUAAGAGUUAGUGUUUCAUUUUCUGGAUGUAAAUGCCCUUCACCAAUUUCAUUUUAAAAACACACCAAAAUCUAAGUAAUUUUUUUGCUCGCCUCUCUCAACUAAAAUCUUUUUAUCUUAGACUUCACGUGAUGGAGUUCCAACACUAGUUUGAAGUUCGCAAAAUAACAAUAGUUUGAACCAAUUUUGAAUAAUAAAAAUUAUAAAUUGGAAAAUGUAUCGAGUAAAAAUUAUAAUUAUAAAAAUUAACAUCGCAGAUUUUGAGUUUUUUUCUAUUAAAAUCAAAGGUAUUCUCAUAACUAUAAUUUUUUUUUUAUUUUCAAAAAUUUUGUAGGAUCAAAUAGUCUUUCAUUUCAUUCAAGAAUAAAAUGGUCAUUUUAUUUUCAUUUCUUAGUGUGAAAGUAGUUCACUGAAAGAACUUUAGAAACAAAGUGGUGAAAGAACAAGUUAAAAAUUUGUGGUAGUUAGAUAUAUGUAUGACAAAACAGUGGUGGUGCAGAGAUAAUUUCACUUCAUACUAUUGUAAUAUAUUAAGGUUAUUAAAAAAUUUUGUUUCAAUAAACUCAUGACAAGUGUGUAGCUAGCUUACUAGUAAACUUAGGCACUCUUAGAAAGAUUCUAAAGUAAAAGUAAUGCCUGAAAAAUCUAGAUUUAAGUAAGGCCAUUUGUGACCCUUUUAGUCUUUUCUAAGAACUCAACUGGUAUAUUUUUUCAUACACUAUGGAUUGUUUUAUGUCAAUUAUUAGCAAUAAUUUUCAACAUAUAUUCCCAAACUUUACCAUUUUAUAGCUUGAAGUUCAUAGGACUUUGGAAUCAGAUCAUUUACAACAAUCUUUACAAGGUGAUAAUGAUACGGAGAGAAUAUGUAAAUUUUAAGUCAGCCAGUAUGAGGGCGCCUUCAACUUAAUUGGGGUCUUCACUUUUAAGGCACUACCGGGGUGGCCAUUGCCCUCAUUGCUUAUGUACUUUAACUUCAUAUAGAAUUUUACUUUUUUUGAUCCCCUUUUUGGAGCACAAGUAGAUUGUCGAUUACUGCCAAAUGCAUAAGAAUAUGGUCAGAUGCCUAGAUUAUGGAAAAAUAAUGAAAUUUAAAGUAAUACAUCAGACUGCUGAUGUAUUAACAUUAUAUUGAAAUUCAAUAUUUGGCUACCAACAAGCACAUAUUAUAUAAAAAGAAUUAAACACACAAAUAAACAUAAAAUGAAAUACAUAAAUAAAAUGAUAGAGCGCAUGUUUUGGAAAGUUUAUUCCUCAAUCCACCACUAAUUAAAUAGAAGCAAGUCACUGUCAUUCUAUGUAAACAUACAUAACCAAUCACCUACUUAGGAAUAAUUUUUUGAUUUGGGAAUCUUGAAUUUUUCAUUAAAAAAUCAGUUUACAAUAUUAUAAGUACGUGAAAAAGAAAGUGUAUCUUGUAUGAGAGUUUUUUGCAUUACCGAUCAAUUGCAGUGAAAUUGAAGCUGCGUUUUAAUAAAAAGAAGAAAUGGAUCACACAUACAUAGUUCAUACUUCUAAAUGUUGGAUUAAAAUUUAUUAAAACACAACACGGGCAAAGUCACUAGCAAAUAGGAAGAAUAGCAAAGUCAUUCUUAGGGAAUAUAUUGAAUAUCACUCUAGAUAUGUUAGAGUAGUAAACUUCACUUUGUAUUUUAUUAGAAGUAAUAGGACCAUUUGGUCCAUAUAUUGAAGAUGUAUCUACCUACAAAAGCAUAGUUAAUGGCCAACAAUAUCUCAUCUUAACCACACCAGAGAUAUCAUUUACAAUGUAUAAGCUAAAUUAGUAUAUGGCUGCUCCUACACUUCAAUAUCUAAUGGCUUGUAAACGAGUGUUAAGGUACUUAAAGGAACUAGAAGAUAUGGAUGAAACUAAUUGGAUUCACAGAUACAAAGUAGGCAUGUGAUUUGGAUGACAAAAAAUCCAUUGGAGUUUACUACGUAUACUUGGGAAACAAUUUAAUACAUGGUCAUCAAAAAAGCAAUCUAUGGUAGCAAGGUCCAGUGCAGAAAGUGAAUAUAGAGCACUUGCAGAAUUAACUUGGUUGCAAUCAUUAUUCAGUGAAAUCAGAAUACAAUGUACAUUAGUUCCAUCAAUUUGGUGUGAUAAUGCAAGUGCCACUGAAGUAUCCAAGAAUCCAAUCUAUCACUCAAGAGCUAAACAUAUUGAGUUGGAUAUGCACAUUGUGAGAGGCAAAAUACUUGUAAAAGAACUUGAAAUCAGUUAUAUAACAUGUGCAGAACAAAUUGCCUAAUUAUAUCUUUACAUAUUAAUUUUGCUAGUAUAAUAUCCUUGAGAAUAAUUUGAAUCAAAUGAUUUUGUUACUUUGGCAGUAAUUAAAUAAUAUUAGAUUGAAUUGUUGUGUCAUUUGUUUAGCUUAUUUUAACCCUAUGUAAAAUUAGCUUCCGCAAGUAAAAUGAAAUUUACAUUAUUAAAAUCACUGUUUGUGGUAAUAAAAGUUCACUUGGAAUUUUAUAAUAUCAACUUGAAAUUUAACUCAAAGUAUUGGUAGUUAAGGAUUUCAAUAGAAAUAUUAAAUAGAAACAAGUAGUUAACAAGUUAAAACAAGUUAACCUAUAAUUGAGCAUGUUUAACUAAAAUUAGGGGCUAAUUUUACAAAAAGUUAAACAAUAGAAAGUAAAUUUGGCAUUAAACCCAAAUAGUUAAAAUUUUACCAAGUUAUUGGAAAUACUCAAACAAAAGCAUUGAAAUAACAGUUGAAACACAUAAGUUAAAAAGGGAUAAAAUAUUAACCAAAUUCUAAUUUUAAAACUCAUCCAAUAAGAAAUGAAUUUACUUAGAAUUUAACAAAAAGUAUUGGUAUUUAAUGAACUUAAUAUGAACAUUAAACGCAUAGCUGGUAGAUUUAUAAGUUAGAAAUAUGUAAACCUAAAAGUAAGAAGGUUGAACCAAAAUGAAGGAAUAAAAAAAAUAAAAAAGUCCAAUUGGUAUUUAACCUAAAUAAUUGCAACCUUACCUAAUUAGUAGGAAUAUUCGACAAAAAAAUAGUGGAAUAAUUAGUUGAACCAUAUGAACCUAGAAGGGAGAAAAUUUAAGCAAAAUUAGGAACUUAUCCAAUGGGAAUAAAUAUUAUUUGGAAUCUAACCCAAAAUUGGUAUUAAAUGAACGUAGUAGGAAUAUAAAACAUAAAACUAGUAAACUACUAAUUAAGUUGAAGUAUGUGGACCNNNNNNNNNNNNNNNNNNNNNNNNNNNNNNNNNNNNNNNNNNNNNNNNNNNNNNNNNNNNNNNNNNNNNNNNNNNNNNNNNNNNNNNNNNNNNNNNNNNNNNNNNNNNNNNNNNNNNNNNNNNNNNNNNNNNNNNNNNNNNNNNNNNNNNNNNNNNNNNNNNNNNNNNNNNNNNNNNNNNNNNNNNNNNNNNNNNNNNNNNNNNNNNNNNNNNNNNNNNNNNNNNNNNNNNNNNNNNNNNNNNNNNNNNNNNNNNNNNNNNNNNNNNNNNNNNNNNNNNNNNNNNNNNNNNNNNNNNNNNNNNNNNNNNNNNNNNNNNNNNNNNNNNNNNNNNNNNNNNNAUUCUAACAAAAAUAAAAUUAUAAAAAUUAAAGCUAGUAUUUAUUUCAAAUAAUUGAAAUUGUACUAAGUUACUAUGAAUAUUCAACACAAAUGAAAUAAUUAGUUGAGACAAGAACUCGUAAGAGAGGAAAUUUAAGCAAAAUUAGGAAAUCUUUAAAUGAAAAAUGAAAGUUGGAAUAUAACUUAAAAUAUUGGUAUCGAAUUUGGUAUGAAUAUCAAAUACAAAAUUGAUGGACUAAUAACUUGAAACGUGGGAACCCAUAAGUGAAAAAGCUUAAGCAAAAUCAACGACCAGUCUAAGAAAAUAUAUUUGUUAUAUUUAACCCAAGUAAUUGAAAUCUUACUAAAUUAAUGAGAAUACACAAUACAAAAAUUAGUGGAAUAAUAGUUGAAAUAUAUAAACCCACAUGAAAUGAAGUUUAACUAAAAUUAUGAACUCAUCUCAUAGAAAUGAAAGUUUUUAAAAUCUAACUCAAAAUAUUGGUAUUUAACGACAUUAGUAGGAAUAUAAAACACGAAAAUAGUGAACUUAAAAGUGAAUAUACGAACCUAUAAGUUUAACCAAAAUAAGUUACUAAUCUAACAAAACUAAAUUUAUAAAAAAUAAAAAUUUAGUAUCUAACCUAUAUAAUUGGAAUCUUACAAAGUUAAUGGAAAUACUCAACACAAAAAUGAUAGAAUAAUUAGUUGAAAUUAUUGAGCCUAAAUGGUAGAAAAUAUAACGAAAAUGUGAACUUAUCCAAUAGGAAAUGAAUUUACUUACAUUCUAACCCAAUAUAUUAGUAUUUAAGGAAUUUAAUAGGAACAUCAAAGACAAAGCUAGUGGAUUGAGAAGUGAAAACGAAUAAAUUAGUAAGUGAAAAAGGUUAAAUAAAAUUAGAGAUGUGCGAAAUCAAAUUGUAACAUCCAAUUAAUAUAUUGGUAUUUAACUAAAAGAGUUGGAUAUGAUUAUUUUAUAGUUUUUUAAUAUCAUUUUAAUUAUAAUAUUUUUCUCAUUCAAAUAUUUUUAUGUUAGUUAUUUACAAAUUUUCUUAUUUUUCAGCAUUAAAAAUAAAUUGUCAAAAAUUAUUUAGAAAACACCAAAAUCACCAGCUGUUCAAGUUGUAAAGCGACUAUGUAAUAUACAACAACUGUAUAAGUUGGAUGAUCCUUCAUUUUAUUCUCCCUUGCAAGCAGCAAUUUUCAUGGGAUUGUACUUUUGGUUGCCACUACUUACUGCGUCAAAUAGUCCAAGGAAAGGACGGUAAAGAUAAUGUGUGGAUUAGUCAAAUCCACAUGCACCUUUGUUCUCGGCCAAAUAAAUACCGGCUCCAUUCUCUCUUCUAGUCUUCUUCAUAAUUUUACAUUGUACACUUUUUAUUUUAUUUUUCUACGCUACACACGUUUGUUUUUCAUUUUUUUUUCCUCAGUGUUUUUGCAUGUUGAUAAUUGUAUAGUUGCUCUUAGACAAUCACAUUCGCUUGGACAAACUUCUUUUUCUCAUGGAAAAUGAUCUCUGCACUGCCCCUAUUUUAUCAUAUGUACAUCUAACCACCACAAAAGUUUAAUAUGUUCUUGACACCACCUUUAUUUUUAAAUUUAUAUCAAUAAACAAUUUUGACAAUUAGAGUUUAAAUAAAAUAAUCAUUUUACCCUUAAACGAAUUAACAAACUAUUUUAUCCUACAAAAUUUUUAAAAAUAAAAAAAUUAUAAUUACCAUUUAAUCAAUUGAUAAAAUACUAUUGAAAAAUUGGAUGUGUAAGUUGUUGUGCAAAUUUUAUUGAACUCGCAAGUGCACGAAUCUAUUGUAGUAUAGAUCAAUGAUGACGAGUGUCGAUCCCACGAGGAGGUAAAUUUUAAUUGUGUGUAGAAUUAAUUUUCUAAAUGUGUGGUUGGAUUUGUGGUGAAAAUGAUUUGGAUUAUCCUAAAAUUGGAAUUGAAAUGGCGAGAAUAAUUUGAAGAGAAUUCUAUUGAGAUGACGUACUUGGGUAUCCGGAUCCGUAUCAACAUGCACCAUGGGCUAAAUAUUCCUUAUUAAUACCAAUUAAAUCAUGAGGGGGGGAAUCCACACCUCAUGAACCACACUCUAAUCAAUAUGGUGCUAAGGGCUUAUCGUGCCAAAUAAUAAUAACCUUGUACUAGGGAGCCGGUGUAACUAGGGCGGUAUCUAGAAAAGCUUAUUAUUAUUUGUCGACGAGAAGUCAAAACAUCCACAAAAAUUAGAGGGGAAGAUAAACUAAAUUUACCAAAUAAAGCCCAUGACACAUGUUGAGACUUCACCUUCAACCCAAGCUUGAAAGAAAAUUAGCUACUCAUAAUUGAACAAGGGAAAAAAUGGGAAUUUAUUAAAAUACAUAGAAAAUACAAGAUGGAGAAGGAAUUAUAGAAAAUGGAGUCCAAAAAUGGAUUCAGAGCUAUCAAAUUAGGGGGGGAGGCCCCCUUUUUAUAGAUACAUUGAGUAAAUCGUGGCCAUCGGAUUAAAAACAGUUUGGACACUCAAGAUUGUGCCACGUCAUCAGUCAAGAGUACGCGGUUUGACCACGCGGAUGAACAGUAACACAGUUUGACCAGGGUUGAAUAGUGACGCGGUUUGGUUAAAAAUAAUCCUGUGUGAUGCAUGUAUCGUACGCGAGAUUUUUAGUCCACUGAUAUGCUGCCACGUCACCAUCAAUAGUACAUAAGAAUUUUAGUNNNNNNNNNNNNNNNNNNNNNNNNNNNNNNNNNNNNNNNNNNNNNNNNNNNNNNNNNNNNNNNNNNNNNNNNNNNNNNNNNNNNNNNNNNNNNNNNNNNNGUCCUGAGUUCAAAAGUGAUAUCUGCUUUGCCGUCUGAUCUCUCGUUUAUUUUGAAAUGACCAUGAUGCCCCUAAAAUACAUCAAAUAUUUAAUUAUAAUACAACAUACAUAAUUAAAUCAUAAGAAAUUUAAAUACAUAAAAGUAGGAAUCUUAGUAAAACUUGAAGUGUAAAAUGACGAUUUUAUCCUUUAUAAAUAUGCAUUUUCUAACACUCAACACACCGCCCAACCAGCUUAUUGCUAGUCCCUAGCAAAUAAAGCGAAAAUAAAAUUCAAAUCCAAAAUGAUUUUUUUUCUUUUUUAAACAAUCAUUUUAUUCAAUCAGACUAAUGAUAGUAAUCAAAUGAAAGUAUAAGCAUUAUCUCCAGUCUAAAGAAACAUCACACCCACAUCAACCAUCCACAUGAAUCAGCCUAGUAGACUUUGUCAUAGCUACCUUCAAGAAUGACAUGUUAAACCCCAAAAUCUCACUGGAAGUAGUGACACUCUGACAAAGAAAUUAAACCAAAUAAAAAUAGUCACUCCAAUGAAUGGUAAUUGAGAGAAAAUAAUAAAAAAAUGAUAUCACAUGCUCUCACCAAGAUGAAAGAAAUAUGCCCUCAGCUUAGAAAUAAUACGAUCUCAAGUCAAAUAAAAUGCUAGUAAACCCAAUUUAUUUAUUUUUUUUAUGCACCACUACAUCUUUUUAGCCCAUAUAACUAGCUUCUACUUCACACUAUAGUUCCCUAAAAUCAAGAAGGACUUUUAUUACUACAUCUUUUUAGCCCAUAUAACUAGCUUCUACUUCACACUAUAGUUCCCUAAAAUCAAGAAGGACUUUUAUUAGGACGUAACGUAGGCUAGGGACAUGGUUAACAAAGAAGGGAAAUAAGGAAAAUAAAGUAUAUAUUUGAGAAAAAUGCAGAGGAAUUUUUUUUUUGGAAGUUGUGUGGAUUUCACCUAUUAUUGUUAUUAUUUUUUUCUUUUUUCUUUUUUUGAAACAACAAUUUUUUUUUUUGCUUUUGUUGGGCAUAACUUCACUAUGCCAAAUAUUUAUUUACAUUUUUCUCAAACAUAAAUAGGUGAUGGAACUUGUAAGAUAUUGGGUAAUAUUCCAAAUCUGAGUGGGUCAAGAUGAUAAGUUUGACAAAGAAAAGUUUUUUUUUUAAGGCUCAAAAGGGUUAACUAUGGAUAUUUCACAAAAGGGAUGGCUAGAAAGGCUCAAACGGAUCAAAGAUGGCCUUUCCAUCAUCUUUUAGGGCUCUAAAUAAUCUUCCAUAUGUACUAGUUAGAUGGGCCUCCAUAUGUAGCAACACACAUUUUUUUUCUUUUUUUUUUUUAUAAUUUUUUUUAAGGGUUAACUCAAAAGAAAUCUAGAGAUCGUGUAUACAAUAAUAAACUGCUAAGCUGUAUAAAAAAUGGGCAAAAGGGUUACUCUCCAAGAAAAAUGAUAGGCUCAAAAACUCACUUGGUACUUAUUAUGAUAUGUUCAUUCCUUCAAGCAACUCAUAUUUGUCUCCGACAUCGACAUGUAGAGUAGCAAACAUAGUGUAACAUCACUGAAGACCAAAGAUAAUACAAAUACUAAAAUUUGAUAUUAAUCAUGUCAUCCAAUGUUAAAACAAAUCACACAAUUUUUUUUUAAACAACAUCCUACCCCCCAACCUAUUCUAAACAUGAAAGGAAAAUAUGUAUGCAGAAAUGUGAAAAUGAUGCAUAAAAAUUAAUUAGAAAAGUUACACUUAAAAUGAUAGAAAAAGAAAUGUUUUUUUUUAAUUUUUAACUAAGAAGAUGCGUUUCUAGAGGCACUACACUCCAUAUUCAGCCAUCUUCGACUCAGAUAUUUAAAAAUGUAUAUUUAUAAAGGAGAAAUUAAAAAGAAGAAGAAAAAUGAACAUCAAAACUUAAUAAAGAAAAAGAAAAUGUCUGAAUUUUUUGAAUUUUUUUUUCAAACAAUGAAGAUGCGUUUCUAGAGUCACUACAUUCCAUAUUCAGCCAUCUUCAAUACAAAAAGUUAGCAACAGUUAGUUUCUACAACAAAAAAUUAGUAAAAACUUAACCAAGAUUCCACAAUUGUCGACUAUUCCCUCCCCCCAACCAGAACGAAACAUUGUCCUCAAUGUUUGAAAGGAAAGAAGUAGAGUUUAGAAGACAUCACCUGGGUGGUGCAACACAGAAGAAAAUAUUUAUAGGCGGAGAGUUAAAUCUAAUUUGUACUUCUUACUACAGCUACUGUUAUCGUCAUUAUUUGGACGCUCCAACACAAAGGUCUAGGGGUCUAGCUCCGGUCUAUAAGCUUGUAACAGAUCAAGUAGCUCAUUAGCAGUGUGAGCACAAAUAAAAAGCUUUUUGGCAUUGGAAGGAACGAAAUAGUUUUUUAUUGCAUGGUUAAGAAAUGCAAUAAAGCCAUCAUAAAAAUUAUUGACAUUUAACAAACCGAUGGGUUUCUGGUGAAUGUGCAGAUGAGGCCAAAAUGCUAGUGUGAUAAGUGCCUCUAGUGUUGCAAGAUCUCCUGGAAGGAAAAUAAAAGCAUCAGCAUGAUUAAGCAUUUUAGUUAUUCUUUCUUGCAUACCUGUGACGACUAACUCUUCUCCAGUCGGUGGGUCAGACAAACCGCCCAAAGGUUUUAGGGCUAUUGGGAUGAUGCCUAAUACUUGGCUUCCUCUGACAAAAGUAGCUUUUGAGACCAAUUUUGAUAACCCUCGGUUACCUCCUCUAUACACCAAGUGUAAUUUUCUCUCUGCUGUGCUUCGGCCAAGAUCUAUGGCUGCCUCAAUGAACUCUUUAUGUUUGCCAUAGUUAAAUCCAGAAAGUACACAAAUGUUCUUAAAUUGUCUAUUGGGAGUAGCUGCGAUUGGAAUAUUUCUCAAAAAUAAUUUGUGAGUGCUUAACAAAAAGUCAUAUUUAAGAAUUUUAGUGACAGUGGGUCACAACUGUGUAUGACGUGGCAUGUCAGUGUCUAAUAACGUGUAAAGCACAUGGCUCGCGAGUCAAAAAGGAAAUAGUAAAAAGAAAAAGAAAUAAUGAUAAAAUAAAAUUAUUAAAGAUAAUAAUGCAAAAGAUAAAAUAACAGUGAAAUAAAAUAAUAGUGAAGUAAAAGGAUAUUUACAGGUUGUUGCGACUGUGGCUCACAUCUUCCUCCGGUUUUACGUCCAGAAACGGCUUGAACUCCCUCUAUGGGUCGAGGAUGGGUUUUCCAUCCAGUUUUCUUAUAAACUGGCAAACAGGGUCCUUUAUAGUCAGAUUCUCGAGACUAUAUCGUGAAUGCUCUUUUUGGAAUAAUGGCUAUAACUGGAGAAUCGCUCUUUGUACAUAUCCACUGGGAUGCGUUUCAAGAGACAGAAUGAUAUCAUCCAAUGACUCCUUAUUCAAGCCAUCCCUAAUGAAUUGAAUCUUAUCUUCUCUGUUAUUAGACAUCAUUCCUAAAGAACAUGGUUUUUUAUCACAACUCAUUCUGGCACACUUAUGACAAGCAAUAGAAAUUCUUCGGGCUCGUCGUUUUCUUGCAUAAUUUCCUUACCACAACCAGGCAUGUAUGCAAUAAAUUUUGGAGGUAACUCACCUGCCAAUCGUACUUUAGCCUCGAUCAACCAACGGAUGUCAGCAGGUAUGUUAUUCCUCAUGAGCAAUCGCAUGCGUUCGGACCGGGCUUUAUAGAUUCUAAGGAGGUCAUUCUGAGGAAGUGAAGGGAAUCGCUUGUGAAGCUUCGCUAGAAUCUCGUUUCUGUCCAUAUCUUCGCCUCAAAAUAUCAGUUAUUAUGGGAUAACUGAAGUAACCGACUUGAUUGUCACGGAGUACUGUUAUCCGCCACUUUACCCGGGUAACAAACUAAAGCACACAAACAGAAAAAGAAAUUAAAACACACAAAGAAAAUUAAAAUCGUCCUCUUAUUGAAUUUACCUCAAGCUUUAACUGGAUGUCGUAAGCACUUCUCUCAAUGUCUCUGAGUUGGCUUUCUAAACCCUCAACAUAAGAUACUAAAUCUGGUGGUUUCAGAGCCCAAAUACGAUGUGUUUUACAAAAUUGAAUCUGCCUUUUGAGAUGAGAUUUUACACGUUGAAGUGGUUUAAGAAUGUUCAGGAGGAACGGUUUAAGUAUGGUACUCAUGAUUAACAAUGACAAGAAAAAAACUUAAUGGUUAAACAAAUACACUUAUGCAAAAAUAAUUUCAAUUAGCAAAAAAUAAUAAAAAAAAAGAAAGAAAAAAAAAUCAAAUCACCGAAAAGAAAGAAAGAAAAACUUAAUUCAAAUCUGGUUGAUCACUCAAAUUUAUUUCGAUGUCCUCUCCAUGUAGUUGGUACUCUAGAUAUGGCUUUAAUCUUUGACCAUUAACUUUAAACGUGACACCUGUUGUGCAAAUUUUAAUGUACUCGCAAGCGCACGAAUCUAUUGUAGUAUAGAUCAAUAGUGACGAGUGUCGAUCCCACGAGGAGGUGGAUUUUAAUUAUAUGUAGAAUUAAUUUUGUAAAUGGGUGGUUGAAAUUGUGGUGGAAGUGAUUUAAAUUAUCCUAAAAUUGGAAUUGCAAUGGUGAGAAUAAAUUGAAGCGAAAUCUAUUGAAAUGACGUACUUGGGUAUCUGGAUUCGUAUCAACAUGCAUCAUGGGCUAAAUAAUUCGUAUUAAUGCCAAUUAAAUCAUGAGGGGGGAAUCCACACCUCAUGAACCACGCUCUAAUCAAUAUGGUGCUAAGGGCUUAUCAUGCCAAAUAAUAAUAACCUUGUACUAGAGGGCCGGUGAAACCAAGGCGGUACUAGACAAGAAUAUUAUUAUUUGUCGAUGAGAAGUCAAAACAUCCACAAAAACUAGAGGGGAAGAGAAAAUAAAUUUAUCAAAUAAAGCCCAUGACACAUGUUGAGACUUCACCUUCAACCCAAGCUUGAAAUAAAAUUAGCCACUCAUAAUUGAACUAGGGGCAAAAUAGGAAUUUAUUAAAAUACGAAGAAAAUACAAGAUGGAGAAGGAAUUACAGAAAAUGGAUCCCAAAAAUAGAUUCAGAGAUAUCAAAUUAGGGGGGAGAGGCCCCCUUUUUAUAGAUACAUGGAGUAAAUAAUGGCCAUCGGAUUAAAAACAAUUUGGACGCUCAUGAUUGCGCCACGUCAUCAGUCAACAGUACGCGGUUUGACCACGCGGAUGAACAGUAACAUGGUUUGACCUGGAUGAAUAGUAACGCGGUUUGACCCGGAUGAACAGUAACACGGUUUGGUUGAAAAUAAUCCUGUGUGAUGCAUAUACCGUACGUGAGAUUUUUCGUCCACUGAUAUGCUUUCACAUCACCAUCAACAGUACAUAAGAAUUUUAGCCCAACAGGAUCGUGACUCCUCAUCAGUCAAUGCCACAUCAUCGAUCAAUGCCACGUCAUCAAUCUGUCUAUGUGAACAGUGCCGUGAACAGUAACGUAUACAGUACCGUACAUGUGAACAGUGUUAUUUUUCCUUUUAUGCUCCUCCUAAGGUUUUCGACCGUCCUGAGUUCAAAAGUGAUGUCCGUUUUGCCAUCUGAUCUCUCGUUUAUUGUGAAAUGACUAUGAUGCCCUUAAAAUAUAUAAAAUACUUAAUUAAAAUAAAACAAACGGAAUUAAAUCAAAAGAAGGUUAAAUUCAUAAAAGUAAAGGUGUUAGUAAGACUUGAAAUGUAAAAUGACGGUUUUCUCCUUUAUAAAUAUGCAUUUUCUAACACUCAACACACCCCCCAACCAGAUUAUUGCUAGUCCCUAGCAAAUAAAGCAAAAAUAAAAUUCAAAUUCAAAUUCAAAAUGAUUUUUUUUUAAAUUUAGAAACACCCGUGUUUAUUCAAUCAGAUUAAUGAUAGCAAUCAAAUAAAAGUAUAAGCAUUAUCUCCAGUCUAAAGCAACAUCACACUCACAUCAACCAUCCACAUGAAUUAGCCCAGUAGACUUUGUUAUAUCUACUUUCAAGAAUGACAUGUCAAACCCCAAAAUCUCACUGGAAGUAGUGACAUUCUCACAAAUAAAUUAAACCCACUAAAAAUAGUCACUCCAAUGAAUGGUAAUUGAGAGAGAAAAUAAUAAAGAAGUGAUAUCACAUGCUCUCACCAAGAUGAAAUAAAUAUGCCCUCAGCUUAGAAAUAAUACGAUCUCAAGUCAAACAAAAAUGCUAGUCAACCCACUUUAUUUAUCUUUUUUUUUAUUAUGCAUCACUACAUCUUUUUAGCCCAUAUAACUAGCUUCUACUUCAGAAUAUAGUUCCCUAAAAUCAAGAAGGACUUUUAUUAGGACGUAACGUAGGCUAGGGACAUGGCUAACAAAGAACAGAAAUAAGGAAAACAAAGUGUAUGUUUGAGAAAAAUGCAGAAAUUUUUUUUGUUUUUUUUUGGAAGUUGCAAGGUGGAUUUCACCUAUUAUUUUUAUUUUUAUUCUUUUGAAACAACAACUUUUUUUUUUGUUUUUUUCUCUUUUUUUUUGGCAUAACUUCACUGAACAAAAUAAUUAUUUAUCUUUUUCUCAAACAUAAAUAGGUGAUGGAACUGAUGAGACAUCGGGAAAUACUUAAAAUCGGAGUGGGUCAAGAUGAUAAGUUGAAAAGGAAAAGGUUUUUUUUUUUAAAAAAAAAAGGCUCAAAAGGGUUAACUAUGGAUAUUUAAUAAAAGGGAUGGCUAGAAAGGCUCAAACGGAUCAAAGAUGGUCUUUCCAUCAUCUUUUAGGGCUCUAAAUAAUCAUCCAUAUCUAAUAGUUAGAUGGGCCUCCCAAUGUAACAACACACAUUUAUUUUUCUUUUUUUAUUUUACAAUUUUUUUUAAGGGUUAACUCAAAAGCAAUUUAGAGAUCGUGUGUAAAAUAAUAAACUGCUAAGUUGUAUAAAGAGUGGGCAAAAUGGUUAUUCUCCAAGAAAAAUAAUAGGCUCAAAAACUCACUUGGUACUUAUUAUGACAUGUUCAUUCCUUCAAGCAAUUCACAUUUGUCUUCGACAUCAACAUGCAGAGUAGCAAACAUAAUGUAACAUCACUUAAGACCAAAGAUAAUACAAAUACUAAAAUUUGAAUAAAUCAUGUCAUCCAAUGUCAAAACAAAUCAUACAACCUAUUCUAAACAUGAAAGGAAAAUAUACAUACAGAAAUGUGAAAAUAAUGCAUAAAAACUAAUUAGAAAAGUUACACGUAAAAUGAUAGAAAACGAAAAUGGUUUUUUUUUUUAAAGAAGAUGCGUUUCUAGAGGCACUACACUCCAUAUUCAGCCAUCUUCGACUCAAAAGUUGGAAAAUGUAUAUUUAUAAGGAGAAAUUAAAAAAAAGAAGAAAAAUGAACAUCAAAACAUAAUAAAGAAAAAGAAAAAGUCUGGAUUUUUUUUUUAAUGAUGAAGAUGCGUUUCUAGAGUUACUAUACUCCAUAUUCAGCCAUCUUCAACACAAAGAGUUAGCAACAGUUAGUUUCUACAACAAAAAAUUAGUAAAAACUUAACCAAAAUUUCACAAUUAUCGACUAUUCCCUCCCCCCAACCAGAACGAAACAUUGUCCUCAAUGUUUGAAAGUAAAGAAGUAGAGUUUAGAAGACAUCACCUGGGUGGUGCAACACAGAAAAUAAUAUUUACAAACGGAGAGUUAAAUCUAAUUUGUACUUCUUACUGCGGCUACUGUUACCAUCAUUAUUUGGAUGCUCCAACACAAAGGUCCAGGGGUCUGGCUCCGGUCUAUAAGCUUGUAACAUAUCAAGUAGCUCAUUAGCAGUGUGAGCACAAAUAAAGAGUUUUUUCGCAUUAGAGGGAAUAAAAUAGUUUUUUAUUGCAUGGUUAAGAAAUGCGAUAAAGCCAUCAUAAAAGUUAUUGACAUUUAACAAACCGAUGGGUUUCUGGUGAAUGUGCAGAUGGGCCCAAGAUGCUAGUGUGAUAAGUGCCUCUAGUGUUGCAAGAUCUCUUGGAAGGAAAAUAAAAGCAUCAGCAUGAUUAAGCAUUUCAAUUAUUCUUUCUUGCAUACCUAAGACGACUAACUCUUCUCCAGUUGAUGAGUCAGACGAACUGCCCAAUGGUUUUAAGACUCUGGGGAUGAUGCCUAACACUUGACUUCCUCUGAUAAAAGUUGCUUCUGAGACCAUUUUUGAUAACCCUCGGUUACCUUCUCUAUACACCAAGUGUAAUUUUCUCUCUGCUAUACUUCGACCAAGAUCGAUGGCUGCCUCAACGAACUCUUUAUGUUUGCCAUAUGUAAAUCCAGAAAGCACACAAAUGUUCUUGAAUUGUCUAUUGGGAGUAGCUGCCAUUGUGACACUUCUCAAAAACAAUUUGUGAGUGCUUGACAAAAAAGAAAUCACAUUUAAAAAUCUUGGUGACAGUGGAUCACAGUUGUGUAUGAGGUAACAUGUUAGUGUCAAAUAACGAGUAAAGCACAUGGCUCGCGAGUCAAAAAGGAAACAGUAAAAAGGAAAAAGCAAACAGUAAUAAAAUUAUUAAAGACAAUAAUGCACACAAUAAAACAAUAGUGAAAUAAAAUAACAGUAAAGUAAAUGGAUAUUUACAGGUAGUUACGACUGUGGCUCACAUCUUCCUCUGGUUUUACGUCCAGAAACGGCUUGAACGCCCUCUAUGGGUCGAGGAUAGGCUUCCUAUCCAGUUUUCUUAUAAACUGGCAAACAAGGUCGUUUAUAGUCAGAUUCCCGAGACUAUAUCGUGCAUGCUCUUUCUGCAAUAAUGGCCAUAACUGGAGAAUCGUUCCUUGCACAUAUCCACUGGGAUGCGUUUCAAGAGACAAAAGGAUAUCAUCCAAUGACUCCUUAUUCAAGCCAUCCCUAAUGAAUUGAAUCCUAUCUUCCCUGUUAUCAGACCCCAUUCCUAAAGAACAUGGGUUUUUAUUGCAACUCAUUAUGGCACACUUAUGAUAAGCAACAGAAAUUCUUUGAGCUCGUCGUUUUCUUGCAUAAUUUCCUUUACCACAACCAGGCACGUAUGCAAUAAAUUUUGGAGGUAACUCACCUGCCGAUCGUACUUUCGCCUCAAUUAACCAACGGAUAUCAGCAGGUAUGUUAUUCCUCAUAAGCAAUCGCAUGCGUUCGGACCGAGCUUUAUAGAUCGUAAGGAGGGCAUUCUUAGGAAGUGAAGGGAAUCGCUUGUGAAGCUUCGCUAGAAUCUCGUUUCUGUCCAUACCUUCGCCUCAGAAUAUCAGUUAUUAUGGAAAACUGAAGUAACCGACUUGAUUGUCACGGAGUACCGUUAUCCGCCACUUCACCGGGAUAACAAACUAAAGCACACAAACAGAAAAACAAAUUAAAACACACAAAGAAAAUUAAAAUCGUCCUCUUAUUGAAAUUGCCUCAAGCUCCAACUGGAUAUCCUAAACACUUCUCUCAAUGUCUCUGAGUUGGCUUUCUAAACCCUCAACAUAGGCUACUAACUCUGGUGGCUAUAGAGCCCAAAUGCGAUGUGUUUUACAAAAUUGAAUCUGCCUUUUAAGAUGAGUUUUGACACGUUGAAGUGGUUUAAAAAUGUUCAGGAGGAACGAUCUAAGUAAGGUACUCAUGAUAAAAAAAUGAUAAGAGAAAACUUAAUAGUUAAACAAACACACUUAUGCAAAAAUAAUUUCAAUUAGCAAAAGAAUAAUAUAAAGAAAGAAAGAAAAAAAAAUCAAAUCACCAAAAAGAAAAAAAAAUCAAUUCAAAUUUAGUGGGUCACCUAAAUUUAUUUCGAUGUCUUCUCCGUGUGGUUGGUAUUCUAGAUAUGACUUUAAUCUUUGACCAUUAACUUUAAACGUGACACCGUUCUUUGGGUCCUUAAUUUCAAUUGCCCCAUGUGGAAAAACAGUAUGAACAAUAAAUGGGCCAGACCAACGAGAGCGUAACUUACCUGGGAAUAGGUGCAAGCGAGAAUUGAAUAAAAUCACUUUCUGACCUGGAGUGAACAAUUUUCUCAUAAUUUGCUUAUCAUGGAAGACUUUCAUUUGUUGCUUGUAAAUCUUGGCAUUUUCGUAUGUAUCAUUGUGAAUUUCUUCAAGUUCUGUCAGUUGUAAUCUUCUUUCUGAGCUGGCUUGCUGCAUGUCAAAAUUGAAUUUUUUGAUGGCCCAAUAUGCACGAUGCUCGAGUUCCACAGGUAGGUGGCAAGCUUUUCCAUACACUAGCCUGUAGGGUGACAUCCCAAUCGGGGUCUUGAAAGCCGUUCUAUAUGCCCAUAAUGCAUCAUCAAGUCUUAAUGACCAAUCUUUCCUGUCUGGCCUCACCGUUUUUUCUAAUAUGUGCUUUAUUUCUCGAUUGGAGAUCUCAACUUGGCCACUAGUUUGCGGAUGAUAUGGGGUUGCCACUUUAUGAGUGAUUGAAUACUUUGUCAAAAGAGCUUUGAAUGCUUUGUUACAAAAGUGGGCACCACCAUCACUGAUUAUUGCUCGAGGGAAUCCAAAGCGUGAGACAAUAUUGCUUUUCAAAAAUCCUAUCACCACCUUGUGAACAUUGGUUCUGCAUGGAAUUGCUUUUACCCAUUUCGAUACAUAGUCAACAGCAACCAAUAUGUAUUGAUGGCCAAAAGAAGGGGGAAAUGGUCCCAUGAAGUCGAUACCCCAUACAUCAAAAAUCUCAACCAUUAAAAUUGGAUUUAGUGGCAUCAUGUUCCUUCAUGUAAUGCUCCCCAUUCGUUGACACCUAUCACAUGAAGAAUAGAAAGUGUAAGCAUCUCGAAAUAUAGUUGACCAAUAAAAACCACAUCGUAAAACUUUAGUUGCUGUUUUCUUAGCACUGAAAUGGCCUCCACAAACUUGUUCAUGGCAGAAUGAAAGGAUAUUCUGAAUUUAACUUUCUGGGACACAUCGUCUAACAAUUUGGUCUGCACAAUACUUGAACAAAUACGGGUCAUCCCAAAAGAAAUUCUUUAUCUCUGCAAAGAAUUUAGCCUUGUCUUGCUUGGUCCAAUGCUCAGGAAGUUUACCUGUAACAAGAUAAUUAAAUAUAUCAGCAUACCAAGGUAAUACUUCCACACUCAUUAAUUGUUCAUCUGGAAAUGACUCAUUUAAUGAUAAUGGUUCUGUAAUUGUGUCAAAAUGGAGACGAGAGAGAUGAUCCGCCACAAUAUUUUCUGUCUCUUUCUUAUCUUUGAAUUCCAAGUCAAAUUCCUGCAAAAGUAACACCCAACGAAUUAGUCUAGCUUUUGCAUCUUUCUUUGUGAGAAGAUAUUUAAGAGCAGCAUGAUCUGUGAAUACAAUUAUUUUACAACCGAUGAGAUAGGAUCGAAAUUUUUCCAAUGCAAACACUACUGCUAGCAUUUCUUUUUCAGUAGUUGAAUAGUUCAACUGUGCAUCAUUUAAUGUCAUACUAGCAUAGUAAAUAACAUGGGGAAUUCAAUCAACUCUUUGUCCUAAUACUGCUCCUACUGCAUAAUCAGAUGCAUCACACAUGAGCUCAAAUGGUAAACUCCAGUUUGGGGCCUGAAUGAUGGGUGAUGAUGUCAAUAAUUGCUUUAGUUUUUCAAACGCCAUAAGACAUGAAUCAGUAAAGAUAAAAAGGUACAUUCUUAGCAAGUAGAUUGCAUAAGGGUCUAGAAACUUUGCUAAAAUUUUUAAUGAAACGUCUAUAGAAACCAGCAUGCCCAAGGAACGAUCUUACUUCUCUGACUGUUUUGGGUGGAGGAAGAUUAGAAAUGAGAUCCACCUUGGCUUUGUCAACCUCAAUACCUUUACUUGAAAUGAUGUGACCGAGAACAAUACCUUGUUUUACCAUAAAAUGGCACUUCUCCUAAUUUAAGACCAAGUUCUUCUCGAUACAUCUCUGCAGAACUAGCGUUAGAUGAUGUAAACAUUGAUCAAACGAGUCACCAAAGACAGAAAAGUCAUCCAUAAAGACUUCAAGGAAUCGUUCAACCAUAUCAGAAAAAAUGCUCAACAUGCAUCGUUGAAAUGUAGCAGGUGCAUACAUAAUCCAAAUGGCAUUCUCCUAUAUGCAAAUGUGCCAAAAGGGCAAGUGAAAGUGGUCUUCUCUUGAUCUUUUGGUGCUAUGGGGAUCUGAUUAUAUCCUGAGUAGCCAUCUAGAAAGCAAUAAAAUUCAUGGCCUGCUAAUCUAUCAAGCAUUUGAUCAAUAAAUGGUAAAGGAAAAUGGUCUUUACGUGUGACAGAAUUCAACUUUCUAUAAUCAAUGCAUACACGCCAUUCUGUAGUUACUCUAGUGGGUAUCAAUUCAUUAUUAAUUCAUUACUCUAAUAGCUUAAGGACUUCAGUUCUAACAACUUCUUUCAUAUUAGGAUUUAACCGACGUUGUAUUUCCCUAGUAGAUUUAGCAUUUUCAUCAAGGUGAAUGUAAUGCAUGCAGUCUACUGGGUUUAUACCUUUAAUGUCUGCUAUGGUCCAUCCUAAUGCUCCUUUGUGCUCUUUUAAAACAUCCAACAACUUACCUUUUUGUUCGUCAUUGAGGGAUGAUGAGAUGAUUACCGGCAGAGUACUUUCUUCUCCCAAAAAUGCAUAUUCCAGAGUGUUGGGUAAUGGUUUGAGCUCGAGUUUCGGUGGUGAUUCUGAUGAUGGAAUGAGUUGCUUCUCUGAUGGUGCUAGUUGUUCAACUCUUGACUUCCAUUUAUUAGUGUCCAUGGAUGGUGCUGAGUCAAGUAGGGCGUUGACCUCAUCGACCGAUCUGUCAAUAUCAAAAUCCAAACCAAAGUGAGUUAAGCAUGUUUGUAAAGGCUCAUCACUAAGGUUUGAAAGAAAAGUGUUAUCAACUAUUGUUUCUAUUAAAUCCACAUCAACAAUUCCAUCAUCUGCAUUGUGAGGUUGUUUGGCAAUGUUGAAGAUGUUCAGCUCCAUAGUCAUGUUGCCGAAGGACAACUGCAUAUUUCCAGUCCUGCAUUGAAUGUGAGCAUCCGCAGUUGCCAAGAAAGGUCGUCCUAGAAUAAUGGGGAUGUGCUUCCUUGAAUCCUGUAUUGGUUGAGUGUCAAUUAUAAUGAAAUUAACAGGAAAAUAAAACUUGUCUACCUGGAUAAGCACGUCCUCCAUAAUACCACGAGGUAUUUUCAUGGACCGAUCUGCAAGCUGUAACACCACUGGAGUUGGGUGUAAUUCUCCCAGUCCAAGUUUCACGAAUUCUGAAUAAGGCAAUAGAUUUACACUAGCUCCUAAAUCCAACAAAGCAUUCUCAAUUGUGUGGUUCUCUAUACUACAUGAGAUACUGAAUAAUGGAGCUUUGGGAAUAUAUUCUCGUGGGUUGGUUUCUUCUUUCUCCUCCGGUGAUGAGUCCUCAACACUCACAGGUACAAUUUGAUUUUCUUUUGUCACCGGCAUCUCCACUUUGUUGUCGGCUUCUUUUCCUUUUCGCAAGGUCAUAACUGCUUUGACUUCUCUAUGCUGCUGUGGUGAACUAGUACUUGCUUCAUGCACUCCUUUAGGAUUAGGCACUCGUUGACUUGGAAAUUUGCCUUUCUUAACAGUCAUUGCCAAGGUCUGAACUGAAGAAGCAAGUUGUCCCACUAUCUUUUCGAGUAUUGAAACUGAUUGGGCUUGUGAAUUGAAGCCUGCUCUCAACUCAUUUCAUAGUCCAUCAAUGGUGCGGUUUUGUUGCUCAAUUAUGGAGUGAGUAACAUUCUUGAAAUUCUGGAAUGCAUCCUCCCAUGGUCUAGGUUGAGAGUAGUUUUGGUUCUUAUUGUAUGGUCUAAAUGGUGGCUGAAAGGCUUGAGUAUUUUAUGGAAUUUGUUGCAUUGGUGGAGCUGGAGUUGCUGGUCCAUUCUGUUGGAAUCCUUGAGACCAUGAAAAAUUGGAGUGGUCUCUCCAUCCAGGGUUAUAUGUGCUAGAGUAUGGAUUAUAAUUCGAUGGUUUUCUCAUUACACCUAUGGCAUUGGCUUGAUCAGAGUAUGAGUCAUGGUCAUGUGGUUCUGUUGAUUUAGCAGUCGAUAACGAUGCUAUUUGUCGAGCAAGACCUUCAACCAUCUCCUUGACUUCUUUGAUUCCCGAAGUUGACUCGCCAAUGUGAACCUCAUUCACUCCUUUAAUUCUUUUAGUAUUCCUGAGUGAUCGACUCCGUUGUUGGAAUUAUCCGCUUGUCGCUGGAAGAAUUCCCAAAUUUCUGAUGUACUUUUUGACAUUAGCUCUCCUCCACUUGUUGCCAUUAGCCAUUCUUGCACAUUCGGCAAUAAUCCCUCCAAAACGUAUUGGCAUUGGUGCCAUUUCUCGUACCCAUGAUGUGGACACUUCAAGAGUAGCCCAUUGAAUCGCUCCCAUGUUUCAAAAAACUGCUCGUCCUCUCUCUGGGUAAACUCUGAGAUUUCCCUGCGAAUAGCGUUGGUUUUAUGCACUGGGAAAUAUUUAUUCAAAAAUUUUGUUACCAUUUGUUCCCAUGAUGAAAUGCUAUUAGCAGAUAAAAUAUUUAACCAUGAACGAGCUCUAUCCUUUAAAGAAAAUGGGAAUAAUCUGAGUUUAACAUCAUCAUCUGAAAAAUUUUCAUAUUUAAAAGUUUGACAAAUUGCAUGAAAAUCAUUCAGAUGAUUAUAUGGGUCCUCAUUUCCUAGGCCAUAAAAUGUUGGGAGACAAUUUAGCACACUGGGUUUUAAUUCAAAACUCCUAGCAGCUACGUUUGGGUAUCUUAUGCAUGAUGUGCUCAAAUUAGCUAAGAGACUAAAAUAGUCCUUAAAUAGCCUCUCCUGUGGUGCUUGUAAAUCCAUUUUAUUUUUAAAGUUCUUGUGUGUGCGAAGUGUUUUUUCUAGUUCAAGGUCUAUAGGUUCAAGAUUAGGUAAUAAUGACCUACGACCAUGCAUGCAAAACAAAUAAAAAAAAUAAAGAUGGGAACAAAACAAAUAAAAAUAAAGAAGAGGGAGAAAUUACGAUACUAACCUUAUUGCGCUAUUACAACCUUUCUAUAAAAAUACACAAAAAUAAAUAUGUGAAAUUAACUGAAAAUUAAAUUAAAACUUAAUAAAGAAAAUUAAAUUAAGAUAAACAAAAAUUACAAAGAAAAAUAAUUUAAAAAUUAAAUUGCAUAAUUGUAAAGAAUAGAGAAAGAAAAUAAAUACUAACCUCUAAAUGCAGAUUCACUUUUUUUUUCUUUUUUUUUAAAGAAAAAAAAUACAAGACAACAAUUAUUCACACGAGGAGGUGGAUUUUUAAAAGAAAUUAUUCACACAAAUUAAUUCUAUGAAUUAAAAUUACUUACCUCCCCGGCAACGGCGCCAAAAACUUGUUGUGCAAAUUUUAAUGUACUCGCAAGCGCACGAAUCUAUUGUAGUAUAGAUCAAUAGUGACGAGUGUCGAUCCCACGAGGAGGUGGAUUUUAAUUAUAUGUAGAAUUAAUUUUGUAAAUGGGUGGUUGAAAUUGUGAUGGAAGUGAUUUAAAUUAUCCUAAAAUUGGAAUUGCAAUGGCGAGAAUAAAUUGAAGCAAAAUCUAUUGAAAUGACGUACUUGGGUAUCUGGAUCCGUAUCAACAUGCAUCAUGGGCUAAAUAAUCCGUAUUAAUGCCAAUUAAAUCAUGAGGGGGGAAUCCACACCUCAUGAACCACGCUCUAAUCAAUAUGGUGCUAAGGGCUUAUCGUGUCAAAUAAUAAUAACCUUGUACUAGAGGGCCGGUGAAACCAAGGCGGUACUAGACAAGAAUAUUAUUAUUUGUCGAUGAGAAGUCAAAACAUCCACAAAAACUAGAGGGGAAGAGAAAAUAAAUUUACCAAAUUAAGCCCAUGACACAUGUUGAGACUUCACCUUCAACCCAAGCUUGAAAGAAAAUUAGCCACUCAUAAUUGAACUAGGGGUAAAAUGGAAAUUUAUUAAAAUAUGAAGAAAAUACAAGAUGGAGAAGGAAUUACAGAAAAUGGAUCCCAAAAAUAGAUUCAGAGAUAUCAAAUUAGGGGGGAGAGGCCCCCUUUUUAUAGAUACAUGGAGUAAAUCAUGGCCAUCGGAUUAAAAACAGUUUGGACGCUCAGGAUUGCUCCACGUCAUCAAUCAACAGUACGCGAUUUGACCACGCGGAUGAACAGUAACACGGUUUGACCUGGAUGAAUAGUAACGCGGUUUGACCCGGAUUAACAGUAACGCGGUUUGGUUGAAAAUAAUCCUGUGUGAUGCAUAUACCAUACGCGAGAUUUUUCGUCCACUGAUAUGCUGCCACGUCACCAUCAACAGUACAUAAGAAUUUUAGCCCAACAGGAUCGUAACACCUCAUCAGUCAAUGCCACAUCAUCGGUCAAUGCCACGUCAUCGAUCCGUCUAUGUGAACAGUGCCGUGAACAGUAACGUAUACGGUACCGUACAUGUGAAUAGUACCGUACAUGUGAACAGUGCCAUUUUUCCUUUUAUGCUCCUCCUAAGGUUUUCGACCGUCCUGAGUUCAAAAGUGAUGUCCGUUUUGCCAUCUGAUCUCUCGUUUAUUGUGAAAUGACUAUGAUGCCCUUAAAAUACAUAAAAUACUUAAUUAAAAUAAAACAAACGGAAUUAAAUCAAAAGAAGGUUAAAUUCAUAAAAGUAAAGGUGUUAGUAAGACUUGAAAUGUAAAAUGACGGUUUUCUCCUUUAUAAAUAUGCAUUUUCUAACACUCAACAACACCGUUCUUUGGGUCUUUAAUUUCAAUUGCCCCAUGUGGAAAAACAGUAUGAACAAUAAAGGGGUCAAACCAUCGAGAUCGUAACUUACCUGAGAAUAGGUGUAAGCGAAAAUUGAACAAAAGCACUUUCUGACCUGGAAUGAACAAUUUUCUCAUAAUUUUCUUGUCAUGAAAGACUUUCAUUCGUUGCUUGUAAAUCUUGACGUUUUCAUAUGCGUCAUUACGAAUUUCUUCAAGUUUUGCCAGUUGCAAUUUUCUUUCUGAGUUGGCUUGCUGCAUGUCAAAGUUGAAUUUCUUGAUGGCCCAAUAUGCACGAUGCUCGAGUUCCACAGGUAGGUGGCAAGCUUUUCCAUACACUAGCCUGUAGGGUGACAUACCAAUCGGGGUCUUGAAAGCCGUUCUAUAUGCCCAUAAUGCAUCAUCAAGUCUUAAUGACCAAUCUUUUCUUUCUGGCCUCACCGUCUUUUCUAAUAUGUGCUUUAUUUGUCGAUUGGAGAUCUCAACUUGGCCACUAGUUUGCGGAUGAUAUGGGGUUGCCACUUUGUGUGUGAUGGAAUACUUUGUCAAAAGAGCUUUGAAUGCUUUGUUACAAAAGUGGGCACCACCAUCACUGAUUAUUGCUCGAGGGAAUCCAAAGCGCAAAACAAUGUUGCUUUUCAAAAAUCCUAUUACCACCUUGUGAUCAUUGGUCCUGCAUGGAAUUGUUCUACCUAUUUCGAUACGUAGUCAACAGCAACCAAUAUCUAUUGAUGGCCAAAAGAAGGGGGAAAGGGUCCCAUAAAGUUGAUACCCUAUACAUAAAAAAUCUCAACCACUAAAAUUGGAUUUAGUGGCAUCAUGUUCCUUCGUGUAAUGCUCCCCAUUCGAAGACACCUAUCACAUAAAGAACAGAAAGUGUAAGCGUCUCGAAAUAUAGUUGGCCAAUAAAAACCACAUUGUAAAACUUUAGUCGUUGUUUUCUUAGCACUGAAAUGACCUCCACAAGCUUGUUCAUGGCAGAAUGAAAGAAUAUUCUGAAUUUCACUUUUUGGAACACAUCAUCUAACGAUUUGAUCUACACAAUACUUGAACAAAUACGGGUCAUGCCAAAAGAAAUUCUUUAUAUCCGCAAAGAAUUUAGCCUUGUCUUGCUUGGUCCAAUGCUCUGGAAGUUGACCUGUAACAAGAUAAUUAACGAUAUCAGCAUACCAUGGUAAUACUUCCACACUCAUCAAUUGUUCAUCUAGGAAUGACUCAUUCAAUGGUAAUGAUUCCAUAAUUGUGUCAAAAUGGAGACGAGAGAGAUGGUCAGCUACAACAUUCUCUGUGCCUUUCUUAUCUUUAAAUUCCAAAUCGAACUCCUGCAAAAGUAACACCCAACGAAUUAGUCUAGCUUUUGCAUCUUUCUUUGUGAGAAGAUAUUUAAGAGCAGCAUGAUCUGUGAAUAUAAUUAUUUUAUAACCAAUGACAUAAGAUCGAAUUUUUCCAAUGCAAACACUACUGCUAGCAUUUCUUUUUCAGUAGUUGAAUAGUUCAUCUGUGCAUCAUUCAAUGUCAUACUAGCAUAGUAAAUAACAUGGGAAAUUUGAUCAACUCUUUGUCCUAAUACUGCUCCUACUGCAUAAUCAGAUGUAUCACACAUGAGUUCAAAUGGUAGGCUCCAGUUUGGGGGCUGAAUGAUGGGUGAUGAUGUCAAUGUUGAGUGUUAGAAAAUGCAUAUUUAUAAAGGAGAAAACCGUCAUUUUACAUUUAAGUCUUACUAACAACCCUUACUUUUAUGUAUUUAACCUUCUUGUGAUUUAAUUACAUGUGUUUUAUUUUAAUUAAGUAUUUUAUGUAUUUUAGGGGCAUUAUAGUCAUUUCACAAUAAAUGAGAGAUCAAACGGCAAAACGGACAUCAAUUUUGAACUUAGGACGGUCGAAAACCUUAGGAGGAGCAUAAAAGGAAAAAUGGCACUAUUCACAUGUAUGGUACUGUCUACGUUACUGUUCACGACACUGUUCACCUAGACGGAUCAAUGACGUGGCAUUGACCGAUGAUGUGGCAUUGACUGAUGAGGUGUCAUGAUCCUGUUGGACUAAAAUUAUUAUGUACUGUUGAUGGUGACGUGGCAGCAUAUCAGUGGACGAAAAAUCUCACGUACGGUACAUGCAUCACACAGGAUUAUUUUCAACCAAACCGUGUUACUGUUCAACCCGGGUCAAACCGUGUUACUGUUCAUCCAUGUGGUCAAACCGCGUACUGUUGACUGAUGACGUGGCGCAAUCAUGAGCGUCUAAACUGUUUUUAAUCCGAUGGCCAUGAUUUACUCCAUGUAUCUAUAAAAAAGGGGGCCUCUCCCCCCUAAUUUGAUAUCUCUGAAUCUAUUUUUGGGAUCCAUUUUUUAUAAUUCAUUCUCCAUCUUGUAUUUUCUUUGUAUUUUAAUAAAUUUUCAUUUUACCCCUAGUUCAAUUAUGAGUAGCUAAUUUUCUUUCAAGCUUGGGUUGAAGGUGAAGUCUCAAUAUGUGUUAUGGGCUUAAUUUGGUAAAUUUAUUUUCUCUUCCCCUCUAGUUUUUGUGGAUGUUUUGACUUCUCGUCGACAAAUAAUAAUAAUCUUGUCUAGAUACCGCCUUGGUUACACCGGCUCUCUAGUAUAAGGUUAUUAUUAUUUGGCACGAUAAGACAUAAGCCCUUAGCACCAUAUUGAUUAGAGCGUGGUUCAUGAGGUGUGGACUCCCCUCUCAUGAUUUAAUUGGCAUUAAUAAGGAUUAUUUAGCCCAUGAUGCAUGUUGAUACGGAUCCAGAUACCCAAGUACGUCAUUUCAAUAUAAUUCUCUUCAAUUUAUUCUCGCCAUUUCAAUUCCAAUUUUAAAAUUUAUUCUCGUCAUUUUAUUUUAAGUUUUAGCAUAUUCCAAAUCAUUUCCACCACAAAUCCAAUCACUCAUUUACAAAAUUAAUUCUACACAGAAUUAAAAUCCACCUCCUCGUAGGAUCGACAUUCGUCACCAUUGAUCUAUAGUACAAUAGAUUCGUGCGCUUGCGAGUUCAAUAAAAUUUGCACAACAAGUUUUUGGCGCCGUUGCCGGGGAGGUAAGUUAUUUUAAUUCGUAGAAUUAAUUUUUGUGAUUAAUUUCUUUUAAUUUUUUUUUGUAAUUUUUUUUAUUAAAAAAAAGUGAAUCUACAUUUAAAGGUUAGUAUUUCUUUUCUUUUUCUCUUCUUUAAAAUUCUGUAAUUUAAUUUUCAAUUUAUUUUUCUUUGUAAAUUUUUUUUUGUUUAUCUUAUUAAUUUAUUUUUAGUUAAUUUAUUUUCACGUUUUUUUUGGUGUGUUUUAUAGUAAGGUUGUAACAGUUUGAUAAGGUUAGUAUCGUAAUUUCUCUUUUUUCUUUAUUUUUAUUCGUUUUGUUCCCAUUUAUUUUUGUGUUCCUUGCAUGCAUGGUCGUAGGUCAUUAUUUCCUAAUCUUGAACCAUAGACCUUGAAUUAGAAAAAAACAUUUCGCACACACAAACAAGUUAAAAAUAAAAUGGAUUUGCAACCACAGGAGAGGCCAUUUAAGGACUACUUCAGUCCUUUAGCUAAUUUGAGCACAUCAUGCAUAAGAUACCCAAAUGUAGCUGCUAGGAGUUUUGAACUAAAACCUAGUGUGCUAAAUUGUCUCCCAACAUUCUAUGGCCUAGAAAAUGAGGACCCAUAUAAUCAUUUGAAUGAUUUUCAUGCUAUUUGUCAAACAUUUAAAUAUGAGAAUUUUUCAGAUGAUGAUGUAAAACUUAGAUUAUUCUCAUUUUCUUUAAAAGAUAGAGCUCGUUCAUGGCUUAAUACAUUGCCUGCUAAUAGCAUUACAUCAUGGGAACAAAUGGUAACAAAAUUUCUGAAUAAAUAUUUCCCAGUGUAUAAAACCAAUGCUAUUCAUAGGGAAAUCUCAGAGUUUACCCAGAGAGAUGACGAACAGUUUUUCGACACGUGGGAGCGAUUCAAUGGGCUACUCUUGAAGUGUUCACAUCAUAGGUACGAGAAAUGGCACCAAUGCCAUUACGUUUUGGAGGGAUUAUUGCCGAAUGUGCAAGAAUGGCUAAUGGCAACAAGUGGAGGAGAACUAAUGUCAAAAAGUGCAUCAGAGAUUUGGGAAUUCUUCCAGCGACAAGCGGAUAAUUCCCAACAACGGAGUCGAUCACUUAGGAAUACUAGAAGAAUUAAAGGAGUAAAUGAGGUUCACAUUGGCGAGUCAACUUCGGGAAUCAAAUAAGUCAAGGAGAUGGUUGAAGGUCUUGCUCGACAAAUAGCAUCGUUAUCGACUGCUAAAUCAACAGAGCCACAUGACCAUGACUCAUACUCAGAUCAAGCCAAUGCCAUAGGUGUAAUGAGAAAGCCAUCAAAUUACAACCCAUACUCCAACACAUACAACCCUGGAUGGAGAGACCACCCCAAUUUUUCAUGGUCUCAUGGAUUCCAACAGAAUGGAUCAGUAGCUCCAGCUCCACCAAUGCAACCAAUUCCUCAAAAUCCUCAAGCCUCUCAGCCCCCAUUUAAACUAUUCAAUCAGAACCAGAACUACUCUCAACCUAGACCAUGGGAGGAUGCAUUCCAAAAUUUCAGGAAUGUUACUCACUCCACGAUUGAGCAACAGAACCGCACCAUUGAUGGACUAUGAAAUGAGUUGAGAGCAGGCUUCAAUUCACAAGCCCAAUCAGUUUCAAGCCUUGAAAAGAUGGUGGGACAACUUACUUCUUCAGUUCAGACCUUGGCAAUGACUGUUGAGAAAGGUAAAUUUCCAAGUCAACCAGUGCCUAAUCCUAAAGGAGUACAUGAAGCAAGUACCAGUUCACCACAGCAGCAUGGAGAGGUCAAAGCAGUCAUGACCAUGCGAAAAGGAAAAGAAGUCGACAACAAAGUGGAGAUGCCGGUGAUAAAAGAAAAUCAAAUUGUACCUGUGAAUGUUGAUAACUCACCACCGGAUGAGAAAGAAGAAACCAACCCACGAGAAUAUGUUCCCAAAGCUCCAUUUCCUCAAAGGUUAGCGAAAGGAAAGAAGGGAAAAUCCACAGGUGAGAUUCUUGAAAUCUUCAAACAGGUAAGUGUUAACAUCCCUUUACUUGAUGCAAUUAAACAAGUUCCAUCUUAUGCCAAGUUUUUUAAAGACCUUUGUACUAAAAAGAGAAACAUUCAUGCUCAAAAGAAGGCAUUUUUAACAGAAAACGUUAGUUCUAUACUCCAACAUAAAAUUCCUCUAAAAUGCAAAGACCUAGGCUCCCCUACUAUCUCAUGUAGCAUAGGGAACCACACAAUUGAGAAUGCUUUAUUAGAUUUAGGAGCUAGUGUAAAUCUGUUGCCUUACUCAGUAUUUUUGAAACUUGGACUUGGAGAAUUACACCCAACUCCAGUGGUGUUACAGCUUACAGACCAGUCCACGAAAAUACCUCGUGGUAUUGCGGAGGACGUGCUUAUCCAGGUAGACAGGUUUUAUUUUCCUGUUGAUUUCAUUGUAAUUGACACUCAACCAAUACAGGAUUUAAGGAAGCACAUCCCCAUUAUUCUGAGCCAACCUUUCUUGGCAACUGCGGAUGCUCACAUUCAAUGCAGGACUGGAAAUAUGCAGUUGUCCUUCGGCAACAUGACUAUGGAGCUGAAUAUCUUCAACAUUGCCAAACAACCUCACAAUGCAGAUGAUGGAAUUGUUGAUGUGGAUUUAAUUGAAGCAUUAGUUGAUGACACUUUUGUUUCAAACCUUAGUGAUGAUCCUUUACAAGCGUGUUUAACUCACUUUGGUUUUGAUUUUGAUAUUGACAGAUCUGUUGAUGAGGUCAACGCCCUGCUUGACUCAGCACCAUCUAUGGACACUAAUAAAUGGAAGUCAAGAGUUGAACAAUUAGCACCAUUAGAGAAGAAACUCAUCCCAUCAUCAGAAUCACCACCAAAACUCGAGCUCAAACCAUUGCCCAACACAUUGGCAUAUGCAUUUUUGGGAGAAGAAAGUACUCUACCGGUAAUCAUCUCAUCAUCCCUAAAUGACGAACAAAAAGGUAAGUUGUUGGAUGUUUUGAAAGAGCACAAAGGGGCAUUAGGAUGCACUAUAGCAGACAUAAAAGGUAUAAACCCAGUAGAUUGCAUGCAUUACAUUCACCUUGAUGAAAAUGCUAAAUCUACUAGGAAAUGCAUCGUCGGUUAAAUCCUAAUAUGAAAGAAGUUGUUAGAACUGAAGUCCUUAAGCUAUUAGAUGCAGGUAUCAUUUACCCAAUUUCUGAUAGUUCGUGGGUCAGUCCUGUACAAGUUGUCCCCAAAAAGUCAGGAGUCACAAUAGUUACGAAUACUGAUAAUGAAUUGAUACCCACUAGAGUGACUACAAGAUGGCGUGUAUGCAUUGAUUAUAGAAAGUUGAAUUCUGUCACACGUAAAUACCAUUUUCCUUUGCCAUUUAUCAAUCAAAUGCUUGAUAGAUUAGCAGGCCAUGAAUUUUAUUGCUUUCUAGAUGGCUACUCAGGAUAUAAUCAAAUUCCCAUAGCACCAAAAGAUCAAGAGAAAACCACUUUCACUUGCCCUUUUGGCACUUUUGCAUAUAGGAGGAUGCCAUUUGGAUUAUGUAAUGCACCUGCUACAUUUCAACGAUGCAUGUUAAGCAUUUUUUCUGAUAUGGUUGAACGAUUCCUUGAAGUCUUUAUGGAUGAUUUUUCUAUCUUUGGUGACUCGUUUGAUCAAUGUUUACAUCAUCUAACACUAGUUCUGUAGAGAUGUGUCCAGAAGAACUUGAUCAAACCUUGCAAAAUCUUCAUAAACAACCUAGGACCCUUAGAGACUUCAUGCAUCCUACUAGAACAUGUCACCAUCAUGCAUAUUUUUCCCUCCUGAUGCAUCACGUUUUAAUUUCAAGCCUGGUAUCAUUCAACUUUUGCCUACCUUUCAUGGUUUUGAGUCUCAAAAUCCAUAUUUGCAUUUAAGGGAAUUUGAGGAAGUCUGUAACACCUGUACUGAUCAAAAUUGUAGCAUGAAUAUAAUUAGACUUAAGUUUUUUCCUUUCUCACUAAAAGAUAAAACUAAAACUUGGCUACAAAAUCUUAGGUCAAAAUCCAUCAGAACAUGGGAUUAAAUGCAAGCACAAUUUUUGAAAAAAUUCUUCCCACCCUACAGAACAAAUUCUUUCAAAAGACAAAUCACCACUUUCACUCAAAAACCAGGAGAAACUCUCUACCAAUGUUGGGAUAGGUUUAAAGAACUACUUAACAUUUGCCCACAUCACGGUUUUGAAACAUGGAGAUUAGUGUCUUAGUUCACUUGGAAUUUUAUAAUAUCAACUUGAAAUUUAACUGAAAGUAUUAGUAGUUAAGGAUUUUAAUAGAAAUAUUAAAUAGAAACAAUUAGUUAACAAGUUAAAACAAGUAAACCUAUAAUUGAGUAUGUUUAACUAAAAUUAGGGGCUAAUUUAACAAAAAGUUAAACAAUAGAAAGUAAAUUUGGCAUUUAACCCAAAUAGUUAAAAUUUUACCAAGUUAUUGGAAAUACUGAAACAAAAGUAUUGAAAUAAUAGUUGAAACACAUAAGUUAAAAAGGGAUAAAAUAUUAACCAAAUUCUAAUUUUAAAACUCAUCCAAUAAGAAAUGAAUUUACUUAGAAUUUAACAAAAAGUAUUGGUAUUUAAUGAACUUAAUAUGAACAUUAAACGCAUAGCUGGUAGAUUUAUAAGUUAGAAAUAUGUAAACCUAGAAGUAAGAAGGUUUAACCAAAAUUAAGGAAUAAAAAAAUAUAUAAAAAAGUCCAAUUGGUAUUUAACCUAAAUAAUUGCAACCUUACCUAAUUAGUAGGAAUAUUCGACAAAAAAAUAGUGGAAUAAUUAGUUGAACCAUAUGAACUUAGAAGGGAGACAAUUUAAGCAAAAUUAGGAACUUAUCCAAUGGGAAUGAAUAUUAUUUGGAAUCUAACCCAAAAUUGGCAUUAAAUGAAUGUAGUAGGAAUAUAAAACAUAAAACUGGCAAACUACUAAUUAAGUUGAAGCUUGUGGGCCUAUAAGUGAGAAAAUUUAACCAAAAUUAGAGACCAGUUUAACCAAAAAUAAAAUUAUAAAAAUAAAAUUUGGUGCUUAACCUCAAUAAUUAGAAUCUUAUUAAGUUAAUAGAAGUAUUCAACACAAAAAUAUGGAAAUUAGUAGUUGAAACUGGACACCAUAAGAGAGAAAGUUCAAGUAAAAUUUGGAACUCAUCCACCAGAAAUAAAUUUAACUUGCAAUCUAAUCAAAAUAUUGGUAUUGAAUGAAUAUAGUAGGAACAUCAAACACAAAACUAGAGGACUAAUAUGNNNNNNNNNNNNNNNNNNNNNNNNNNNNNNNNNNNNNNNNNNNNNNNNNNNNNNNNNNNNNNNNNNNNNNNNNNNNNNNNNNNNNNNNNNNNNNNNNNNNNNNNNNNNNNNNNNNNNNNNNNNNNNNNNNNNNNNNNNNNNNNNNNNNNNNNNNNNNNNNNNNNNNNNNNNNNNNNNNNNNNNNNNNNNNNNNNNNNNNNNNNNNNNNNNNNNNNNNNNNNNNNNNNNNNNNNNNNNNNNNNNNNNNNNNNNNNNNNNNNNNNNNNNNNNNNNNNNNNNNNNNNNNNNNNNNNNNNNNNNNNNNNNAAUGUUCCUAUUAAAUUCCUUAAAUACUAAUCUAUUGGGUUAGAAUGUAAGUAAAUUCAUUUCCUAUUGGAUAAGUUCACAUUUUCGUUAUAUUUUCUACUAUUUAGGCUCAGUAAUUUCAACUAAUUAUUCCAUCAUUUUUGUGUUGAGUAUUUCCAUUAACUUUGUAAGAUUCCAAUUAUAUAGGUUAGAUACUAAAUUUUUAUUUUUUAUAAAUUUAGUUUUGUUAGAUUAGUAACUUAUUUUGGUUAAACUUAUAGGUUCGUUUAUUCACUUUUAAGUUCACUAUUUUCGUGUUUUAUAUUCCUACUAAUGUCGUUAAAUACCAAUAUUUUGAGUUAUAUUUUAAACAACUUUCAUUUCUAUGAGAUGAGUUCAUAAUUUUAGUUCAACCUCAUUUCAUGUGGGUUUAUAUAUUUCAACUAUUAUUCCACUAAUUUUGUUCAGAAUAUAAAAAUGGAAGAAAUAGUUAUUUUUUUUGUAAAUAAUGGAGGAUAUAAUUUAAUGAUAGAUAGUAAUACAAUUAAGGAUAACAUAACUAAAUAUAGACAAUAUUAUUAUUCAGAACAAUUGUAUUUAUCCGGAGAGCUCAUGAAAUUAGAAUUGGAGAACUCAUACUAAUAAAGAAUUGAAAUUUCAACAUAGAUCCUAUUCUCCUAUUCACAGUUAGGAGAGAGGUUUAUAGAAAUAAUUUUUCAUGGAAAUAAUGGAAUAUUAAUUAUGUUGAGGAUUAUAUAGAUGAACUUGUGAUUGAUUAUAAUAGAUUUUUAACUAUUAAGCAAAGAGAUGAAGACAAUUGGAAUAAAUAAAGGAUCAGAAGUGAAUACUAUCCUUCUAGCAACAUUCUAAUAGGAUACAAAGAUUUAAUUAUAUAUAAGCUUUGUUAUAUACAUAAAGGAUUAGAAGAAAACAAUAUUGCUAAGGAUAUAAAAAAUAUUAUAUAUCACAAAUACUUGAUAGAAUAUAAUGAAAUAUUAUACAGAUGGUAUUAUGAAUAUAUUACUAGAACCAUUGAUAAUUUCACAAAAUAUAGAAACCAAUAAAUUUCCACCUUCUCGCUAUAGGCAUAAAGGAUUUACUUAUGAAAGAUUUCAACCAUUUGAUUUGGUAAAUGAUUUUGAUAUGUAAGGAAGUAAUAAGUUAAACUAAAUUUCUCUAUAUUUAUUAAAUAAAUUUGGAAAUCCUAAUUGAACCAUAAAUGAUAUAGAAGAAAGUGCAAAUGAAAUACUUGAAAUUAAAAGCUUUCAAGUUAAAAUGUUAAAAGAUCAAAUGAGUGAAGAAUUUGAUUCACUCAAACAAUUAUAAAAGACUUCAAAAUUAAAGAUUAAGAUAGAUUGAAAUAAGAAAUCAUUAAUGUCAUGAACACAAAUUCAAUUGAAGAUAAAUUAAAUAAGAUAGAAAUUCAAUUACAUAAAAUUGGAAAAAUCGUUGAACAACUUGGUAAUAAGUGACACGACUCAAAAGUGUAUUACUCUCAAGUAUAAGAGUGUCUAGUUAUAAUAUAACCCGGUGAGACCGGGGUCGAACCACAUGGAGUUUUAAAUCUAGUAAAACUAAGAAAAUUAAUUGUGGGAAAAAGAAAUUAUUUGAAAUCAAUUUAAAAAUAAGCUAAGGUUUAGGAUCCACUCUCUGUAUUCAAACUAUAAUUUUAAUACUCUCUCAUUUAUAUUUUGCCUCACUUUUACCAAUUAAUUAUUAUAUCAUUUAAUUCUAUGUGUGUGGAUAAAUAUAGAAUAAAGUACCUAAUGUGCCACACUAUAUUAAUGUAUCGAUAUUAUGUCAAAAUACCAUAAAAUCCAGUGAGAUUUAUAAAUUAACAUGAUAUAAAAAUAAUUAGAAAAGAAUUAAAAAAAAUUCAUUUGAGAAAAUAAUAAUAAUUAAUAGUUUGAAAUAUUGAGCUUCACUCCUCACCUCAGUUUAAUAAAAUUAGCUACUCAUAUUGAAAGAAAACACAACACUUUUUUUAUUUGAUAAAAUUUUUGAAAUAUAUUACAAAGAAAAUUGAUACAAACGGAAAUAAGAAAAGAAAAGAAACAAAGAAAGAAAGAAAAUCUUCAGUCUCGGCUUCAGCUCUCAAAUUUUGCUCUCCAGCUUCUCCCCGCUCUUCAAUUUCUCCUCCCUUUUUAUAGGCAACAAUUGCCUUUAACUUUCUUUAUUUUAUUAUUUAUUUAUUAUUUUAUUAUUAUUUUAAAAUAUAUAAGUGUGUUGAAAUGUGUGAUGGUCAGGAGGCGUAAUGGCCUCCUGACAAUCACCAACGUGUUUUUGUUCUUUUAUUUUUUAUUUUUUGUUUUUAUUUUAUUGAUUAUUUACUAUUACAUUUCUUCAAUUUUGUUCCAGUUGUUCUUCUUUGUUCCCGCUUUCAAUUUCAAUUCCAUCUUUAUUCCUGAAAACUAUUUAUAAGAUAAAAAUUAACAAAUUACAAAUUAAUUUAACAUAAAAUAUAUUUGGGGAGUAUUAAAAUAAUUUAGAAAUAAUGAACGCAUUAAUCGACACAAUAAGUGAAAAACUAAUAAUUUUAUCCUUAUUAAAUGUACACUUUUUAGUGUCAAUCACACCCCCCAACCAGCUUAUUGUUAGGCCCUAGCAAUUUAAGCGAUAAAAGUUUAGUAAAAUUUCAAACUCAAAUUGAAAAUCAUUUUUAAAAAAAAUUGUGUUUACUUCUUCCAUCAGAUUAAUGACAACAAUCAAAUAAAAGUAUAAAAAUUAUCUUCAGCUUAAAGAAAAUCACACCCUUUCAAAACAGUUCAGUAAAAUCCUGUAAAAUGAUCAAUCAUCAGAGCUACAUUAAUCAAGCAACUUUUAAGAAUGAUACAUCAAACCCCAAAAUCUCACGAUUAGGAGUGACUAUCUCAAAAGAAGAUAUACUCCAAAUUAAUUUGUCACUCUAAAAAAAUGGUAAAUUUGAGAGAAUAAUAAAACAAUAUCACACGCUCUCACCAAUAUAAAAAUUAAUGCCCACAACUUAGAAAUAAAAUGAUAUCAAAUCCAAUGAAUUACUAGCAAAAUUUAUUUUUAUUUUUACUCAUCACCACAUCUUUUAGUCCAUAUUACCAGCUUUUACUUCAAAUUAUAGUUCCCAAAAAUCGAGAAAGACUUUAAUUAGGACGUAACGUAGGCUAGGGUUAUGGCUAACAAAAAAGAUAAUAGGGAAAAUAAAAAUAUAUGUUUGAAAAAUAGGGGACUUUUUGGAGAUUAUAAGGUGCUCUUUUUUUUUUUUUCAAAGGUUCAAAGGGGUUAACUAUGGAUUCUUUAUAAUAGGGUUGGCUAGAAAGGCUCAAACAGAUCAAAGAUAGCCUUCUGUCAUCUUUUAGGAUUCUAUAUAAUCUUUCAUAUCCACUAGUUCAAUGGACUUUUAUAUGCGGCUGCACAAACUUUUUUUUUUUAAUAUUGAGAUCUUGUACAAUAAAUUGUGAAGCUGUAUAGGCAAACAAGGUUACUCUUCAAGGAUAACAGGCUCAAAAACUCGCUUGGUCUUUUUAUAACAUGUACAUUCAUCCAAAUGGCUUAAUCAAUUUCACUCAUUCAAUUUCUCAAUUUAUAUUUCAACAUACAAAGGGAAAAACAUAGUGUAAUAUAACUCAAGGCCAAAGAUAAAACGAAUACCAAAAUUUGAAAAUCAUCAUGUUAUCCAAUGUUAAAAGAUCACACCAAAAAAGAAAAUAAUUUUUUUUUUAAGAAAGCACUAAAAAUUUGGGACUAAUUACAGAAACUUAAGGGAGAUGAUUAAGAGAAAAAGACCGAAAACAAAAAGUUAGAAACAUUUUUUUUUUGGAAGAAAACACAAAAAUUAAGAAAAUGCGUUUCUAGAGAUACUACAUUCUAUAUUCUAUCAUCUUCGACUUAAAUUUUUAUCCAAAGUUAGUCUUUACAACAAAAAUUAGUAAAAACAUCACUAGGAAUGAGACAUUCCACAAUUAUCGACUAUUCCCUCCCCCCAACCUAAAUGAGACAUUGUCCUCAAUGUCUAAAGAAAGGAGUAGAGUUUAGAAGAUAUCACCUAGACACUGUUGGAAAUAUUUACAGACGGAGAGUUAAAUCUAAUUUACACUUUUUACGAGAGUUACUGCCAUCGUUAUCAGUUGCCCAAUCCAACGCCAAAGUCAUGGGAUCUGGCUUUGGUUUGUAAGGUUGCAAAAGAUCAAGUAACUCAUUAGCAGUAUGAGCACAAAUGAAGAGUUUUUUCGCUAAUGAUGGAAUGAAAUAAUUUUUUAUUACAUGAUUAAGAAAUGUUAUUAAGCCAUCAUAAAAGUUAUUAACAUUUAACAAACCGAUUGGUUUUUUAUGGAUAUUCAAAUAGGCCCAGGAAGCAAAUGUAAUUAGCGCCUCCAAAGUUGCAAGGUCUCCUGGCAAGAAAAUAAAAACGUCAGCAUGAUUUAACAUUUCAGAUAUUCUUUCUUGCAUACCUGAGACAACUAACUCUUCUCCAAUUGGUGAGUCUGGUAGCCAUCCUAAAGGUUUUAAGGCUUUUGGAAUGAUGCCUAGCACUUGGCUUCCUCGAACGAAAGCAGCUUCAGAGACAAGCUUUGAUAACCCUCGGUCACCUCCUCCAUAUAGAAGAUGUAGUUUCCCCUCUGCUAUAGCACGACCAAGAUCUACGGCUACUGUUGUGCAAAUUUUAAUGUACUCGCAAGCGCACGAAUCUAUUGUAGUAUAGAUCAAUGGUGACGAGUGUCGAUCCCACGAGAAGGUGGAUUUUAAUUGUGUAGAAUUAAUUUUGUGAAUGGGUGAUUGGAUUUGUGGUGGAAAUGAUUUGGAAUAUGCUAAAACUUAAAUUAAAAUGGCGAGAAUAAAUUCUAUAAUUGGUAUUGAAAUGGUGAGAAUAAAUUGAAGAGAAUUCUAUUGAAAUGACGUACUUGGGUAUCUGGAUCCGUAUCAACAUGCAUCAUGGGCUAAAUAAUCCUUAUUAAUGCCAAUUAAAUCAUGAGGGGGGAAUCCACACCUCAUGAACCACACUCUAAUCAAUAUGGUGCUAAGGGCUUAUCGUGCCAAAUAAUAAUAACCUUGUACUAGAGGGCCGGUAAAACCAAGGCGGUACUAGACAAGAUUAGUAUUAUUUGUCGACGAGAAGUCAAAACAUCCACAAAAAUUAGAGGGGAAGAGAAAAUAAAUUUACCAAAUAAAGCCCAUGACACAUGUUGAGACUUCACCUUCAACCCAAGCUUGAAAGAAAAUUAGCCACUCAUAAUUGAACUAGGGGCAAAAUGAGAAUUUAUUAAAAUACGAAGAAAAUACAAGAUGGAGAAGGAAUUACAGAAAAUGGAUCCCAAAAAUGGAUUCAGAGCUAUCAAAUUAGAGGGGGGAGGCCCCCUUUUUAUAGAUACAUGGAGUAAAUCAUGGCCAUCGAAUUAAAAACAGUUUGGACGCUCAGGAUUGCGCCACGUCAUCAGUCAACAGUACGCGGUUUGACCACGCUGAUGAACAGUAACACGGUUUGACUCGGAUGAACAGCAACGCGGUUUGACUCGGAUGAACAGUAACGCGGUUUGGUUGAAAAUAAUCCAGUGUGAUGCAUGUACCGUACUCGAAAUUUUUCGUCCACUGAUAUGCUGCCACGUCACCAUCAACAGUACAUAAGAAUUUUAGCCCAACAGGAGCGUGACACCUCAUCAGUCAAUGCCACAUCAUCGGUCAAUGCCAUGUCAUCGAUCCGUCUAUGUGAACAGUGUCGUGAACAGUAAUGCAGACAGUACCGUACACGUGAAUAAUACCGUACAUAUGAAUAGUGUGAUUUUUCCUUUUAUACUCCUCCUAAGGUUUUCGACCGUCCUGAGUUCAAAAGUGAUGUCCGUUUUGCCGUCUGAUCUCUUCUUUAUUGUGAAAUGACUAUAAUGCUCCUAAAAUACAUAAAAUACUUAAUUAAAAUAAAACACAUGUAAUUAAAUCACAAGAAGGUUAAAUACAUAAAAGUAAGGGUUGGUAGUAAAACUUGAAAUGUAAAAUGACGGUUUUCUCCUUUAUAAAUAUGCAUUUUCUAAUACUCAACACACCCCCCAACCAGUUUAUUGCUAGUCCCUAGCAAAUAAAGCGAAAACAAAAUUCAAAUUCAAAAUAAUUUUUUUUUUAAUAGAAACACUCGUAUUUAUUCCAUUAGAUUAAUGAUAGCAAUCAAAUAAAAGUAUAAGCAUUAUCUUCAGUCUAAAGCAACAUCACACCCACAUCAACCAUCCACAUGAAUCAGCCCAGUAGACUUUAUUAUAGCUACUUUCAAGAAUGACAUGUCAAACCCCAAAAUCUCACUGGAAGUAGUGACACUCUCACAAAGAAAUUAAAACCAAUAAAAAUAGUCACUCCAAUGAAUGGUAAUUGAGAGAGAAAAUAAUAAAGAAGUGAUAUCACAUACUCUCACCAAGAUGAAAUAAAUAUGCCCUCAGUUUAGAAAUAAUAUGAUCUCAAGUCAAAUAAAAAUGCAGGUCAACCCAAUUUAUUUAUCUUUUUUUUCUUUUAUUUAUUUAUUUAUUUUUAUUAUGCACCACUAUAUCUUUUUAGCCCAUAUAACUAGCUUCUACUUCAAACUAUAGUUUCCUAAAAUCAAGGACUUUUAUUAGGGCGUAACGUAGGCUAGGGAUAUGGCUAACAAAGAAGGGAAAUAAGGAAAACAAAGUGUAUGUUUGAGAAAAAUGCAGAGAAUUUUUUUAUUUUUUUUGGAAGUUGCAAGGUGGAUUUCACCUAUUAUUUUUAUUUUAUUUUUUCUUUUGAAACAACAACUUUUGUUUUUUUUUUUUGCUUUUAUUUGGAAUAACUUUACUGAACAACAUAAUUAUUUACAUUUUCUCAAACAUAAAUAGGUGAUGAAACUUAUAAGACAUUGGGUAAUACUCCAAAUCGAAGUGGGUCAAGAUGAUAAGUUUGACAAAGAAAGGUUUUUUUUUUUUUUAAAGGCUCAAAAGGGUUAACUAUGGAUAUUUGAUAAAAGGGAUGGCUAGAAAGGCUCAAACGGAUCAAAGAUGGCCUUUCCAUCGUCUUUUAGGGCUCUAAAUAAUCUUCCAUAUCUACUAGUUAGAUGGGCCUCCAAAUGUAGCAACACACUUUUUUUUCUUUUUUUUCUUGUUUUUUUUUUAAUUUUACAAUUUUUUUUUAAGGGUUAACUCAAAAGAAAUCUAGAGAUCGUGUAUACAAUAAUAAACUGUUAAGCUGUAUAAAGAAUGGGCAAAAGGGUUACUCUCCAAGAAAAAUGAUAGGCUCAAAAACUCACUUGGUACUUAUUAUGACAUGUUCAUUCCUUCAAGCAACUCAUAUUUGUCUCCGACAUCAACAUGUAGAGUAGCAAGCAUAAUGUAACAUCACUUAAGACCAAAGAUAAUACAAAUACUAAAAUUUGAAAUUAAUCAUGUCAUCCAAUGUUAAAACAAAUCACACAAUUUUUUUUUUAAACAACAUUCUACCCCCCAACCUAUUCUAAACAUGAAAGGAAAAUAUGCAUGUAGAAAUGUGAAAAUGAUGCAUAAAAACUAAUUAGAAAAGUUACACGUAAAAUGAUAGAAAACGAAAAUGGUUUUUUUUUUUUUAAGAAGAUGCGUUUCUAGAGGCACUACACUCCAUAUUCAGCCAUCUUCGACUCAAAAGUUGGAAAAUAUAUAUUUAUAGAGGAGAAAUUAAAAAGAAGAAGAAAAAUGAACAUCAAAACUUAAUAAAGAAAAAGAAAUUUAUUUUUAUUUUUUUAUUUAUUUUUAUUUAUUGUUUUUUUAAUUAAUUUUUUUUAAAACGAUGAAGAUGCGUUUUUAGAGUCACUACUCUCCAUAUUCAGCUAUCUUCAACACAAAAAAGUUAGCAAUAGUUAGUUUCUACAACAAAAAAUUAGUAAAAACUUAACCAAAAUUCCACAAUUGUCGACUAUUCCCUCCCCUCAACCAGAACGAAACAUUGUCCUCAAUGUUUGAAAGGAAAGAAGUAGAGUUUAGAAGACAUUACCUGGGUGGUGUAACACAGAAGAAAAUAUUUACAAGCGGAGAGUUAAAUCUAAUUUGUACUUCUUACUGCGGCUACUGUUACCAUCAUUAUUUGGAUGCUCCAACACAAAGGUCCAGGGGUCUGGCUCUGGUCUAUAAGCUUGUAACAGAUCAAGUAGCUCAUUAGCAGUGUGAGCACAAAUAAAGAGUUUUUUCGCAUUAGAGGGAAUGAAAUAGUUUUUUAUUGCAUGGUUAAGAAAUGCGAUAAAGCCAUCAUAAAAGUUAUUGACAUUUAACAAACCGAUGGGUUUCUGGUGGAUGUGCAGAUGGGCCCAAGAUGCUAGUGUGAUAAGUGCCUCUAGUGUUGCAAGAUCUCCUGGAAGGAAAAUAAAAGCAUCAGCAUGAUUAAGCAUUUCAGUUAUUCUUUCUUGCAUACCUGAGACGACUAACUCUUCUCCAGUUAAUGAGUCAGAUGAACUGCCCAAUGGUUUUAGGACUCUUGGAAUGAUGCCUAACACCUGACUUCCUCUGACAAAAGGUGCUUCAGAGACCAUUUUUUAUAACCCUCGGUUACCUCCUCCAUACACCAAGUGUAAUUUUCUCUCUGCUAUACUUCGACCAAGAUCGAUGGCUGCCUCAACGAACUCUUUAUGUUUGCCAUAGGUAAAUCCAGAAAGCACACAAAUGUUCUUGAAUUGUCUAUUUGGAGUAGCUGCCAUUGUGAUACUUCUCAAAAAACAAUUUGUGAGUGCUUGACAAAAAAAAAUCACAUUUAAGAGUCUUGGUGACAGUGGGUCACAGUUGUGUAUGAGGUAACAUGUCAGUGUCAAAUAACGCGUAAAGCACGUGGCUCGCGAGUCAAAAAGGAAACAGUAAAAAGAAAAAAGCAAACAGUAAUAAGGAAAAAGCAAACAGUAAUAAAAUUAUUAAAAACAAUAAUACACACAAUAAAACAAUAGUGAAAUAAAAUAACAGUAAAGUGAAAGGAUAUUUACAGGUAGUUGCGACUGUGGCUCAUAUCUUCCUCUGGUUUUACGUCCAGAAACGGCUUGAACGCCCUCUAUGGGUUGAGGAUAGGCUUUCUAUCCAGUUUUCUUAUAAACUGGCAAACAGGGUCGUUUAUAUUCAGAUUCCCGAGACUAUAUCGUGCAUGCUCUUUCUGGAAUAAUGGUCAUAACUGGAGAAUCGCUCCUUGCACAUAUCCACUGGGAUGCGUUUCAAGAGACGGAAGGAUAUCAUCCAAUGACUCCUUAUUCAAGCCAUCCCUAAUGAAUUGAAUCUUAUCUUCCCUAUUAUCAGACACCAUUCCUAAAGAACAUGGGUUUUUAUUGCAACUCAUUCUGGCACACUUAUGACAAGCAACAGAAAUUCGUCGAGCUCGUCGUUUUCUUGCAUAAUUUCCUUUACCACAACCAGGCAUGUAUGCAAUAAAUUUUGGAGGUAACUUACCUGUCGAUCGUACUUUAGCCUCGAUUAACCAAUGGAUGUCAGCAGGUAUGUUAUUUCUCAUGAGCAAUCGCAUGCGUUCGGACCGAGCUUUAUAGAUCGUAAGAAGCGCAUUCUGAGGAAGUGAAGGAAAUCGCUUGUGAAGCUUCGCUAGAGUCUCGUUUCUGUCCAUAUCUUCGCUUCAGAAUAUCAGUUAUUAUGGGAAACUAAAGUAACCGACUUGAUUGUCACAGAGUACCGUUAUCCGCCACUUCAUCGGGGUAACAAACUCAAGCACACAAACAGAAAAACAAAUUAAAACAAACAAAGAAAAUUAAAAUCGUCCCCUUAUUGAAUUUACCUCAAGCUCCAACUGGAUGUCGUAAACACUUCUCUCAAUGUCUCGGAGUUGGCGUUCUAAACCCUUAACAUAGGCUACUAACUCUAGUGAUUGUAGAGCCCAAAUGCGAUGUGUUUUACAAAAUUGAAUCUGCCUUUUGAGAUGAGUUUUAACACGUUGAAGUGGUUUAAGAAUGUUCAGAAGGAACGGUCUAAGUAAUGUACUCAUGAUUAAAAAUGAUAAAAGAAAACUUAAUAGUUAAACAAACAUAUUUAUGCAAAAAUAAUUUCAAUUAGCAGAAGAAUAAUAUAAAGAAAGAAAAAAAAUCAAAUCAACGAAAAGAAAAAAAAAUCAAUUCAAAUCUGGUGGGUCACUCAAAUUUAUUUCGGUGUCUUCUCCAUGUGGUUGGUACUCUAGAUAUGACUUUAAUCUUUGACCAUUAACUUUAAACGUGACACCGUUCUUUGGGUCCUUAAUUUCAAUUGCCCCAUGUGGAAAAACAGUAUGAACAAUAAAGGGACCAGACCAUCGAGAGCGUAACUUACCUGGGAAUAAGUGCAAGCGAGAAUUGAAUAAAAGCACUUUCUGACCUGGAGUGAACGAUUUUCUCAUAAUUUGUUUAUCAUGGAAGACUUUCAUUCGUUGCUUAUAAAUCGUGGCAUUUUUGUAUGCAUCAUUGCGAAUUUCUUCAAGUUCUGCCAGUUGUAAUCUUCUUUCUGAGCUGGCUUGCUGCAUGUCAAAGUUGAAUUUCUUGAUGGCCCAAUACGCACGAUGCUCGAGUUCCACAGGUAGGUGGCAAGCUUUUCCAUACACUAGCCUGUAGGGUGACAUCCCAAUCGGGGUCUUGAAAGCCGUUCUAUAUGCCCAUAAGGCAUCAUCAAGUCUUAAUGACCAAUCUUUUCUGUCCGGCCUCACAGUCUUUUCUAAUAUGUGCUUUAUUUCUCGAUUGGAGAUCUCAACUUGGCCACUGGUUUGUGGAUGAUACGGGGUCGCCACUUUGUGUGUGAUUGAAUACUUUGUCAAAAGAGCUUUGAAUGCUUUGUUACAAAAGUGGGCACCACCAUCACGGAUUAUUGCUCGAGGGAAUCCAAAGCGUGAGACAAUAUUGCUUUUCAAAAAUCCUAUCACCAUUUUGUGAUCAUUGGUUCUGCAUGGAAUUGCUUCUACCCAUUUCAAUACAUAGUCAACAGCAACCAAUAUGUAUUGAUGGCCAAGAGAAGGGGGAAAGGGUCCCAUGAAGUCGAUACCACAUACAUCAAAAAUCUCAACCACUAAAAUUGGAUUUAGUGGCAUUAUGUUCCUUCGUGUAAUGCUCCCCAUUCGUUGACACCUAUCACAUGAAAAACAGAAAGUGUAAGCGUCUCGAAAUAUAGUUGGCCAAUAGAAACCACAUUGCAAAACUUUAGUAGCUGUUUUCUUAGCACUGAAAUGGCCUCCACAAGCUUGUUCAUGGCAGAAUGAAAGGAUAUUCUGAAUUUCACUUUUUGGGAAACAUCGUCUAACAAUUUGGUCUGCACAAUACUUGAACAAAUAAGGGUCAUCCCAAAAGAAAUUCUUUAUUUCUGCAAAGAAUUUAACCUUGUCUUGCUUGGUCCAAUGCUCAGGAAGUUUACCUGUAACAAGAUAAUUAACUAUAUCAGCAUACCAAGGUAAUACUUCCACAUUCAUUAAUUGUUCAUCUGGAAAUGACUCAUUCAAUGGUAAUGAUUCUGUAAUUGUGUCAAAAUGGAGACGAGAGAGGUGGUCUGCCACAACAUUUUCUGUCCCUUUCUUAUCUUUGAACUCCAAGUCAAAUUCCUGCAAAAGUAACACCCAACGAAUUAGUCUAGCUUUUGCAUCUUUCUUUGUAAGAAGAUAUUUAAGAGCAGCAUGAUCUGUGAACACGAUUAUUUUACAACCAAUGAGAUAAGAUCGAAAUUUCUCCAAUGCAAACACUACUGCUAGCAUUUCUUUUUCAGUAGUUGAAUAGUUCAACUGUGCAUCAUUCAAUGUCAUACUAGCAUAGUAAAUAACGUGGGGAAUUCGAUCAACUCUUUGUCCUAAUACUGCUCCUACUGCAUAAUCAGAUGCAUCACACAUGAGCUCAAAUGGUAAGCUCCAGUUUGGGGGCUGAAUGAUGGGUGAUGAUGUCAACAAUUGCUUUAGUUUUUCAAAUGCCACAAGACAUGAAUCAUCAAAGAUAAAAGGUACAUCCUUAGCAAGUAAAUUGCAUAAGGGUUUAGAAACUUUGCUAAAAUCUUUAAUAAAACGUCUAUAGAAACCAGCAUGCCCAAGGAAAGAUCUUACUUCUCUGACUGUUUUGGGUGGAGGAAGAUUAGAAAUGAGAUCCACCUUGGCUUUGUCAACCUCAAUACCUUUGCUCGAAAUGAUGUGACCGAGAACAAUACCUUGUUUUACCAUAAAAUGGCACUUCUCCCAAUUUAAGACUAAGUUCUUCUCGAUACAUCUCCGCAGAACUAAUGUUAGAUGAUGUAAACAUUGAUCAAAUGAAUAACCAAAGACAGAAAAGUCAUCCAUAAAGACUUCAAGGAAUCAUUCAACCAUAUCAGAAAAAAUGCUCAACAUGCAUCGUUGAAAUGUAGCAGGUGCAUUGCAUAAUCCAAAUGGCAUUCUCCUAUAUGCAAAUGUGCCAAAAGGGCAAGUGAAAGUAGUUUUCUCUUGAUCUUUUGGUGCUAUGGGAAUUUGAUUAUAUCCUGAGUAGCCAUCUAGAAAGCAAUAAAAUUCAUGGCCUGCUAAUCUAUCAAGCAUUUGAUCGAUAAAUGGUAAAGAAAAAUGGUCUUUACGUGUGACAGAAUUCAACUUUCUAUAAUCAAUGCAAACACGCCAUCCUGUAGUUACUCUAGUGGGUAUCAAUUCAUUAUCAGCAUUGGUAACUACUGUGACUCCUGACUUUUUGGGGACAACUUGUACAAGACUGACCCAUGAACUAUCAGAAAUUGGGUAAAUGAUACCUGCAUCUAAUAGCUUAAGGACUUCUGUUCUGACAACUUCUUUCAUAUUAGGAUUUAACCGACGUUGCAUUUCCCUAGUAGAUUUAGCAUUUUCAUCAAGGUGAAUGUAAUGCAUGCAGUCUACUGGAUUUAUACCUUUUAUGUCUGCUAUAGUCCAUCCUAAUGCUCCUCUGUGCUCUUUUAAAACAUCCAACAACUUACCUUUUUGUUCAUCAUUUAGGGAUGAUGAGAUGAUUACCGGUAGAGUACUUUCUUCUCCCAAAAAUGCAUAUUCCAGAGUGUUGGGUAAUGGUUUGAGCUUGAGUUUUGGUGGUGAUUCUGAUGAUGGGAUGAGUUUCUUCUCUGAUGGUGCUAGUUGCUCAACUCUUGACUUCCAUUUAUUAGUGUCCAUAAAUGGUGCUGAGUCAAGUAGGGCGUUGACCUCAUCGACCGAUCUGUCAAUAUCAAAAUCCAAACCAAAGUGAGUUAAACAUGUUUGUAAAGGAUCAUCACUAAGGUUUGAAACAAAAGUAUCAUCAACUAAUGCUUCAAUUAAAUCCACAUCAACAAUUCCAUCAUCUGCACUGUGAGGUUGUUUGGCAAUGUUGAAGAUGUUCAGCUCCAUAGUCAUGUUGCCGAAGGACAACUGUAUAUUUUCGGUCCUGCAUUGAAUGUGAGCAUCCGCAAUUGCCAAGAAAGGUCGGCCUAGAAUAAUGGGGAUGUGCUUCCUCGAGUCCUGUAUUGGUUGAGUGUCAAUUACAAUGAAAUCAACAAGAAAAUAAAACUUGUCUACCUGGAUAAGCACGUCCUCGACAAUACCACGAGGUAUUUUUGUGGACCGAUCUGCAAGUUGUAACACCACUGGAGUUGGGUGUAAUUCUCCAAGUCCAAGUUUCACAAACACUGAAUAAGGUACCAGAUUUACACUAGCUCAUAAAUCCAACAAAGCAUUCUCAAUUGUGUGGUUCCCUAUGCUACAUGAGAUAGUGGAGGAGCCUGGGUCUUUGCAUUUUAAAGGAAUUUUGUGUUGGAGUAUAGAACUAAUGUUUUUUGUUAAAAAUGCCUUCUUUUGAACAUGCAUAUUUCUCUUUUUAGUACAAAGGUCUUUAAGAAACUUGGCAUAAGAUGGAACUUGCUUAAUAGCAUCAAGCAAAGGGAUAUUAACACUUACCUGUUUGAAGAUUUCAAGAAUCUCACCUAUGGAUUUUUCCUUUUUUCCUUUAGCUAACCUCUGAGGAAAUGGAGCUUUCGGAACAUAUUCUUGUGGGUUGGUUUCUUCUUUCUCCUCCGGUGAUGAGUCCUCAACACUCACAGCUACAAUUUGAUUUUCUUUUGUCACCGGCAUCUCCACUUUGUUGUCGACUUCUUUUCCUUUUCGCAAGGUCAUGACUGCUUUGACCUCUCCAUGCUGCUGUGGUGAACUGGUACUUGCUUCACGUACUCCUUUAGGGUUAGGCACUGAUUGACUUGGAAAUUUGCCUUUCUCAACAGUAAUUGCCAAGGUCUGAACUGAAGAAGCAAGUUGUCCCACCAUCUUCUCGGGGCUUGAAACUGAUUGAGCUUGUGUGUUGAAGCCUGCUCUUAGCUUUUUUCGUAGUCCAUCAAUGGUGCGGUUCUGUUGCUCAAUCGUAGAGUGAGUAAGAUUCUUGAGAUUUUGGAAUGAAUCCUCCCAUGGUCUAGGUUGAGAGUAGUUCUGGUUCUGAUUGAUGGUCUAAAUGGGGGCUGAGAGGCUUGAGGAUUUUGAGAAAUUUGUUGCAUUGGUGGAGUUAGAGCCGCUGGUCCAUUCUGUUGGAAUCCUUGAGACCAUGAAAAAUUGGGGUGGUCUCUCCAUCCAGGGUUAUAUGUGUUGGAGUAUGGGUUGUAAUUUGAUGGUUUUCUCAUUACACCUAUGGCAUUGGCUUGAUCUGAGUAUGAGUCAUGGUCAUGUGGCUCUGUUGAUUUAGCAGUCGAUAACGAUGCUAUUUGUCGAGCAAGACCUUCAACCAUCUCCUUGACUUCUUUGAUUCCCGAAGUUGACUCGCCAAUUUGAACCUCAUUUACUACCUUAAUUCUUCUAGUAUUCCUAAUUGAUCGACUCCGUUGUUGGGAAUUAUCUGCUUGUCGCUGAAAGAAUUCCCAAAUCUUUGAUGCACUUUUUGACAUUAGCUCUCCUCCACUUGUUGCCAUUAGCCAUUCUUGCACAUUCGGCAAUAAUCCCUCUAAAAAGUAUUGGCAUUGGUGCCAUUUCUUGUACCCAUGAUGUGGACACUUCAAGAGUAGCCCAUUGAAUCGCUCCCAUGUUUCGAAAAACUGCUCGUCCUCUCUCUGGGUAAACUUCGAGAUUUCCCUGUGAAUAGCAUUAGUUUUAUGCACUGGGAAAUAUUUAUUCAAAAAUUUUGUAACCAUUUGUUCCCAUGAUGUGAUGCUAUUAGCAGGUAAAGUAUUUAACCAUGAACGAGCUCUAUCCUUUAAAGAAAAUGGGAAUAAUCUGAGUUUAACAUCAUCGUCUGAAAAAUUUUCGUAUUUAAAAGUUUGACAAAUGGCAUGAAAAUCAUUCAGAUGAUUAUAUGGGUCCUCAUUUUCUAAGCCAUAGAAUGUGGGGAGACAAUUUAACACACUAGGUUUUAGUUCAAAACUCCUAGCAGCUACAUUUGGGUAUCUUAUGCAUGAUGUGCUCAAAUUAGCUAAGGGACUAAAAUAGUCAUUAAAUGGCCUCUCCUGUGGUGCUUGUAAAUCCAUUCCAAAUUUAUUUUUAAUGUGCUUUUGUGUGCGAAGUGUUUUUUCUAAUUCAAGGUCUAUAGGUUCAAGAUUAGGAAAUAAUGACUUACGACCAUGCAUGCAAAACAAAUAAAAUAAAAAUAAAGAUGGGAACAAAACAAAUAAAAAUAAAGAAGAGAGAGAAAUUAUGAUACCAACCUUAUUGCGCUAUUACAACCUUUCUAUAAAAAUACACAAAAAUAAAUACGUGAAAUAAAUUAACUAAAAAUUAAAUUAAUAAAAUAAAAAAAAAUUACAAAGAAAAAUAAAUUGAAAAUUAAAUUACAGAAUUUUAAAGAAGAGAAAAAGGAAAGAAAUACUAACCUUUAAAUGUAGAUUCACUUUUUUUUUUCUUUUUUUUUAAUAAUAAAAAAAAUACAAGAAAACAAAUAAAAGAAAUUAUUCACAAAAAUUAAUUCUAAAAAUUACUUACCUCCCCGGCAACAGCGCCAAAAACUUAUUGUGCAAAUUUUAAUGUACUCGCAAGCGCACGAAUCUAUUGUAGUAUAGAUCAAUGGUGACGAGUGUCGAUCCCACGAGGAGGUGGAUUUUAAUUGUGUAGAAUUAAUUUUGUGAAUGGGUGAUUGGAUUUGUGGUGGAAAUGAUUUGGAAUAUGCUAAAACUUAAAUUAAAAUGGCGAGAAUAAAUUCUAAAAUUGGUAUUGAAAUGGUGAGAAUAAAUUGAAGAGAAUUCUAUUGAAAUGACGUACUUAGGUAUCUGGAUCCGUAUCAACAUGCAUCAUGGGCUAAAUAAUCCUUAUUAAUGCCAAUUAAAUCAUGAGGGGGGAAUCCACACCUCAUGAACCACACUCUAAUCAAUAUGGUGCUAAGAGCUUAUCGUGCCAAAUAAUAAUAACUUUGUACUAGAGGACCGGUGAAACCAAGGCGGUACUAGACAAGAUUAGUAUUAUUUGUCGACAAGAAGUCAAAACAUCCACAAAAAUUAGAGGGGAAGAGAAAAUAAAUUUACCAAAUAAAGCCCAUAACACAUGUUGAGACUUCACUUUCAACCCAAGCUUAAAAGAAAAUUAGCCACUCAUAAUUAAACUAGGGGCAAAAUGGGAAUUUAUUAAAAUAUGAAUAAAAUACAAGAUGGAGAAGGAAUUACAGAAAAUGGAUUCAGAGCUAUCAAAUUAGGGGGGAGUCCCCCGUUUUGUAGAUACAUGGAGUAAAUCAUGGCCAUCGGAUUAAAAACAGUUUGGACGCUCAUGAUUACGCCACGUCGUCAGUCAACAGUACGCGGUUUGACCACGCGGAUGAACAGUAACACGGUUUGACUCGGAUGAACGCUAAUGCGGUUUGGUUGAAAAUAAUCCAGUGUGAUGCAUGUACCGUACGCGAGAUUUUUCGUCCACUGAUAUGCUGCCACGUCACCAUCAACAGUACAUAAGAAUUUUAGCCCAACAGGAUCGUGACACCUCAUUAGUCAAUGCCACAUCAUUGGUCAAUGCCACAUCAUCGAUCCGUCUAUGUGAACAGUGUCGUGAACAGUAAUUCAGACAGUACCGUACACGUGAAUAGUACCGUACAUAUGAAUAGUGUCAUUUUUCCUUUUAUACUCCUCCUAAGGUUUUCGACCGUCCUGAGUUCAAAAGUGAUGUCCGUUUUACCGUCUGAUCUCUCUUUUAUUGUGAAAUGACUAUAAUGCCCCUAAAAUACAUAAAAUACUUAAUUAAAAUAAAACACAUGUAAUUAAAUCACAAGAAGGUUAAAUACAUAAAAGUAAGGGUUGGUAGUAAAACUUGAAAUGUAAAAUGACGGUUUUCUCCUUUAUAAAUAUGCAUUUUCUAACACUCAACAGCUACUUAAACGAACUCCUUAUACUUUUCAUAGUGAAAUCCAGAAAGCACACAAACGUUUUUAAGUUGACUGCUUGAAGUUGCUGCCAUUACAAAAAUUCUAAAAAGAAACAAUUUGUGAGUGCUUGAAAAGGAGUUCCUAUUUAAGGAUCUUGGUGACGGACAUAAUGAUGUACAUCUGUAAAUGGGGUGGUGUGUUUGUCAAAUGACGUGUGAAGCUUUUAAUUAAUAAUUCAAAUGCAAACAAUGAAAAGAAAAAGCAAACGGUGAUUAGAUAAAAUAAAAAAAACAAUAAUAAUAAUAAUGCAAAAGAUAAAAGAACGGUAAAAUAAAAGGAUAUUUACUGGUAGUUGUGAUUGUUGCUCACAUCUUCCUCUGGUUUUACAUCCAGUAACGGCUUGAACGCCCUCUAUGGGUCGAGGAUAGGGUUCUCAUCUAGUUUUCUUAUAAACUAGUAAACAAGGUCUUUUAGAGUCAGAUUCUCAAGCCUAAACUGUGCACUUUCCUUUUGGAACAACUUCCACAAAUUUUGAAUUUCACGUUGAACAUAUCCGCUCGGAUGCGUCUCAAGAGAUCGUAAGAUAUCAUCCAAUGAUUCUUUACUCAUGCUAUCCUUAGCGAAUUUGAUUUUAUCUUCACGAUUUACAGAAACCAUUCCUAAAGCUUUACAACGUGGAUUUUUGCAAGCAAGUCUUACACAAUGAGAACAUUCAGAGCCAAGUCGCUUAGCUCUUCUUUUCUUAGCAAAUGUACUUUUACCAAAACCAGGCAUGUAGGAAAUGAAUGGAUCAGAAAACUCACCUGUCAAUCAGACCUUUGCUUCGAUUAACCAGCGAAUGUCAGUAGAAAUCCCAUUGAUCAUUAACAAACGCAGUCGUUCACAAUGAGCUUUGUAACUCUUCUUAAGAGCAUUUUGAGGGAGAGAAUGAAAAUGUUGAUGCAAAUUUUGUUGUAUUUCUUCCAUGCUUGACAUUGAGGUUUCAGUUAUUGUGGGAAACUGAGAAUACCGACUUAAAAAGUCACGGAGUACCGUUAUCCACCAUUUAUACGAGAGAGUGAAUCAAAACAAAACAAAUCAAAUCUGCAAAAUCAAAUCAAAAGUGAAAAAUAACAAUAAAAUAAAACAAAAACACACAAGGAAUAUAACACACCUUCGUCCUUUUAUUGAAUCUAGUUCCAAUUGCAGAUUAUAAAUACCAUCAUCUAUUUCCUUGAGUUGUCUUUCUAGAUCUUUCACGUGAGAUACUAACUUUGGUGGUUGCAGAUCCCAAAUGGGAUGUAAUUUACAAAAUCGGAGCAAUUUCCUCAAGUGAAAUUUUACAUGAAAAAGUUUUUUAAAAUGAUCAAAAAGGAAAUUUCUCAUGGAGGUACUCAUGACAAGUAUAAAAAUUUGGUGAGCUAAAUCACAAUUGAUAAAAAUUUGGUGAGCUAAAUCACAAUUGUCAAACAACACACAAUUAAAACAAUGUAAUGCACUCCAUUCAAGACAUAGGGAAAAGGAAAAAGAAAAAGAAAUCAAAUAAUUCAAACGAUAAAGUAACAGUAAAUCAAAUUCACAAAACGUUGAAAUGAAAAGGCUUAAUCAAAAUUUUGGUGGGUCACUCAAAUGGAAUUUGGUAUUUGCUUCAUGUGGUUGGUAUUCCAUAUAUGGUUUCAAUUUUUGGCCAUUAACUUUAAAUGUGACACCAUCCUUUGGAUUCUCAAUUUCUACGGCUCCAUAUGGAUACACAGUUUUUACAACAAAUGGACCAUUCAACUUUGACUUUAAAUUCCCUGGAAAUAAAUGAAAACGAGAAUUAUAAACCAACACUUUUUCACCAAUUUCAAAUGUUUUCCGAAAAAUUCUUUUGUCAUGAAAAAAUGUGGUUCUUGCCUUAAUAAUUUUGGAAUUACCAUAUGCAUCAUUUGUUAAUUCCUCAAGUUCAUUUAUUUGCAAUUUACGCACAUUGCCAGCAUCAUCAAGAUUUGAAUUAAAAGCUUUAAUGGCCCAAAAUGAUUUAUGUUCAAGUUCUACUGGUAAGUGGCAAGAUUUUCCAUAAACAAGUCGAUAGGGUGACAUUCCUAAAGAUGUUUUAAAAGCAGUACGAUAUGCCCAAAGUGCAUCAAUUAGUCGAAGAGACCAAUCUAUACGGUUUGGAUUAACUAUUUUUUCUAAAAUUUGUUUUAUCUCCCUAUUUGCUAAUUCAACUUGACCACUUGUUUGAGGGUGAUAAAGGGUAGCAACCUUAUGUGUAAUUCCAUAUUUCUUCAUUAAAGACUCAAAUGGCUUAUUACAAAAAUGCUUACCUCCAUCACUGAUAAUGACUCGAGGUUUUCCAAAUCUGCUCAAAAUAUUUUCUUUUAAAAAGCGGAUCACAAUCUUGUGAUCAUUGUGCUGACAAGGAAUUGUCUCGAUCUAUUUUGAAACAUAAUAAACAACAACCAAAAUGUAUACAAAUCCAAAUGAUGAUGGAAAAAGACCCAUAAAAUCAAUUCCCCAACAAUCAAAUAUUUCAAUGACAAGGAUGGGGUUUAAAGGCCUCAUGUUCCGCUUUGAAAUAGACCCUAUCAUUUGACAACUCUUACACAUUUUACAGAAUGCAUGUGAAUCUUUAAAUAAUGUAGGCCAAUAAAAUCCACACUGUAAUAUUUUGCAGCUGUCUUUUUUGAAGAAAAAUGGCCACCGCAUGCUUCAGAAUGACAAAAUUGAAUGACCCUACUUACCUCGUCGUUUGGUAUGCAUCUUCAAAAAAUUUGAUCGGAGCAGUACUUGAACAGGUAUGGCUCAUCCCAGUAAAAGCUUUUUACUUCUGUUAAGAAUUUUUUCUUGUCUUGGGAACUCCAGUCACAUGGCAUUUCACCUAUUGCAAGAUAAUUAACAAUAUUAGCAUACCAAGGCAUUUUGUUUAUAGAAAACAAAAAUUCAUCAGGGAAAGAAUCAUUGAUGAGUGUUGUUUCAAUUGAAGACUCAUUUGUAAGUCUUGAAAGAUGAUCUGCAACAACAUUUUCAGCGCCCUUUUUGUCCUUGAUUGUCAAAUUAAAUUCUUAAAGUAGCAAAAUCCAUCGUAUCAACCUUGGUUUGGCAUCCUGUUUUGACAUUAAAUAUCUCACAGUAGCAUGAUCAAAAUAAACAACAAUAGAUGAACUAAUUAAAUACGAAAUUUAUCCAAUGCAAAUAUUAUAGCAAGUAGUUCUUUCUCAGUUGUAGUGUAAUUCAUUUGAGCAGUAUUCAAAGUUCUACUUGCAUAAUAGAUGACAAAGGGCUUACCUUCCUUUUUUUGACCCAGAACAGCGCCAACGGUAUAAUCACUAGCAUCACACAUUAGCUCAAAAGGUAAAGACCAAUCAGGGGGUUGCAUUAUUGGGGCUGAUGUCAAAAGACUAAUUAUCUUUUCAAAAGCUUGUUGACAAUCUUUAGUCCAUUCAAAUUGUGUGUCUUUUAUUAGGAGGUUACAAAUUGGUCUAGAUAAGGCACUAAAAUCUUUUAUAAACCUCCUAUAAAAUCCUGCAUGUCCUAAAAAAGAACGGACUUCUCUAAUUGUCUUUAGUGAGGGUAAUUUUGAAAUGACUUCAACUUUGGCUUUAUCAACUUCGAUUCCUUUUGAAAACACAAUAUGGCCCAAGAUAAUUCCAGAAGUGGUCAUGAAAUGACAUUUUUCCCAAUUUAAAACGAGUCCUUUUUCUUUGCACUUUUCCAAAACGUUUUCUAGAUUAUCAAGACAUGUAUCAAAAGAAUUACCAAAUACAGUUAAAUCAUCCAUAAAAACCUCUAGACAAUUUUCAACCAUUUCACUAAAAAUGCUUAGCAUGCACCUUUGAAAUGUUGCAGGAGCAUUACAAAGUCCAAAGGGCAUUCUCCUAAAUGCAAAUGUUCCAAAUGGGCAUGUGAAUGUGGUCUUUUCCUGGUCUUCUAAGGCUAUAGGGAUUUGAUAAUAGCCAGAGUAGCCAUCAAGAAAGUAGUAGUAAGGAUGUCCAGUUACUCUUUCGAGAAUUUGGUCUAGAAAUAGAAGGGGAAAAUGAACUUUUCUAGUGGCAUAAUUUAAUUUUCUAUAAUCAAUGCACAUGCGCCAACUAGAUAGAAUUCGUGUUAGGAUUGAUUCACCUUUUCAUUUUUUACAAUAGUUAUUCCAGAUUUUUUGGUACUGCUUGUGUUGGACUUACCCAUUUACUAUUAGAGAUAUGGUAGAUAAUUCCUACAUCUAGUAGUUUAAGGAUCUCAUUUUUUACCACUUCUUUCAUAUGAGGGUUUAGUCUUUUAGCAUUUUCCUCUAAGUGUAUUCGGUGUGUGCAAAUUAAAGGAUUAAUGCCUUUCAUGUCUUUUAAGGUCCAAUCAAAUGCAAAUUUUAUGCCUUUUUAGUACAGAUAACAACUUACCCUCUUGAUCAUGUGUGAGUUGAGAAGAAAUUACCACCAGAUAGAAGAAAUUACCACCGGAUAUGUCUGCUGCUCUCCAAGAUAGGCAUACUUCAAUUCUUCUGGUAAGGGCUUUAAUUCGAGCUCUGGUGCUUCCUCUUCGUUUGCUUCUUCAAGUUGUACCGUAUCUUCAAAGUUUGAUUGGUCAUCGUCACUUAUAGGUACCUGCAUAGAAUCAAGUGUAGGACAUAUGUUAGCAGUAUCAAAUGAUUGGCUCAUCCUGAAUGUGUUCCUCAAUGAUUGGCUCGAUGAGAUCAAUAUCAUCAUUCUCAUUAUCAUCAUCUUCUUGGUGGUGAGGUUGUUUACACAUGUUGAACACAUUGAGUUCCAGUGUCAUGUUGCCAAAAGAUAAAUUCAUUAAUCCAUUCAUGCAAUUUAUCAAAGCAUUAGCAGUAGCUAAAAAUGGUCGACCCAAUAUAACAGGAAUUUAUUUGCAUUUAUUAGCAAUCGGUUCCGUUUCCAAAACAAUAAAAUCCACAGGAUACAUGAAUUUAUCGACCUGGACUAAUACAUCUUCAAUUAUUCCUUUUGAAACCUUAAUCGAUCUAUCAGCAAGUAAAAGAGUGGUAGAAGUUGGUUUUAACUCACCGAGAUUGAGUUGUUGGUACACUGAGUAAGGAAGUAAAUUAACACUAGCACCAAGAUAAAGUAAAUCAUGUCUAAUUUUAUGAUCCCCAAUAGUGCAAGAAAUAGUUGGACAACCAGGAUCCUUGUAUUUCAAAGCACUAUUGGUUGAGAGAAUAGAACUUACCUGUUAUGCUAGAAAAGCUCUCUUUUGCACCUUAUGUUUCCUUUUCACCGUACACAGAUUUUUCAAAAAUUUAGCAUAGGACGGCACCUGUUUAAUGACAUCCAGCAGAGGAAUGUUGACCUUUACUUGUUUAAAAACUUCAUAAAUUUCUGGACUGUGGUUUGAUUUCUUUGGCUUGAUUAGUGCUUGAGGAAAUUGGGGUACAAGAGGAGAGUUGGUUAUUUCUUCAUAGGUUAAAGGUUCGACAAACUCUUCUUUAUUUUUUGAAAUUGAAUCUUUACUAGUUUCACGAGGGUCCACAAUGUGUUUUUCAACUACUUUACCACCACAAAGGGUUAUAACCGAUUUGACUUGACUCAUAUUUUGGUUUCCUGAAUUUCCCAUUUUAGGAUGUUGUUGACUCUUGGGGUUUGGUUCAGGUUGAGCAAGAAACUUUCCUUUUUCAUGUAUGGUUAGAGCAGAUAUAAGUUUGGAGAUAGUUUCUAUAGGUUUGCAUCUUUUGGUUAUUGAUUGACUCUUGUUUUUCAAUAAACGAAUGCAAUAUUUCUUUUAGAGUUUUUCUUGGUGGUGGGACAUACGGUGGGUAACUCUGGGAGUUUUGGAAAUUUUGACGUGGAGGGACUAGUUGUGAAGGUUGUGCAGAAUUGUCAUUUCUCCAACUGAAAUUUGGGUGGUUUCUCCAACCAGAGUUGUAAGUUUGGGAGUAUGAAUUUGGAUUUGGCCUUUUGAAAUUGUCAACAACAUUUACUUGUUCAUGCAGACUUUCUCUCAGAGCUGGUAAAGUUGGACAGUCCUGUGUAGAAUGGUCAGUAGAAUCGCAAACAUAACAUGAAAUAUUUUGAACAGACUUUACAUGAUCAUUCUUUUUCGACUCUAAUGCUUCGACUUUUCUAGCUAAUGAUGCAAAUUUGGCUUGAAAAUCAUGGUCUUCCCUAAGGUUAUGCAUGCCUCCACCAGAUGGAGAUGACUUGGGUUUACUUGAUGACUUAUAAAAACCAACUGUAUCCCAGUGUUGUGCAUUUUCUGCUAUAUAGUCAAGAUAGUCUAAUGCAUCUUCAGGACUUUUAUCCCUAAACUCACCAUUACACAUCAUUUUAACGACUUGUCUACCUUGGGAUGUUAAUCCCUCAUAGAAAUAAGACACUAAUCUCCAUGUUUCAAACCGUGAUGUGGACAAAUGUUAAGCAGUUCUUUAAACCUAUCCCAACAUUGGUAGAGAGUUUCUCCUGGUUUUUGAGUGAAAAUGGUAAUUUUAAAAUAUAAGUGUGCAACCCAAGAGGGCAGGUGAAUUGGAAUUUUAAAAAUUAUCCUAGCAAAUCCACACAACAAGCAAUCUAAUGUCUUAAUAAAAAUUGAAAGCAAUAAGUUCAAUAAAAGCACAAGAACAAAUGAGUAAGAGAGAAGAGAAACAAACAUACGAAAUUUUACGUGGUUCGGCAAUCCCCGCCUACGUCCACGCCUCCAAGCGAUCCAGGCUUGAGAAUUUCACUAUCCGAGCCUUUCCAAGGCUUCAACCGUUUACAAUUGACUUCAAGGUGUCAAUGAGCCUUUACAACAAAGAGAUUAUCUCCCAAUCUCUUCACUCAAGUGUCUCACACACUCAAACUUUUACAAUUAAGAUGAAGAAAUGAAAGUUACAAUAAAACUCACUCAAAGAGUAGAUAUUCAAAAAUGAAGAAUAAGAAAUGAUUCAAUGUUUUGUGAUUUGCAAAUUGAAAGCUCAAGAUAUCUCGUGUGCUUUUUGUUUAUGCUUGGUGGAGAGCUUGAAAAUGAGUUGGAUUUGAGUUUAUAUAGUUUAAGCUAAAAAACUAGUCGUUAUGCACAUAUUUUGGUCGUAACUGGCUUGCCAUUUAGGAAUCCAGUAAGCCGCUUUUAUGUUACCGUUAAGGCAAAAAUUUGAAUUUCAGAAUAUCCGGCUUGCCGCUUUUCAUAUCCGGUAAGCCGCUUUUGAAAUCCGAAUUGCCGCUUGCGAAAUCUGGUAAGCCGUUUAUGCUCCAGAAGCUUACUGCCCAAAAUCUGGUUCGCUGUUUAACAUAUCCGGUAAGCCGCUUGCUACAGUGACUGCUACAGUGAAAUAUUUCCUAAAUUUACAGUUUAACCUAAAACUUUAUAAAACUAUAUUAUAGCCCAAAACGUUAUGAAAGUUUGCAAAUAGGUCCAAUUUUAGAAUUUUAAAUAAUGCUUUGUCAAUCCCAAAACUUUUUGAAAUUAUGAUUUCGCCCAAACUAUGUGAAAUUCUAGAAUGACCCAAAAAUAUUUAAAUAGUUUCAAAUAGGUCCAAAUCCGAAAUUUAAAACAUUAUCAAAGAUUUUAAAAUAUUUUCAUUUUAGUCCAAAAUACUUUAAUUCCAUAACAUCAUUUUCUUAUUAUAAAAGCAAAAUUCAUAAAUCUUUGCUUAAUCAAUACAUGUGAUUUGUUAUCAUCAAAAUCAAUAUUUAUAGCCAUAUAGGCUAACAAUCUUCCCUUUUUUUAUGAUGACAAAACACAUUAUAAAAAAUUUAAUCUAGUUAUGAAAAGCUCCCCCUUAAUCAAUAAAAUUGAUUUAAAAAUUAUUUAACAAGACUCCCCCCGCAUACAUGCAUAUUUUCAUAACACUUUUAUAACACAUAUUAAAUUAUUCUCCCCCUUCAUCAUCAAAAAGAAUAAAAGCUCCCCCUAUCAAUCAUCAAAGUCGCAAUACAAGCACAUUAGAAAAAAAAAAUACCCAUAGACAUAAGGAAAUCCAUAUAAUCCAUAAUAAACACUCAAAACAAAUCCAUAUCAUCCAAAACAAAUACAUAAUCCAAAAGCAUAAUAACCAUCCAUAAAGUCGAAAAUAAAAAGACAUAAUGCAGUAAAUGAAAUGUAGGUGUGUCCAAAUACAAGCAUAAGAGACUACGGAGGUGGUGAGGAUAGUGGUGAUGGAGGUGGAUACGGAUAUGGAAUGCCGAAGUGCUCAAAGUGGAGGCGAUGUCCAUGAAUGAGCUGCUACUGCAGCUGCUACUGCUGCUGCGGAAACUCAUUCUGCCGUAAAGCGAGUGUCCGCACCUCAUCCAUAAGCUGCUGAAGAGUAACCUCUUCAGCGGUAGGAGGCUGUGUAAGUGAUGAAGCGGAUGUAGAGGCACCAGGAGCUGAAGCAAUAAUGGGAGGAUCUCGGCGUCGACGCUACCCUCGAAAUGAGAGUGAGAAAACGGGUAGCUGAUCGGCUGGAACCACAGUAUUAAGUGGGCGAUCAUCACUUGGAGCAAGAAAGGUAAACUUGUUCUCUGUGUAUUUGACCCAAGUGCCAUUUUUCUACUCAAAGCCUAAGCUGAAGAUAACAUCAUCCCCAAUACCCUUAGACGGUCUACAUGAUGGUUCUAGAUUCGGCACAUCAAAGAAUUUAAGGAUUCAGGUAAUGAAGUGACCAUAUGGAAGGGAGCGAGUAAUCAAGGAAGGUAUGGUGAACAUGGUUCGGAUAAUGGUAUAGCCCAAGUUAACCGGAUGACGUCUAAGAAUACAGUCAAUCAAAGCAACGUCCCUAUGAGAGACCUCAUCUAAAUGCCCUGAUCUAGGAAGCACAAUGGACUGAAUAAUACGAAGCAAAAUGCGAGUUUGAAGACAAAGACACUGAGUGCGGAAGUGAAUGGUACAAUCCUCAACAGAAAGAUCAUUACACCGACAAAUAUUACGAACGGCGUCAACAUGAACAUAACUAUCAAGUUUAGGAGAUUUCCUAGGCGAACAAAUUUCUAGGCCAAAAUCGGAUGAUCCUAAGAUAGAGUUUAAUAUGAAAACAUCAAAAUCAAUCAUAACUCCUCCAACAUUAGUGAUUACUCGAGUCUUGUUCUCCUCGGAAAAUUCCAUAUUCGAGUAAAACACUUUCACCAAGUCGGGAUACAAGCUCUCCUCAAUCAAAAGUGCAUCAAUCCAACCAACAUCUCUCAACAAUUGAAAUAAAUUUCUAUGACUAAUAUUGAGAGUAUGCAUCACAUCCGGUAAAACAUAAAACGUAUUGAGUACCUCACGAGUGCUGAACCUUUGUUGAAACUGUUUGAUCAAAUGUUUCGUGCUCUAAAAGUGAGUGGACUCAAAAUUGGAUUGAUUGGAGGUGCCCCCUGCUUGCCGUGACUGGUUGGUUGAUUGAAUCGGUUCUUUGCCUUUUCUUCGAACUGGCCAUGAACUUGACAUUGGGAUUUGAUUGAUUUGAAGUUGAAAAAGACAGAAAAUGAAGAUGAUGAAGAUUGAAAGUAUGUUGAGAAGCAAUUUGGAUAAAAACGGCUUGAGAGUGAGAAACUUAGAGAGAGAAAAUUCGACUGAAAAACCUAGAUUGACUUUGGGAUCUAGAGAUUUAGAUGUUGAAAAUGGAGUUUAAAGAUCAUUUUGAAAAAAUGAAGUGAUGGGGAAUGAUUUUCGUGACUCAAUUUGAUGCGAAAAAGGAAGAGAAUGAUGGAUUUUGGAGUGAGAUAGAGUGACGAACAAACGGUUUUUAGAGAGAGAGAGAGAUCUGGUUGGCCGAAUGAGAGGGAGAAGAUGAACAGUUUAUAUAGCUCCCGAAUCCGGCUUGCCGGAUUUCACUAACCGGCUAGCCGGUUAGUGACCACAAACAUAAAAGCCGUAAACAACUUGCCGGAUACGUUAUCCGAUUUUCUAGAUAGCUUCCAGAAUGGGUCAAACAUGCAUUUGGCUUGUCGGUUUCAAGUCAGAAUUAAGCUUCACGAAUUCGGCUUACCGGAUUUAAGAACCAGUUAGCCGAUUGUGAGGCAGAAACAUGCAAAUCGUAACCGAUUUUUUGGAUUUGAAGAACCGGCUGUCUGGUUUUGAGGCAGAGAGGAAGCUUAACAAAUCCGGUUUUCCUGAUUUAAUAACCGGUUGACCGGUUUGCGUUCAGUGAUCUCUAGAAUACAUCCGGCUUUCCGAUUUGAUAAAUUCGGUUUUCGAAUGUUGACCCGAGAGCAACCAAAGCUAAUCCGGCUUACCGGUUUGAUAAAUCCAGUUAUCCGAAAUUUGUUCCGAGAGGAAUCAACAAGAAAGCGUUUUUCCGGAUGAGAGGAAGUGGUAUAUCGGUUUAGACUUGGAAAUCUAUUUGGCUCUAAUUAAAUUUUGGCAAGCUCUUAUACUUGUAUUACACACACCAUUUUAUUAUUGGCUUUUAAAAUUGAUUAAUUUUAAAUUAUUUUGAGAUUUAAAACUUUUCAAUAAGCCAUUUAAUGCAUGAAACAUAAAAUCAUAAAAUUACAAGCAUAUCAAGUUAUCUAAUUCAUGAAGCAUAAAUCCAUAUAAUAACAAACAUAUCAAGCCAUGUAUUAAAACAUAAGUCAAGCUGCAACAUUCAUCAUUCCAAGCUCAUGUCUUAUCUUUAUAAAAUGCUCUUCGCUAAGAGGUUUUGUAAAGAUAUAUGCAAGCUGAUUUUCAGUAGAAACAAAUUUAAUUACAACAUCUCCUUUUUUAGCAUGAUCUCUAAGGAAAUGAUGUCUAAUUUCUAUAUGCUUAGUCCUAGAAUGUUGAAUGGGAUUCUUGGAAAGGUUUAUAGCACUAGUAUUGUCACACAAGAUAGGUAUUUGAUCAAGUUUAAUACCAUAGUCUCUAAAGGUUUGUUUCAUCCAAAGAAUUUGUGCACAACAACUACCUGCAGCAAUAUAUUCUGCCUCGGUGGUUGAUAGCGCAAUCGAGUUUUGUUUCUUACUAAACCAAGAGACAAGUGAAUGGCCUAGGAAGUGACAUGUUCCACUAGUACUUUUUCUAUCAACCUUAUAUCCAGCAAAAUCGGUAUCCGAAUAACAAGUCAAUAUGAGUUCCCCUAAGAUACCAAAGGCCAAGAUUAAUGGUGCCAAUCAAAUAUCGAAAAAUGCGUUUGACAGCAAGUAUGUGUGACUCUUUAGGACAAGAUUGAAAUCUAGCACACAAGUAUACACUAAACAUAAUAUCAGGCCUACUAGCAGUCAAGUAGAGUAAGGAUCCGAUCAUACCUCGAUAUGUCUUGAUAUCAACUUCCUUACCUUUCUCAUCUUUGUCUAGCUUGAUGGUGGUACUCAUUGGAGUGCUUUUUGCAGUUCCAUUAUCAUAACCAAAUCUUUUGAGUAGAUCUUUCAUGUACUUGGCUUGAUUUAUGAAAAUUCCUUCCUCAUUUUGUUUGAUUUGGAGUCCAAGGAAGUACUUCAACUCUCCCAUCAUACUCAUCUCAAAUGUUUUGCUCAUAUAAGAUGAAAAAUCUUUACACAACAACUCAUUAGUAGAACAAAAAAUAAUAUCAUCAACAUAAAUUUGAACAAUAAGUAUAUCUUGGUUCUUAUGCUUAACAAAUAAAGUUGUGUCCGCUUUUCCCAUUGAAAAAUCAUUAUCCAACAAGAAGUUUUUAAGCCUAUCAUACCAAGCUCUAGGUACUUGUUUUAGUCCAUACAAAGCCUUAGAUAACUUGUACACAUGAUCUGGAAAUUUUUCAUUUUCAAAACCAGGAGGUUGUUUCACAUAAACUUCCUCCAUAAUAUAACCAUUUAAGAAAGCACUCUUGACAUCCAUUUGAUAUAAAAUAAAAUCUUUAUGACAUGCAUAUGCUAACAACAUCCUAAUGGAUUCUAACCUUGCUACAGGUGCAAAUGUUUCAUCAAAAUCAAUUCCUUCUUCUUGGUUGUAACAUUGAGCCACUAAUCUAGAUUUAUUUCUUACAACCACACCGGAUUCAUCCAUUUUAUUUCUAAAUACCCAUUCAGUGCCUAUAAUGGAUUGAUGUUCUAGAUUAGGAACUAAUUCCCACACAUUGUUUCUCUCAAAUUGAUUCAACUCCUCUUGCAUUUCCAUAAUUCAAGAUUCAUCAUUUUCCGCAUCCAUAAAGAAUUUGGUUCAAUUUGAGAGAUAAAUGCAACAUGCUCACAUGUGUUCUUAAUGGAUGAUCUAGUGGUAAAACCUCGUGAGGGAUCUCCUAAAAUUACAUCCUUAGGGUGAGAGGAAACAUACCUCCACUCCUUAGGGAGUGUUUAAGAAGUACCUUCAUUUUGCUCUACAUUUGUUUCUUCAUGAUGUUCCUCUUGAAUUCCAUGUGGUGCGUCUUUUUGGUUGUCAUUUGAUGCUUCUUCUUGUUGUUCUUCUUCUGCAUUAUCAUCAACAACGACUUUCUCCGUAGAGGAGGGAUUAGACUCAUCAAAUGUAACAUGCAUAGAUUCUUCCACAACUAAAGUUCUUUUAUUAUAAACUCUAUAAGCUUUGCUUGAGUUUGAAUAACCAAGAAAAAUGCCAAUAUCAGAUUUUGAAUCAAAUUUACCAAGAUUAUCUUUUGUGUUCAAAACAAAACAUUUGCAUCCAAAGACUUUAAAAUAACCAAUGUUGGGUUUUCUAUCUUUCCAAAGCUCAUAUGGAGUUUUAUUAAGAUUAGGUCUAAUCAACACACGAUUCAAAACAUAACAAGCGGUGUUGACGGCUUCGACCCAAAAAUACUCAGGCAGAGAAUUUUCAUUCAAUAUGGUCCUAGUCAUUUCUUGGAUAGACCUAUUCUUUCUCUCUACUACUCCAUUUUGUUGUGGAGCCCUAGGUGAUGAAAAUUGAUGUUCAAUGCCAAAGUAAUUACAAAAAUUUUCAAAUGCAUGAUUUUUAAAUUCUCUACCAUGAUCACUUCUAAUACAAGUAAUAGAAUAACAUUUUUCAUUUUGAACCUUUUUAUAGAAAAUUCAAAAUGCAUCAAUGGCAUCAUCCUUAUUAGCUAAGAACAAUACCCAUGUGUAUAUAGAAUAAUCAUCCACAAUUACAAAUGCAUAAAAUUUACCACUUAAACUAGCAUAUCUAGAAGGUCCAAACAAAUCUAUGUGAAGUAAUUGAAGUAGUUUUGAAAUAGAGACAUGAUUCUUUCUUUUGAAGGAAGUUUUGAUUUGUUUUCCAAAUUGGCAAGCUUCACAAAUUCUAUCUUUUUGAAAACUGAUUUUUGGAAGACCUUUAACCAAAUCAUUUUUCACAAUUUUUGAAAUCAAAUCCAUGCUUGCAUGACCUAAUCUUCUAUGCGACAACCAACCAUCAUCAUGCAAUGCGGAGAAACAUUUAUCAUUUGUCGAUGCACAAUCUAUAUUAAUGAUAUAGACAUUAACACAUCUAUUUCCUACAAACAAAACUUUCUCAUUACAUGCAUUCUUAAUAACACAUUUUGAUUCAUCAAAGAUAACUCUAUAUCCUUUAUCACAUAAUUGACUAAUACUAAGCAAGUUGUGUUUCAAGUUUUCAACCAAACACGCAUUUUCAAUGAGAGUAGAGGAUAUAUUACCAAAAUUUCCAAUGCCAAUGAUUUUUCCUUUUGAAUUAUCUCCAAAUGAUACAUCUCCACCAUUUUCGAUCUUAGUAAAACUUGAAAACCAAGAAUAAUUCCCUAUCAUGUGUCUUGAACAACCACUAUCCAAGUACCACUUAUUCUUCUUCUUCUUUAAGCCCUUGUAGAGAAAAUCUCAAGUUUUAGGUACCUAAACCUUCUUGGGUCCUUGAGAGUUAGCAAUGGUUCCUUUCGGAACCCAAACACAUUUCACACCAUAAUAUGCAUUUCUUUUCACUGCACAUCUAUUUUUUAUAUGACCAUCUUGAUUACAAUAAUGACAUACAAUUUGAUUGUUAGUAGAUGUAUUCUUCAUAAAAUAACUUUUGUAAAGUUUUUGUUUCAAAUUUGGUUUAUAACCAAUGCCACUUUUGUCAAAUACACAUUUAUGUGAGUUUAGCAAAUUGUCCAGCAUCUUUUGCCCAUUUGUGAAUUUUAGCACAAUUUCAUUUAGUUCAUUGCUCUUCUUUCUAAGCAUUUUAUUUUCAUUUUUCAAGUCAUUCAUGUGUGACUCUAAGUGCUCAUAUGGAGUACUAGAAUUCUCAAAUAAUGCAAUGCUAUCAUGCAAUGUUUUAUUUUCUAAUUCUAGGCAUGUAAUCUUUGCACUAAAUGAUUCAAUUUCAUUUUUAAGUUCUAUCAUCUUUAUUUUAAGACAUAUAUUCUUUUUACCAAUCUUCAUCAGCUCAUCAUGUAAAUCCUUAAAGGCAUCAUGUAAGUCAUCAUAUGUAGGAAGAACACUUACCUCAUCAAGUUUAUCACAUGAUUCUUCCCCAAAGGCCAUGUCAUCAUCACUUAUUUCCUCAUCGCUAUCAUCCCAUGUGGCCACCAUAACUUUCUUCUUGAGUUUCUUGAGAAGAGGACAUUUCGGUCGUAUGUGUCUGGGCUUCUUGCAUUCAUAACAAGUGAUUGGCUCCUUCUUCUCCUUCUUAUUCUUGUAGCCUCUGAACUUUCUCUGCUCAUUAUUCUUUUUGUAAAAUUUUCUGAAUCUUCUAGCCAACAUUGCCAAUUCCUCAUCAUCCAUUUCGCUUUCCUCAUCACUCUCACGUUUUGAGGCCUUAAGAGUAAUAUUUUUCUUCUUUUCCUCAUGCCCUUUUUCAGCUGCCAAAUCUUCUUCAUAUGAAAUGAGAGAACCAAUUAAAUCAUCAAUAGGUGAUACAUUUAAAUCUUUGGCUUCCUCAAUGGCAGUCCUUUUUGGUCUCCAUUCCUUAGGUAGCGACCUAAUGAUUUUCUUAACUUUCUCGCUAUUUGAAAAGGUCUUUCCUAGGGCUCCUAGAGUGUUCACUAUGUCUGUAAAUCUAGUACACAUAAAGUACACAUUCUCAUUUUGUUCCAUUUGGAACAAUUCAUAUUGUCGAGUGUACCUACUUAUUUUAGAUUCUUUUACUUAGUUCAUGCCUUCAUAAACAACUUCAAGUUUAUGCCAAAUCUCAUUAGCACUUUCGCAACUAGACACUCUAUGAAACUCUUUCGUAUCUAGUGCACAAAACAAGGCAUUCAUGGCCUUGGAAUUUAGAGAAGUUUUUCUCUUUUCAAAUUCAUUCCAUUCCCGUGAAGGUUUUGGAAUAUCUUCCCCGACUUCAUUUUUAGUCAAAGGCAUGAAAGGACCAUCAUUAACGAUUUCCCAAAUUUCCUAAUCUAAGGCUUGCAAGUAAAUUCUCAUCCUAGUUUUCCAAUAUGGGUAAUCGUUUCCAUCAAAGUAAGGUGGUCAAGUGGUGGAUUGUCCUUCCCUAAAUGUGGAAUCAUUUUGAGUUACCAUUGAUCUUUAGCUCUAGACGGUUAAGUCUAAAUAAGAGCACAUUGCUCUGAUACCAAAUGAAAUAUAAGUGUGCAACCCAAGAGGGGGGGUGAAUUCGAAUUUUAAUAAUUAUCCUAACAAAUCCACACAACAAGCAAUCUAAUGUCUUAAUAAAAAUUGAAAGCAAUAAGUUUAAUAAAAGCACAACAACAAAUGAGUAAGAGAGAAGAGAAACAAACACACGAAAUUUUACGUGGUUCGGCAAUCCCCACCUACGUCCACGCCUCCAAGCGAUCCAAGCUUGAGAAUUUCACUAUCCGAGCAUUUCCAAGGCUUCAACCGUUUAUAAUUGACUUCAAGGUGUUAAUGAACCUUUACAACAAAGAGAUUACCUCCCAAUCUCUUCACUCAAGUGUCUCACACACUCAAACUUUUACAAUUAAGAUGAAGAAAUGAAAGUUACAAUAAAACUCACUCAAAGAGUAGAUAUUCAAAAAUGAAGAAUAAGAAAUGAUUCAAUGUUUUGUGAUUUGCAAAUUGAAAGCUCAAGAUAUCUCGUGUGCUUUUUGUUUAUGCUUGGUGGAGAGCUUGAAAAUGAGUUGGAUUUGAGUUUAUAUAGUUUAAGCUAAAAAACUAGCCGUUAUGCACAUUUUGGUCGUAACCAGCUUGCCGUUUAGGAAUCCGGUAAGCCGCUUUUAUGUUACCGUUAGGGCAAAAAUUUGAAUUUCAGAAUAUUCGGCUUGCCGCUUUUCAUAUCCGGUAAGCCGCUUUUGAAAUCCAGAUUGCCGCUUGCGAAAUCCGUUAAGCUGUUUAUGCUCCAGAAGCUUACUGCCCAAAAUUCGGUUUGCCGUUUACCAUAUCUGGUAAGCCGCUUGCUACAGUGGCUGCUACAGUGAAAUAUUUCUCAAAUUUACAGUUUAACCUAAAACUUUAUAAAACUAUAUUAUGACCCAAAAUGUUAUGAAAGUUUACAAAUAGGUCUAAUUUCAGAAUUUUAAAUAAUGCUUUGUCAAUCCCAAAACUUUUUGAAAUUAUGAUUUCACCCAAACUAUUUGAAAUUAUAGAAUGAUCCAAAAAUAUUUAAAUAGUUUCAAAUAGGUCCAAAUUUGAAAUUUAAAACAUUAUCAAAGAUUUUAAAAUACUUUCAUUUUAGUCCACAAUACUUUAAUUCCAUAACAUCAUUUUCUUAUUAUAAAAGCACAAUUCAUAAAUCUUUGCUUAAUCAAUACAUGUGGUUUGUUAUCAUCAAAAUCAAUAUUUAUAGCCAUAUAGGCUAAGAGAUUUGUCUUUUGAAAGAAUUUGUUCUGUGGGGUGGGAAGAAUUUUUUCAAAAAUUGUGCUUGCAUUUCAUCCCAAGUUCUGAUGGAUUCUGACCUAAGAUUUUGUAGCCAAGUUUUAGCUUUAUCUUUUAGCGAGAGGAAAAAACUUAAGCUUGAUUAUAUUCAUGCUACAAUUUUGAUCAGUACAGAUGUUACAGACUUCCUGAAAUUCCCUUAAAUGCAAAUAUGAAUUUUCAUACUCAAAAUCAUGAAAAGUAGGAAGAAAUUGAAUGAUACCAUGUUUGAAAUUAAAACGUGAUGCAUCAGGAGGGAAAACUAUGCAUGAUGGUGACCCUGUUCUAGUAGGAUGCAUGAAAUCUCUAAGGGUCCUAGGUUGUUCAUGAAGAUUUUGCAAGGCUUGGUCAUUUUCGUGCUCCGAAAAAUUUUCAGCUCCUUUGUCAGCCAUAUUUAAGGGUGGUAAAUGUGAUUUUCUAAUUAAUCUACCAUUAUUUGUACGAGGCUAACGACGCAUGCAAUGCUAAUGAUGUGUGCUAAACUAAUGAUGCAAAAAUGCUAAAUGAAAAUUGCAGAAAUAAAAAUAAAUUGGAAAUUAAAUAAGCAAAAAAAAUACGAAAUAAAAAUAAACAAACUGAAAAAUAAAUAAAUAAAUUAGGUGGUGAAACCAGCCAUUAAAAAAAACAGUUUAGGCGGUAUUUUAAAACCAGCCAUAUAAUAAAACAUAAAAUUAAAUAAAUUAAUGCACAAAAAUAAAUAAACUGAAAUUAAAAUGCUAGGCGGUAGAACCGACCAUAUAAAUAAAAAUACAUAAAUUAAUAAAAUUUAAAUAACAGUCAUGCGGUAGAAUCGACCAUUUAAAAUAAAUGCGGAAAGUAAAUUACAGAAAUUUAAAGAAAUAAAUUUGAUUUGGGGACUGAUUUGCAAAGGUUUUUUUGGCUAAGAUGAAGUUUCUCAUAAAUUUUAUAGAUAAUGUUAAGGUUUGAAAAGAAGAGGGGUGCUAACUGAAGUUUUACAAAAAGAGAAUAAAAUAGAAUCAUGGAAAGAUGGUAACGACAAAACAAACAAAAAUAAAUAAAAAUAAAAUAAAAAUAAAGUAAAGUAAAGACAAACGAAUAUCAAAUUUAGAAAACUCCCCGGCAACGGCGCCAAAAAUUUGACACGACUCAAAAGUGUGUUACUCUUAAGUAUAAGAGUAUCUAGUUAUAAUAUAACCCGGUGAGACCGGGAUCGAACCACAGGGAGUUUUAAAUCUAGUAAAACUAAGAAAAUUAAUUGUGGUGAAAAGAAAUUAUUUGAAAUCAAUUUAAAAAUAAGCUAAGGUUUAGGAUCCACUCUCUGUAUUCAAACUAUAAUUUUAAUACUCUCUCAUUUAUAUUUUACCUCACUUUUACCAAUUAAUUAUUAUAUCAUUUAAUUCUAUAUGUGUGGAUAAAUAUAGAAUAAAGUACCUAAUGUGACACACUAUAUUAAUGUGUCGACAUUAUGUCAAAAUACCAUAAAAUCCAGUGAGAUUUAUAAAUUAACAUGAUAUAAAAAUAAUUAGAAAAGAAUUAAAAAAACUCAUUUGAGAAAAUAAUAAUAAUUAAUAGUUUGAAACAUUGAGCUUCACUCUUCACAUCAGCUUAAUAAAAUUAGCUACUCAUAUUGAAAGAAAACACAACACUCUUUUUAUUUGAUAAACGUUUUGAAAUAUAUUACAAAGAAAAUUGAUACAAACGGAAAUAAGAAAAGAAAAGAAACAAAGAAACAAAGAAAAUCUUCAAUCUCGGCUUCAGCUCUCAAAUUUUGCUCUCCAACUUCCCCCUGCUCUUCAAUUUCUCCUCCCUUUUUAUAGGCAACAAUUGCCUUUAACUUUCUUUAUUUUAUUAUUUAUUUAUUAUUUUAUUAUUAUUUUAAAAUAUAUAAGUGUGUUGAAAUGUGUGAUGGUCAGGAGGUGUAAUGGCCUCCUGACCAUCACCAACAUGUUUUUGUUCUUUUGUUAUUUUUUUUUCUUUUUUUUUAUUGAUUAUUUAUUAUUACAUCUCUUCAAUUUUGUUCCAAUAGUUCUUUUUUGUUCUCGCUUUCAAUUCUAAGUCCAUCUUUAUUCCUGAAAAAUAUUUACAAGAUAAAAAUUAACAAAUUACGAAUUAAUUUAACAUAAAAUAAAUUUGGGGAGUAUUAAAAUAAUUUAGAAAUAAUGAACCCAUUAAUCAACACAAUAAGUGAAAAACUAAUAAUUUUAUCCUUAUUAAAUGUAAAAUUUUUAGUGUCAAUCACACCCCCAACCAGUUUAUUGUUAGGCCCUAAAAAUUUAAGCGAUAAAAGUUUAGUAAAAUUUUGAACUCAAAUUGAAAAUCAUUUUUUUAAAAAAAUUGUGUUUACUUCUUCUAUCAGAUUAAUGACAACAAUCAAAUAAAAGUAUAAGCAUUAUCUUCAGCCUAAAGAAAAUCACACUCAGCUCAACUGCUUGAUUUGUGGGGAUAAACGAACUCAUUGUGCCAAUACCACAUGCGCCAGACAUGACGCCAAAUAACAUUGACCUAUCCUUCUCAUUAGUGAUCCUCAAGUGGUUUUUCAUAUUAUAAACAAUCCAUGCAUGAACAUCCAAUGUAAAACAAGUAUGACUUGUGUGUUUCGAAAAAAGGGCUAACCAAAUGCGUUUAGAGUCAACAUAAUCACCAACUGCAUGGAGAGCAUCCUCUAUGAUAUGCCCACACCGCAUGCAAGUACUAUCAUUAAGCACAUGCCUUCGCGAUAAUUUAGCAUUAUUUUUCAAUCUAUUAUGCAUCAGCAGCCAAAGAAAGCACUGAAUGCUUUGGGGGCCUCUCAAUCUCCAAAUCAAAACCCAAAGGGAAUUAUUUUCAUUUAGCAUCGGUCUAAAGAGGGAUAAAUAAGCUGACCUCACGCUAAACGAACCAGACCGCGAUGGAUCGCAAUAACAACAGUUAACUUCAUCGCUAACAAAAAGGGGCAUAGUGCCUGCUAUUUUGAAAAUUAUAUGGUGGGGUAGAAAAGAAGCAAAACAGUCCCAGUUCCAAGCACCAUUAUUAUCGAUAAAAUUAGCUACACACUCAUUUAAUAUGUUUUCAGUGAUUGUACCGAAAGUAUAAGAUUGUAACCAAAGCCCAUCCUCCAGCCAAUAAUCUUUCCAAAAUCUAGCCAACUUCCCAUUCCGAAUAGCCCAUCGAGUCCCUUAGAGAACCUCAUUCCAUACGUUUCCCAUGAAUUUUCAUAAAGGAGAACUAUAUCAAGUAGGAUGUUUUAGAGGAAGGUUUUCUUUAUUAAUGCCAUAUUUAAACAUCAAUACUUGAAUUUAGAAGCUGUGGGGUGAUUUAAUAUGACCCCAACCAAUUUUCAUUAGCAAGGCUUUAUUCAUGAGAUUAAGAUCUUUAAGGCCAAGGCCCCCACAUAAAUUAAGGAGUUGUACUCUAUCCCACUUAAUAAGGUGUAUGCGAUAAGUCUCGUCAAUCUCGGUCUAGAUAAAAUGCUUGCAAAUCUGAUCAAUUUUAUUACGAAUACUUAGAGGUAGCAUGAAGGUCUGCAUGGAAUAGGUUGGGAGAGCCAAAAUGAUCGACUGCGUUAAUGUUAUCGGACCUACAAGAGAAAGAUGUUUGGUUGUCCAGCCUGGAAUUCUCUGUAGUGCUAAUGGUGGUCAAGGAUAAGGUACUAGUUUCCGUGGGAGACAUUGAGUUUGCAUAAGAAAUCUGGGAGAUUUCAUAGAGAAUGUAUGAGUUAGUGACAAUGGUAAACAUGAUUAAACGCGUGAACUAACAUAAAAUGAAAUACAAAAACUAAAUGAUAGAGCACGAGUUUUGAAAAAAGUUUAUUUUUCAAUCCACCAUCAAUUAAACAGAAGCAAGCCACUGUCAUUCUAAGUAAACAAACAUAACAAAACCACCUAAAUAGGAAUAAUUUUUCAAUAUAGGAAUCUUGAACUUUUCAUGAAAAAAAAUCAGUUUACAAUAUUAUAGGUACGUGAAAAAUAAAGUUUAUAACAUUGUAAAUCAAAUCACCAGCUAGAAUCUAACUCCACCUACAUGGUUUAGUAAACAACUAUAACAUUGCAUCCAAUAAUGGCGUCACCAGAUUUAAAAUUCGCUCGAUGCAUCUGACCAAUUGCAUAUCCACCAGUCAAUAGGAACUCGCCAGUGCCACCGACGAUGGGCAUCUUACGGACAGGAACAAUCGACCUGUUGUUGCCAAGAAGGCUGAUACAGCUGCUAUUAUUAGGACCAUCAACGAACACAAAGCUCAUGGACAUGAUGAUACCUAGUUGAUGCUGACAAGCCGACCCGUAAAGCCCUUGAGCACGACCAACCAGCUUUGAUUGAGGACUAGUAGUUUCUAUCGACGAAUCAUCCGCCAAAUCACAACGCAGAAAUGAGUUGGUGACUUGUAAGUAUCAGUGGCUUGAGCAAUGCUUUUUGCCACUACGUUUUUUUUUUUUUUUGUUGUCUCUUUUGCGAAAUCAAGCCCCGUACCCAAAGUCUCUAUGAUCGUAUUGAUGUUGCUGCCACCGGGCAAAUGAUGAGCAACAAAAAAACUGCUUAAAACAUUGCAGUAACUUUAAAACAAGGCAUGAAAUUAAAAGGAAGAGAAUAGAUGAUGCACUUUUGAAGGUAGAAAAGAAGGAUGAUUCAAGAUUCAUUUCAAAUUUUUUUGAAGUGUUUUGAUCAGUGAAUAUCCAAAGGCUGCUUAACUACAAAGGUGAAGUGGGAAGAAAUUUUGACAUUUUGUUACAUUGAGCUAGCCAGCGAAUGUAUAUGAGGGGCUUCACUUGUACACAUAAAAAAGGAAGAUUAAUUACUCAUGGUUUUUUAUUAAGAAAAAAAUGGCUUGCUUAAAAUAUAGAGUGUGGUUAAUUUCAUUGAAGGACAUGACUCAAAGGAAAAGAAAAAGAAAUCUAAUAAUAAACUAAACAAAAAAUAAUGCCAAAAACAAUAAAUUUAAUUAAAUGUACAUUGAAAUUACCUUUAUAAUGCAACAAGAUAUUAAAAUCAAUAGUUAACGCUAAUAAAUGAAGCAUAAUUUAUUUAAUACUUAUUUAUGGACUCUUUCAAUUCCAUUAAAGCCACUGCAAGUCAUUUUUCAAUAUCCACCUAGAUAAAUAGAGGCUCAUGCCUUUCUGAUUCUUCCACUUCUCUUUCAAUUCUAAUUAAGCCGUUUGCAAUUCUCUUAAGAAAUUAAAAAAUGUCAAAGAGUCUUACUUUCAUCAUUUUGGCUUUGCUUGUAGUGGCAAACACUAAAAACAUGCUUAUUUCAGCUAGUAGAACUGGCCAAGGAUCUAAGCCAGAGGCUUUAUUUUCUAUUAACCCUAUAGCAUCACCUGACAUUGUUGAUUGCUCAGGGCUCACAAGUGAAGAGUGUUUGAUUGAGAUGAUUAAGAAAGCACUUGUAGACUAUCGAUACCCCUGCCCUGAGGGGGGUGCAAAUGAUAUUGUUAAUAAGUUAUUUAUUUUACCUUGUAGGAGUGCUUUUGCAAUAACGAUCAAUUACUGUGAAAUUGAAUUCGUGUUUUUAAUAAAAUAAAACAUUAAUCCAUUAUGCAUAGGUAAUAUUAUGUCAUAUGUUUUUGGUGUGUGUAUCUCCUACUGCUUUGUUAUAGAUGCAUCGUCGAAUCAAUCUUCGAUAAAUCAGUUUCUUUAAAUAAUAGCAAUUAUCAACCAAUCAACAUUACUCUAUUGGUACCAUUUGUAAUAUUUAAAUUUUAAAUCUAUCUACUUUUAGGGUGAGAUUAUUGAUUCCUAAGAAAAAUAAUAAAAUAAACCCUCAUUAUCGAAAUCCUAUAUUACUAAGCUGUCUGAUUUAAUUUAAUGUUAAACUUUAAUUUAACCCCUGAAAAUGUCCAGACUUACCUACAUUUAUUGCUAAGAAUAUGAUUUAAAAGUUCAUCAAUGUGCACCUCAUUUAUGCUCAUCUUUUGAAGAACAAAUAGGGUGGAUUGAGAUUUUCAUGCUUUUGGAGGGUAAAUUAAAGAUAAUUGUUAGGAGGGAACGAAUUGAAGUUUGUUUUUAAAUGCAAAGAUGUAUUCUUUUAGUUUUUUUGAGAUAGUUUGUUUGACUUUAAUUUAACAUAUGUUUUUGUAAUUGAAAUAUAGAUACUUCUUUAUUUUUGUUAUUCAGCUAAGUAAUAUAAUAUUUAUAUUUAAUUGAUCACUUAAAAAAUGUUUAUGCAUUAAUAUGUUAAUUUUUUGCGGCUUGUAAGGUAAGAAUUUUUUUUAUAAGAAAAUAAUGCAAGCAACAAUAAGAAUUAAGAUUAAUCAUAUAAUGAUGCAAACUAUGGACAUGCUAAUUAGUUGGUACACAGAAUCUUAAUCAAUGAUGUCUGGUUUCAGCUUUCCUUGUUUUUUCUUUCUUCGGUAAUGCUCUUGAGAUGUUAUGAAUUAAACAAACAUAUGUUCCCAAUUAUGCACUCUUAUCAUAUAGGGAGCAUCAUAAACAGAGGAAAAAAAAAAUUCAAGUUUGGUGACCAAAAAGACUUGAAACAAUGCCUAAUGUCUUUGAAAGUAGUAGAGGAUUCAACACAACUGUGUGGACUGAAUAGAGAAGUAGUAGCAAAUAGAACACUCAACAUAAAAGGCACCAAAAAAAAUAUCAUUAAAAGGUUGUUACAAGUGAAUAAAAGUUACAGAUUUUAUUUUGAAAUUAAAUUCUAAAAAUAAAUUUAAGAGUUAGUGUUUCAUUUUCUAGAUGUAAAUGCCCUUAACCAAUUUCAUUUUAAAAACACACCAAAAUCCAAGUAAUUUUUUUGCUCUCCUCUCUCAACUAAAAUCUUUCUAUCUUAGACUUCACGUGAUGGAGUUUCCAACACUAGUUUGAAGUUCACAAGACUAGUCAGGUUAUGUUGCAGAGACCAUUUGACUUUGUAAUAUCCUAUGGGAUAGUUGCUAAUAUAACCUAAGUACUACUGCGAAAAUGACAAAUCCUUUUUAAGGACAUUGUAACUGCACAUGCCUCAGUUUAAUUUAUGUUCUUCUCUUUCUUAUUGAUCUAUACUAGAGAAAUUAUCUUUUCACCAACUCUGUUUUAUCAUAUGUAUAUCCAGACACCACCAAAUUUUAACAUGUUCUUUGCACCACCAUCAUUUCUGAAUUUGUAUUAAUCGACUAAUUUGACAAUAAUAAAAAAAUAAAAUGACCAUUUUACCCCUAAGUGAUCUAAAAGACCAUUUUAUCCCACGAAAUUUUUAAUUAAAAAACUAUGAUUACCAUUUAAUUAAUUGAUAAAAUAUUAUUGAAAAAUCAACAUGCGCGUACUAUUUAAUUAAUGGAUAAAAUAUUAUUGAUUUUUUCAAUUCUUUUGACCUAAAAAAUGUGUAAUUCUCAUCUUAAAUAUUUUCAUUUUUUUUAUCAAUCGUACAGUCACAAUUAUCAAACAACUUUCAUUUUUUAAAUUAAUCACCAAAAUAACAAUUGUUUGAACUAAUUUUGAAUAAUAAAAAAUUAUAAAUUGGAAAAUGUAUCGAGUAAAAAUUAUAAUUAUAAAAAUUAACAUCUCAGAUUUUGAGAUUUUUUUCUAUUAAAAUCAAAGGUAUUCUCAUAACUAUAAUUUUUUUAUUUUCAAAAUUUUUGUAGGAUAAAAUAGUCUUUCAUUUCAUUCAAGAAUAAAAUGGUCAUUUUAUUUCAUUUCUUAGUGUGAAAGUAGUUCACUGAAAGAACUUUAGAAACAAAGUGUGAAAGAACAAGUUAAAAAUUUGUGGUAGUUAGAUAUAUGUAUGACAAACAGUGUGUGCAGAGAUAUUUUCUUCAUACUAUUGUAUAUAUUAGUAAUAAAAAUUUGUUUCAUAAACUCAUGACAGUGUGUAGCUAGCUUUAGNNNNNNNNNNNNNNNNNNNNNNNNNNNNNNNNNNNNNNNNNNNNNNNNNNNNNNNNNNNNNNNNNNNNNNNNNNNNNNNNNNNNNNNNNNNNNNNNNNNNNNNNNNNNNNNNNNNNNNNNNNNNNNNNNNNNNNNNNNNNNNNNNNNNNNNNNNNNNNNNNNNNNNNNNNNNNNNNNNNNNNNNNNNNNNNNNNNNNNNNNNNNNNNNNNNNNNNNNNNNNNNNNNNNNNNNNNNNNNNNNNNNNNNNNNNNNNNNNNUAGGUCGUUUAUUACCAGUAAUUUUCAACAUAUAUUCCCAAACUUUACCAUUAUAUAACUUGAAGUUCAUAGGACUUUGGAAUCAGAUCAUUUACAACAAUCUUUACAAGGUGAUAAUGAUACAAAGAGAAUAUGUAAAUUUUAAGUCGGCCAGUAUGAGGGCUCCUUCAACUUAAUUGGGGUCUUCGCUUUUAAGGCACUACCGGGGUGGCCAUUGCCCUCAUUGCUUAUGUACCUUAACUUCAUAUAGAUUUUUACUUUUUUCGAUCCCCUUUUUGGAGCACAUGUAGAUUGUCGAUUAAUGCCAAACGGAUAAGAAUAUGGUCAGAUGCCUAGAUUUUGGAAAAAUAAUGAAAUUUAAAGUAAUACAUCAGACUACUAAUGUAUUAACUUUAUAUUGAAAUUCAAUAUUUGGCUACCAACAAGCACAUAUUAUAUAAAAAGAAUUAAACAUGCAAAUAAACAUAAAAUGAAAUACUUUAAUAAAAUGAUAGAGCGCAUGUUUUGGAAAAGUUUAUUCCUCAAUCCACCACUACUUAGGAAUAAUUUUUUGAUUCGGGAAUCUUAAAUUUUUCAUUAAAAAAUCAGUUUACAAUAUUAUAAGUACGUGAAAAAGAAAGUGUAUCUUGUAUGAGAGUUUUUUGCAUUACCGAUCAAUUGCAGUGAAAUCGAAGCUGCGUUUUAAUAAAAAGAAGAAAUGGAUCACACAUACAUAGUUCAUACUUCUAAAUGUUGGAUUAAAAUUUAUUAAAACACAACACAGGCAAAGUCACUAGCAAAUAGGAAAGAAUAGCAAAGUCAUUCUUAGGGAAUAUAUUGAAUAUCACUGUAGAUAUGUUAGAGUAGUAAACUUCACUUUGUAUUUUAUUAGAAGUAAUAGGACCAUUUGGUCCAUAUAUUGAAGAUGUAUCUACCUACAAAAGCAUAGUUAAUGGCCAACAAUAUCUCAUCUUAACCACACUAGAGAUAUCAUUUACAAUGCAUAAGCUAAAUUAGUAUAUGGCUGCUCCUACACUUCAACAUCUAAUGACUUGUAAACGAGUGUUAAGGUACUUAAAGGAACUAGAAGAUAUGGAUGAAAUUAAUUGGAUUCAAUGCUCUGGAAGUUGACCUGUAACAAGAUAAUUAACUAUAUCAACAUACCAUGGUAAUACUUCCACACUCAUUAAUCGUUCAUCUGGAAAUGACUCAUUCAAUAUUAAUGGUUCUGUAAUUGUGUCAAAAUGGAGACAAGAGAGGUGGUCUGCCACAACAUUUUCUCUCCCUUUCUUAUCUUUGAAUUCCAAGUCAAAUUCCUGCAAAAGUAACACCCAACGAAUUAGUUUAGCUUUUGCAUAUUUUUUUGUGAGAAGAUAUUUAAGAGCAGCAUGAUCUGUGAAUAUAAUUAUUUUACAACCAAUGAGAUAGGAUCGAAAUUUCUCUAAUGCAAACACUACUGCUAGCAUUUCUUUUUCAGUAGUUGAAUAGUUCAACUGUGCAUUAUUCAAUGUCAUACUAGCAUAGUAAAUAACGUGGGGAAUUCGAUCAACUCUUUGUCCUAAUACUGCUCCUACUGCAUAAUCAGAUGCAUCACACAUGAGCUCAAAUGGUAAGCUCCAAUUUGGGGGCUGAAUGAUGGGUGAUGAUGUCAACAACUGUUUUAACUUUUCAAAUGCCACAAGACAUGAAUCAUUAAAGAUAAAAGGUACAUCCUUAGCAAGUAAAUUGCAUAAGGGUCUAGAAACUUUACUAAAAUCUUUAAUGAAAUGUCUAUAAAAAUCAGCAUGCCCAAGGAAAGAUCUUACUUCUCUGACUGUUUUGGGUGGAGGAAGAUUAGAAAUGAGAUCCACCUUGGCUUUGUCAACUUCAAUACCUUUGCUCGAAAUGAUGUGACCGAGAACAAUACCUUAUUUUACCAUAAAAUGGCACUUCUCCCAAUUUAAGACCAAGUUCUUCUCGAUACAUCUCUGCAGAACUAGUGUUAGAUGAUGUGAACAUUGAUCAAACGAGUCACCAAAGACAAAAAAAUCAUCCAUAAAGACUUCAAGGAAUCAUUCAACCAUAUCAGAAAAAAUGCUCAACAUGCAUCGUUGAAAUGUAGCAGGUGCAUUACAUAAUCCAAAUGGCAUUCUCCUAUAUGUAAAUGUGCCAAAAGGGCAAGUGAAAGUAGUUUUCUCUUGAUCUUUUGGUGCUAUAGGAAUCUGAUUAUAUCCUGAGUAGCCAUCUAGGAAGCAAUAAAACUCAUGGCCUGCCAAUCUAUCAAGCAUUUGAUCAAUAAAUGGUAAAGGAAAAUGGUCUUUACGUCUGACAGAAUUCAACUUUCUAUAAUCAAUGCAUACACGCCAUCCUGUAGUUACUCUAGUAUGUAUCAAUUCAUUAUCAGCAUUCGUAACUACUGUGACUCCUGACGUUUUGGGGACAACUUGCACAGGACUGACCCAUGAACUAUCAGAAAUUGGGUAAAUGAUACCUGCAUCUAAUAGCUUAAGGACUUCAGUUCUAACAACUUCUUUCAUAUUAGGAUUUAACCGACGUUGCAUUUCCCUAGUAGAUUUAGCAUUUUCAUCGAGGUGAAUGUAAUGCAUGCAGUCUACUGGGUUUAUACCUUUUAUGUCUGCUAUGGUCCAUCCUAAUGCUCCUUUGUGCUCUUUUAAAAUAUCCAACAACUUACCUUUUUGUUCGUCAUUUAGGGAUGAUGAGAUGAUUACCGGCAGAGUACUUUCUUCUCCCAAAAAUGUAUAUUCCAAAGUGUUGGGCAAUGGUUUGAGCUCGAGUUUCGGUGGUGAUUCUGAUGAUGGGAUGAGUUUCUUCUCUGAUGGUGCUGAGUCAAGUAGGGCAUUGACCUCAUCGACCGAUCUGUCAAUAUCAAAAUCAAAACCAAAGUGAGUUAAACAUGUUUGUAAAGGAUCAUCACUAAGGUUUGAAAGAAAAGUGUUAUCAACUAUUGUUUCAAUUAAAUCCACAUCAACAAUUCCAUCAUCUGCAUUGUGAGGUUGUUUGGCAAUGUUGAAGAUGUUCAGCUCCAUAGUCAUGUUGCCGAAGGACAACUGCAUAUUUCUAGUCCUGCAUUGAAUGUGAGCAUCCGCAGUUGCCAAGAAAGGUCGGCCUAGAAUAAUGGGGAUGUGCUUCCUUGAAUCCUGUAUUGGUUGAGUGUCAAUUACAAUGAAAUCAACAGGAAAAUAAAACUUGUCUACCUGGAUAAGCACGUCCUCCACAAUGUCACAAGGUAUUUUCGUGGACCGAUCCGCAAGCUGUAACACCACUGGAGUUGGGUGUAAUUCUCUCAGUCCAAGUUUCACGAAUACUGAAUAAGGCAACAGAUUUACACUAGCUCCUAAAUCCAACAAAGCAUUCUCAAUUGUGUGGUUCCCUAUACUACAUGAGAUAGUGGGGGAGCCUGGGCCUUUGCAUUUUAAAGGAAUUUUAUGUUGGAGUAUAGAACUAACAUUUUCUGUUAAAAAUGCGUUCUUUUGAACAUGUAUAUUUCUCUUUUUAGUACAAAGGUCUUUAAGAAACUUGGCAUAAGAUGGAACUUGUUUUAUAGCAUCAAGUAAAGGGAUGUUAACACUUACCUGUUUGAAGAUUUCAAGAAUCUCACCUGUGGAUUUUCCCUUUUUUCCUUUAGUUAACCUCUGAGGAAAUGGAGCUUUGGGAAUAUAUUCUCGUGGGUUGGUUUCUUCUUUCUCCUCCGGUGAUGAGUCCUCAACACUCACAGGUACAAUUUGAUUUUCUUUUGUCACCGGCAUCUCCGCUUUUUUGUUGACUUCUUUUCCUUUUCGCAAGGUCAUAACUGUUUUGACUUCUCCAUGCUGCUGUGGUGAAUUGGUACUUGCUUCAUGCACUCCUUUAGGAUUAGGCACUAGUUGACUUGGAAAUUUGCCUUUCUCAACAGUCAUUGCCAAGGUCUGAACUGAAGAAGCAAGUUGUCCCACCAUCUUUUCGAGGCUUGAAACUGAUUGGGCUUGUGAAUUGAAGCCUGCUCUCAACUCAUUUCAUAGUCCAUCAAUGGUGCGGUUUUGUUACUCAAUUGUGGAGUGAGUAACAUUCUUGAAAUUCUAGAAUGCAUCCUCCCAUGGUCUGGGUUAAGAGUUGUUCUGGUUUUGAUUGUAUGGUCUAAAUGAGGGCUGACAGGCUUGAGGAAUUUAAGGAAUUGGUUGCAUUGGUGGAGCUGGAGCUGCUGGUCCAUUCUGUUGGAAUCCUUGAGACCAUGAAAAAUUAGGGUGGUCUCUCCAUCCAGGGUUAUAUGUGUUGGAGUAUGGGUUAUAAUUCGAUGGUUUUCUCAUUACACCUAUGGCAUUGGAUUGAUCAGAGUAUGAGUCAUGGUCAUGUGGUUCUGUUGAUUUAGCAGUCGAUAACGAUACUAUUUGUUGAGCAAGACCUUCAACCAUCUCCUUGACUUCUUUGAUUCCCAAAGUUGACUCACUAAUGUGAACCUCAUUCACUCCUUUAAUUCUUUUAGUAUUCCUGAGUGAUCGACUCCGUUGUUGGGAAUUAUCCGCUUGUCGCUGGAAGAAUUCCCAAAUCUCUGAUGCACUUUUUGACAUUAGCUCUCCUCUACUUGUUGCCAUUAGCCAUUCUUGCACAUUCGAUAAUAAUCCCUCCAAAAAGUAUUGGCAUUGGUGCCAUUUCUCGUAUCCAUGAUGUGGACACUUCAAGAGUAGCCUAUUGAAUCGCUCCCACGUUUUUAAAAACUGUUCGUCAUCUCUCUGGGUAAACUCUGAGAUUUCCCUGCGAAUAGCAUUAGUUUUAUGCACUGGGAAAUAUUUAUUCAAAAAUUUCGUUACCAUUUGUUCCCAUGAUGAAAUGCUAUUAGCAGGUAAAGUAUUUAACCAUGAACGAGCUCUAUCUUUUAAAGAAAAUGGGAAUAGUCUAAGUUUAACAUCAUCGUCUGAAAAAUUUUCAUAUUUAAAAGUUUGACAAAUGGCAUGAAAAUCAUUCAGAUGAUUAUAUGAAUCCUCAUUUUCUAGGCCAUAAAAUGUGGGGAGACAAUUUAGCACACUAGGUUUUAAUUCAAAACUCCUAACAGCUACAUUUGGGUAUCUUAUGCAUGAUGUGCUCAAAUUAGCUAAGGGACUAAAAUAGUCCUUAAAUGGCCUCUCCUGUGGUGCUUGUAAAUUCAUUCCAAAUUUAUUUUUAAUGUGCUUUUGUGUGCGAAGUUUUUUUUCUAAUUCAAGGUCUAUAGGUUCAAGAUUAGGAAAUAAUGACCUACAACCAUACAUGCAAAAAAAAGAAAAUAAAAAUAAAUAUGGGAACAAAACAAAUAAAAAUAAAGAAGAGGGAGAAAUUACGAUACUAACCUUAUUGCGCUAUUACAACCUUACUAUAAAAAUACACAAAAACAAAUACGUGAAAUAACUUAACUAAAAAUAAAUUAAUAAGAUAAACAAAAAAAAAUUACAAAGAAAAAUAAAUUGAAAAUUAAAUUACAGAAUUUUAAAGAAGAGAAAAAGAAAAAAAUACUAACCUUUAAAUGUAGAUUCACUUUUUUUUCUUUUUCUUUUUUUUUAAUAAAAAAAUACAAGAAAACAAAUAAAAUUAAUUUUACGAAUUAAAAUAACUUACCUCCCCAGCAACGGCGCCAAAAACUUGUUGUGCAAAUUUUAAUGUACUCGCAAGCACACGAAUCUAUUGUAGUAUAGAUCAAUGGUGACGAGUGUCGAUCCCACGAGGAGGUGGAUUUUAAUUAUAUGUAGAAUUAAUUUUGUAAAUGGGUGGUUGAAAUUGUGGUGGAAGUGAUUUCAAUUAUCCUAAAAUUGGAAUUGAGAUGGUGAUAAUAAAUUCUAAAAUUGGAAUUGCAAUGGCGAGAAUAAAUUGAAGCGAAAUCUAUUGAAAUGAUGUACUUGGGUAUCUGGAUCCGUAUCAACAUGCAUCAUGGGUUAAAUAAUCCGUAUUAAUGCCAAUUAAAUCAUGAGGGGGGAAUCCACACCUCAUGAACCACGCUCUAAUCAAUAUGGUGCUAAGGGCUUAUCGUGCCAAAUAAUAAUAACCUUAUACUAGAGGGUCGGUGAAACCAAGGCAGUACUAGACAAGAUUAGCAUUAUUUAUCGACGAGAAGUCAAAACAUCCACAAAAACUAGAGGGGAAGAGAAAAUAAAUUUACCAAAUUAAGCCCCUGACACAUUUUGAGACUUCACCUUCAACCUAAGCUUGAAAGAAAAUUAGCCACUCAUAAUUGAACUAGGGGCAAAAUGAGAAUUUAUUAAAAUACGAAGAAAAUACAAGAUGGAGAGAGAAUUAUAGAAAACAGAGUCCAAAAAAAGAUUCAGAGGUAUCAAAUUAGGGGGGAGAGGCCCCCUUUUUAUAGAUACAUGGAGUAAAUCAUGGCCAUCAGAUUAAAAACAGUUUGGACGCUCAGGAUUGCGCCACAUCAUCAGUCAACAGUACGCGGCUUGACCACGCGGAUGAACAGUAACACGGUUUGACCCGGAUGAACAGUAAUGCGGUUUGGUUGAAAAUAAUCAUGUGUGAUGCAUGUACUGUAUGCGAGAUUUUUCGUCCACUGAUAUGCUGCCACGUCACCAUCAACAGUACAUAAGAAUUUUAGCCCAACAGGAUCGUGACACCUCAUCAGUCAAUGCCACAUCAUCGGUCAAUGCCACGUCAUCGAUCCGUCUAUGUGAACAGUGCCGUGAACAGUAACGUAUACAGUACCGUACAUGUGAACAGUGCUAUUUUUCCUUUUAUGCUCCUCCUAAGGUUUUCGACCGUCCUGAGUUCAAAAGUGAUGUUCGUUUUGCCAUCUGAUCUCUCAUUUAUUGUGAAAUGACUACGAUGCCCCUAAAAUACAUAAAAUACUAAAUUAAAAUAAAACAAAUAGAAUUAAAUCAAAAGAAGGUUAAAUUCAUAAAAGUAAAGGUGUUAGUAAGACUUGAAAUGUAAAAUGAUGGUUUUCUCCUUUAUAAAUAUGCAUUUUCUAACACUCAACAUCCAACACAAGUAGUACUAAAGAAAUCUGGAAUAACUGUUGUAAAAAAUGAAAAAGGUGAACUAAUCCCAGCACGAAUUCCAUCUAGUUGGCGCAUGUGUAUUGAUUGUAGAAAAUUAAAUGAUGCCACUAGAAAAUAUCAUUUUCCCUUUCCAUUUAUAGACCAAUUUCUCAAAAGAGUAGCUGGACAUCCCUACUACUGCUUUCUUAAUGGCUACUCUGGCUAUUAUCAAAUCCUUAUAACCUUAGAAGACUAGGAAAAGACCACAUUCACAUGCUCAUUUGGAACAUUUGCAUUUAGGAGAAUGCCCUUUGGACUUUGUAAUGCUCCUACAACAUUUCAAAGGUGCAUCCUAAGCAUUUUUAGUGACAUGGUUGAAAUUGUCUAAAGGUUUUAUGGAUGAUUUAACUGUAUUUGGUAAUUCUUUUGAUACAUGUCUUGAUAAUCUAGAAAAUAUUUUGGAAAGGUGCAAAGAAAAAGGACUAGUUUUAAAUUGGGAAAAAUGCCAUUUCAUGACCACUUCUGGAAUUGUCUUGAGCCAUGUUGUGUCUUCAAAAGGAAUCGAAGUUGAUAAAGCCAAAGUUGAAGUCAUUUCAAAAUUACCCUCACCAAAAACAAUUAGAGAAGUCUGUUCUUUUUUAGAACAUGCAGAAUUUUAUAGAAGGUUUAUAAAAGAUUUUAGUGCCUUAUCUAGACCAAUUUGUAACCUCCUAAUAAAAGACACACAAUUUGAAUGGACUAAAGAUUGUCACAAGCUUUUGAAAAGAUAAUUAGUCUUUUGACAUCAGCCCCAAUAAUGCAACCCCCUGAUUGGUCAUUACCUUUUGAGCUAAUGUGUGAUGCUAGUGAUUAUGCUAUUGGCGCUAUUCUGGGUCAAAGAAAGGAAGGUAAGCCCUUUGUCAUCUAUUAUGCAAGUAGAACUUUGAAUACUGCUCAAAUGCUAAUAUUGUUAAUUAUCUUACAACAUGUGAAAUGCCAUGUGACUGGAGUUCCCAAGACAAGAAGAAAUUCUUAACAGAAGUGAAAAGCUUUUACUGGGAUGAACCAUACCUGUUCAAGUACUACUCCGAUCAAAUUUUUUGAAGAUGCAUACCAGACGACGAGGUAAGUAGGGUCAUUCAAUUUUGCAUUCUGAAGCAUGCGGUGGCCAUUUUUCUUCAAAAAAGACAGCUGCAAAAAUAUUACAGUGUGGAUUUUAUUGGCCUACAUUAUUUAAAGAUUCACAUACAUUCUGUAAAAUGUGUAAGAAUUGUCAAAUGAUAGGGUCUGUUUCAAAGCGGAACAUGAUGCCUUUAAACCUCAUCCUUGUCAUUGAAAUAUUUGAUUGUUGGGGAAUUGAUUUUAUGGGCCAUUUUCCAUCAUCAUUUGGAUUUGUAUACAUUUUGGUUACUGUUGAUUAUGUUUUAAAAUGGAUCGAGGCGAUUCCUUGUCGGAACAAUGAUCACAAGAUUGUGAUCCGCUUUUUAAAUGAAAAUAUUUUGAGCAGAUUUGGAAUAUCUCAAGCUAUUAUUAGUGAUGGAGGUAAGCAUUUUUGUAAUAAGUCAUUUGAGUCUUUAAUGAAGAAAUAUGGAAUUACACAUAAGGUUGCUACCCCUUAUUGUUGAGUGUUAAAAAAUGCAUAUUUAUAAAGGAGAAAACCGUUAUUUUACAUUUCAAGUCUUACUAACAACCUUUACUUUUAUAUAUUUAACCUUCUUGUGAUUUAAUUACAUGUGUUUUAUUUUAAUUAAGUAUUUUAUGUAUUUUAGGGGCAUUAUAGUGAUUUCACAACAAAGGAGAGAUCAGACGGCAAAACAGACAUCACUUUUGAACUCAGAACGGUCGAAAGCCUUAGGAGGAGCAUAAAAAGAAAAAUGACACUAUUCACAUGUACGAUACUAUUCACGUGUACGGUACUGUAUACGUUACUGUUCACAUAGAUGGACCGAUGACGUGGCAUUGACCGAUGAUGUGGCAUUGACUGAUGAGGUGUCACGAUCCUGUUGGACUAAAAUUCUUAUGUAUUGUUGAUGGUGACGUGGCAGCAUAUCAGUGGACGAAAAAUCUCGCGUACGGUACAUGCAUCACACAGGAUUAUUUUCAACCAAACUGCGUUACUGUUCAACCCGGGUCAAAUCGUGUUACUGUUCAUCCGCGUGGUCAAACCACGUACUGUUGACUGAUGACGUGGCGCAAUCCUGAGCGUCCAAAGUGUUUUUAAUCCGAUGGCCAUGAUUUACUCCAUGUAUCUAUAAAAAGGGGGCCUCCCCCCUAUUUUGAUAUCUCUGAAUUCAUUUUUGGGAUCUAUUUUCUGUAAUUCCUUCUCCAUCUUGUAUUUUCUUCGUAUUUUAAUAAAUUUUCAUUUUGCCCCUAGUUUAAUUAUGAAUGGCUAAUUUGCUUUCAAACUUGGGUUAAAGGUGAAGUCUCAACAUGUGUCAUGGGCUUUAUUUGUUAAAUUUUUUUCUCUUCCCCUCUAGUUUUUGUGGAUGUUUUGACUUCUCGUCGACAAAUAAUACUAAUCUUGUCUAGUACCGCCUUGGUUUCACCGGCCCUCUAGUACAAGGUUAUUAUUAUUUGGCACGAUAAGCCCUUAGCACCAUAUUGAUUAGAGUGUGGUUCAUGAGGUGUGGAUUCCCCCCUCAUGAUUUAAUUGGCAUUAAUACGGAUUAUUUAGCCCAUGAUGCAUGUUGAUACGGAUCCAGAUACCCAAGUACGUCAUUUCAAUAGAUUUCGCUUCAAUUUAUUCUCGCCAUUACAAUUCCAAUUUUAGAAUUUAUUAUCGCCAUCUCAAUUCCAAUUUUAGGAUAAUUUAAAUCACUUCCACCACAAUUUCAACCACCCAUUUACAAAAUUAAUUCUACAUAUAAUUAAAAUCCACCUCUUCGUGGGAUCGACAUUCUUUACCAUUGAUCUAUACUACAAUAGAUUCGUGCGCUUGCGAGUACAUUAAAAUUUGCACAACAAGUUUUUGGCGCCGUUGCCGGGGAGGUAAGUAAUUUUUAGAAUUAAUUUUUGUGAAUAAUUUCUUUUAUUUGUUUUCUUGUAUUUUUUUAUUAUUAAAAAAAGAAAAAAAAGUGAAUCUACAUUUAAAGGUUAGUAUUUCUUUCCUUUUUCUCUUCUUUAAAAUUCUGUAAUUUAAUUUUCAAUUUAUUUUUCUUUGUAAUUUUUUUGUUUAUUUUAUUAAUUUAAUUUUUAGUUAAUUUAUUUCACGUAUUUAUUUUUGUGUAUUUUUAUAGAAAGGUUGUAAUAGCGCAAUAAGGUUAGUAUCGUAAUUUCUCACUCUUCUUUAUUUUUAUUUGUUUUGUUCCCAUCUUUAUUUUUAUUUUAUUUGUUUUGCAUGCAUGAUCGUAGGUCAUUAUUACCUAAUCUUGAACCUAUAGACCUUGAAUUAGAGAAAACACUUCGCACACACAAACAAAUUAAAAAUAAAAUGGAUUUGCAACCACAGGAGAGGCCAUUUAAGGAUUAUUUCAAUCCCUUAGCUAAUUUAAACACAUCAUGUAUAAGAUACCCAAAUGUAGCUGCUAGGAGUUUUGAAUUAAAACCUAGUGUGCUAAAUUGUCUCCCAACAUUCUAUGGCCUAGAAAAUGAGGACCCAUAUAAUCAUCUGAAUGAUUUUCAUGCCAUUUGUCAAACUUUUAAAUAUGAAAAUUUUUCAGACGAUGAUGUUAAACUCAGAUUAUUCCCAUUUUCUUUAAAGGAUAGAGCUCGUUCAUGGUUAAAUACUUUACCUGCUAAUAGCAUCUCAUAAUGGGAACAAAUGGUAAUGAAAUUUUUGAAUAAAUAUUUCCCAGUGCAUAAAACCAAUGCUAUUCGCAGGGAAAUCUCAGAGUUUACUCAGAGAGAUGACGAGCAGUUUUUCGAAACGUGGGAGCGAUUCAAUGGACUACUCUUGAAGUGUCCACAUUAUGGGUACGAGAAAUAGCACCAAUGCCAAUACUUUUUUGAGGGAUUAUUGCCGAAUGUGCAAGAAUGGCUAAUGGCAACAAGUGGAGGAGAGCUAAUGUCAAAAAGUGCAUCAGAGAUUUGGGAAUUCUUCCAGCGACAAGCGGAUAAUUCCCAACAACGGAGUCGAUCGCUCAGGAAUACUAGAAGAAUUAAGGGAGUAAAUGAGGUUCACAUUGGCGAAUCCAGUUCAGAAAUUAAAGAAGUCAAGGAGAUGGUUGAAGGUCUUGCUUGACAAAGAGCAUCGUUAUCGACUGCUAAAUCAACAGAACCACAUGACCAUGACUCAUACUCAGAUCAAGCCAAUGCCAUAGGUGUAAUGAGAAAGCCAUCAAAUUACAACCCAUACUCCAACACAUAUAACCCUGGAUGGAGAGACCACCCCAAUUUUUCAUGGUCUCAAGGAUUCUAACAGAAUGGACCAGCAGCUCCAGCUCCACCAAUGCAAUAAAUUUCUCAAAAUCCUCAAGCCUCUCAGCCCCCAUUUAGACCAUACAAUUAGAACCAGAACUACUCUCAACCCAGACCAUGGGAGGAUUCAUUCUAGAAUCUCAAGAAUCUUACUCACUCCACGAUUGAGCAACAGAACCGCACCAUUGAUGGACUACGAAAUGAGUUGAGAGCAGGCUUCAAUUCACAAGCUCAAUCAGUCUCAAGCCUCGAGAAGAUGGUGGGACAACUUGCUUCUUCAGUUCAGACAUUGGUAAUGACUGUUGAAAAAGGCAAGUUUCCAAGUCAACCAGUGCCUAAUCCUAAAGGAGUACAUGAAGCAAGUACUAGUUCACUACAGCAGCAUGGAGAUGUUAAAGUAGUCAUGACCUUGCGAAAAGGAAAAGAAGUCGACAACAAAGUGGAGAUGCCGGUGAAAAAAGAAAAUCAAAUUGUACCUGUAAAUGUUGACGACUCAUCACCGGAGGAGAAAGAAGAAACCAACCCACGAGAAUACAUUUCGAAAGCUCUAUUUCCUCAGAGGUUAGCGAAAGGAAAGAAGGAAAAAUCCACAGGUGAGAUUCUCGAAAUCUUCAAACAGGUAAGUGUUAACAUCCCUUUACUUGAUGCUAUAAAGCAAUUUCCAUCUUAUGCCAAGUUUCUUAAAGACCUUUGUACUAAAAAGAGAAAUAUUCAUGUUCAAAAGAAGGCAUUUUUAACAGAAAACAUUAGUUCUAUACUCCAACACAAAAUUCCUCUAAAAUGCAAAGACCCAGGCUCCCCCACUAUUUCAUGUAGCAUAGGGAACCACACAAUUGAGAAUGCUUUGUUGGAUUUAGGAGCUAGUGUAAAUUUGUUGCCUUAUUCAGUAUUUGUGAAACUUGGACUGGGAGAAUUACACCCAACUCCAGUGAUGUUACAGCUUGCAGAUCGGUCCACGAAAAUACCUCGUGGCAUUGUGGAGGACGUGCUUAUCCAGGUAGACAAGUUUUAUUUUCCUGUUGAUUUCAUUGUAAUUGACACUCAACCAAUACAGGAUUCAAGAAAGCACAUCCCCAUUAUUCUAGGCUGACCUUUCUUGGCAACUGCGGAUGCUCAUAUUCAAUGCAGGACUGAAAAUAUGCAGUUGUCCUUCGACAACAUGACUAUGGAGCUGAACAUCUUCAACAUUGUCAAACAACCUCACAAUGCAGGUGAUAGAAUUGUUGAUGUGGAUUUAAUAGAAGCAUUAGUUGAUAAUACUUUUGUUUCAAACCUUAGUGAUGAUCAUUUACAAACAUGUUUAACUCACUUUGGUUUGGAUUUUGAUAUUGACAGAUCGGUCGAUGAGGUCAAAGCCCUACUUGACUAAGCACCAUCUAUGGACACUAAUACAUGGAAGUCAAGAGUUGAAAAACUAGCACCAUCAGAGAAGAAACUCAUCCCAUCAUCAAAAUCACCACCAAAACUCGAGCUCAAACCAUUGCCCAACACUUUGGAGUAUGCAUUUUUGGGAGAAGAAAGUACUCUGCCGGUAAUCAUCUCAUCAUCCCUAAAUGACGAACAAAAAGGUAAGUUGUUGGAUGUUUUAAAAGAGCACAAAUGAGCAUUAGGAUGGACCAUAGCAGACAUAAAAGGUAUAAACCCAAUAGACUGCAUGCAUUACAUUCACCUUGAUGAAAAUGCUAAAUCUACUAGGGAAAUGCAUGUCGGUUAAAUCUUAAUAUGAAAGAAGUUGUUAGAACAGAAGUCCUUAAGCUAUUAGAUGCAGGUAUCAUUUACCCAAUUUCUGAUAGUUCAUGGGUCAGUCCUGUAUAAGUUGUCCCCAAAAAGUCAGAAGUCACAGUAGUUACCAAUGCUGAUAAUGAAUUGAUACCAACUAGAGUGACUACAGGAUGGCGUGUAUGCAUUGAUUAUAGAAAGUUGAAUUCUGUCACACAUAAAGACCAUUUUCCUUUACCAUUUAUCGAUCAAAUGCUUGAUAGAUUAGUAGGCCAUGAAUUUUAUUGCUUUCUAGAUGGCUACUCAAGAUACAAUCAGAUCCCCAUAGCACCAAAAGAUCAAGAGAAAACUACUUUCACUUGCCCUUUUGGCACAUUUGCAUAUAGGAGAAUGCCAUUUGGAUUAUGUAAUGCACCUGCUACAUUUCAAUGAUGCAUGUUGAGUAUUUUUUCUGAUAUGGUUGAACGAUUCCUUGAAGUCUUUAUGGAUGAUUUUUCUGUCUUUGGUGACUCGUUUGAUCAAUGCUUACAUCAUCUAACACUAGUUCUGCAGAGAUGUAUCGAGAAGAACUUGGUCUUAAAUUAGGAGAAAUGUCAUUUCAUGGUAAAACAAGGUAUUGUUCUCGGUCACAUCAUUUCGAGCAAAGGGAUUGAGGUUGACAAAGCCAAGGUGGAUCUCAUUUCUAAUCUUCCUCCACUCAAAACAGUCAGAGAAGUAAGAUAUUUCCUUGGGCAUGCUAGGUUUUAUAGACGUUUCAUUAAAGAUUUUAGCAAAGUUUCUAGACCCUUAUGCAAUUUACUUGCUAAGGAUGUACCUUUUAUCUUUGAUGAUUCAUGUCUUGUGGCAUUUGAAAAACUAAAGCAAUUGUUAACAUUAUCACCCAUCAUUCAGCCCCCAAACUGGAGCUUACCAUUUGAAUUCAUGUGCGAUGCAUCUGAUUAUGCAGUAGGAGCAGUAUUAGGACAAAGAGUUGAUCGAAUUCCCCAUGUUAUUUAUUAUGCUAGUAUGACAUUAAAUGAUGCACAGUUGAACUAUUCAACCAUUGAAAAAGAAAUGCUAGCAGUAGUGUUUGCAUUAGAGAAAUUUUGAUCUUAUCUCAUUGGUUGUAAAAUAAUUAUAUUCACAGAUCAUGCUGCUCUUAAAUAUCUUUUCACAAAGAAAGAUGCAAAAGCCAGACUAAUUCGUUGGGUGUUACUUUUGCAGGAGUUCGACUUGGAAUUCAAAGAUAAGAAAGGCACAGAAAAUGUCGUGGCGGACCACCUCUCUCGUCUCCAUUUUGACACAAUUACAGAAUCAUUACCAUUGAAUGAGUCAUUUCUAGAUGAACAAUUAAUGAGUGUGGAAGUAUUACCAUGGUAUGCUGAUAUCGUUAAUUAUCUUGUUACAGGUCAACUUCCAGAGCAUUGGACCAAGCAAGACAAGGCUAAAUUCUUUGGGGAAAUAAAGAAUUUUUUUUGGGAUGACCCGUAUUUGUUCAAGUAUUGUACAGACCAAAUUGUUAGACGAUGUGUCCCAGAAAGUGAAAUUCAAAAUAUCCUUUCAUUCUACCAUGAACAAGCUUGUGGAGGCCAUUUCAACGCAAAGAAAACAGCAACUAAAGUUUUACAAUAUGGUUUCUAUUGGCCAACUAUAUUUCAAGAUGCUUACACUUUCUAUUCUCCAUGUGAUAGGUGUCAACGAAUGGGGAGCAUUACACAAAGGAACAUGAUGCCAUUAAAUCCAAUUUUAGUGGUUGAAAUUUUUGACGUAUGUGGUAUCGACUUCAUGGGACCCUUUCCCCCAUCUUUUGGCCAUCAAUGCAUAUUGGUUGCUGUUGACUACGUAUCAAAAUGGGUAGAAGCAAUUCAAUGUAGGACCAAUGAUCACAAGGUGGUGAUAGCAUUUUUGAAAAGCAACAUUGUUUCACGCUUUGGAUUCCCUCGAGCAAUAAUCAGUGAUGGUGGUGCCCACUUUUGUAACAAAGCAUUCAAGACUCUUUUGACAAAGUAUUCAAUCACACACAAAGUGGUGACCCCAUAUCAUCUGCAAACCAGUAGCCAAGUUGAAAUCUCCAAUCGAGAAAUAAAGCACAUAUUAGAAAAGACGGUGAGGCCAGACAGAAAAGAUUGGUCAUUAAGACUUGAUGAUGCAAUAUGGGCAUAUAGAACGGCUUUCAAGACCCCGAUUGGGAUGUCACUCUACAGGCUAGUGUAUGGAAAAGCUUACCACCUACCUGUGGAACUCGAGCAUCGUGUAUAUUGGGCUAUCAAGAAAUUCAACUUUGAGAUGCAGCAAGCCAGCUCAGAAAGAAGAUUACAACUGGCAGAACUUGAAGAAAUUCGUAAUGAUGCAUACGAAAAUGCCAAGAUUUACAAGCAACGAAUGAAAGUCUUUCACGACAAGCAAAUUAUGAGAAAAUCUUUCACUCCAGGUCAGAAAGUGCUUUUAUUCAAUUCUCGCUUGCACCUAUUCUCAGGUAAGUUAUGCUCUCGAUGAUCUGGUCCCUUUAUUGUUCAUACUGUUUUUCCACAUGGGACAAUUGAAAUUAAGGACCCAAAGAACGGUGUCACGUUUAAAGUUAAUGGUCAAAGAUUAAAGCCAUAUGUAGAGUACCAACCACAUGGAGAAGACACCGAAAUAAAUUUGAGUGACCCACCAGAUUUGAAUUGAUUUUUUUUUGGGGAUUUGAUUUUUUUUUCUUUCUUUAUAUUAUUCUUUUGCUAAUUGAAAUUAUUUUUGCAUAAGUGUGUUCGUUUAACUAUUAAGUUUUCUCUUAUCAUUUUUAAUCAUGAGUACCUUACUUAGACCGUUCCUCCUGAACAUUCUUAAACCACUUCAACGUGUCAAAACUCAUCUCAAAAGGCAGAUUCAAUUUUGUAAAACACAUCGCAUUUGGGCUCUACAGCCACCAGAGUUAGUAGUCUAUGUUGAGGGUUUAGAAAGCCAACUCAGAGACAUUGAGAGAAGUGUUUACGACAUCCAGUUGGAGCUUGAGGUAAAUUCAAUAAGAGGACGAUUUUAAUUUUCUUUGUGUGUUUUAAUUUAUUUUUCUAUUUGUGUGCUUUAGUUUGUUACCCCGGUGAAGUGGCGGAUAACGGUACUCCGUGACAAUCAAGUCGGUUACUUCAGUUUCCCAUAAUAACUGAUAUUCUGAGGCAAAAGUAUGGACAGAAACGAGAUUAUAGCGAAGCUUCACAAGCGAUUCCCUUCACUUCCUCAGAAUGCCCUCCUUACGAUCUAUAAAGCUCGGUCCGAACGCAUGCGAUUACUCAUGAGGAAUAACAUACCUACUGACAUCCGUUAGUUAAUCGAGGCUAAAGUACGAUCGGCAGGUGAGUUACCUCCAAAAUUUAUUGCAUACAUGCCUGGUUAUGGUAAAGGAAAUUAUGCAAGAAAACGACGAGCUCGAAGAAUUUCUGUUGCUUGUCAUAAGUGUGCCAGAAUGAGUUGCAAUAAAAACUCAUGUUCUUUAAGAAUGGUGUCUGAUAACAGGGAAGAUAAGAUUCAAUUCAUUAGGGAUGGCUUGAAUAAGGAGUCAUUGGAUGAUAUCCUUUUGUCUCUUGAAACGCAUCCCAGUGGAUAUGUGCAAGGAGCGAUUCUCCAAUUAUGGCCAUUAUUCCAGAAAGAACAUGCACGAUAUAGUCUCGGGAAUCUGACUAUAAACGACCAUGUUUGCCAGUUUAUAAGAAAACUGGAUAGGAAGCCUAUCCUCGACCCAUAGAGGGCGUUCAAGCCGUUUCUAGACAUAAAACCAGAGGAAGAUGUGAGCCACAGUCGCAACUACCUGUAAAUAUCCUUUCACUUUACUGUUAUUUUAUUUCACUAUUAUUUUAUUGUGUAUAUUAUUGUCUUUAAUAAUUUUAUUACUGUUUGCUUUUUCCUUAUUACUGUUUACUUUUUCCUUUUUACUGUUUCCUUUUUGACUCGCAAGCCACGUGCUUUACGCGUUAUUUGACACUGACAUGUUACCUCAUACACAACUGUGACCCACUGUCACCAAGACUCUUAAAUGUGAUUUUUCUUGUCAAGCACUCACAAAUUAUUUUUGAGAAAUAUUCCAAUGGCAGCUACUCCCAAUAGACAAUUCAAGAACAUUUGUGUGCUUUCUGGAUUUACCUAUGACAAACAUAAAGAGUUCGUUGAGGUAGCCAUCGAUCUUGGUCGAAGUAUAGCAGAGAGAAAAUUACACUUGGUGUAUGGAGAAGGUAACCAAGGGUUAUCAAAAAUGGUCUCUGAAGCAGCUUUUGUCAGAGGAAGUCAAGUGUUAGGCAUCAUCCUAAGAGUCAUAAAACCAUUGGCCAGUUCAUCUGACUCAUCAACUGGAGAAGAGUUAGUCGUCUCAGGUAUGCAAGAAAGAAUAACUGAAAUGCUUAAUCAUUCUGAUGCUUUUAUUUUCCUUCCAGGAGAUCUUGCAACACUAGAGGCACUUAUCACACUAGCAUAUUGGGCCCAUCAGCACAUUCACCAUAAACCCAUCGGUUUGUUAAAUGUCAAUAACUUUUAUGAUGGCUUUAUUGCAUUUCUUAACCAUGCAAUAAAAAACUAUUUCAUUCCUUCUAAUGUGAAAAAAACUUUUUAUUUGUGCUCACACUGCUAAUGAGCUACUUGAUCUGUUACAAGCUUAUAAACCGGAGCCAGACCCCUAGACCUUUGUGUUGGAGCAUACAAAUAAUGAUGGUAACAGUAGCCGCAGUAAGAAGUACAAAUUAGAUUUAACUCUCCGCUUGUAAAUAUUAUUUUCUGUGUUGCACCAUCCAGGUGAUGUCUUCUAAACUCUACUUCUUUCCUUUCAAACAUUGAGGACAAUGUUUCGUUCUGGUUGGGGGGAGGGAAUAGUCGACAAUUGUGGAAUUUUGGUUAAGUUUUUACUAAUUUUUUGUUGUAGAAACUAACUGUUGCUAACUUUUUGUGUUGAAGAUGGCUGAAUAUAGAGUAUAGUGACUCUAGAAACGCAUCUUCAUCGUUUAAAAAAAAAUUAAAAAAACUAAAAAAAAAUUCAGACAUUUUCUUUUUCUUUAUUCUGUUUUUAUGUUUAUUUUUCUUCUUUUUAAUUUCUCCUCUAUAAAUAUACAUUUUCCAACUUGUGAGUCGAAGAUGGCUGAAUAUGGAGUGUAGUGCCUCUAGAAACGCAUCUUCUUAAAAAAAAAAAAUCAUUUUCGUUUUCUAUCAUUUUACGUGUAACUUUUCUAAUUAGUUUUUAUGCAUCAUUUUCACAUUUCUGCAUGCAUAUUUUUCUUUCAUGUUUAGAAUAGGUUGGGGGGUAGAAUGUUGUUUAAAAAAAAAUUGUGUGAUUUGUUUUAACAUUGGAUGACAUGAUUAAUUUCAAAUUUUAGUAUUUGUAUUAUCUUUGGUCUUAAGUGAUGUUACGCUAUGUUUGCUACUUUACAUGUUGAUGUCGGAGACAAAUAUGAGUUGCUUGAAGGAAUAAAUAUGUCAUAAAUAAGUGCCAAGUGAGUUGUUGAGCCUAUCAUUUUCUUGGAGAGUAACCCUUUUGCCUAUUCUCUAUACAGCUUAGCAGUUUAUUAUUUUAUACACGAUCUCUAGAUUUCUUUUGAGUUAACCCUUAAAAAAAUGGUAAAAUGAAAAAAAGAAAAAAAAUGUGUGUCGCUACAUUGGGAGGCCCGUCUAACUAGUAGAUAUGGAUAAUUAUUUAGAGCCCUAAAAGACGAUGGAAAGGCCAUCUUUGAUCCGUUUAAGCCUUUCUAGCCAUCCCUUUUAUUAAAUAUCCAUAGUUAACCCUUUUGAGCCUUUAAAAAAAAAUAUUUUCUUUGUCAACUUAUCAUCUUGACCCACUCCGAUUUGGAGUAUUACCCGAUGUCUUAUAAGUUCCAUCACUUAUUUAUGUUUGAGAAAAUGUAAAUAAUUAUGUUGUUCAGUGAAGUUAUGCCAAAUAAAAGCAAAAAAAAAAACAACAAAAGUUGUUGUUUCAAAAGAAUAAAAAUAACAAUAAUAGGUGAAAUCCACCUUGCAACUUCCAAAAAAAUAAAAAAUAAAAAAAUUUCUCUGCAUUUUUCUCAAACAUACACUUUGUUUUCCUUAUUUCCUUUCUUUGUUAGCCAUAUCCCUAGUCUACGUUACGUCCUAAUAAAAGUCCUUCUUGAUUUUAGGGAACUAUAGUUUGAAGUAGAAGCUAGUUAUAUGAGCUAAAAAGAUGUAAUGGUGCAUAAUAAAAAUAAAUAAAUAAAUAAAAGAAAAAAAAAAGAUAAAUAAAUUGGGUUGACUAGCAUUUUUAUUUGACUUGAGAUCGUAUUAUUUCUAAGCUGAGGGCAUAUUUAUUUCAUCUUGGUGAGAGCAUGUGAUAUCAUUUCUUUAUUAUUUUCUCUCUCAAUUACCAUUCAUUGAAGUGACUAUUUUUAUUGGUUUUAAUUUUUUUGUGAGAGUUCACUACUUCUAGUAAGAUUCUGGAGUUUCACAUGUCAUUCUUGAAAGUAGAUAUAACAAAGUCUACUGGGCUGAUUCAUGUGGAUGGUUGAUGUGGGUGUGAUGUUGCUUUAGACUGGAGAUAAUGCUUAUACUUUUAUUUGAUUGCUAUCAUUAAUCUGAUGGAAUAAAUACGAGUGUUUUUAUUAAAAAAAAUUAUUUUGAAUUUGAAUUUUGUUUUCGCUUUAUUUGUUAGGGACUAACAAUAAGCUGGUGGAGGGUUGUGUUGAGUGUUAGAAAAUGCAUAUUUAUAAAGGAGAAAACCGUCAUUUUACAUUUUAAGUCUUACUAACAACCUUUACUUUUAUGUAUUUAACCUUGUGAUUUAAUUACAUGUGUUUUAUUUUAAUUAAGUAUUUUAUGUAUUUUAAGGGCAUUAUAGUCAUUUCACAAUAAAGGAGAGAUCAGACGGUAAAACAGACAUCACUUUUGAACUCAGGACGGUCGAAAACCUUAGGAGGAGUAUAAAAAGAAAAAUGACACUAUUCACAUGUACGGUACUAUUCACGUAUACGGUACUGUAUACGUUACUGUUCACGACACUGUUCACAUAGACGGACCGAUUACGUGGCAUUGACCGAUGAUGUGGCAUUAACUGAUGAGGUGUCACGAUCCUGUUGGACUAAAAUUCUUAUGUAUUGUUGAUGGUGACAUGGCAACAUAUCAGUGGACGAAAAAUCUCGCGUACGGUACAUGCAUCACAUAGGAUUAUUUUCAACCAAACCGCGUUACUGUUCAACCCGGGUCAAACCGUGUUACUGUUCAUCCGCGUCAAACCGCAUACUGUUGACUGAUGACGUGGCGCAAUCCUGAGCGUCCAAACUGUUUUUAAUCCGAUGGCCAUGAUUUACUCCAUGUAUCUAUAAAAAGGGGGCCUCCCCCCCCUAUUUUGAUAUCUCUGAAUCCAUUUUUGGGAUCCAUUUUCUGUAAUUCCUUCUCCAUCUUGUAUUUUCUACAUAUUUUAAUAAAUUCUUAUUUUACCCCUAGUUCAAUUAUGAGUGGCUAAUUUUCUUUCAAACUUGGAUUGAAGGUGAGGUCUCAACAUGUGUCAUGGGCUUUAUUUGGUAAAUUUAUUUUCUCUUCCCCUCUAGUUUUUGUGGAUGUUUUGACUUCUCGUCGACAAAUAAUAUUAAUCUUGUCUAGUACCGCCUUGGUUUCACCGGCCCUCUAGUACAAGGUUAUUAUUAUUUGGCACGAUAAGCCCUUAGCACCAUAUUGAUUAGAGCGUGGUUCAUGAGGUGUGCAUUCCCCCCUCAUGAUUUAAUUGGCAUUAAUACGGAUUAUUUAGCCCAUGAUGCAUGUUGAUACGGAUCCAGAUACCCAAGUACCUCAUUUCAAUAGAUUUCGCUUCAAUUUAUUCUCGCCAUUGCAAUUCCAAUUUUAGAAUUUAUUAUCGCCAUCUCAAUUCCAAUUUUAGGAUAAUUUAAAUCACUUCCACCACAAUUUCAACCACCCAUUUACAAAAUUAAUUCUACAUAUAAUUAAAAUCCACCUCCUCGUGGGAUCGACACUCGUCACCAUUGAUCUAUACUACAAUAGAUUCGUGCGCUUGCGAGUACAUUAAAAUUUACACAACACUUAUCACCCUCAAACAAGUGGUCAAGUUGAAUUAGCAAAUAGGGAGAUAAAACAAAUUUUAGAAAAGACAAUUAAUCCAAUCCGUAAAGAUUGGUCUCUUCGACUAAUUGAUGCACUUUGGGCAUAUCGUACUGCUUUUAAAACAUCUUUAGAAAUGUCACCCUAUCGGCUUGUUUAUGGAAAAUCUUGCCACUUACCAAUAGAACUUGAACAUAAAUCAUUUUGGGCCAUUAAAGCUUUUAAUUCAAAUCUUAAUGAUGCUGGCAAUGUGCGUAAAUUGUAAAUAAAUGAACUUGAGGAAUUAAGGAAUGAUGUAUAUGAUAAUUCCAGAAUUAUUAAGGCAAGAACCAAAUUUUUUCAUGACAAAAGAAUUUUUUGGAAAACAUUUGAAAUUGGUCAAAAAGUGUUGCUAUAUAAUUCUCGUCUUCAUUUAUUUCCAGGGAAGUUAAAGUCAAAGUGGAAUGGUCCAUUUGUUGUAAAAAAUGUGUAUCCAUAUGGAGCCGUAGAAAUUGAGAAUCCAAAGGAUGGUGUCACAUUUAAAGUUAAUGGCUAAAGAUUGAAACCAUAUUUGGAAUACCAACCACAUGAAGCAGAUACCGAAAUCCAUUUGAGUGACCCACCAAACUUUUGAUUAAGCUUUUUCAUUUUAACGAACGUUUUGUGAAUUUGAUUUAUUGUUACUUUAUCGUUUGAAUUUUUUGAUUUCUUUUUCUUUUUCCUUUUCCCUAUGUCUUGAAUGAGUGCAUUGCAUUGUUUUAAUUAUGUGUUGUUUGACAAUUGUGAUUUAGUUUACCAAAUUUUUAUACUUGUUAUGAGUACCUCCAUGAGAAAUUUCCUUUUCGAUCAUCUUAAAACUCUUUUUCAUGUAAAAUUUCACCUGACGAAAUUGUUCUGAUUUUGUAAAUUACAUCUCAUUUGGGAUCUGCAACCACCAAAGUUAGUAUCUCACGUUAAAGAUCUAGAAAGACAACUCAAGGAAAUAGAGGAUGGUAUUUAUAAUCUACAAUUAGAACUGGAUUCAAUAAAAGGACGAAGGUGAGUUAUAUUCCUUGUGUGUUUUUGUUUUAUUUUGUUGUUCUUUUUCACUUUUGAUUUGAUUCAUUUUGUUUUGAUUCACUCUCCCGUAUAAAUGGCGGAUAACGGUACUCCAUGACUUUUUAAAUCGGUAUUCUCAGUUUCCCAUAAUAACUGAAACCUCAAUGUCAAGCAUGGAAGCAAUAUAACAAAAUUUGCAUCAACAUUUUCCUUCUCUCCCUCAAAAUGCUCUUAAGAAGAUUUACAAUGCUCGUUGUGAACGACUGCAUUUGUUAAUGAUCAAUGAGAUUCCUGCUGACAUUCGCUGGUUAAUUGAAGCAAAGGUCUGAUUGGCAGGUGAGUUUUCUGAUCCAUUCAUUUCCUACAUGCCUGGUUUUGGUAAAAGUACAUUUGCUAAGAAAAUAAGAGUUAAGCGACUUAGCUCUGAAUGUUCUCACUGUGUAAGACUUGCUUGCAAAAAUCCACAUUGUAAAGUUUUAGGAAUGGUUUCUGUAAAUCGUGAAGAUAAAAUCAAAUUCGUUACGGAUGGCAUGAGUAAAGAAUCGUUGGAUGAUAUCUUAUGAUCUCUUAAGACGCAUCCGAGCAGAUAUGUUCAACGUGAAAUUCAAAAUUUGUGGAAGCUGUUUCAAAAGGAAAGUGCAUAAUUUAGUCUUGGGAAUUUGACUCUAAAAGACCUUGUUUGCCAGUUUAUAAGAAAACUGGAUAGGAAGCUGUUGUGCAAAUUUUAAUGUAUUCGCAAGCGCACGAAUCUAUUGUAGUAUAGACUAAUGGUGACGAGUGUCGAUCCCACGAGGAGGUGGAUUUUAAUUAUGUAAAAUUAAUUUUGUGAAUUGAUGAUUGGAUCUGUGGUGGAAAUGAUUUGGAAUAUGCUAAAACUUAAAUUAAAAUGGUGAUAAUAAAUUCUAAAAUUGGACUUGCAAUGGCGAGAAUAAAUUGAAGAGAAAUCUAUUGAAAUGACGUACUUGGGUAUUUGGAUCCGUAUCAACAUGCAUCAUGGGCUAAAUAAUCCUUAUUAAUGCCAAUUAAAUCAUGAGGGGGGAAUCCACACCUCAUGAACCACGCUCUAAUCAAUAUGGUGCUAAGGGCUUAUCGUGCCAAAUAAUAAUAACCUUGUACUAGAGGGCUGGUGAAACUAAGGCAGUACUAGACAAGAUUAGUAUUAUUUGUCGACGAGAAGUCAAAACAUCCACAAAAACUAGAGGGGAAGAGAAAAUAAAUUUACCAAAUUAAGCCCAUGACACAUGUUGAGACUUCACCUUUAACCCAAGCUUGAAAGAAAAUUAGCCACUCAUAAUUGAACUAGGGGCAAAAUGGGAAUUUAUUAAAAUACGAAGAAAAUACAAGAUGGAGAGGGAAUUACAGAAAAUGGAUCCCAAAAAUGGAUUCAGAGAUAUCAAAUUAGGGGGGGAGGCCCCCUUUUUAUAGAUACAUGGAGUAAAUCAUGGCCAUCGGAUUAAAAACAGUUUGGACGCUCAGGAUUGCGCCACGUCAUCAGUCAACAGUCCACGGUUUGACCACGCGGAUGAACAGUAACACGGUUUGACCCGGAUGAACAGUAACGCGGUUUGGUUGAAAAUAAUCCUGUGUGAUGCAUGCACCGUACGUGAGAUUUUUCGUCCACUGAUAUGCUGCCACGUCACCAUCAACAGUACAUAAGAAUUUUAGCCCAACAGGAUCAUGACACCUCAUCAGUCAAUGCCACAUCAUCGGUCAAUGCCACGUCAUCAUCCGUCUAUGUGAACAGUGUCGUGAACAGUAACGUAUACAGUACCGUACACGUGAAUACUACCGUACAUGUGAAUAGUGUCAUUUUUCCUUUUAUGCUCCUCUUAAGGUUUUUGACCGUCCUGAGUUCAAAAGUGAUGUCCGUUUUUCCGUCUGAUUUCUCCUUUAUUGUGAAAUGACUAUAAUGCCCCUAAAAUACAUAAAAUACUUAAUUAAAAUAAAACACAUGUAAUUAAAUCACAAGAAGGUUAAAUAAAUAAAAGUAAGGGUUGUUAAUAAGACUUGAAAUAUAAAAUGACGGUUUUCUCCUUUAUAAAUAUGCAUUUUCUAACACUCAACACACCCCCCAACCAGCUUAUUGGUAGUCCCUAGCAAAUGAAGCGAAAAUAAAAUUCAAAUUCAAAAUGAGUUUUUUUUUAAAAAUUUAGAAACACUCGUGUUUAUUCAAUCAGAUUAAUGAUAGCAAUCAAAUAAAAGUAUAAGCAUUAUCUCCAGUCUAAAGUAACAUCACACCCACAUCAACCAUCCACAUGAAUCAACCCAGUAGACUUUGUUAUAGCUACUUUCAAGAAUGACAUGUCAAACCCCAAAAUCUCACUGGAAGUAGUGACACUCUCACAAAGAAAUUAAACCCAAUAAAAAUAGUCACUCCAAUGAAUGGUAAUUGAGCGAAAAUAAUGAAGAAGUGAUAUCACAUGCUCUCACCAAGAUGAAAUAAAUAUGCCCUCAGCUUAAAAAUAAUACGAUCUCAAGUCAAAUAAAAACUGUUAGUCAACCCAAUUUAUUUAUUAUUAUUUUUUAUUAUUAUUAUGCAUCACUACAUUUUUUUAGCCCAUAUAACUAGCUUCUACUUCAGAUUAUAGUUCCCUAAAAUCAGGAAGGACUUUUAUUAGGAUGUAACGUAGGCUAGGGACAUGGUUAACAAAGAAAGGAAAUAAGGAAAACAAAGUGUAUGUUUGAGAAAAAUGCAGAGAAAUUUUUUUUUUUUUUGGAAGUUGCAAGGUGGAUUUCACCUAUUAUUGUUAUUUUUAUUCUUUUGAAACAACAACUUUUGUUUUGUUGUUUUUUUUUUGCUUUCUUUUUUGUAUAACUUCACUGAACAACAUAAUUAUUUACAUUUACAUUUUGUUUUGGGAACUAUAAUAUGAAGUAAAAGCUGGUAAUAUAGACUAAAAGAUGUGGUGAUACAUAAAAAUAAAAAUAAAUUUUGCUAGUAAUUCAUUGGUCUUGAGAUCAUUUUGUUUCUAAGUUGUGGGCAUUAUUUUUUUAUCUUGGUGAGAGCGUGUGAUAUUGUUUUAUUAUUCUCUCAAAUUUACCAUUUUUUUAGAGUGACAAAUUAAUUUGGGGUAUAUCUUCUUUUGAGAGAGUCACUCUUAAUUGUGAGAUUUUAGGGUUUAAUGUAUCAUUCUUAAAAGUGGCUUGAUUAAUAUAGCUCUGAUGAUUGAUCAUUUUACAGGAUUUUGCUGAACUGUUUUGAACGGGUGUGAUUUUUUUUAGGCUGAAGAUAAUGCUUAUACUUUUAUUUGAUUGUUGUCAUUAAUCUGAUGAAGGAAGUAAACACAAUUUUUCAAAAAAAAAAAGAUUUUCAAUUUGGUUUUGAAAUUUUUCUAAAUUUUUAUCGCUUAAAUUGCUAAGGCCUAGCAAUAAGCUGGUUGGGGGGUGUGAUUGACACUAAAAAGUAUACAUUUAAUAAGGAUAAAAUUAUUAGUUUUUCACUUAUUGUGUCGAUUAAUGCGUUCAUUAUUUCUAAAUUAUUUUAAUACUCCCCAAAUAUAUUUUAUGUAAAAUUAAUUCGUAAUUUGUUAAUUUUUAUCUUGUAAAUAUUUUGCAGGAAUAAAGAUGGAAUUGGAAUUGAAAGCGGGAACAAAGAAGAACUACUGGAACAAAAUUGAAGAGAUGUAAUAAUAAAAUAAUAAAUAAAAAAGAAAAAAAAGAACAAAAACAUGUAGGCCUCCUGACCAUCACACAAUUCAAUAUAUAUAUAUAUAUAUAUAUAUAUAUAAAAUAAAAUAAAAUAUUAAUAUUAAUAAAAGAAAAGAAAAGAAAACUAUUCCCUUGCCUAUAAAAGGCAAGGGGAUGCAGGAGAGAGAAUAGAAGUUGGAGCUGAUUUUUCAAAAGCGGAGAGAGCUAAUUUGAGAGCUGAAGUCGAGACUGAAGAUUUUCUUUCUUUCUUUGUUUCUUUUAUUUUUUUGUUUCCGUUUGUAUCAAUUUUCUUUGUAAUAUAUUUCAAAAAGUUUAUCAAAUAAAAAGAGUGUUGUGUUUUCUUUUAAUAUGAGUAGCUAAUUUUAUUAAGCUGAGGUGAAGGGUGAAGCUCAAUGUUUCAAACUAUUAAUUAUUAUUAUUUUCUCAAAUGAGUUUUUUAAUUAUUUUCUAAUUAUUUUUAUAUCAUGUUAUUUUAUAAAUCUCACUGGAUUUUAUGGUAUUUUGACAUAAUGUCGACACAUUAAUAUAGUGUGGCACAUUAGGUACUUUAUUCUAUAUUUAUCCACAUACAUAGAAUUAAAUGAUAUAAUAAUUAAUUGGUAAAAGUGAGGCAAAAUAUAAAUGAGAGAGUAUUAAAAUUAUAGUUUGAAUACAAAGAGUGGAUCCUAAACCUUAUCUUAUUUUUAAAUUGAUUUCAAAUAAUUUCUUUUCCCCACAAUUAAUUUUCUUAGUUUUACUAGAUUUAAAACUCCUUGUGGUUCGACCCUGGUCUCACCGGGUUAUAUUAUAACUAGACACUCUUAUACUUGAGAGUAAUACACUUUUGAAUCGUGUAAAAAAUCAUGGGCUAUAUCACCAGUUUUCUUUUCAAAAUAUUAAAUUCUAUAAAUAUAUUUUGCAAUCCAAAAUAUAUUGGGACUCUAUAAAUAAACACUUAUGCACAACUUAGAUUUCUUAUAUAAACACUUUAGUGAGUAAUAAUUUAAUGAUAAAUUAAUUAAAAAAAUUAUUAAUUAUUAAUUCACCAAGAUAGCAUCACGUUCAUAAUAAAAUUUUUCUUUUUUAUGAAGUAUAGAGAUUGUAUAAUUAGAGAAUAUACUGAUUCUUCAAAUUAUGUGAAACGAUUUUGAUAUGAUCUUAAUUAAGUGAACCAAUCACUUGAUAAUUCUUUAACUAAACGAAAGGCUUACAACAUUGAAUUAGUACAACAAAGAAAAUCGUAAACAUAUUAUAUGUAUUUAAUUUGAAAUUAGUUAAUUAUUAAUUUGUGUCCUAUAGAAAAAUAAGAUUUUUUUUCCAAAGCAUACUUUUUUAUUAAUUUAUCGAACUAUUUAGUUACCACAAUGACCCCCAGAUCAAAAUCAACAAAGAUUAUUAUUUACUCGAAGUUAUUAUUUUAUCAAGUAUUAAUUUAAUAAAAUUCUACCGUGUUUCUUGAACACUUAUAAUUGAGGGCUUGAGCAGUGUGAGACUACAUACCUAGUGCCAUAUAUUUCAUUAUUUCUUUAUUAUGGAUGUAUGAAAAUUUGAAUUGAAUGUGGUACAAUAUUGUAUAUUAUAUUUUUGGAAAAAGACAUUCUUUAAAAGAUUGCACAACACUUUGUAUAAAAUUGUGUGUUUUAAUAAAACAGAAUUGUAAAACAUUCAUAAAAUUUUAAAGAUUAAUCAUUUACAUCCCUAUUUUGAUUCUUGGGUUGAAAAAUGUCGGCAAAACUAGUAUCAGAGCCAAGUUUUAGAUUCAGAAUAUAAAAAUGGAAGAAAUAGUUGUUUAUUUUAUAAAUAAUGGAGGAUAUAAUUUAAUGAUAGAUAGUAAUACAAUUAAGGAUAGCAUAACUAAAUAUAGACAAUAUUAUUAUUCAGAACAAAAUAUAUUAGAUGAUAACAACUAGAACAAUUGUAUUUAUCCGGAGAGCUCAUGAAAUUAGAAUUGGAGAACUCAUAAUAAUAAAGAAUAGAAAUUUCAAAAUAGAUCUUAUUCUCCUAUUCACAGUUAGGAGAGAGGUUUAUAGAAAUAAUUUUUCUUGGAAAUAAUGGAAUAUUAAUUAUGUUGAGGAUUAUAUAGAUGAACUUGUGAUUGAUUAUAAUAGAUUUUUAAAUAUUAAGCAAAGAGAUUAAUACAAUUGGAAUAAAUAAAGGAUCAGAAGUGAAUACUAUCCUUCUAGCAACAUUCUGAUAGGAUACAAAGAUUUAAUUAUAUAUAAGCUUUGUUAUAUACAUAAAGGAUUAGAAGAAAACAAUAUUUCUAAGGAAUAAAAAAUAUUAUAUAUCACAAAUACUUGAUAGAAUAUAAUGAAAUAUUAUACAGAUGGUAUUAUGAAUAUAUUACUAGAACCAUUGAUAAUUUCACAAAAUAUAGAAACCAAUAAAUUUCCACCUUCUCGCUAUAGGCAUAGAGGAUUUACUUAUGAAAAAUUUCAACCAUUUGAUUUGGUAAAUGAUUUUGAUAUGUAAGGAAGUAAUAAGUUAAAAUAGAUUUCUCUAUAUUUAUUAAAUAAAUUUGGAAAUCCUAAUUUAACCAUAAAUGAUAUAGAAGAAAGUGCAAAUGAAAUACUUGAAAUUAAAAGCUUUAAUACUGAAAAUAUAACACAAGUUAAAAUGUUAAAAGAUCAAAUGAGUGAAGAAUUUGAUUCACUCAAACAAUUAUAAAAGACUUCAAAAUUGAAGAUUAAGAUAGAUUGACAUAAGAAAUCAUUAAUGUCAUGAACAAAAAUUCAAUUGAAGAUAAAUUAAAUAAGAUAGCAAUUCAAUUACAUAAAAUUGGAAAAAUCGUUGAACAACUUGGUAAUAAGUUUGCAAUAAGUAUAAAUGGAAAAUUAAAAAAGGAUUGAAGUACAAAAGAUUAGUAACAAUAUGGAAGAAUUACUCAAUGGUAAUUCAAGAACAAAAUAAAAUUUUACAAGAUACCAUAAUCUAGCACAAUGAAAAGAAAAAUAAAGAAAUGCUAGCAAUAUCAUGAUCAAUAUUUAACAAAGUAAAUGAAGAUAAAAAAUUAGUAAGUUUAAGGAUGCUAAGCAAAAAUGUAGACAAUGGAUUAAAAGAAUUAUCUAAUCCAGAAAUAUUCGAGGAAGAAUAUGAAGAGGAAGAAGAUGUAUUUAUUAAUUUAUAAGAUAUUGAAAAUAGACUAGAACUUCUAAAAUGAAUGAAUCAAAGCCAAGAGACUUUGAACAAGGAGAAUUUAGUAAUAGAGCUUCUUAAGCUAGGGAACAAAUACCACCUCAUGAAAGACUACAAGGUCAAUAUUUUAGGGUUAACAAACCUAAAAAAAUAUAUAUAUAACUCUAGGAGAAUAUAGAGAAAGACUAAUCAACCAUGAUGUAGUAUGGUUAGAUUUAGACUGUGUCAAAAAUAGUGAUAAAAUUAUUACCACUUAGGUUAAAUCUAUGAAAAUUGCAUUUGCAUUUAACAAAAUAGAUAGAAAUAAUGGUAUAGUCAUUUAUACGAAUAGUGUCAUAUUGGUUUAUGGGAUUGAAGGAUACCGACAAAAAUAAAAUAUUAUAUAGAGAAAAUAAUGAUUAAAACGAAAGCUUGGAUCAAGUCUUAAAUAAAUUUGAAAAUAAAAUAAGAAAAGAAUUCUUAGGAGAAGAUUGGGAAAUUGAUUUUCAACAGGAAAUAAAGAGGAAAAGGAUGGAAAACGUAAUGAAGCUAAAAACACUUGAAAUAUGUAAUAUAUUUUAUCUAGAAGAAUACACAUGUAGCUUUGAAGAAUUACAUUAUAAAUGUGAAUUUGAUAAAGUUGAAAAUACCAUAUGCUAUUAUAAUGAUCAAUAUUUUAUAAAGAUACCAGAUCCAUGGGGGAAAACGAUUAUGUUAGAAUAUAACAAGGAAUAAAUUGAUACCCUAAGAAAUAGGAUCAGAUUUGCUCAAAAUAGAAUUAGAGAAUGGUAUGUUGAAAUAAGAGUUAAGAGACUUUGGUAAAGUCCCCAUAGUUCAGCUUCCAUAAUCAUACUAAAACCGUAAACCCAUUCCCUACAAUAAUUCCUCACCAAGCCACCAACAUUAGCCAAUCCCGAUCUCUUCAAAGCCGCAUCAGUAUUGAGCUUGAAGAACGACCACUUUGGGGGCUGCCAAUAGAUCCAUCUUUUAGUUUUUGGAACUCUCUGACUAUCUAAAGACUUAUAAGCAGGGAUGAUUUUUUCUAUGCGAUUGUUCACAUCCAUAAUUACGUUGUGAAGGCGGCUUGAUUUGUGAGCAUAAACGAACUGAUUGUGCCAAUACCACAUGACAUGGUGCCAAAUAACAUUGACCUAUCCUUCUCAUUAGUGAUCCUCAAGUGGUUUUUCAUAUUAUAAACAAUCCAUGCACGAACAUCCAAUGUAAAACAGGUAUGACUUGUGUGUUUCGAAAUAAAGGCUAACCAAAUGCAUUUAGAGUCAACAUAAUCCCUGACUGUAUGGAGAGCAUCCUCUAUGAUAUGCCCACACUGCAUGCAAGUACAAUCAUUAAGCACAUGUCUUCGCGAUAAUUUAGCAUUAUUUUUCAAUUUAUUAUGCAUCAGCAGCCAAAGAAAGCAUUGAAUGCUUAGGGGGCCUCUCCAUCUCCAAAUCAAAACCCAAAGGGAAUUAUUUUCAUUUAGCAUCGGUCUAAAGAGGGAUAAAUAAGCUAACCUCACACUAAACGAACCAGACUACAAUGGACCCCAAUAACAACAAUCAACUUCAUCGCUAACAGAAGGGGGCAUAGUGCCUGCUAUUUUAAGAAUUAUAUGGUGGGGUAGAAAAGAAGCAAAACAGUCCUUGUUCCAAGCACCAUUAUUAUCGAUAAAAUUAGCUACACGCUCAUUUAAUAUGUUUUCAGUGAUUGUACUGAAAGUAUAAGAUUGCAACCAACGCCCAUCCUCCAGCCAAUAAUCUUUCCAAAAUCUAGCCAACUUCCUAUUCCGAAAAGCCCAGCGAGUCCCUUAGAGAACCUCAUUCCAUACGUUUCCCACGAAUUUUCAUGAAGGAGAACUAUAUCAAGUAGGACGUUUUAGAGGAAGGUUUUCUUAAUCAACGCCAUAUUUAAACAUCAAUACUUGAAUCUAGAAGCUGUGGGGUGAUUCUCCAAAAAUCCACGUGACCAUACCUAGGGAUCUUUAACGCCAAGGUCCCCACAUAAAUUAGGGAGUUGUACCCUAUCCCACUUAAUAAGGUGUAUGCGAUGAGUCUCGUCAAUCUCUUUCUAGAUAAAAUGCUUGCAAAUCUGAUCAAUUUUAUUACGAAUACUUGUAGGCAGCAUGAAGGUCUGCAUGGAAUAGGUUGGGAGAGCCAGAAUGAUCGAUUGCGUUAAUGUUAUCUGACCUACAAGAGAAAGAUAUUUGGCUGUCCAGCCCGGAAGUCUCUGUAGUGCUAAUGGUGGUCAAGGAUAAGGUACCAGUUUCGGUGGGAGACAUUGAGUUUGCAUGAGAAAUCUGGGAGACUUCAUAGAAAAUGUAUGAGUUAGUGACAAUGGUAAACAUGAAGUUUCUUCGGCAACACUUUUUUCCAAGCAAGAUGUUCAACCCGAUCAAUAAGGUUUUCUUAAGUUUGCUUGCUUAUUGGCUUGUGAAGCGAAGGCAUAUCUAGAUAAGUACCGAGGUCCUUCGUUGUGGUGAAGCCUAAUUUGUCUCUAAUCUUUUUAACAUCAGCAGCAUGCACAUUGUGGGAGAUAAAAGUCAACGUCUUACUAUUGCCAACUUUUUUCCCAGAACUCAUGCAAAAAGUAUUAAACACAUCCUUGAUCACCUGUGUUUGAGCAACAGAAGCUUUUGCCAACAACAAUAGAUCAUCAACAAAAAAAACAUGAGAUAUAAAAAUACCUUGACGAGCAAGCUCAAUUGGUUUCCAUCUCCCUUCCCGAACAACUUUAUUAAUACCACGGCUCAAUCUCUCAAUGCAAAGCACAAAGAUAUAAGGCAAAAUGGGAUCUCGUUGCCAGAUUCCUCUAGAGAGGACGAAAGAUUUGGUAAGUUCCCAAUUCCGCAAAAGCUGCAUAGUAGGUGAAAAGAUACACUCUAUAGUAACAUGAACGAGGUCCGGAGGCACCCCAACUAAGCAUAACGUCUUAUAAAUAUAGUCCCAGCUCAAUCUAUCAUAUAUGCCUUUUUAAGAUCAACUUUUUUUGCCCUUUGACGAAUCUUACCUUUUUUUCGCAUUGAAUGAACCACCUCCUGAGCAAUAACAAUAUUUUUAGUUAUAUGUCUCCCAAAAAUAAAGCUAGUCUAAGUCAAACCUAUGAGAUGUGGCAGCACCUCCUUAAAUCUAUUGGUCAUGAUCUUAGUGAUGUUUUAUACACACCAAGGUAUAAGCUAAUAGGCCAAAACAUAUUAAGGCUCGUAAGGUUAUUAUUUUUGGGAAUAAGUACAAUUAAAGUCUUGUUUAGUUUAACAAGAAUAUUUGUACCACCAAAGACCUCUUUUACCACUUUGCACACAGAAGGCCUUACCACCUGCUACUAAGAUUGAUAGAAAAUUGCAUGUAAACCAUCCACUCUGGGUGUUUUUAUCGAGUGCAUGUAAAAACAGUUCGCUUAAUUUCCUCAUCAUUCAUGGGUUGCAUUAAGAUAUUUAUCAUAUUGCUAUUCAUCCUUGGAAAGUCAUUGGAAAUAGGAUACACACAAUGCCCCCUCUCUUUCUUUGAAUAAAGGUUGGCAAAAAAAGAUGUAGCAUGUGCUCGGAUCUCCUUGCCAUUAUGAAGCCAAACGCUAGCAUCAUCUUGAAUGGUAACCACUUUAUUCACCAUUCUUCUUUAGAUAGUUUUUUAUGAAAGAAACUGGUGUUCCGAUCCCCAUAUUCAAUCUAAUUCUUUAUGGACUGCUGAUACCACAAGAUUUCUUCUUAAGUCAAAACCUCUUACAGCUUUUUCUUUAAUUCAGCUUCCAAUUUGAUAAGGUAAUUAGUCUGAUUAAAAUCCAAAGCCUUUUGAAUACCCUUAAUUCUCGCCAAAUGCCUCAUUUUUUUUCGUUUGAAGACAUUUCCAAAAAUCUCUAUGUUCCACUUAUUAACUUUGAAAACAAAUUCUUCUGCCAUCUUCACAUAACUUUUAUUAACAUUUUAAUUACUAAACACAAAACCAAAAAAUCUAUCAUCUCUAAGCUAAGAGGCCAGGAAACGAAUAGGCCUCCGCCUCUUGUGAGACCUUACAACAUGACAUUCACGGGCCAAGAGAGGACGGUGAUUAAAUUGGACCUUAGGAAGAUGAUAAAUAAUUGUUUAAGGAGCCACACGCAGCUAAUCCUCAUUACACAAUACUCCAUCUAAUCUUUUAUGAAGCGUCCCUUGAGACCAUGUAAAAACAGGACCUUUAAAUCCCAAGUCACACAACUAAUUUCUAUGAAACCAUUCUUUGAAUAAAUAACAUAAAUCGAUUGUACUCCCAGCUGAAAUACAAGUAUGCAACCCAAGGAGGGGUGAAUUGGGUUUCUAAAAAUUAUUCAAUAUAUUAAAGAAAAUCUUAAUGCAAUUAUAAAUCAAAUUCAAAAUCAAUAACAAUUAAGAUGAUCACAAUGUAAAAAGAUAAGGGAAGAGAGAUUCAAACACCGAGAUUUUUACGUGGUUCGGCCAACCUCGCCUACAUCCACGCCUCCAAGCUUUCCGGGCUUGAGGAUUCCACUAAGCAAGCCUCCAAGGCUUCAAAUGCUUACACUUGACUUCCAAGGUGUCAAUAAACCUUUACAACAAGAGAUUAUCCCCAAUCUCUUAACCCAAGUGUAUCCCAACACUUACAAUCACUCAAAGUAAAAGAUUACAAAUUGUUUCUCUCACAGAAUAUCUAAGAUUACAAAUCAAUGCUCAAAGUGUGAAUAGAUGAAAAGAGAAUGUGUUUAAAGCUCUAUGAAGAUUGUAUUCUCGGAUAUAUGCUCAAUGGUAGUGUUGUGAUCAACCUUUGUUUGGUUUUGAAUGAGCUUAUUUAUAGUUGUAGUUGAAAACUAGCCGUUAGAGACUAUCUGCACACUAUCGGAUCGCCGUUUGACUGGUCAAUAUGACCGUUGAGCUGAUUUUUCAAAUUGUCGGAUCGCCGUUAACUAGAUGUCGGAUCGCCGUUUAUGUCCAGAGACUACCCUUCACUUCUGGUUGCUAUCGGCGAGCCGUUUAUCAAAUUUUUCGGAUCACCGUUUAUGUCCAGAGGCUACUGGUUGAUAUCGGUGAGCCGUUUAUCAAGACUGUCGGAUUGCCGUUUAGGUCCAGAGGCUAUACUUCAGUUCUGGUUGAUAUCGGCGAACCGUUUAUCUCAACUGUCGGUUCGCCGUUUUGGUCCAGAGGCUAUACUUCAGUUCUGGUUGAUAUCGGCGAGCCGUUUAUCUCAACUGUCGGUUCGCGGUUUUCCAUAAAAACUACUGCAGAGAGCUUAUUUUUGCAAGAAAACUGUUUUGACUCCAAAUCUUUAUAAAAACACUUUAUGAAACUUGUCAAAAUAGAUGAAAAUUAUGUUGAGCUUUUAAAAGAUUAAUCAAUCUUAAUCAUGUUUGUUAUCAUCAAAAUCUAUAAGGAAUAAUUUAUGUUAACACCAACACCUUCUUUUUUCUGCAGCAUUCAUAAUAGUAUUUGAAUCCCCACCAAUAAUCCAUGGACCAUUAACUGACUAAGCCAUAAUAUCUAGAGUAGGCCAAAGAUGCUUUCACACUGUCCUAACAGGGCUUGCAUAAACUGCUGUCACACAAUAAUAAAGACUAAGUUUUGAGAUUCGGCAAUGAAAUUGCCGAUUGUUUACCAUUACCUCCACCUGAAUAUCUUCGUUCCGCAGCAGCCAAAUACUCCUUGCAAAACUAAUCGCUUCAACUCUUUGGGGUCUCAUUAAGCCACAUUUUGUAAGAAAAUUAUCAGCCCUUUCACCACUGACCUUUGGUUUGAAAAAAGCCAUGAAGUUUGGCUAAUAACAAUUCACUAGUGUUUUAAAAUUUGUGAGGAAACCAUGUGAGGCCGCCCCUUGCCAAUUCCAAAACAUAGGUGUACACAUCAUUAAAAGGAAAAAGCAAAAAUAUAAGAUUCCAUCUUUGGAUGCAAGAGAACCAGGAGACUCUGAUUCCGCCUCCUACUCCUCACUAUUUAUCAUAUAAUCAUUAUCAUCAGAAUCAUCUUUAUGUUGAUUGAUAUCUGGUUGUCUCCUAUCGAGGGGGUCAUUGGAGUGUUCCAUGCUUAGCAAGAGGUCUUCAUCAAUUCCGACAGUAUUAGAAUUCUUCAUUAGCUUCCCAGGAUCAUUAGAGCUCUCACCAUGCAAAUUAUUAAAGGCAACAGCUGUGUAUUUUUGUGGGUUUAGACUCGUGGUUAUGGGAAGAAGAGAUUCAUUGGAUAUGGCUUUGCGUGGGUAGCUAGGCUGUUUACGUGUUGCAGGUUUCUGCAUGGGUUCAUGGUUAGGUUUUGCAUGUGCAUGCAAAACGCUGUUGUGUUUCAUGGUGGUGGGGCCAGUUGGUGAUGGAUUAUUAUCAUUAUUAUUAAAGGUAUGGUUCAUAAAAGUCUUGGUAAUUGAGGUCUCUCUGAUAAUUCUUUUAGGUAUGGUCACGUGGGUUUUGGGAGAAUUUGAUAACUGCCUUCUAGAUUCAUGCUCAAUUUUAGUGUCAUUGAAAAUAAAUCUCUCAUCAUUAUCAUUAGCAAUUACAAGGGUCCAAAUCAUGAUCCUUGGCCAGUUAUUUCUAAUUCAGCACGAUUCUGUCACUACUAGAAAAAUAGGCUACCGUGACAGAGAAUAUAUGUCAUCCGACCCCCUUUAUGACAGAGUUUCCAUCUAUCAUUGUAGCCCCUCUCACAAAUCUGUGACAACAUUUUAUCUAUCAUAUGUUCUUAUGACAGUGUUUAUCCAUCACACAUAUGUCAUGAAUCAAGUGAUGUUCGAUUUGCAAAGCUUUCGGGAAUUAAUUGAAAAUUUUAGUGGGUAAUUUAAAUUAUGUUGAAUUUGGCGGGUUUCUUCAAAAUCUGUCAUAUAUUAAUGAUUCACAUUCUCUGUCAAGAGAUUUAAGGUUUAAAAAAAUAAAAUUAUUUAAUGAGGUUGGGGAAUCAAAUUCAAGGUCACGUGCCUGUAGCCCUCCUAACUUGCUGCAAAAUGUGCAAUUUGAGUUUCGACUCUAGUCCCUGGCCCCAUUGCAAUGUCCACUAACUCAACCUUUCCUCUUAAAUGUUUAUUUUUUAGGGUAUUAUUACUCAAUAUAUGAAAAAUCCAAUUGAGGAACAAAAGAAUAGAGAAGAACGAAAUUUAUUUACCUUUAUCAACCAGAGCGAUAGUGAGGGUUUCUUUAAAAAAGAUCGGUGAGUUUGAAGGAUUACUCAAUAGCAAAGGAUUUAGGGUUUCGAGGAGAACAACAACUUCUAUAUGGCAAAUAACAACAAUUUCGAAGGAUUAAGGGUGUAUUUUCGUCUUCUUUAUUAGUGAGGGAAGAGCCUCAAAUUUUGACUUAGGGUUUUAAUUUUGGAUUUCUCACUUGCAGCGAGGAAUCUGAUCUAUUAAAGUUGUACAACACUUGGAAAUUAUUUUAGUUAAGUGUCUAGCUCAUAAACGACGUAGUUUCCUCUUUGUAAAUUCUAUUUUGAUUUUAGUUUAAUUAAAAGCUUUCAAUUCUCAAAAAAAAAAAAAAGCUUUCAAUUGUUGCAAUAAAUUAAUGAAUUGACGUCAUUCUUUUUUGUUGAAACGACGUCACUUUUGUGAACUACUUAAUAAUAAAUUAAAAAUAAAUCGAAAAUGAAUAAAAUAUAUUAUUUUUUUAUUAUAGCUUGUGAUAGAAAUUUAGUUUGUCACAUAAGUAUCAUGUAGUUGUGAUACAUAAAAACUUUGUUAAAUGUCUAUCAUACAUUCUUGAUAAAUAACUAAUUUUCUAUUAUCUAUCACAAAAAAUCUGUCAUAGUAAGUCAUUUUUCUAGUAGUGUGUUGUUGAUUGAUUUCCAUAAUCAAUUAUUAUCAAUGCCAAUGUGCAAGUAUACACAACAAGUAAUAAAGUGAUGAGUAUUCAAGAUCGUCUCCACAUGGAUUGAUGUCACUCAAAAUGCUAAAGCAAACACGAUAGUGCAAAUCAACUAAAGACCGAAACAAACAAUUGUCAAAUAAUUCUAUCAUAGCUAAUAAUUGUGAGAGAUGGAGAUAAAACAAUAAUGUAACGGAAUAAACUAAGUUAAAUGUGUCUAAGAUUCAAUUGAGAAUAUAGUAGUUGAAUGAUCAAACUCUCCUAAUGGGGUGACUGUUGUUUACCCAAUUAGCAUCAGUUGUUACAAUAAGUUCUGCAGCAAUGGGUAGAAUAAAUCUGCAUCUGCAGCUAUCGCAUGUUGGAAAUCUCAUACCUUUAAAUCUACUAACAAUAACCAGUUGCUCAUAUAUUUAUGGUAUGGCAUUAUAACUUUUAAUCUCUCCACCCUACAAGGUGAACACCUAUGUCUAGAGUGUCACAAAUCUUAACUUCAAGUAUAGGCUGUAUAGGAUUCAAGGUAACCUAAUCUAGGAAACUCGACUUAAGAACAAGUAAUACUCUAAUAAUGUUCACUAAGACAUGCCAUUUUACUGUUCUAUCUUAACUGAAACUAUUAAAUGGGUGGUCAACUGAAAUAACAGUUGUAUUCAUAAAAACUACUAGAAUAUAAUGCCACAACAUUACCAUAACAACAUAAAAGAACAGUCAAGAACCCAUUGAAUUAUUUGUCACUUAACCACAAGUAAUUUUAGUUCAUAAUCUGGAUGAGAAAAGUAAACACAAAUAUAUUGAUCUCGGAAUACAUCCAAACAAUCCAAGGAAGAAGAGAAAAUAUAAGUUGAGCACAAUGAAAGACAAAUAAUUCUACAUGAUUCUUUUCUUUGUUUCCGAAUAGCACUCCUCAAUCUUGAUCUCCUUCUUCUUGCCUUUGUAAUUAUUUUUUAUGAUAAUUCCUUGCCGCCUUUCUAUGUGGUGCACGCCUCCUUUUAUAUUGCAAAUUAGGGUAAAAGAUCCAAAGUCCAUGCGCGUGCAUGCGUUUAAAUUAGGAAACAUGCAGAUCACGAUUUUAUGGCUGACCCACGCUUUAAGCUUUCUCCCGCAUUACUCUCUGAUUACUGCAGCACUGGUUACUCUAUCAUCCACAACAGCACUGCAUUAUUCCCGAUUGUGCUUGUCUUCUUUUAUGGCCAAAUUCUUUCCUCCUCUUGCUCAUCUAAUGUCUCAACAUACCCUUAUGAAUUUAAAACCUACAAUUAUACGCCUGUUUUUUAGCACGCAUUACUUGAUUUAAACAAAACUUAUUAAAACCCUACUAAAAUGAAUGUUUAUGCAAAAAGUAACCAAAAUGUAAUAAAAAUACCUUAUUUGCUCUCUAAAUGAUCUUGAUUUAAGCCUAGAAUUGAUGUAAUAACUCUCAUUUCCUAGAGUUAUCACCCCCCCAAACUUAAACUAUUACUUGUCCUCAAGUAAUGACACAUACUAACAUUUCCCGCAAACAAACAUGCACAAAACCUUAGCUCUUUUAUCAACUUUACAAGGAUUAUUCUACCUUCAGAUCACAAUCUCAAUCAUACAAAAUGCCCAUAGUAAAUCAGUUCUAGAUUUAAGGUUCUUUCUAUCCAUAGUGUGUGUGUGUGUUUCCUUUGAUUGAAUCCUAGAUAUGCUGUAACAUCACCAAAGGACUACAUAAAUUUUCGCAGUGAUAUACUUCAUUCAUAAAUGGGUAAGCAUAAAUUUCACAUACUCAAACUGUGAUUGUUUUAACAUUGAUUAAACCGGGGAGUACUCAACCUCCUCACUGUAACACUUAUCUUUUAUGUAAAUAUCAAUCACUUGUAAUGAUGAUGGCCAAUUACUUAAACCAUGCCCAGAUCACAGUUGCUACAACAUUAUCUGUGGUAUAAUAUUAUCUAGAGGUAUCUUUUACUCAAGGCUGAACAUGGGGCUCAUGAACAGACCUGGCUACUCAAUGCCUUAGACAGAUGACUUCUUUUUCUCUUUUUUUUUUUAGAACUGCUGCAGCAUUGCUCAUAACUCUCACUACCUUUGACAUAAUUCUGCAUAUGGGGUACAUACUCAAAUCUAGUUACUCAGCAACUGGAGCCAUUGGAGCAGAGUUUAUUUCAUAGAUAUCACAGUCAAUCAACUUGCUUCUCCCCCCAAACUUAAGAUCUUUUCUAUUCUUUUGGCUUUGCUCUAGCAAUCUCAUACAAUUCAACCAAAGUCUAAGUGUUGGGACAAAAUUUCACUUCUAUCUAUAACUGUCUCUACUUGGCAUUCUCAUAAAUAUUGACUAACACUCAAUUUAUCUUCAUUAGACUUUCAAAUCCAUACACAAAUAUUAGAUAAAGAGCUUUAUACAGCACAAACAUAACACAUACAUAAACACAUGCAUUCAGAAACAACCCCCCCAAACUUGAGAGAUGAUGUGUCCUCACAAGCAUACAGAACAAAUGCACACAACUUGACAAGGAUAUGAAAGACCUUAGAAAAUACCACACAAAUUUUCGUUUAUUGGAUUGUCUUGGACUGGUGCGAAUAGGCUGGCUAGGAGUUUGCUGGGGGGCUUUUGUAGUUAAUGCAUCAGCUGCCUGGCCCUCAACUGUGAUUACAACAAUGACCGCAAGUAGUUGCUUAGCUUGCUCAGGUGUAGGGAUAGCUCUGGCUGCUGCAGCAGCCAGCUCAGCAUCGACUUGCUCCAUUUCAUCUUCAGAGGCUGGCGGUGUUACCAUUUUUGCUUUGCCCUUGUCCUUUCUCUUGCUUGUGAGAACUGGAAUAGACGGCUCCUCUUCAAGGUCUUCCUCCUCCUCUUCUUGAAUAAUGUGCUUUUUCCUGAUUUUGGGCUGGGCUGGAAUGGAUGGCUCCUCAUGUUCCUUCUCUGAAUUGUCCUCUGCUUCUGUGGGUGAGCUAUUAGUCUCAGACUUGUCACCUUCUUCCUCAGGUUGGUCAGAUGGUUCAACAUCUUCUGAUUCUACCUUUGCUUGUGGUUUGGCUGCAGCUUAAUCUGCUGGUUCAUCUGUGGCAGUGGCUUCCUCACUAGCUUCUGCUGGAGCACCUGUGGUGUUGGUGUCAAAAUUGUACUGCUGGAGCAGUGCAUCAGGGAAGUUCUGGUGAGUGCGUCUCAUGUACAGAGCAAAUUGGUGCAGUUGGUUAUCCAGGUCCUGUAGAUAACUCCAAAACCGACAAUUUUCCCUCUGCUGAGCUUCCACACAUUGAGUUAUAUUGUUGCUGAGUGCCUGGAUAGUCUAUUUUAAGCCAAUAGCUCGUCUUGCUUCUGUGACAACAGCUGGUUCAGUGGUUGUUCCAGCACUCUCACCAGCAACUCUCUCAAUAGUACGUGCCAUAAAGGCACCAUUAUUUUUUACAUGUUCAUCUCUGGCGUCAAGACGAACACCUGAAACUACACAAUGCUGGUGACGAGUGAGGGAAAUAGCAAGGCAGCAGUUCGGUGAGUUUUGACUGCACAAUCUCGGAUUUCUUUCACAAUGAUGCUACUUACAUCUAUAGGAAGUGUUGAGUGUUAGAAAAUGCAUAUUUAUAAAGGAGAAACCCGUCAUUUUACAUUUCAAGUCUUACUAACAACCCUUACUUUUAUGUAUUUAACCUUCUUGUGAUUUAAUUACAUGUGUUUUAUUUUAAUUAAGUAUUUUAUGUAUUUUAGGGGCAUUAUAGUCAUUUCACAAUAAAGGAGAAAUCAGACGGCAAAACGGACAUCACUUUUGAACUCAGGACGGUCAAAAACCUUAGGAGGAGCAUAAAAGGAAAAAUGGCACUAUUCACAUGUACGGUACUAUUCACGUGUAUGGUACUGUCUACGUUACUGUUCACGACACUAUUCGCAUAGACGGAUGAUGACGUGGCAUUGACCGAUGAUGUGGCAUUGACUGAUGAGGUGUCACGAUCCUGUUGGACUAAAAUUCUUAUGUACUGUUGAUGGUGACGUGGCAGCAUAUCAGUGGACGAAAAAUCUCGUGUACGGUGCAUGCAUCACACAGGAUUAUUUUCAACCAAACCGCGUUACUGUUCAUCCAGGUCAAACCGCGUUACUGUUCAAAGUCAGGUCAAACCGUGUUACUGUUCCUCCGCGUGGUGAAACCGUGGACUGUUGACUGAUGACGUGGCGCAAUCCUGAGCGUCCAAACUGUUUUUAAUCAGAUGGCUAUGAUUUACUCCAUGUAUCUAUAAAAAGGGGGCCUCUCCCCCCUAAUUUGAUAUCUCUGAAUCCAUUUUUGGGAUCCAUUUUCUGUAAUUCCUUCUCCAUCUUGUAUUUUCUUCAUAUUUUAAUAAAUUCCCAUUUUGCCCCUAGUUCAAUUAUGAGUGGCUAAUUUUCUUUCAAGCUUGGGUUGAAGGUGAAGUCUCAACAUAUGUCAUGGGCUUUAUUUGGUAAAUUUAUUUUCUCUUCCCCUCUAGUUUUUGUGGAUGUUUUGACUUCUCGUCGAUAAAUAAUACUAAUCUUGUCUAGUACCGCCUUGGUUUCACCGGCCCUCUGGUACAAGGUUAUUAUUAUUUGGCACGAUAAGCCCUUAGCACCAUAUUGAUUAGAGCGUUGUUCAUGAGGUGUGGAUUCCCCCCUCAUGAUUUAAUUGGCAUCAAUACGAAUUAUUUAGCCCAUGAUGCAUGUUGAUACGGAUCCAGAUACCCAAGUACAUCAAUUUAAUAGAUUUUCUCUUCAAUUUAUUCUCUCCAUUGCAAUUCCAAUUUUAAAAUUUAUUCUCGCCAUUUUAAUUUAAGUCUUAGCAUAUUCCAAAUCAUUUCCACCAUAAAUCCAACAACCCAUUUACAAAAUUAAUUCUAUACACAUAAUUAAAAUCCACCUCCUCGUGGGAUCGACACUCGUCACCAUUAGUCUAUACUACAAUAGAUUCGUGCGCUUGCGAGUACAUUAAAAUUUGCACAACAAGUUUUUGGCGCCGUUGCCGGGGAGGUAAGUAAUUUUAAUUCAUAGAAUUAAUUUUUUUUGAAUAAUUUCUUUUAUUUGUUUUCUUGUAUUUUUUUUUAUUAAAUUAAAAAAAAAGAAAAAAAAAGUGAAUCUACAUUUAAAGGUUAGUAUUUUUUUUCUUUUUCUCUUCUUUAAAAUUCUGUAAUUUAAUUUUCCAUUUAUUUUUCUUUGUAAUUUUUUUUUGUUUAUCUUAUUAAUUUAAUUUUUAGUUAAUUUCUUUCACGUAUUUAUUUUUGUGUAUUUUUAUAGAAAGGUUGUAAUAGCGCAAUAAGGUUAGUAUCGUAAUUUCUCCUCCUUCUUUAUUUUUAUUUGUUUUGUUCCCAUCUUUAUUUUUUAUUUUAUUUGUUUUGCAUGCAUGGUCGUAGGUCAUUAUUACCUAAUCUUGAACCUAUCGACCUUGAAUUAGAAAAAACACUUCGCACACAAAAGCAAAUUAAAAAUAAAUUUGAAAUGGAUUUGCAACCACAAGAGAGGCCAUUUAAGGACUACUUCAGUCCCUUAGCUAAUUUGAGUACAUCAUGCAUAAGAUACCCAAAUGUAGCUGCUAGGAGUUUCGAAUUAAAACCUAGUGUGCUAAAUUGUCUCCCCACAUUUUAUUGCCUAGAAAAUGAGGAUCCAUAUAAUCAUCUGAAUGAUUUUCAUGCCAUUUGUCAAACUUUUAAAUAUGAAAAUUUUUCAGACGAUGAUUUUAAACUUAGACUAUUCCCAUUUUCUUUAAAGGAUAGAGCUCGUUCAUGGCUUAAUACAUUGCCUGCUAAUAGCAUUGCAUCAUGGGAACAAAUGGUUACAAAAUUUUUAAAUAAAUAUUUCCCAGUGCAUAAAACCAAUGCUAUUCGCAGGGAAAUCUCGGAGUUUACCCAGAAAGAUGACGAGCAAUUUUUCGAAACAUGGGAGCGAUUCAAUGGGCUACUCUUGAAGUGUCCACAUCAUGGGUACGAGAAAUGGCACCAAUGCUAAUACUUUUUGGAGGGAUUACUACCAAAUGUGCAAGAAUGGCUAAUGGCAACAAGUGGAGGAGAGCUAAUGUCAAAAAGUGCAUCAGAAAUUUGGGAAUUCUUCCAGCGACAAGCGGAUAAUUCCCAACAACGGAGUCGAUCACUCAGGAAUACUAGAAGAAUUAAAGGAGUAAAUGAGGUUCAAAUUGGUGAGUCAACUUCGGGAAUCAAAGAAGUCAAGGAGAUGGUUGAAGGUCUUGCUCGACAAAUAGCAUCGUUAUCGACUGCUAAAUCAACAGAACCACAUGACCAUGACUCAUACUCAGAUCAAGCCAAUGCCAUAGGUGUAAUGAGAAAGCCAUCAAAUUACAACCCAUACUCCAACACAUAUAAUCCUGGAUGGAGAGACCACCCCAAUUUUUCAUGGUCUCAAGGAUUCCAACAGAAUGGACCAGCAGCUCCAGCUCCACCAAUGCAACAAAUUCCUCAAGUUCCUCAAGCCUCUCAGCCACCAUUUAGACCAUACAAUCAGAAUCAGAAUUUCUCUCAACCCAAACCAUGGGAGGAUUCAUUCCAGAAUCUCAAGAAUCUUACUCACUCCACGAUUGAGCAACAAAACCGCACCAUUGAUGGACUACGAAAUGAGUUGAGAGCAGGUUUCAACUCACAAGCUCAAUCAGUCGAGAAGAUGGUGGGACAACUUGCUUCUUCAGUUCAGACCUUGGCAAUGACUGUUGAGAAAGGCAAGUUUCCAAGUCAACCAGUACCUAAUCCUAAAGGAGUGCAUGAAGCAAGUACCAGUUCACCACAGCAGCAUGGAGAGGUCAAAGCAGUAAUGACCUUGCGAAAAGGAAAAGAAGUCGACAACAAAGUGGAGAUGCCGGUGACAAAAGAAAAUCAAAUCGUACCUGUGAAUGUUGAGGACUCACCACCGGAGGAAAAAGAAGAAACCAACCCACGAGAAUAUGUUCCUAAAGCUCCAUUUCCUCAGAGGUUAGCGAAAGGAAAGAAGGGAAAAUCCACAGGUGAGAUUCUUGAAAUCUUCAAACAGGUAAGUGUUAAUAUCCCUUUACUUGAUGCUAUAAAACAAGUUCCAUCUUAUGCCAAGUUUCUUAAAGACCUUUGUACUAAAAAGAGAAAUAUGCAUGUUCAAAAGAAGGCAUUUUUAACAGAAAACGUUAGUUCUAUACUCCAACAUAAAAUUCCUUUAAAAUGCAAAGACCCAGGCUCCCUCACUAUCUCAUGUAGUAUAGGGAACCACACAAUUGAGAAUGCUUUGUUGGAUUUAGGAGCUAGUGUAAAUUUGUUGCCUUAUUCAGUAUUUGUGAAACUUGGACUUGGAGAAUUACACCCAACUCCAGUGGUGUUACAGCUUGCAGAUCGGUUCACGAAAAUACCUCGUGGUAUUGUGGAGGACGUGCUUAUCCAGGUAGACAAGUUUUAUUUUCCUGUUGAUUUUAUUGUAAUUGACACUCAACCAAUACAGGAUUCAAGGAAGCACAUCCCCAUUAUUCUAGGCCGACCUUUCUUGGCAACUGCGGAUGCUCACAUUCAAUGCAGGACUGGAAAUAUGCAGUUGUCCUUCGGCAACAUGACUAUGGAGCUGAACAUCUUCAACAUUGCCAAACAACCUCACAGUGCAGAUGGUGGAAUUGUUGAUGUGGAUUUAAUUGAAGCAUUAGUUGAUGAUACUUUUGUUUCAAACCUUAGUGAUGAUCCUUUACAAACAUGUUUAACUCACUUUGGUUUGAAUUUUGAUAUUGAUAGAUCGGUCGAUGAGGUCAACGCCCUGCUUGACUCCGCACCGUCCUUGGACACUAAUAAAUGGAAAUCAAGAGUUGAACAACUAGCACCAUCAGAGAAGAAACUCAUCCCAUCAUCAGAAUCACCACCGAAACUCGAGCUUAAACCAUUACCCAACACUCUGGAAUAUGCAUUUUUGGGAGAAGAAAGCACUCUACCGGUAAUCAUCUCAUCAUCCCUAAAUGACGAACAAAAAAGUAAGUUGUUGGAUGUUUUAAAAGAUCACAAAGGAGCAUUAGGAUGGACCAUAGCAGACAUUAAAGGUAUAAACCCAGUAGACUGCAUGCAUUACAUUCACCUUGAUGAAAAUGCUAAAACUACUAGGGAGAUGCAACGUCGGUUAAAUCCUAAUAUGAAAAAAGUUGUUAGAACCGAAGUGCUUAAGCUAUUAGAUGCAGGUAUCAUUUACCCAAUUUCUGAUAGUUCAUGGGUCAGUCCUGUACAAGUUGUCCCCAAAAAGUCAUGAAUCAUAGUAGUUACGAAUGCUGAUAAUGAAUUGAUACCCACUAGAGUAACUACAGGAUGACGUGUUUGCAUUAAUUAUAGAAAGUUGAAUUCUGUCACACGUAAAGACCAUUUUCCUUUACCAUUUAUUGAUCAAAUGCUUGAUAGAUUAGCAGGCCAUGAAUUUUAUUGCUUUCUAGAUGGCUACUCAGGAUAUAAUCAGAUUCCCAUAGCACCAAAAGAUCAGGAGAAAACUACUUUCACUUGCCCUUUUGGCACAUUUGCAUAUAGGAGAAUGCCAUUUGGAUUAUGUAAUGCACCUGCUACAUUUCAACGAUGCAUGUUGAGCAUUUUUUCUGAUAUGGUUGAAUGAUUCCUUGAAGUCUUUAUGGAUGAUUUUUCUGUCUUUGGUGACUCGUUUGAUCAAUGUUUACAUCAUCUAACACUAGUUCUGCAGAGAUAUAUCGAGAAGAACUUGGUCUUAAAUUGGGAGAAAUGCCAUUUUAUGGUAAAACAGUAUUGUUCUCGGUCACAUCAUUUCGAGCAAAGGUAUUGAGGUUGACAAAGCCAAGGUGGAUCUCAUUUCUAAUCUUCCUCCACCCAAAACAGUCAGAGAAGUAAGAUCUUUCCUUGGGCAUGCUGGGUUCUAUAGACGUUUCAUUAAAGAUUUUAGCAAAGCUUCUAGACCCUUAUGCAAUUUACUUGCUAAGGAUGUACCUUUUGUCUUUGAUGAUUCAUGUCUUGUUGCGUUUGAAAAAUUAAAGCAUUUGUUGACAUCAUCACCCAUCAUUCAGUCCCCGAACUGGAGUUUACCAUUUGAACUCAUGUGUGAUGCAUCUGAUUAUGCAGUAGGAGCAGUAUUAGGACAAAGAGUUGAUCGAAUUCCCCACGUUAUUUACUAUGCUAGUAUGACAUUGAAUGAUGCACAGUUGAACUAUUCAACUACUGAAAAAGAAAUGCUAGCAGUAGUGUUUGCAUUAGAGAAAUUUAGAUCUUAUCUCAUUGGUUGUAAAAUAAUCGUGUUCACAGAUCAUGCUGCUCUUAAAUAUCUUCUUACAAAGAAAGAUGCAAAAGCUAGACUAAUUCGUUGGGUGUUACUUUUGCAGGAAUUUGACUUGGAAUUCAAAGAUAAAAAAGGGACAGAAAAUGUUGUGGCGGACCACCUCUCUCGUCUCCAUCUUAACACAAUUACAGAGCCAUUAAUAUUGAAUGAGUCAUUUCCAGAUGAACAAUUAAUGAGUGUGGAAGUAUUACCUUGGUAUGCUGAUAUAGUUAAUUAUCUUGUUACAGGUAAACUUCCUGAGCAUUGGACCAAGCAAGACAAGGCAAAAUUCUUUGCAGAGAUAAAGAAUUUCUUUUGGGAUGACCCGUAUUUGUUCAAGUAUUGUGCGGAUCAAAUUGUUAGACGAUGUGUCCCAGAAAGUGAAAUUCAGAAUAUCCUUUCAUUCUGCCAUGAACAAGCUUGUGGAGGCCAUUUCAGUGCUAAGAAAACAGCGACUAAAGUUUUACAAUGUGGUUUCUAUUGGCCAACUAUAUUUCGAGACGCUUACACUUUCUGUUCUUCAUGUGAUAGGUGUCAACGAAUGGGGUAUCGACUUCAUGGGACCCUUUCCCCCUUCUUUUGGCCAUCAAUACAUAUUGGUUGCUGUUAACUACGUAUCAAAAUGGGUAGAAGCAAUUCCAUGUAGAACCAAUGAUCACAAGGUGGUGAUAGGAUUUUUGAAAAGCAACAUUGUCUCGCGCUUUGGAUUCCCUCGAGCAAUAAUCAGUGAUGGUGGUGCCCACUUUUGUAACAAAGCAUUCAAAGCUCUUUUGACAAAGUAUUCAAUCACACACAAAGUGGCGACUCCGUAUCAUCCGCAAACCAGUGGCCAAGUUGAGAUCUCCAAUCGAGAAAUAAAGCACAUAUUAGAAAAGACGGUGAGGCCGGACAGAAAAGAUUGGUCAUUAAGACUUGAUGAUGCCUUAUGGGCAUAUAGAACGGCUUUCAAGACCCCGAUUGGGAUGUCACCCUACAGGCUAGUGUAUGGAAAAGCUUGCCACCUACCUGUGGAACUUGAGCAUCGUGCGUAUUGGGCCAUCAAGAAAUUCAACUUUGACAUGCAGCAAGCUAGCUCAAAAAGAAGAUUACAACUGGCAGAACUUGAAGAAAUUCGCAAUGAUGCAUACGAAAAUGCCAAGAUUUACAAGCAACGAAUGAAAGUCUUCCAUGACAAGCACGUUAUGAGAAAAUCGUUCACUCCAGGUCAGAAAGUGCUUUUAUUCAAUUCUUGCCUGCACCUAUUCUCAGGUAAGUUACGCUCUCGUUGGUCUGGUCCCUUUAUUGUUCAUACUAUUUUUCCACAUGGGGCAAUUGAAAUUAAGGACCCAAAGAACGGUGUCACGUUUAAAGUUAAUGGUCAAAGAUUAAAGCCAUAUCUAGAAUACCAACCACGUGGAGAAGACACCGAAAUAAAUUUGAGUGACCCACCAGAUUUGAAUUGAUUUUUUUCUUUCUUUUUGUUGAUUUGAUUUUGUUUUCUUUCUUUAUAUUAUUCUUUUGCUAAUUGAAAUUGUUUUUGCAUAAGUGUGUUUAUUUUACCAUUAAGUUUUCUCUUAUCAUUUUUAAUCAUGAGUCUCAUACUUAGACCGUUCCUCCUGAACAUUCUUAAACCACUUCAACGUGUCAAAACUCAUCUCAAAAGGCAGAUUCAAUUUUGUAAAACACAACGCAUUUGGGCUCUACAACCACCAGAGUUAGUAGCCUAUGUUGAGGGUUUAGAACGCCAACUCAGAGACAUUGAGAGAAGUGUUUACGACAUCCAGUUGGAGCUUGAGGUAAAUUCAAUAAGAGGACGAUUUUAAUUUUCUUUGUGUGUUUUAAUUUAUUUUUCUAUUUGUGUGCUUUAGUUUGUUACCCCGGUGAAGUGGUGGAUAAUGGUACUCCGUGACAAUCAAGUCGGUUACUUCAGUUUCCCAUAAUAACUAAUAUUCUGAGGCGAAAGUAUGGACAGAAAUGAGAUUCUAGCAAAGCUUCACAAGCGAUUCCCUUCACUUCCUCAGAAUGCCCUCCUUACGAUCUAUAAAGCUCGGUCCGAACGCAUGCGAUUACUCAUGAGGAAUAACAUACCUGCUGACAUCCGUUGGUUAAUCGAGGCUAAAGUACGAUCGGCAGGUGAGUUACCUCCAAAAUUUAUUGCAUACAUGCCUGGUUGUGGUAAAGGAAAUUAUGCAAGAAAACGACGAGCUCGAAGAAUUUCUGUUGCUUGUCAUAAGUGUGCCAGAAUGAGUUGCAAUAAAAACCAAUGUUCUUUAGGAAUGAUGUCUGAUAACAGGGAAGAUAAGAUUCAAUUCAUUAGGGAUGGCUUGAAUAAGGAGUCAUUGGAUGAUAUCCUUUUGUCUCUUGAAACGCAUCCCAGUGGAUAUGUGCAAGGAGCGAUUCUCCAGUUAUGGCCAUUAUUCCAGAAAGAGCAUGCACGAUAUAGUCUCGGGAAUCUGACUAUAAAUGACCCUGUUUGCCAGUUUAUAAGAAAACUGGAUAGGAAGCCUAUCCUCGACCCAUAGAGGGCGUUCAAGCCGUUUCUGGACGUAAAACCAGAGGAAGAUGUGAGCCACAGUCGCAACUACCUGUAAAUAUCCUUUUACUUUAUUGUUAUUUUAUUUCACUAUUGUCUUAUUGUUUGCAUUAUUGUCUUUAAUAAUUUUAUUACUGUUUGCUUUUUUUUUCUUAUUACUGUUUACUUUUUCCUUUUUACUGUUUCCUUUUUGACUCGCGAGCCACGUGCUUUAUGCGUUAUUUGACACUGACAUAUUACCUCAUACACAACCAUGACCCACUAUCACCAAGACUCUUAAAUGUGAUAUCUUUUGUCAAGCACUCACAAAUUGUUUUUUAGAAGUAUCGCAAUGGCAGCUACUCUCAAUAGACAAUUCAAGAACAUUUGUGUGCUUUCCGGUUUUACCUAUGGCAAACAUAAAGAGUUCGUUGAGGCAGCCAUAGAUCUUGGUCGAAGCAUAGCAGCGAGAAAAUUACACUUGGUGUAUGGAGGAGGUAACCGAGGGUUAUCCAAAAUGGUCUCAGAAGCAGCUUUUAUCAGAGGAAGUCAAGUGUUAGGCAUCAUCCCAAGAGCCCUAAAACCUUUGGGCAGUUCGUCUGACUCAUCAACUGGAGAAGAGUUAGUCGUCUCAGGUAUGCAAGAAAGAAUAACUGAAAUGCUUAAUCAUGCUGAUGCUUUUAUUUUCCUUCCAGGAGAUCUUGCAACACUAGAGGCACUUAUCACGCUAGCAUCUUGGGCCCAUCUGCACAUCCACCAGAAACCCAUCGGUUUGUUAAAUGUCAAUAACUUUUAUGAUGGCUUUAUCGCAUUUCUUAACCAUGCAAUAAAAAACUAUUUCAUUCCCUCUAAUGCGAAAAAACUCUUUAUUUGUGCUCACACUGCUAAUGAGCUACUUGAUAUGUUACAAGCUUAUCGACCGGAGCCAGACCCCUGGACCUUUGUGUUGGAGCGUCCAAAUAAUGAUGGUAACAGUAGCCGCAGUAAGAAGUACAAAUUAGAUUUAACUCUCCGCCUGUAAAUAUUUUCUUCUGUGUUGCACCACCUAGGUGAUGUCUUCUAAACUCUACUUCUUUCAUUUCAAACAUUGAUGACAAUGUUUCGUUCUGGUUGGGGGGAGGGAAUAGUCGACAAUUAUGGAAUUUUGGUUAAGUUUUUACUAAUUUUUUGUUGUAAAAACUAACUGUUGCUAACUUUUUGUGUUGAAGAUGGCUGAAUAUGGAGUGUAGUGACUCUAGAAACGCAUCUUCAUCGUUUAAAAAAAACUUAAAAAAAAAUUCAGACAUUUUCUUUUUCUUUAUUAUGUGUUUAUGUUUAUUUUUCUUCUUUUUAAUUUCUCCUCUAUAAAUAUACAUUUUCUAACUUUUGAGUCGAAGAUGGCUGAAUAUGGAGUGUAGUUCCUCUAGAAAUGCAUCUUCUUUAAAAAAAAAAUCAUUUUCGUUUUCUAUCAUUUUACGUGUAACUUUUCUAAUUAGUUUGUAUCCAUCAUUUUCACAUUUCUGCAUGCAUAUUUUCCUUUCAUGCUUAGAAUAGAUUGGGGGGUAGAAUGUUGUUUGAAAAAAAAAAUGUUUGAUUUAUUUUAACAUUGGAUGACAUGAUUAAUUUCAAAUUUUAGUAUUUCUAUUAUCUUUGGUCUUAAGUGAUGUUACAUUAUGUUUGCUACUCUACAUGUUGAUGUUGGAGACAAAUAUGAGUUGCUUGAAGGAAUGAACAUGUCAUAAUAAAUACCAAGUGAGUUUUUGAGCAUAUCAUUUUUCUUGGAGAGUAACCAUUUUGCCCAUUCUCUAUACAGCUUAGCAGUUUAUUAUUUUAUACACGAUCUCUAGAUUUCUUUUGAGUUAACCCUUAAAAAAAAUGGUAAAAUAAAAAAAAAAGAAAAAGAAAAAAAAUGUGUGUUGCUACAUUGGGAGUCCCAUCUAACUAGUAGAUAUGGAUGAUUAUUUAGAGCCCUAAAAGACGAUGGAAAGGCCAUCUUUGAUCCGUUUGAGCCUUUCUAGCCAUCCCUUUUGUGAUAUAUCCAUAGUUAACCCUUUUGAACCUUUAAAAAAUAAAUAAAUAAAUAAAUGAAAACCUUUUCUUUGUCAACUUAUCAUCUUGACCCACUCCGAUUUGGAGUAUUACCCGAUGUCUUAUAAGGUCCAUCACCUAUUUAUGUUUGAGAAAAAUGUAAAUAAUUAUUUUGUUCAGUGAAGUUGUGCCAAAUAAAAGCAAAAAAAAAAGAGAAAAAAAAAACAAAAGUUGUUGUUUCAAAAGAAUAAAAAUAACAAUAAUAGGUGAAAUCCACCUUGCAACUUCCAAAAAAAAAAAAAUUUCUCUGCAUUUUUCUCAAACAUACACUUUGUUUUCCUUAUUUCCCUUCUUUGUUAACCAUGUCCCUAGCCUACGUUACGUCCUAAUAAAAGUCUUUCUUGAUUUUAGGGAACUAUAGUCCGAAGUAGAAGCUAGUUAUAUGGGCUAAAAAGAUGUAGUGAUGCAUAAUUAAAAAAAAUAGAUAAAUAAAGUGGGUUGACUAACAUUUUAUUUGACUUGAGAUCGUAUUAUUUCUAAGCUGAGGGCAUAUUUAUUUCAUCUUGGUGAGAGCAUGUGAUAUCACUUCUUUAUUAUUUUCUCUCUCAAUUACCAUUCAUUGGAGUGACUAUUUUUAUUGGGUUUAAUUUAUUUGUGAGAAUGUCACUACUUCCAGUGAGAUUUUGGGGUUGACAUGUCAUUCUUGAAAGUAGCUAUAACAAAGUCUACUGGGCUAAUUCAUGUGGAUGGUUGAUGUGGGUGUGAUGUUGCUUUAGACUGGAGAUAAUGCUUAUACUUUUAUUUGAUUGCUAUCAUUAAUCUGAUUGAAUAAACACGAGUGUUUCUAAAAAAAAAAAAUCAUUUUGAAUUUGAAUUUUGUUUUCGCUUUAUUUGCUAGGGACUAGCAAUAAGCUGGUUGGGGGGUGUGUUGAGUGUUAGAAAAUGCAUAUUUAUAAAGGAGAAAACCGUCAUUUUAUAUUUCAAGUCUUACUAACAACCCUUACUUUUAUUUAUUUAACCUUCUUGUGAUUUAAUUACAUGUGUUUUAUUUUAAUUAAGUAUUUUAUGUAUUUUAGGGGCAUUAUAGUCAUUUCACAAUAAAGGAGAAAUCAGACGGCAAAACGGACAUCACUUUUGAACUCAGGACGGUCAAAAACCUUAGGAGGAGCAUAAAAGGAAAAAUGGCACUAUUCACAUGUACGGUACUAUUCACGUAUAUGGUACUGUCUACGUUACUGUUCACGACACUGUUCACAUAGACGGAUGAUGACGUGGCAUUGACCGAUGAUGUGGCAUUGACUGAUGAGGUGUCACGAUCCUGUUGGACUAAAAUUCUUAUGUACUGUUGAUGGUGACGUGGCAGCAUAUCAGUGGACGAAAAAUCUCGUGUACGGUGCAUGCAUCACACAGGAUUAUUUUCAACCAAACCGCGUUACUGUUCAUCCGGGUCAAACCGCGUUACUGUUCAAAGUCAGGUCAAACCGUGUUACUGUUCAUCCGCGUGGUCAAACCGUGGACUGUUGACUGAUGACGUGGCGCAAUCCUGAGCGUCCAAACUGUUUUUAAUCCGAUGGCUAUGAUUUACUCCAUGUAUCUAUAAAAAGGGGGCCUCUCCCCCCUAAUUUGAUAUCUCUGAAUCCAUUUUUGGGAUCCAUUUUCUGUAAUUCCUUCUCCAUCUUGUAUUUUCUUCGUAUUUUAAUAAAUUCCCAUUUUGCCCCUAGUUCAAUUAUGAGUGGCUAAUUUUCUUUCAAGCUUGGGUUGAAGGUGAAGUCUCAACAUGUGUCAUGGGCUUUAUUUGGUAAAUUUAUUUUCUCUUCCCCUCUAGUUUUUGUGGAUGUUUUGACUUUUCGUCGACAAAUAAUACUAAUCUUGUCUAGUACCGCCUUGGUUUCACCGGCCCUCUGGUACAAGGUUAUUAUUAUUUGGCACGAUAAGCCCUUAGCACCAUAUUGAUUAGAGCGUGGUUCAUGAGGUGUGGAUUCCCCCCUCAUGAUUUAAUUGGCAUUAAUACGAAUUAUUUAGCCCAUGAUGCAUGUUGAUACGGAUCCAGAUACCCAAGUACAUCAAUUUAAUAGAUUUUCUCUUCAAUUUAUUCUCUCCAUUGCAAUUCCAAUUUUAAAAUUUAUUCUCGCCAUUUUAAUUUAAGUCUUAGCAUAUUCCAAAUCAUUUCCACCAUAAAUCCAACAACCCAUUUACAAAAUUAAUUCUAUACACAUAAUUAAAAUCCACCUCCUCGUGGGAUCGACACUCGUCACCAUUAGUCUAUACUACAAUAGAUUCGUGCGCUUGCGAGUACAUUAAAAUUUGCACAACAGGAAGCCCUCGAACUAUGACAUAUAACAAUACUAACCUUUCUUGCGAAACUGUAGUAGUGUGAGUGGUGGGCAUAAGCCUAGAUUUUAGAAAUUUCACCCACACCUUAGUAAUAGGUUUCAAAUCUAUCCUAUUAACUACACGCCCUUCCUCGUUAGCCUAUGAUGCCCCUUCGAUUGUAAGAGUUGUAAAAAUCGUGUUCCACGUUUUCGGGGUUAACUUAUCAAGCAACUUAGCAUACUCACAAGUAAUUUCAGCAAGUAAGUUAUAGAAAGCAUUGAUAACUGGGGAGUCUAAUAGGACAUGUGUAUUUCUUACCCAAAUGUUGUAUUGAUCAGGGCUUACCAAAUUGGCUUAAAAUUCUUUGACUACAGGCAGCACAAGAUCUCGAGGGUGAUUGCAAAACUCUAGCCAUCCUUGCUUUGCUAUAGCAUUAUGAAUUAUUUGCACAAUUCCCGUGAGUUGGUCUGGAAAUUGAAACCCUUUUUCUUCCAGAAUCCAACGCGGCUCUAUGAAUUCUUUAUAUUUUUCUUCAGCGUGGUAACUCUGGAAGCAUGAUGGAUCUUUGAGGCGGCUUGCUGUUUUCUUGUAUCUCGGCAUUGUUGUAGCAGUAACAAAUUGAGGCUACUGUUCAUGAGAGUAAAAAGAGAAGAAGAGGUUAAGAAUUAGGAGAGUUGGAUUUGUGAAGGAGAUGGGGAAUAGUGGCGUAGAGUACUAAGCAUAGUGACUCCUUUUUAUAGUGGACUUGUAAUUGGAGAUAAAUACGGUAACUUGAAAUAAUUUAGGGAAUAAAAUAUUUUGAAUUAAAUGUGCAUAUCCCAAAAUCAUCGCCCAGUGAAUGUAAAACUUUAAUUUCGGAGACUUUUUCCACAAUUUCUAUCCAUAUCCAUGCGUCCAUCUGUCACAAUUUUAUCUCCAAUGGUAAGUGAAAGGCUCCAGCUUUUAAUUUACUGUAACAGUAAAAUUAGCUGUUGUAGCAUCCAUUCGCUUAUUCUAACAACGGAUACAUACUUCCCACGAAAGCUUAUGACACGUGGUUCACCUCUAAAUUCUGCCACCAUACACUCCCACGUGUCAAUAUGGAAUUCAAUUGUCACACUUACUAAAAUUAAGUCUAAAGUUAUUAAAAGAAAUAGAUAUAUCAAAUUAAAGCGAAAAUAAAGUAUGCAAUAAUGGAAAAGGAUAAAAAUAAAUGGUUAAUAUGGAAAAGCAGGAUUAAAUAAAAUGUAAAAGAAGAAGAGCUGUCUACAAAACCAAAGGAUAUCAAAAUUAGUUUGAAGUGGCUAUCUCCUCAAUGGGCUGCCUCUCAUGAAGCGCUUGAUUUAAGGUCCUUCAGCCUGACUUUCUUUCUUUAUUCAAUAGCUGGGUUCUUUAAGGAGUAACACCUCCUUUGAACAUUCUGCUGCUAGAUGUAUGUAAUGCUUAACCCUGUGUCCAUUAACCUUGAACUCAUGGCCUGUUUGUUCAUCUAGAAGAUCAACAGCUCCAUGAGGGUAAGAUUUUAACAACUUCAACGGGCCAGACCAUCGUGACUUGAGCUUUCCCGGAAAUAAUCUUAGUCUUGUAUUGUGGAGCAACACUAAUUGACCAGGGGUGAAUUUCCUAUGUUGAAUAUGCUUGUCGUGCCAAUGUUUUGUUCUCUCUUUAUAGAUUAUUUCAUUUUCAUAUGAAAAUAGCUGUAAUUCAUCAAGCUCACAAAGUUGAAGUUUCCUUUGCUCUGCAGCAGCAUGCAUAUCUCAGUUUAAUUUCUUCAAUGCCCAAUGUGCUUUAUGCUCUAACUCUAGUGGCAAAUGACAAGCUUUGCCAUAAAUAAUUCGGUAAGGAGACAUGUCAAGUGGAGUUUUGUAUGCUGUUCUGUAGGCCCAGAGAGAGUCAUGCAAGUGUAAAGACCAAUCCUUCCUUGUUGGAUUCACCACUUUUUCCAAGAUCUUUUUAAUUUCUCUAUUGGACACUUCAACCUAACCAUUGGAUUGUGGGUGAUAUGUUGUUGCUAUCUUGUGUCUGACUCCAUAUUUCAUCAUUGCUGCAGCAAAGAUUUUGUUCCAAAAAUGUGUGCCCUCAUCACUAAUAAUUGCUCUAGGAGUGCCAAACCUGGAAAAAAACAUUUUUUUGAAGAAAAGUCACCACUGUUUUAGCACCAUUGGUAGGUAAUGCUGCAGCUUCUACCCACUUGGAGACAUAAUCCACAGCAACAAGGAUAUAUAAGUUCCCAAAGGAUGGGGAAAAAGGUCCCAUGAAAUCUAUUCCCCAAACAUAAAAAAUUUCCACUUCCAGUAUGUUAGUCAAUGGCAUCUCAUGUCUGCUAGUUAUGUUCCCUAUCCUUUGACACCUGUCACAACAUUUAACAAAUUCAUAAGCAUCUUUAAAAAUAGUGGGCUAAUAAUAACCUGAUUGCAUAACUUUGGCAGCUGUUCUGUGACCACCAAAAUGUCCUCCAUAUGUUGUAGCAUGACAUGACUCCAGUAUAUGAGGUAUUUCUUCUGCUGCAACACAUCUUCUUAUUACUUGAUCUAAGCAUAGCUUAUAUAAAUGUGGGUCAUCCCACUGAUAACUUCUAACAUCAUGAAGAAAUUUCUUUUUCUCUUGAAACUUCAGUUCAGGUGGUAGCAACCCAGUUACUAAGUAGUUAGCAAAGUCUACAUACCAUGGAGAUUCUAACUGCUACAACAUUUGUGCUUGCUGUACUACCAACAACUGUUCAUCAAGAAACGUUUCGGUGAUGCCCUUCCUUGUCAAUGUACUAAUGUCUGCUUCUAACCGUGACAAGUGGUUUGCCACUUAAUUCUCAGUCCCCUUUCUAACUUUAAUUUCCAGAUCAAAUUCUUGAAGCAGUAAUAUCCAUUUGAGUAAUCUUGGUUUGGCAUCCCUUCUUUGAAAAUUAAAUAUUUGAUGGCUGAUUGGUCUGUGUAAACAGUUACUUUAGUACCCACCAAGUAAGCUCUGAAUUUUUCAAAAACAAAAACUACUGCUAGCAACUCUUUCUCUGUAGUGGUGUAAUUGAUCUGAGUUGGAAUGAAUGUUUUGCUUGCAUAGUAUAUGGAAUGAAAAACCUUAUCCUUUCUUUGCCCUAAUACUGCUCCCACAGAAUGAUCACUAGCAUCACACAUCAAUUCAAAUGGUAAAGUCCAAUAUGAAGAUAUAACUACUGCAGCAGUGAUCAGAGCUUUCUUCAAUUCUCCAAAUGCUUGAAGACACUCUUUGUCAAAGUGAAAUGGUUUGUCAUGCUCCAGCAAUGAAUACAAAGGCUUAGCUACUUUGGAAAAAUUCUUAAUGAAUCUUCUAUAGAAUCCAUCAUGACCCAAAAAACUCCUAAUACCCUUUACUGAAGUUAGAGGUGGCAGUUUAUCUAUUACCUCUAUCUUGGCUUUGUCUACUUCAAUACCAUCCUUGGAUAUCUUGUGACCCAGCACUACUCCUUCUUGCACCAUGAAAUGACACUUUUCUAAAUUGAGUACUAAGUUGGUCAUCUCACAUCUUUUAAGAACUUCUUCCAAGUUGUGUAAACAAUCAUUGUAUGUUUCCCCAAAAACUGAGAAGUCAUCCAUGAAAACUUCUAAGGUCUGCUCUACCAUAUUAGAAAAUAUAGACAUCAUGCAUCUUUGAAAACUCGCUGGAGCAUUGCAUAGCCCAAAUGGCAUUCUUCUGAAGGCAAAUGUCCCAUAAGGACAAGUAAAUAUAGUCUUCUCUUGAUCCUCUGGAGCUAUAGCAAUCUGGUUGUAGUCUGAAUACCCAUAUAAGAAGCAGUAGUAUUGUUUUCCAGCAAGUCUGUCCAACAUCUGAUCUAUGAAUGGAAGUGGGAAAUAGUCUUUCCUUGUGGCUUUGUUGAGCUUCCUGUAAUCCAUACACACUCUCCAUCCAAUCACUGUCCUUGUAGGAAUAAGUUCAUUAUUCUCAUUCGCCAUUACUGUUAUCCCUCCUUUCUUUGGAACACAUUAAACUGGGCUUACCCAUGAACUGGCUGAUAUUGGGUAUAUGACUCCAGCAUCUAACCAUUUGAUGAUUUCCUUCUUCACCACUUCUCUCAUAAUAGGAUUCAGCCUUCUCUGGUGCUCCACCGAAUUGCUGGAAUAAUUCUCUAACAGGAUUUUAUGCAUACAUAUGGAUGGGCUUAUCCCCUUUAUACCUGCCAUGGUCCAUCCAAUUGCUCUUCUGUAUUUUCCCAGCAAAUCUACUAAACUCUGUUCUUGACCUGCAUUAAAAGUAGAAGAAAUGAUUACAGGGAGUGUGUUGUUUUGACCAAGAUAAGCAUACUUUAAAUGUGAAGGUAACAAUUUUAAUUCAAAACUAUGAGGUAAUUCAAUAGAUGGUAAACUUGUUUUUACUUCCCUGUCUGAAAGAUUCAGGUGUUCAAUAAACCUAUUGUGUCUAUCAGAUUGUUAUUUGUCCAUCUAAUCUAUUUAGAUUACUACAACAUCUUCCUCUUCAACAUCCUCAAAGGUGGUGACUUUGUCAAAUACAUUAUUGCAGCAUCUGUUCAUUCUGUCUGCUACAACAAGAUCCAUUACACUUAGGAAAUUGUAAUUUUCUACUUCAUCAGGGUUCCCCAUAGCCUCUAGUACAUUAAAUGUGACUUGUUGAUCAUUCACUCUCAUGGUGAGCUCUCCUUUCGCACAUCUAUCAGAGUUUUUCCAGUUACUAGAAAAGGUCUUUCAAGUAUAAUGGGUACCUCUUUGUCAGCUUCAAAGUCCAGCACAAUGAAAUCCACUAGAAAGAUGAAUUUGUCAACCUUCACCAAUACAUCCUUUAUCUUUCCUUCAGGGUAUGCAUGAGAUCUGUCAGCUAAUUGCAGAGUGACUGUUGUUGGUCUGUACUCCCCUACUCCCAGCUGCUUAAAUACAGAUAAUGGCAUCAAAUUAAUACUAGCUCCCAAGUCACAAAGUGCUCUGCCAGCAUACCUAGUCCCUAUAGAAUAGGGUAUUGUGAAACUCCCUGGAGCUUUCAAUUUUGUGAGAAUUUUAUUCUGGAGCAUAUGACUGCUUUCCUGUGUUAAAGCAACAGUUUCAAACUCUCCCAGCCUUUUUUUUCGUGCCAAGAUGUCUUUUAGAAAUUUUACAUAAUUUGGCAUUUGCUCCAAAGCUUCCACAAAAGGUAUAUUUAUGUGCAGUUGCUUCAGCACUUUCAGGAAUUUGCUAAACUGCUUGUCUUGUUUUUGCUUCUGGAACCUUUGUGGGAAAGGUGGUGGAUGUCUAAACUGCUGGGUUGCUUCAGGAGAUAUCAAACUUUGUUUGUUUGAUUUAGUGCAAGUUGUAAUUACUGGUAUUGUGACUUCUUUUUCAGCAUGUUCUGGUUGAAUUUCCUCUUCAGUUGCUGUAGCUUGGCCCAUGUAACCAGUGUCUUGAAGAGGAGUUUGCUGUAGUAGGCUUCUCUUUUGAGUUGGUUUUUGUGCUGAAUUGUAUUCCAUCCCAUUUUUGGUCACCUCAACUGGGAUAUCAACAUUCUUUCCGGAUGUCAAACUAAUUACUUUGCAGUGUUCUUUGCUCUCUCUCCUAGGGUCUUCUGUGUUGCUAGGUAGGUUUCCUUGAGUUCUACUGCUCAUUACUGUAGCUAGUUGUCCCAUUUGGUUCUCAAGGUUUCUCAAGGACACAGCUUGACUAUGCACAAUUGCUUCAUUCUUUGCAAUAUACUCCUUGAUCAGUGCUUCCAAUGAAGUGAUUGGAUCCUGACUAAUAUGCUUUUGCCCUUGACUUUGUUGAUGAAAACCAGGCGGUUGUGUGUUUCUACUCAGUCCAUUCAAUGCUGGAGCAUUUCGAUUCUGACUGCUCCAUGAGAAAUUUGGGUGUUGUUUCCAGCCUAGGUUGUAAGUAUUUAAAUAUAGGUUGUUCUGAGGUUGUCGAUUGAAGUUGCCCACAUAGUUUACUGAAGCUGGAUUUCCAGGACAAUUAUCAAAAUCAUGUUCUUCACCACAAUAGAUACAAGAAAGUUCAGUAACUUGCUUUACUGUUGCUGGAGCAACUGUCAUGGCUUUUACCAUGUUAGUCAAUGAGGUUACUUGUGCUGAUAAGGUUGUAAUUGCAUCAAUGUUAUGUACCCAUGCUGAUCCUCUUGCUGCUGGUUGCCUGGUUGAAGCCCACUGGUAAUUAUUUUUGGCAAUUCUUUCUAGAAUUUCAUAAGCUUCAAUGUAAGAUUUGGAUAAUAGAGCUCCAUUUGCUGAAGCAUCCACCAUUAACCUUGUACUCUGAUUCAACCCAUUGUAGAAAGUUUCCAAUUGAAUGGAACAAGGAAUACCAUGAUAAGGACACCUUCUGAGCAAUUCCUUGAAUCUUUCCCACGCCUCGUACAAACUUUCAUCUUCCAGUUGAUGGAAUGAAGUAAUCUCAUUCCGCAACUUUGCAUUUUUUGUUGGUGGGAAAUAUUUCAUUAGGAAUUUAUCAGCCAGUUCAUUCCAUGUAGUGAUGGAAUCAGAUGGUAAUGAAUUUAACCAUACUCUUGCUCGAUCUCUUAAGGAAUAAGGAAAGAGCCUCUGCCUUAAGGUAUCUUGUAUUGCUCCAGCAAUCUUGAAAGCAUCACUUACUUCCAAGAACAAUUUAAUAUGGAGAUGAGGAUCUUCAUUAGGCAAUCCAUUGAAUUGUCCCACUGUUUGUAACAUUUGAAACAUCACUGGUUUUAACUCAAAAUUUGCUGCUUCUACCUCAGGUAUGAUGAUUCCAUGGUGUACAACUUGCAGGGUUAGUACAGCGUAAUCUCUUAUAGCUUUGUCUCUAUCAUUAGCCAUGUAAAUAAUAUUGUUGUUGCCUGGCUGUCUCCUGUUGGCAUGUUCAUUCUGCUCUUCUUGAAUGUUGACUGGUUGUAGGGGCCCGUGAGGAUUCAAAUUUUGCGCAUCCUGUAAAUUAUUCAUGCUUAAAGUAAUUUCUGAAUUCCUUUCAAUCUCAGGAUCGAAUUAGAAUGCGGUAAAUCUGUCUUUGCGCAUGCAUGUACCAAUCUGCUAAUAAAUAGUACAGCGUAAUCUCUUAUAGCUUUGUCUUUGUCAUUAGCCAUGUAAAUAAUAUUGUUGUUGCCUGGCUGUCUCCUGUUGGCAUGUUCAUUCUGCUCUUCUUGAAUAUUGACUAGUUGUAGGGGCCCGUGAGGAUUCAAAUUUUGCGCAUCCUGUAAAUUAUUCAUGCUUAAAGUAAUUUCUGAAUUCCUUUGUUCUCUUCGUAGUCUCCUGAUAGUCCUUUCAACCUCAGGAUCGAAUUAGAAUGCGGUAAAUCUGUCUUUGCGCAUGCAUGUACCAAUCUGCUAAUAAAUAGAAUGAAUCAAAUCAAAUUUGGCACUAUCAAGAUUUACUUCACACUUAAAAAAUAAACAAUCAAUCCCCGGCAACGGCACCAAAAACGUAUUGAUUGAUUUCUAUAAUCAAUUAUCAUCAAUGCCAAUGUGCAAGUAUACACAACAAAUAAUAAAGUGAUGAGUAUUCAAGAUCGUCUCCACAGGGAUUGAUGUUACUCAAAAUGCUAAAGCAAACACGAUAGUGCAAAUAAACUAAAGACCUAAACAAACAAUUGUCAAAUAAUUCUAUCACAACUAAUAAUUGUGAGAGAUGGAGAUAAAACAAUAAUGUAAUGGAAUAAACUAAGUUAAAUGUGUUUAAGAUUCAAUUGAGAAUAUAGUAGUUGAAUUAUCAAACUCUCCUAAUGGGGUGAUUGUUGUUUACCAAAUUAGCACCAGUUGUUACAAUAAGUGCUGCAGCAAUGGGUAGAAUAAAUCUGUUUCCGCAGCUAUCGCAUAUUGGAAAUCUCAUACCUUUAAAUCUACUAACAAUAACCAGUUACUCAUAUAUUUAUGGUACGACAUUAUAACAUUUAAUCUCUCCACCCUACAAGGUGAACACCUAUGUCUAGAGUGUCACAAAUCUUAACUUCAAGUAUAGCCCUUAUGGGAUUCAAGGUAACCUAAUCCAGGAAACUCGACUUAAGAACAAAUAAUACUCUAAUAAUGUCCGUUAAAACAUGUCAUUUUGCUGCUCUAUCUUAACUGAAACUAUUAAAUGGGUGGUCAACCGAAAUAACAGUUGUAUUCAUAAAAACUACUAGAGUAUAAUGCCACAACAUUACCAUAACAACAUAAAAGAACAGCCAAGAACCCAUUGGAUUAUUUAUCACUCAACCACAAGUAAUUUUAGUUCAUAAUCUGGAUGAGAAAAGUAAACACAAAUAUAUUAAUCUCCGAAUACAUCAAAACAAUCCAAGGGAGAAGAGAAAAUAUAAGUUGAGCACGAUGAAAGACAAAUAAUUCUGCACGAUUCUUUUCUUUGUUUCCGAAUAGCACUCCUCAAUCUUGAUCUCCUUCUUCUUGCCUUUGUAAUUAUUUUUUAUGAUAAUUCCUUGCCGUCUUUCUAUGUGGUGCACGCCUCCUUUUAUAUUGAAAAUUAGGGUAAAAGACCCAAAGUCCAUGCGCGUGCAUGCGUUUAAAUUAGGAAACAUGCAGAUCGCGAUUUUAUAGCUGACCCACGCUUUAAGCUUUCUACCGCAUUACUCUCUGAUUGCUGCAGCACUGCAUUAUUCCCGAUUGUGCUUGUCUUCUUUUGUGGCCAAAUUCUUUCCUCCUCUUGCUCAUCUAAUGUCUCAGCAUCCCCUUAUGAAUUUAAAACCUACAAUUAUGCACCUGUUUUUUAGCACAAAUUACUUGAUUUAAACAAAACUUAUUAAAACCCAACUAAAAUGAAUGUUUAUGUAAAAAGUAACCAAAAUGUAAUAAAAAUACCUUAUUUGCUCUCUAAAUGAUCUUGAUUUAAGUUUAGAAUUGAUGUAAUAACUCUCAUUUCCUAGAGUUAUGUGUCCAGGAUUUAUGGCACCUUAUUUAUGAGUUUUGUGAUUGCCUUUUUCGGCCACCACCAUCCAAGGUCCAAAUUUAUGGUUGGCUGAUUGCACCGUUGCUUCAACUUCUUCCAUUCGAUCAAGAGAAUUGUGUUUAUCCUUUUUUAUCACCUUAUUUGCUAUUUUCUUUGGGCAAGAUGAAUUAAGUUGACCGCAAGUGACACAUUCAAAACAUAUGGUGGGUAAACUUUCAUAUUUAACUUGUUGAAUCUUGCCAUCAAGGAGGAACUGGGAGCAUAAUGGCUUAUCUAAGGCAACUUCAACAGCGAUCCAAGUGAAUUUAGCCCUACUAAAGGUAUUUUCUCAUUACCACUGUCAAAAUGAGGUGACCACGACUGUACCGUUAAAUAGUGCCAAGCACAAUCCAUGAUCCUUAAGUAAGCACAUGCUAUGCAUCUGAAUCCCUUUUAAACCCAGACAAGAAAAUAAUUAUUCUCUAGAUCUAUCACAAAGAAAUCGUGAGACAUAUACCAUAAAGCCUCCAAUCAAUUGCACAUAACCUUGUAUCCAAUAGAUCAUUAAAAAAAAGGAUGGAACUUUAUGGACACUGGCCUAGAAAAAUCCUCUCCUCCUCUGAUUGAAAACGACCAAUCUACGAAGAAGGCGAAGUUUAAAACACAGGGUGUGGAUGGGGAUAACCCACCCUCUGGGUCUUUUAAAGACAAAUUGUUGGAGACUCAAAUGGCGGUGGAGAAAGAAUUCAUGAGUAAGGAAGAAGACAUUGAAAUUGAUAUGGGGGAUGUGGUAGUUGAGACGAAAGGGCUUUUACUGGCUAUAUCUUUUUUUCUAGAAAGUUCAUUCACAACUAGUGAAACCAUGGCAAACAACAGUAGUUGUGAAAUUACUAAGAAGAUCUAUAAGAACAAGGUUCUUUUAAUAGAGAACUAAUCUUUGAUUAAAAAAACAAUACCUUAAGAUUAAUAAAAGGGAUUAGAAUCAUCCAUGACAUCAGUCAAUAAGUUAGCACAAGGAAUUGCUAACAUGAUUAAAAGAAGGGAAAUUAUCAGCCAUAUACCCUUAAAUGACAGCCGUAUCAAAUUUGCUAUAAUAUUUUUCAAGUGUAUCACUCGUAUACCCUAAGUUGACAAAACACUUCUGCCGUCCACCAAUCCUUUAACGUCGGUUAUAAAGUUAACAGAAUUGUGGUAAAUUGACUAUUUCGCCCUUGAAACUCAAAAUGAGGUAAAAAGAUAAAUUUACCCCAAAAAUUAACGUAAAUUUCAAUACACAAUUUUUUUAUUUUGUUAUUAAUAAUACAUUUUUAUUAAAAAAUAUGAAUUAUUAAGGGUACAUAUUAUUAAUAAUUAUCCGUAAAAAAUAUCCAUAUUAUACCAUAAAAAAUUAUUAACAAUAUAUUAUUUACAAUUAUACAUAUUAUACCAUAAAAAAUUCCAGUUGGAACUUGGAGAAGUAGAUCUUCAAAAAUUUAGGUUAAAUUUUGGAGAAGUACAUUCAGUUGUAAAGUAGUAAUUUUUUUUUAUAGCAAUUUUUAACAAUUAUUCUAUAAAUGAGAUGACAUGUCAUUUUUAUCAAUAUAUAUCAUAUGACAUGUCAUUUUUUACUAGGUAAAUGGAAUGACAUGUCAUUUUUUUAAAAAGACUAGAUUACCCUUAUGAUGUCAGCGCUUGCAAACGGCAGUUAACGAAUUGGUGGACGGCAGAAGUGUUUUGUCAACUUAGGAUAUACGAGUGAUAUACUUGAAAAGUGUUGUAGCACGUUUGAUAUUGGUGUCAUUUAAGGGUAUAUGACUGAUAAUUUCCCUUAAGAAAAACCAUAAUGUAUUUCAGUGCUACAAUGCGAUAAAAACCUAAUGAAAUUAGGUAUGCUAUGGGAAAUACAAAUAUACUAUUAUUAUUAGAGUCUAAUAUAGAAGAUAAAACCAAUAAGAUAAAAUCUACUGACAGACCUAAAAUUGGAUAUGUUCAUAUUGGAGGAAUCUACGUCAUAAUAAAAGCUCAUUUUCGAUAAGGCAUAGAUAGUCUACUAAAUUUAGCAGUACUGGAUAAUAGAAUAAAAGAUCGAAAACAUGCACUCCUUGAAGUAAUAUAAGAAAACUUGAGUUUAAAAAAAUUAAAAUUAAAGAUAUAUCCCAAAUAUUCUAUAAGUCUUAGAGACAAGAAUAUAAAUAAAACAUUAACCUUAUGUCAUGAUUUUAAAUACUUUGAUAUAAUGCAUGAUGGAUCUUAUCCGUAUAGCAUAACAUAUGCUAUAGAAUAUGCAUUAACAAAUUCAGCAAAUAGUGAAAUGUUUGUUGAUAAAGAUUUUAUUGAAAUUGAUAAAUUAUUUAAUAAAGUUAGAAAGAUACAAUCUCCUGAUAUUUUGAGAGAAACAGAUUUACCAGAAGAAUGAGAAAUGGAUCUAAGUAGUCAACCUACUUUGGUUGGGGGAAAUACUAAACCCAUAGAAUAUACUCCAGAUGGAAAAUCAUCAUAAGAAAUAGGAGAUCAUUCUCUAUACCCAAAAGAGAACUAUAAUUAAGUAGAACCCAAAGUUUUACUAGAUGUAGCCAUCUUGUGAUACCAUUAUCGCAUGAAAUAUUGGCCACAGUUAGAAAUAAUAAUCAAAAUCUACAAAUUAAGAUUGAAUAUAAUAAUGGAAAAUCAUGGCAUGAGACGUUUACUAUCCUUGAUACAAGAGCAGCAAAAUUUUAUGCAGAUGCCAAAAUGAUUAAAUAUUUAAAAAGAUUAUAAUUGAACCUUAUAUAUAUGUAGGAUUUAAUGGAGAAAGAAAGACAUUAAGUCAAUAUUGCGAAAUACCAUUAAGAAUAAAAGGAAUAGAAUUUAUCUCUCCUAAUUGCAUGGGAGAUAGAGAAAUAAGCAUAACCAUUGAAGGGAUUAAGCAAAUCAUAUCAAGAUAUAUCUAAUCCUUUUAUAGUUUAUAUAAAGGUGAUUAUACCAUAUUAUAAGCAUAAGCUAGAAUGGUUUAAUGCUUUAAUUGAUAUUGAUUUAGGAGUUAGUUUAGUUAAUUCCAUGAUUUAUCCAAAAUCAUAUUAGAAAGAUUAUAAGCCUUUAACAGGACAAAGGAUAAAUGGUGAAUAGAUCACCUUCAGGACAUGUAGGAUUAAGACUUUAAUCCAAAAGGAAGGUUACAUCCUAAGUAUCCUUAUAUUAUGGUCUUAUGAUCAUAUGGGUGCAGAUAUAGUUUUGGGAGUCAAUUUCCUUCGUUAGUUCAUUCAUAUAAUGAUUAAUGAAAUCAUUACUCUCAAAACACCAUGUAAUCAUUCCAUUACUACACCAAGGAUUUAUAACCCUAUUAGGCAAACAACUCAAAAAUUACAUUUUCGACACAACCAACGUGGUGAUUACAUUAUAAAAAUCAAUCAAAUCAUAUCAGAUUAUGACAAAUUUUUAGAAAAACUUCAUAAAAUGUUUUGUGAAAACCCAAUUCAAUUAUGGAAAUUUGAUCAAACGUAUCCUAAGAUCAAAUUAAAAGAUCCAAAUGUUAUGAUAAGAGUUAAGCCUAUGAGAUAUGGGUAAGAAGAUAGACAAGAAUUUGAUAAACAAAUUAAAGAGUUAUUAGAACUUAAGAUUAUUCGAGAAUCUAAACGUCCUCUUAGUAGUCCAACCUUUAUGGUUAGGAAUCAUGUAGAGAUUAAAUGAGGAAAAGCUCGUAUGGUUAUUAACUACAAAGAAUUAAAAAAAAUACUAAAUUCGAUGGAUACUUUUUACCUUAUAAAGAUACAUUAAUUACCUCUAUAAUUCAUAAAAAGACAUUUGGCAAGGUUGAUUGCAAAUCUGGAUUUUGGUAAAUUAAACUUGAAGAAGGGAGUAUACCACUUACUGUCUUUAGUACACCUCAAGGACAGUAUGAAUAAAUUGUGAUGCCUUUUGGAUUAAAAAAUAUACCACAAAUAUUUCAAAGAAGGAUGGAUAAAUUUUUUAAAGAAUUUCAUGAAUUCUGCAUUGUUUAGGUAGAUAUGAUAUUCUAGUCUUUUCAGACAAUGAAGUAGAUCAUAUUAAUCAUCUCAUAUAUAUGUAUAUAUAUAUAUAUUUACAGAAAAAUGAAAGAAACCUGAAAUACUACUUUCUAAAAAGAAAGUCGAGACAAUGAAAACUAAAAUAGAGUUUUUAGGGUUAAUAAUAGAUGAAACAAGAAUUGAAAUGCAACCUCAUAUUUAUGAAAAAAUAUAUUUAUUCCCAAAUAAAUUAGAAUAAAAAAAAAAUUCAAAGAUUGUUAGGAUGUCUCAAUUAUGUUGAAUGUUUCAUAGAAAACUUAACUAAAGAAAGACAACCUUUACGAGGAUUAUUAAAACAGAAUGAUACAAAAUCAUGGGAAGUUCUCCAUACCAAAGUGGUAAAAAGAUUAAAAGAAAAAUAUAAAAAUCUACCAAGGUUAGGAUUCCCUACCUCUAGUGAUAAUUUAAUUCUUGAAACAAGUGCUUCAGAUAAUCACUAGGGUACAGUCUUAAAAACGAAUCAAGAAAAGAUUUGUAGAUAUGCCAGAGGAACAUUUAAGCUCGUAGAAAAGAAUUAUCAUAGUAAUUAAAAGGAAUUGUUAGCUAUUAAAAAUGGAAUAGCUAAAUUUACUUUCUUUUCGUUACCAAAGAAAUUCAAGGUAAGAUAUGAUCACACUCAGGUCAAUGGAUUUAUAUUUAAUAAAUUGCCUAAUCCCCCUCAAUAUAAAAGAUUAAUUAGAUGGCAGCAGUUCUUUACUGAAUAUGAUUUUAAAAUUGAACAUAUUAAAGGAUCUAACAAUUAUAUUGUAGAUUUUCUAAGCCGAUAACAUAAUGGAGAAGAGUUUUUACAAAAUAAUUAAUGGCACAAUGAUGUGCUUGGAAGGUCAAGAGUUGCUUCUUAAAGGCAAUAGUAUGAUUUAUGAUGAGCUUGCCAUGAUGGAUGAUGCCCAUGGGAAAUUGAGCACAUUUUGCCCAGAAAAAUCUUCGUAAAAUCAUUCAGAAGUCCAAAUUUCAGGACAAUAUAUUAGUAACAUCCUAAAAAAAAAUUAUUUCAAGGAUAAAACUGAGGGCCAGAUCGCUCAAAGUUCCUCACAAAACUCAAAAAUCACACAUCUAAAGAAAUUUCUCACAAUUAAUGAUAUCAAAGAAAAAUAUAUGAAGAAAGAAGAAUCUUAAAGGUCUUCAUUGAGCCUAUGGCCCCAAUAUGAUAAAAUCAGACAAUCCAUUUUUUUGGUUAAAAUUUCAUUAGGCAGCAGCUACACUUAUGAUUAUAAAAGAAUUGGUAAAAUAGCCUAUGAGAUUUGUCUUAGCCAGGCAAUAAUACCAGAUCAUUCAAGGUUAUUACCAAGGAUUAACUUUGUUCCAGGAGCUGAUCCAAAAUUGAUAAAAGAUAUGUUUGAAUAUGGUUUUCUUAACCCUGUUUGUGUCAGUGAUGAUUGUAGGGAAUUAAAAGAGCUCUAAAAAAAAUUACAAAGGUCGUCAAUGACCUCAAAAGAAUAUCCAAAACAAAAGAAAUUAUUUUUAUCAAGAUACUCACUGCAUGUUAGGCCUUGUUUGUUUUUUGAAGAUUUUAUGAGAUAAAAAGUGAUAAGAGUAGUUCAAAUUCAUAAAAAUGGAAAGAUCUAUUAACAAAUUUUUAGAUUCAAUUGAUAAUUUAAACUUUAGCCAAGAAUAUCAAAUCAUUUAUAUAAUUUCAAUUGUUAAAACUAGAUUGAAUGCAAGCAAGCGCUUAUAUGAAGAAAUGAAAAGGAUUAACAUCAAUAAUGACCAAGAAGUAUUUGAUUCCUUUGAAAAAGAAAAUAGGAUGGCAUUAAUGGAGUCAAUUUUAUCUAGUCUUGAAAUAAUACAAGAUGGGCACAGAACUAAUAACAUAACUCAAAACCAACCAUAAAUAUGAAUAAUGAUAAUAUGAAUACGUUGAUUCAGGAAGCUGAAUUUAGAUUACAACCUCUCAGUGAAAACCUUGAUGAUAUAAUCUUUAGUUGUGAAAAUAGAUUGAUUAUAUAUAUAUAGAGAUGUUAAAAGAAAAUUUUGGUCAAUGUCCCAAAGGAGGCAAAUAAUCAUAAAUACAGGAUCUCAUCUAGAAUUUAUAGAUCUAUACGAGUUUGAUAAUCAUUUAGAAAUUUAUAAAAUAAUAGUUAAACUUUAAAAGGUUUUAAGAAUAGAUGUAGGAGAAAUGGAAGAAGAUAUGAUUUAUUAAGAUUAUAGGUCCCUAGGAUGAAUAUAAAAAUCUUUGAAUAGUCAAAGGAAUUAAUAAAAUUUAGCAUAUUUUGCAAAAAGAUCCUUGUUAUACUAGAUGUUGUACACAUUGUUGUAAGCAUAUUAUUGUUGUAUAUUUUUUAAAAGAGUCCAGCUAUGUUAGAACAACUUUAAGAUAGAGCACGCCUUCAUAUCCACAUAAUCAAAGUUAUAACAUAUUAUUUAUUAUUUAUUAUUUUAUAUAUAUGAUUGUGAUUUGUAAUGUACUUUAGAGCAGCUCUAAGAUAACCAUUACCUUGUGGAAAUCACUCCUCUUUGUUUAUGUAUUUUGGAUGGCAAAAAAAUAAAAAAUAAAAAUCUGCUGAGAUGAAUUGAAAAUAUGUAGCAUGCAUGUUAAAAUUUAUUUAUCCCAUUGGGAAAAAAUAAAAUAUAAAAUAUUUGCUUAGCCAGAUUAACUGUCAGAGUUGACUAGAAUACAAUAAUCAUAAUAAUAAUAAUAAUAAUAAUAAUAAAUGGAUAGGGGACAUUGCUAUGUUACAGAUUUUGUAACAAACAGACAUUGAAAAAGACAUGUACAUUUAUAAGAUUUUGCCACGUGGUAAAGGAAAUGAAAAUUAACGGGUUUUGCCGGUUCCUAUCCAGUUGCAAAAUUUCACAAGGUCAAACGAUUUGCAAAAAUGAAACUCCCUCGUCGUUAAUGCGUUAAAAGGGAAGAGGCCAAAAAAUUUGAACUCUUCAUCAACAUAUCUUUUUAAUUAUCUAUGUCAAGAUAUUUAUAUUUUUUAAAUUUGAUAAAGAAGAUGAUUUAUUUCAAUUAUUGACUAUUUAAUAUGAUUAUUGAAUAACUAAUUAUGAUGUACAUAGAUAUAAUAGAUGAAAAAUAAAAUUCCUUCUGUCGACAUAGAUAUAAUAAUUAAGACUGUAUAACUCUUAUUAACUAGUUUAUUCAAUUUUAUAAAUUAACUUUAAAAUAAUUUUUAAUUCAUUUAUAAUUCUUUUUUUCUUAUAAAUGAGUAAUGAAAAUAAAUAUUUUUAUGUAAAUAAAUAUUUUAUAGUGUAAUAUCAAGUAAUUUUAUUAGUAAUCAUCAGACAAUUUAUUUUAUGAUUUUUUUAGUACUAUAAUAUUUUACAUUGAGUCUAUGGAUAUUUGCAAUUAAUAUCUAUUGAGACUAAUCUAAAUUAAUUUUUAUUGUAGUGCAGCUUAGAUAUCUACUUCCACUAAUAAUUAGGAGUAUGUAUCUGCUAUGCUCUACCUAUAUUUGUAGGAAAAAUAAUUUAUUCCUACCAUUUUAUACAUGGGUUUGACUCCCAUGGCAUAUCUAUGAGACUCUAACCAACACCCUCAUUCUAGUCUAGGAAACAUGGUGGCAACUUAUCUUAUAUGACCAGACCUAGGACUUUUUAUUACAUUGGGCUAAAUUUAUCGUAAAUAUUUGUAUAAAUACUGAUUCAUGUACAAAAGUAAAAACAACAUAUAUAUCAAGCAACACCAUGUCAAAACUCUUAGUUAAACGCCUAUAUUUAAUAAAAGAAUGACAAUAAAUACAACAAAUAAGCUUAUAGUGUAAAUUAUUAAAUUUAAAAAAUUAUUUUUGAAUUUUUUAUUUUAAUGAUAGAGAAUGUGAUAUAUUUGAGUAAUUUGAUUUAAUGAAAAGAAAAAAAUGAUUAUGAAGGAAAUAAGCAAUGAAAUUAUGAAAAUAUUAUUAAUUUUUAAUAUAUUAUUUUAUAACUUUCUAAUACUAGUGAUAAUGUUAUAAUGUAUAUAUUGACAUAUAUAUAUAUAUAUUCAAGUAGGCAAAAUCAUAGCAUUUUUUAUAAUAAAUUAAAGUAGUACUAGGAUUUUAGACCCCUAAUUAAUUCAAUUUAUUCCAUAGAUAUAUGACAUAAUUAUUUUAUAAAACAACUCCCUAAUUCUAAUUGAAAAAGAAAUAGUUGAAUUGGGGAUAUAUUUGAAAAUAAAAUAAAAAAUCUAUUAUUAUAUAAAAACAAAAAGGAGUAUAAACGAAAUUUUACAAGCUUAGGUCAGCCUCCGAUCGUAGGAAUUUGGAAUAAAUUCUUAUUAUUGGACAAGUAGGGAUAAGCAAUUAACAAUCCGAACGUGGAAGUAUUAGAGUAAUAAUCACACAAUUUAGGGCCAGUUUGGUAAUGCUGUAGCUUUUAAAAUAAUUGCUGUUAGCUGUGCUGUAGAAAUAAUCAGCUGUGAAGAGAAUCAGUUUAGUGUUUGGUAAAUUUUAUUUUCAAAAGUACUGUGAAUUUUGAAAGCAGUUAUGGGUGUUUGGUAAAUCUUAUUGUUAAACUGCUGUAAAAAAAUAAAUGACUAAAAUGUACAUAAUGUAAGAUGAAAUUUACUUAUACCUAUAAAAAUGUACACGUAUAAUAUCUCGUUGAAUCAAACAAUUUUUUUGAAAUAAUUGUGUAUUAUAAUAAUUUUAACUAAAAAUAAAAUUUAUGCUAUAGUGAUUUUUUUAAAUCUUAAAACAAUUGAUAUUUAAAAAAUCAACUACAAUUUUCAUUAAAUAACAUCAAGUAAAGUAUAACUAGAUAUUCCAAGAAUAAACAUAAAAAAAUGUAAUGAGCUACAAACACUCAAAACGAAAACAAAUAAUAGAUUGUCAUGCAAUAUCAUAUUCGCAUUAAACUUGCAGCAAUAUUAUUUCUUAGAACUUCCAUUUCCCGUGCUUCAGGUCCAUUGUUGAUAUAUUCUUCUUCUUGUCCUUCUUGUCCAUCAUUGACCUCUCUCCUUGUCUCUUCAUCGGUGUAAUCAUUGUGUUCAUUUUCUUCAUUCUCAAAAUGUUUGUCAUGUCGUGCAUGUCUUCUUAUAUAGUUAUGUAAUGCCAUGGUUGCAAUAAUUAUCUUUACUUGUUUAUUGAAUGGAUAGCUAGGCAUGUCCCUCAAAAUCUUCAUCGUUUUUUCAUACACCAAAAGUGCGUUCUAUUACACUUCUAGUGAGUACCUCUUGAUAACCUGUUGGUUGGCUGCCUCUACGAAAAUCUGGAAGGUGAUAUCUUUCACCUUUAUAUGGCCCCAAAAAACCUUUUAUUUGUGGGUAUCCCGCAUCCACUAAAUAAUAUUUUCCUAAACAUUUAAAAUAUAAUUUUAAUAAUAUUAUAUAAAAUUAAACUUAAGAAAGUUAUUGGAAAAAAAUUGAUAAAAAAGAAAAAGAAAAAUUAUGUAAAAAUGACAAACCUCUAGGUGGUUUAGGAAAAUUUAAAGUAGGAUUACGUAGAGUUGAUAAAAAUAUCCUUGUAUCAUGAGCGCUUCCUUCCCAACCUGCAAUUGCAAAUAUAAACUGCAUAUCAAAGUUGCAUGCAGCCAUUAUGUUCUGAGUUGGUAUGCCUUUCCGACCAAUGUAUGGUAUUUGAUCCUCAGGAGGUAUGGAGACAUGAACAUGUGUGCCAUCUAUAGCACCGAUACAAUCCUAAAACAACAAUAUAAAAUUAUAUAUGUAAAAAAUAAUUACAACUUUAUAAAGUGUAAAAGUUUAAUUGAUAAUCAUUUACCUUAAAGUGUGGCAUAUAUCUAGAAUCUCUCAAGAUUUCUUCAGGAAUAUCUUUAAACUCAGGAUCAAAUGGCUUUAUUAAAUCUAUAGAUAAGCGACAGAUAGCAUCCAGUGCUUCACCAAAAUAUCUACUCACCGUCUCUCCAGAGUGUUGGAAUCGUUCUUGUGCCAAUCUAUUACCCACACCAUGUCCUAUAGUAUGCAAGAACAUUCCUAAUACCUCAGUAGUGCUCACUCUUCUUGAGCCUUUUAGCCCGUAAUUUAUUUCCAAUUCAUUACACGAUCUAAAAAAUACAUCUUUCUCCAUUCUAAACAUCCUCUGACACCGAGUUUCAUUCCCUUUUAAUACUCGCAUCAACCAGACAUUACCUGUUUCUGAAGAAUUCAUGCAAGGUUGUUUAUGAAUAUACGUCCUAUAAUAAUAAUCAACGGCAAUCGUAAAAGUGGAUAUGAUGCUAUCAAACUCCUGCUUGUCAUCUAGCAUGUCCAUAUUAUAAACAAAACCUGUAAUCAAUAAUUUAAACCCAUAUUAUCUAGCAUGAACAAAAAAAGUAAUAAUAAAAAAUAAAAAAAUAUAUGACAAACAUUCAAAAUAACAACUAAUUGUCAUAUAUUCAAAUAGCCAAUUGUACCUUAAAAUAUUAUAUAAAAAAACAAAAAAAAGGAUAAUCCCUUAUUAAUACUAGAAUAGAAGAGUAAUAACAACGAAAAACUUAAGAUUGCAAAUAUUGUGAUUGCUCAUAAUAAAGCCAGUUAAGCAUAAUUUGAGGUUCUUUCAUGGUUGCAAGCAUCUCCCUUUUCUCUUUACGAAUAAGAAGUUGAGUAGCAAACAGCCAUAUGUUGCCUCCAAUCUCAACCCCAGGAAUAGAUUCAACUAUCUUCAUUGCUUCGGCAAUACUGCAACCAUUCAUUUCUUUUUGUAAGUUUAUUAAUGUAGAACUUCUAUUCUCAACUGCUUCAACAAGACGUUCAAUUUGUUGUGAUAUUUUUGUAGCACCUCCAACCUUCCUCCCUGCGUGAUCAACUUUUUUUCCUUUCUUAAUUUUUUUGGCCUGUGUGCUAUGUAGUCCAACUACUUUUUCAUCUUUUUUCUCUUUAGCACAUUGGUAAGUAUAUUGAACUUGCAUAUCCUUGUCAGAAUCACUAUUUUCUUCAACUGGAAAUAUUGUAUCAUUAUUGGAAUCCUCAUAAUCAUCAAGUGGAAUUACCCCAGAAGAAGGUGUCCAAGCUUUAUUGCCAGUAGCUGUGAUGUUCAUGAACAUCCUAUCUAACUUCCCUUCUAAUUCUUUAUCAAUGCCCUCUUUGCGGAAUUUUUCUACUUUAGGAUUUGCCUGCAUGUAAUAAAUCAUAUUUAGAUGAAUUGCAAAAAUAUUAACCAAAUUAUAUUAAAAGCUAUCAACUAAUGUACCAUACCUUCAAUUUACUCUGCCACCAUUCUGGAGAUGCAUCGAUUGUUUUCUUUUGUAUAUUCCAUCCAAGACCAGUUUCCUUUCCAAUAAGAUCCUUCCAUAAUUUCCAGUCGUUUUUUAGUGCAUCCCAUUUAUUUUUUAAUUGUAAUUUACUAUACUCCCUUCCCGUUGCCUUACAAAAGUUUUUGACCAAAUUUUCCCAUCCUAUUUUAGUAAAAUGAGUCCCAGGUCGACGUCCUUCCUCUACCUCUACGAUACAUAAAUUACAAAAGAUUGAAACAGUCUCAUUGUCCCACAUAGCCUUACCUCGUGGUACAUUAUUAGUUUCAACUUGAUUGACAAUUUUCUUGUCUCUGUCCAUCUACAUCAUUGUAAAUAUAUUUUAAUACAAGCACUGCUUUAAAAAUUAUAAUGAACAAAAAAAAAUAAAAGACGGAAAAAUUGAAAAUCACAGACAUUCAUACUACGCUAUUGGCUUCAUACUACGCCACUGGCAGUAAAGCUUGAUGAACAUCAACUGGCGGCAUAAACAAAUAAUAAAGUUGGGCAAUAAACUAGAAUCCUCUUUUACUUGCAUAUCCAUUAAAUCUUUUAAAAACAAAAACAUUGCAAUUGCAUAUGCAUGAAAUUCUUUUUCCUUAUUAUGAGAAGUGAAAUUACAAAAGCAAGGCAAGGGAAUGCAAAAGAACUUUCAUGGAGCAUAGCAUCACUACUGGCAUAUAUUGCAAGUGAAGCAAAGUUGAAGUAAUUGCAUAUACAAAAAGAUAAUCAAAAGUUGAUGGUACCUGAAAUGUGAUCAAGCGAAGACCCUUCUCCUUCCCUUUCUCUGAACAAGUAAUAAUGCGAACUCUGAAGGGAGCUCACGUGAACAUGUUCCUGUAAAAUUUUCAAACAAAUUCAACCCAAAAAAAGCCUCCAUGAAUCAAUUCCAGGACGAAACUAAUAAUGCGAUAUUAAUACAUCAAAAUAUUUUUAGCAACAUCCGCUUGUAAAUGAUUUUAAAUGAAAAAACAAAACAGAGGAAGCAUUCGAAACAAAUUAAACAACUACACCACGUGAAAGAUAGCAUUUUCGUCUUUUUCAUUAUGCAACAAACUUUAAAAACUAACCAGCCACCGAAAAUUAUAUGUAAACAAACGCAAGUAAGACAAAUAACAAAGAUUAUAAUAAUAAAAAUUGCAUAGCCAUAGAAUCAUUUAUAAUAAAAAAUUUAAAUAAGACAAACAAUGAAUAUUAUAAUAAAAACAUUGAAUAGGCAUGAAAAGGAUGAUGGAACACGUACUGGAUGUUCAGUUCGUACUGUAAGACAAAUAAUAAUCAACUAAUUGACAAAACAGCAGCGGCGGCAGGGCAUAUGCCAGUGUCGUCUCGUGUUAUUCAAUAUACUGUUAUUGAAUAUGGUGAUGGAACACGUACUGGAUGUUGGUUUUUUGUAGUAGAGAAGUUUUGAUAGAACACAAAAUAUGAAGAAAUAGGGUAAACGAAAGGUGUGUGUUAAUUAUAAUAAAAAAUUAUUAAAAUAUUGAUUUUGUUUUCAAUUUAAAUAAGGAUAAUUUUGGGUUUAAGUAAUAAUUGUAAGGAUAUUUAUGGAAUUAUAUUAAAUGAUAAAAUUGAUUCUCAAAAUCAGAAUCUAAAAGCUACUUCUUCCCUGCUUUUCAAAAUUAACUGUAGGAGGAGCUGAUUCUGGCAAAAGUGAUUUUAAUUUUUUUUUACCAAACACCAAAAUUAGCUUUUAGAUUUUUAAAAUCACUUUUAACCCUCCCAAAAGCAAUCCCAAACGGGGCCUUAGUCUAGUUUGCCCCUUAUUUUAUCUUCCAAAGAUAGCCACUUACCUUAAUGUGCCUCACAUUAGAUAAUACCAUUGCUAUAAGAAAAAAAAAAUACACGAGUUAUAAUUAAUUUUUCACUAUUGAAAUAAAAAUUUAUUAAUUAAAAGUGUUCUCAUAUGUAUGUGUAAAACACUUAUAUUUUUUAAGAUAUCUCACAUAAUAAUAUUGUUGUUAUUAACAAUACAAGUGUUAGGGAAUUUUAAUUCCAUCCAAGAUCAAGUAAGUGAAAAUAUCAAAUAAAUGAUAAAUAGAAAAUAAAUAAAGAAUAAAAUCAAUUACACAACACGAGAAUUUACGUAAAAAAUUCCUAUACUUAACAAAAAUAUGGUCGCUAAAGACGACGAGAGAAAGAUUCACUAUGUAAAAAGUUAUUACAAUUAGUGUAGUAUUUUUCUCGUACCAAAAAACUCCAAUAUAACACAAUCUCUUAAUAGACAUACUAUUUCUCUCACAUUAGAAACUAUAUAUUUUGCAGAGAAAUUAAUUGUUAUGUUAUACCAAAAGUGAACCUAACCUACUUAUAUAUAGUGAUUAUUUCUUAUAGAAAAAAUAUUCAUUUUCUUAUGUAAGUUGUACUCUUUCUUGAAUAAGUUGAGUCUCAGAGGAAAAAUUACUUAUUAUUUAAAUAGAAAUUUUCCUAAAAAGAAAAAUAUCAUAGGAAAUCUUUAUUAAAAAAAGAUACAUAUUUCCUAAUAACAAAAAGUUUAAAAUAAUUUUUUGGUACAUUGAGAAUUUGAUACAUGGAAUUUUAAUUUCAACAUUGAUAGUUUCUUGCAUGAAUUUUGCAAAUACAAUUUCGGUUGUAAAAUUGCAUCAUUUCGAUGGCCAAAGGAAAAAAAUUGCCCACGAUGAAAAGGUCGUUUUAGGGUGCCCAUGGAGAUGUUUGGUUUAACUUUUAAUAUGCAUAAUCUGGGUUGUCAUAAGGAACUGCAAAAUGAAGUAAUGAGAUUUAAAAAAAAAAAAAAAAAAAAAGCGUGGAGUAAUAAUAGAGAGGAAGAGAAAAGUAAGUUAUUUCCUUUUAUGAAACCUUUCCAUCCGGUUGCACUUUUGCUCUGAUAAUUUAUUACUAGCAUUAGAUUUCUGUCUCUAAAUCCAACGGUUCAGCUAGUGGACUGUUACUGACAGAAUCAGUAAAUUAGCCGGACCCAAUGGAUAGGAUAUAGGCAGCGUGAGGUCUUUGAGUCCAAAGGCCAAAACCUCAUCUUGAAUCCAAAUUCCCAACGGAGCCAAUGCCCCUCUCUCUUUCAUCUUCUUCUCUGCUCUUCCCUUCAUUCACGAUAAACUCAAAACCCCACGCUUCACAUUCAAUAUACAAGCGUCGUCCUCAAGUUCUUCCAAGCAACUCUCUCUCAACAGCAAACUAGAACGAAAAGAUAGAGUCAUUGUGAUUGGAGCUGGCCUUGCUGGCCUUGCCGCCGCAACCAGACUCCAUUCUCAAGGCCGACCAUUUGUCCUUUUAGAAGCUUCCGACGCUGUUGGCGGCCGCGUCCGUACUGACUCUGUCGACGGCUUUCUCUUGGAUCGUGGUUUCCAAAUAUUUAUUACAGCCUACCCAGAAGCCCAGAAGCUACUCGACUACAAUGCUUUAAAUCUUCAAAAAUUCUAUUCUGGUGCCAAAGUCUAUUACAACGGCCAGUUCCACACUGUGGCCGACCCUUUUCGCCACUUCUGGGACUCCAUAAAAUCCCUAGCAAACCCCAUUGGCUCAGUUCUUGAUAAGCUGCUUAUCGGUCUAACCAGAAUUAGGGUUCUGAUUAAAACGGAUGAGCAAAUCUUGACUUCCAGUGAAGUCCCCAUUAUAGAACUAUUGCGGAAUAUUGGAUUUUCAGAUUCAAUCAUUGACUCAUUUUUUAGACCCUUUUUUGGUGGCAUCUUUUUUGACAAGGAGCUCGAAACUAGUUCAAGAUUGUUUGAUUUCAUUUUCAAAUGUCUUGCUCUUGGUGACAACACAAUUCCCGCCAACGGAAUUUGCCAAAUUCCCAAUCAGAUUGCGUCUAAACUUCCUUUUGAAUCCAUCUUACUAAAUACAAGAGUUCUCUCUAUCGAUUUUGAUGAACAAAAUAUGCCCAACGUGAGAUUAGCCAACGGCGAAACAUUGAAAAGCGAAAUAGGAGUAAUAUUGGCUGUUGAAGAACCGGAAGCGGAUAAGCUUUUGAGACAACCAGUUAAAUUUCAAAGAAAACCAGCUCGGAGUACAGUUUGUUUAUACUUUUCAGCCGACAAGGAUGAGAUCCCAGUUCAGGAACCAGUUCUUUUUCUCAACGGUUCGGGCAAGGGUAUUGUUAAUAACAUCUUUUUCGCCACAAAUGUUGCUCCAUCGUAUGGCCCACCGGACAAGGCGUUGAUAUCUGUAUCGUUGAUCGGUUUGUUUGCGGAUGUUAUGGAUGACAAUCUAACGGCUGAGGUGAUCCGAGAGUUGUCUGAUUGGUUUGGUAAGUCAACGGUUGGUUCAUGGAGACACUUGAGGACCUAUCGGGUUCGGUUUGCUCAACCGAAUCAAAGCCCACCAACUGAUUUGAUAAAAAAUCCCAAAAGCGAGUUCAGUUUGGCUGUGUAUUUGUGUGGUGAUUAUAUGACUUCAGCUACUUUUGAUGGUGCUUUGGUUUCGGGAAGGAAAGCCGUAGAUGCUUUAUUGAGAGAUAGAGCCUUCUUAAAUUCAGGUGUUUAAAAGUUUUCAAUGUUUUGUGCUUCUUUUUCAAUGUUUGGAACCGAAAUUAUUGAUUGUUGUUUAACUUUAUUGUGGUAUCAUCUCUCGGUGGUCGCUAGGGUCAGCAACGGGACGGGUCAGAAUUUAUUGAUUUUGAUCCAUAUGUUUUCAAUCCGUCCUAAAUAGUCAAUUAGGACAAAAAAUUUUAAAUUGUCUCGAAUGAUACCAGUUUUUUAUCAUAUGCUGCUGACGUUAUCAUAUCCGAUAUGUCAUAUACCUAUAACUAACAUAUCAUAUAUAUUAUUUAUAAAAAUGACUAGUCAUAAAUAUAUGACCGACAUGUCAGAUUUAUAUGAUUCAUUAAACUGGCUUGUCAUACAUUUCGAAAAACCCAAAUUUAGGUGCCCAUGGGAUCCCAAUUUAGAUAAAUGUCCCAAAUCUUGUCCUUAACUAUGAAUUAGGACAAUUUGAGUCUUGAAUCCUGACUCAAGUGGUAAAUCAAACAAAAUUUGAAUCAAUUCUUUUAAAAGGCAAAUCACUUUUUUCACUCAAAAAAAUGGAGAAACAUUGUACUAAUGUUGGGAUAGAUUUAAAGAAUUGCUUAACAUAUGUCCACACCAUGGUUUUGAAACUUGGCGAUUGAUCACUUAUUUCUACGAGAACUUAACACCACAAAUUAGACAAGUUGUAGAAAUGAUGUGUAAUGGUGAAUUUAGAGAUAAAAAUCCUGAAGAUGCACUAGAUUACUUUAACCAAUUAGCUAAAAAUGCACAACAUUGAGAUACUGUUGGAACUUUUGAAUUGACUAAUAAACGACAACCAUCUCCAUCUGGUGGAGGAAUAUACAACCUUAGGGAAGAUCAUGAUUUACAAGCAAAAUUUACAUCCCUAGUUAGGAAGGUUGAAGCUUUGGAAAAUAAAAAAAAAAGUGAUCAUGUAAAAUUUGUUCAGGAAAUUGCAUGUGAUGUUGUAGUUCUAAUGAUCAUUUCACUCAAGAUUGUCCCACUCUGCCUGCACUCAAAGAAUAUUUGCAUGAUUAAGCUCAUGCCAUAAACUCUUUUAACAAGCUAAACCCAUAUUCACAGACUUAUAAUCCUGGUUGGAGAAAUCAUCCAAAUUUUAGUUGGAGGAAUAAUAAUAAUGCACAAUCUUCACAAGUACCACCUCCACAAAAUUUUCAAAAUACUCAGCCUUAUACACCAUAUGUUCCACCACCAUGGAAAAAUUUAGAAGAUACAAUACAUUCAUUCAUUAGGAAGCAAGAUGCUAUUAACAAUCAAAAUGCACAAACCUUUUAUGAUAUGAAAGAAACUCUUUCUAAAAUUGCUUCUGCCCUCACAAUUCAAGAAAAAAGAAAAUUUUCAACUCAACCAUAACCAAAUCCUAAAAUUCAAAAUGCACCCAUGGACCAAGUUAAGUCAGUUAUAACUCUUCGUAGUGGUAAGGUUAUUGAUCGGCCUAUUCCUAAACCUUGUGAAAAUGAAAAUUCAAAGGGUAAGGAAGAACUAGAUAAACUUACACCUAGUGAAGAAAUAACCAUUGUUCCAUCUGAACCACCAUUUCUGCAUGCAUUGAAUAAACCAAGGAAAUUAAACCACUCUUCUAAAAUUUAUGAAAUCUUUAAGCAAGUGAAAGUUAACAUUCAUUUGUUAGAUGUAAUCAAGCAUGUACCUUCAUAUGCCAAAUUUUAAAAGACUUAUGCACUGUUAAGAGUAAAUUGAAGGUAAAAAAGAGUGCUUUUAUGACUGAAUAGGUAAGUACCAUUUUGUCUGCUAAUAAUAAGUUAAAAUAUAAAGAUCUUGGUUGUCUUGCUAUUUCUUGUAUUAUUGGAGAUCACAAAAUUGAGCAUGCUUUGUUAGACUUUCGUGCUAGUUUUAAUUUGCUUCCAUAUUCAGUUUAUCUUUAACUUAAUCUUGGUGAGUUAAAAUCAACUUCAACUACACUUUUGCUUGCUGAUAGACCAGUUAAAGUACCAAAAAGAAUAGUUGAAGAUGUUUUAGUACAAGUUGAUAAAUUCAUAUACCCUGUGGAUUUUAUUGUUUUAGAAACUGAACAUGUUGUGAAUAAUUAUAAACCAAUUCCUGUAAUUUUAGGUUGACCAUUUCUAACAACUGCUAAUGCUUUGAUUAAAUGUAGGAAUGGUUUAAUGAAUUUGUCAUUUGGAAAUAUGACUCUGGAAUUGAAUCUUUUCAACAUGUGUAGACAACCUAAUGAGAGAAAUGAGAAUGAAGAUGAAAUUGAUGAACAAAAGGAAUUGUUUGAAUCUUGUAUAGAGGAGAAUAUUCAAAAAGGGAGUUUUUCUGAACUUAGUGAUAUUUGUUUGGUUAAUUCAAUUAAAUCAAAUAAACAACUUGAAUAUGAUACUUCUAAUAUAAAUUUGUUAUUUGAUUCUUGUCAGACUUUACAAAGUGAUGAUGGGAAACCAAAAAUUGAGGAGCUUGGAAUCAUUGAGAAACUGAACAACAAGAAGCACCUAAAUUGGAAUUGAAACCUUUGUCAGAGGGAAUGAAGUAUGCUCAUCUUGGAAAAGAACAAACUUAUCUUGUUGUGGUUUCUUCGACCUUAUCAAGCGACCAAAAAGGUAAGUUACUGUUUGUUCUUAAAAAGUAUAAAAACGCAAUUGGAUAGACUUUAAAUGACAUUAAAGGUAUUAAUCCUUUAAUUUGCACACAUAGAAUCAAUUUGGAAGAAAAUGCUAAAAUAUGUCAACAACCUCAAAGAAGAUUAAACCCACACAUGAAUGAAGUAGUAAAAAUAGAAGUUUUUAAGUUACUUGAUGUGAGAAUUAUCUACUCUAUCUCUAAUAGUAAGUGAGUAAAUCCUACACAAGUAGUGCCUAAAAAAUCUGGAAUCACUAUUGUUAAAAAUGAAAAAGGUGAAUUAAUUCCAACACGAAUUACAUCGAACUAGCGCAUGUGCAUUGAUUAUAUGAAAUUAAAUGAAGCCACUAGAAAAGAUCAUUUUUUAUUACCAUUUCUUGACCAAAUCUUAGAAAGAGUAGUUGGACAUUCCUACUACUGCUUUUUAGAUGGAUAUUCAAGUUAUUACCAAAUUCCUAUAGCACUUAAAGACCAAGAAAAAACCACAUUUACAUGUCCCUUUGGAACAUUUGCAUUUAAAAGAAUGUCAUUUGAACUUUGUAAUGCUCCUGCAACAUUUCAAAUAUGCAUGCUAAGUAUUUUCACUGAUAUGAUUGAACAUUGUUUAGAGGUCUUUAUGGAUGAUUUGACUGUAUUUGGGAAUUCUUUUGAUGAUUGCCUUGAUAAUUUGGAAAAAUUUUUAAAAAGAUGUGUUGAAAAAGAACUCGUUUUAAAUUGGAAAAAAAUGCCAUUACUUGGUUACUUAUGGAAUUAUUUUGGGUAAAGCAAAAUUUGAAAUCAUAUCUAAAUUGCCACAACAAAAAAUAGUUAGAGAUGUGCGAUCAUUUUUAAGACAUGCAUGAUUUUAUAGGAGGUUUAUAAAAAACUUUAGUGUUAUAUCUAAACCACUUUGUAAUCUCUUAUUAAAAGAUCCACUUUUUGAAUGGACUGAUGAUUGCCAAAAAUCUUUUGAGAAAAUAAUUUGCCUUUUGACAUCUGCACCUAUUAUGCAAUCUCCUAAUUGGUCUUUGCCUUUUGAAUUAAUGUAUGAUGCAAGUGACUUUGUUGUUGGUGCUGUUUUAGGACAAAGAAAGGAUGCUAAGCAAUUUGUAAUUUAUUAUGCAAGUAAGAUUUUGGAUGGUACUCAAAUGAAUUAUUCGACAACUGAAAAAAAAAUUACUUCAUAUGGUGUUUACAUUAAACAAAUUUCGCUCACAUUUUCUUGGUUCUAAAACUGUUUUUUUUUACUGAUCACGCUGUUGUGAGAUAUUUGAUGACUAAACAGGAUGCCAAACCUAGACUAAUUCGUUGGAUUUUGUUACUUCAAGAAUUUGACCUCACCGUCAAAGAUAAAAGGGGUGUCGAAAAUGUCGUUGUUGAUCAUUUAUGAAGACUCACAUAUGAAAUCUGCACUGAUAUAACACCCAUCAAUGAUUCCUUUCCCGAUGAAUUUUUAUUAUCUGUUACUUCAAUACCAUGGUAUGCUAACAUUGUUAAUUUCCUUAUUACAGGUAAAAUGCAUUCGCAAUGGAAUACUCAGGAGAAGAAGAAAUUUUUGAUUGAAGUAAAGAAAUUUUAUUGGGAUGAUCUUUACUUAUUCAAAUAUUACCCUGCUCAGAUUUUUUAACGAUGCAUUCCUGAUAAUGAGGUAAGUAGUGUCAUUAAUUUUUUUCAUCUAAAGCAUGUGGUGGACACUUUUCUUCAAGAAAAACUAUGGCUAAAAUUUUGUAAUAUGGAUUUUAUUGGCCUACUGUUGAGUGUUAGAAAAUGUAUAUUUAUAAAUGAGAAAAUCAUCAUUUUACACUUCAAGUUUCACUAACAUUCACACUUUUCUAUUUUAAUUAAUUAUUUUAUGUAUUUUAGGGGCAUCAUGGUUAUUUCACAAUGAACGAGAGAUCAGACAGCAAAACAAACAUCACUUUUGAACUCAGGACAGUUGAAACCCUUAAGAGGAGCAUAAAAGAAAAAAUGACACUGUUCACAUGUACGGUACUGUCCAUGUUACUGUUAACAACACUGUUCACAUAUACGGAACGAUAACGUGGCAUUGACCGAUGAUGUGGCAUUGACUGAUGAGGUGUUACGAUUCUAUUGGACUAAAAUUCUUAUUUACUGUUGAUUGGUGACGUGGCAGCAUGUCAGUGGACCAAAAAUCUUGUGUACGGUACAUGCAUAUAAACGAGAUUAUUUACAACCAAAUGGCGCCUUAUUCAAGCCACCUGACUGUUCAAACCGCGUACUGUUGACUGAUGACGUGGCGCAAUCUUGAGCAUCUAAAAUGUUUUUAGUCCGAUGGCCAUGAUUUACUCAGUGUAUCUAUAAAAAGGGGGUUCUUCCGCCUAAUUUGGCAUCCCUGAAUUCAUUUUUGAGUUCCAUUUUCUAUAAUUCCUUCUUAAUCUUGUAUUUUCUACAUAAUUUAAUAAAUUCACAUUUUACCCAUAGUUCAAAUAUGAGUAGCUAAUUUUCUUUCAAGCAUAGGUUGAAGGUGAAGUCUCAACAUGUGCCAUGAGCUUUAUUUGGUAAAUUUAUUUUCUCUUCCCCUCUAAUUAUUGUGGAUAUUUUGACUUUUCGUCGACAAAUAGUAAUAAUCUUUUUUAGAUACCAUACUGGUUUAAUCGGCUCCCUAGUACAAGGUUAUUAUAAUUUGGCACGAUAAACCCUUAGCACCAUAUUGAUUAGAGUGUGGUUCAUAAGGAGUGGAAAUCCUCCUCCUGAUUUAAUUGGCAUUAAUAAGGAAUAUUUAGCCCAUGGUGCAUGUUGAUGCAGAUCUAGAUACCUAAGUACGUCAUUUUAACAGAUUUUCACUUCAAUUUAUUCCCACCAUUUUAAUUUGAAUUUUAUGAUGAUUUAAAUCACUUCCACCACAAAUCCAAUCACCCACACCUAGAAAAUUAAUUCUACACACAAUUAAAAUCCACCUCCUCGUGGAAUCGACACUUGCGAGUUCAAUAAAAUUUGCACAACAAGUUUUUGGCGCCGUUGCCGGGGAGGUAAGU
RNAcentral lists this long non-coding RNA (352696 nucleotides) under Citrus x clementina. Its description in RNAcentral is "Citrus clementina (C. clementina) long non-coding RNA (CCLE_LNC002704)". The stretch from base 329073 to 329179 matches the Rfam family "Plant small nucleolar RNA R71". Lineage: Eukaryota; Viridiplantae; Streptophyta; Magnoliopsida; Sapindales; Rutaceae. The record is from RNAcentral.